CAGCGGUGGCACUGGCAAACCAUGCUGCUCAACCAGCACCUCAACUUUACUGGAACUCCGUCCUGCCAAACACACAAAUGCCAAGAGCUAUCAGUGAACUUCUGCAUCCUGGUUUGUGUUGAAUAAAUAUAGUAUGUUACUGGAGUACGUAUGGCAACAUAUUCACAAAUGUGUCACGUAUUUUCCAAUAUGACGUUGAUAUAUAAUUGCAGACUCCACAAACGAAGAAAAGAGCACAAAUGUCAUGAAUGCUGUUGGGAAUGGAAAGCCAAUUGACCACAAGGGCAACCUGAAAAUACUGUACUACCACAGCUUGCACGACGCCCAUUUUCUUACAAGAGUGAUGAUCGUCCCACUGACAAUCAACUCCAUUAUAAAAACGUAGCUAUUUUCUUCUUGGAGAAGGACAUGCGCCCUGGCACAACAAUGAGCUUCCAAUUCCCUAGAAAUUCAAACACGGCUACUUUCCUGCCACCAGAAAGAGCUCAAUCGAUCCCCUUCUCCUCUAACAAACUACCAGAAAUUUUCAACCAUUUUUCAGUGAAGCCAACAUCUGUGGAAGCCAAAACAAUUAAGCAAACAAUCGAAGAGUGUGAGGCUCCAGGCAUUAAGGGAGAGGAAAUAUAUUGCGCCACAUCUUUAGAAUCAAUGGUUGAUUUUAGCACUUCGAAUUUUCGAACAAGAAACGUUCAAGCAAUCUCGACAGAGGUAUUGGAAAAAGGUGCCACCAUGUCCAUGCACAAGCAUACAACAAUGCCGGGACUGAAGAAGUUGGCAGGUGACAAAGUCGUUGUGUGUCAUAAGCAGAACUAUCCCUAUGCUGUGUUUUACUGCCAUGUAAUAAAACCAACAGCAGCUUAUGUUCUCUCCCUGAAAGGCGAUGAUGGGGUGAAGAUUAAAGCAGUAGCCAUCUGCCAUCUAGACACAUCAGAAUGGAACCCAAAGCAUUUGGCCUUCCAAAUCCUCAAAGUUAAGCCCGGAACAAUUCCCAUCUGCCAUUUCCUUCCCACUGAUCAUAGUGUCUGGGUUCCGAACCACAAAUCUGCAUGAUCAUCACUUAGCACUGUACGUAUAAUAAGCUUGCACCCCUGUAUAAUUAUCUCCCUACUCUACUUAUUUCUGCCUCUUCAUGUGGUGUAAGAUAUAUGAUGAGAUGAAGUUUUUGGGAUUAGUGGUCGGGUUGCCUUAAAAACACAGAUUACAGAAACUGCUUGAACUUAACCCGAUCAUGUUUUCUCUUGUACUCGUAAAGCAUGCUGUUGUGGUUCUACUUAAUUUCGUUCUCCCCAAUGUUUGAGUGUUUAAUUGUUACGUUGGAUAAUGCUUGUAGUUAGAGAAGCCUUCAUUUAUAUCAAAGUCCUCAACUUGUAAAGAUAUCAAUGGUCCUAGUGCUGCCACGUGUAAGAAGAUUGAAGAAUAAAGCUGUUGAGAUAUUGUUAGACCUGUUAUGCAGUUUAGGAAAACUGUUAGUAUUGAUAAGAGAAGGUUAGAGAUGUUAGAGAGGUUAGAAAACACGUGAACAAGGCUUUAACUCAGCUGAUAUAAAGUCUGUAGUUGUGCUCAGUUGAACUUAAUGAGAAAUACAACAAGUCUCUUCUCUAUCUCUGAAAUUCUCUCUGCUCUCUCUGCUUUACUUCUUUUGUCUCUGCUCUACAUUUUUUUUCAAUCUUCCUAUCUUAACAAAACUAUCAAGAAUUAAUGCAUCCAGAAACAUAUAUACCAAGACGCAAAACAACAUAUUUUUCAUGCUCUGUCUGUAACACCAAAGCAAACUUCCUUUAUCACAAAAGGAUCAAAUUCCAGUACUAAUCUAAUCCAUCAUGUAAAGCAUACAAUCUACAAGUGCCUCCCUUAAUUUGUCCAUUGGAUAUAUAUGUCACUUUUUGGUAAUUUGGUAUAGCAGCACCACGUAGUCUUGAAAUAGUAGUGCGGCUAUACCAAAUAUACCAUUUGCCCCUGCAUUUAACAGAAAAGUAAACAAAAUUGACGGUAGAACUAUUUGUCCUAACGAAACUGCAGUUGAAAGACCAUGAGAACGAUUUUGAAAAUUGAGGGACUCAAAUGAAAAUUGGGUCUAAGUUCAAGAACCAAUAAAACGAUUAACCCAUAGAUUUUGGAUCCAGUACCACAUCCCAAAGAGAAAACCACAAGUUUGCAAGCAAGUUUGUCCAUAAUAACACUACGUACAGUAUGGGCAGUGCGCUAGACUCAUCUCACUUUCUCAACCUAUCCUAUAGUUGUCUAAAAGAGUUUCUAAUUUAAUGUACUGAGAUUUACGAAAGAAAUAUCAGAGAAACAAUUUUCAGGCAAUAAAAAAAUGUCUUGGCAAGAAAAUGUACAAUUUGUUACAUAACUUAUUAAAUAUGAACAGUUGAAAGAAAAAAGAAUCUGGAUGAGGGAUUUGCAAAUUCCUAUGGCCCAAUUACCUUUUUUUCUUUGUUGUUUUUUUUUUUUUUUUUUUGGUUCUUUUGAUCCAGUAGCAUAUUCCAAAGAAUGAAAACCACAGGCAUGCAAUGCAAGCUCUUUUCCCACGUUUUCCUCUGUUUUUCUCCUAUCAUGGAAGUGAUUAAAACACACCUCUAAGCUUGUUUUGCGUUUGGUAGCCGAGUGUAAAAGCUCAAUGCAAGAUAGUUUGAGGUAGAAUUUUCUCCUAUUUUAUUAGGACAAUGAUAAUUAAAAAAAAGUGUGAUUCAUUGAAUAUUUGCGGGGUUUUGUUCAGACCUGACAAAGUUCUAAGUCAACACAUCAAAUUCCUUUUUCCAACAUGCAACAAUUGUAUUUGAUUCCCAAUUUUUUCUGAUAUACAUCACAUCAUGCCACUUGCAUCAAAUGAAUUUAAUUGAGUGAGGCAAUGGGAAGUAAUUAAGCUCUGUAUUCGUGGGUGGAGUGUUACUUCUGGAACCCUAAUAAUUCGUCCCUACAGGACUCUAGAACUCUCAAACUUCUUACAAGGACUACUUAACUCUAUAGCUUAAUGCAUAUAGCAUAUAUAUGCAAACACAAUUAGAAAUUCUACAACAGAAGCAAGAUCAAUCUCACUAUGCCUUCUAAACAAACAAACAAAUAAAACAAGCAUAUUAAUUGCUUUAAUCACUCUACUAACAUCAACACAGCACACUUAGUUUACUAACAGAUGAUAUAGAAAGGAAAAAAAAGGACCAAUAGGGAGAAAAUGGUGAACUAAGGAGAGACUAAUACUUCUGGUCCUUAGAAGGCAUAACAGAAAUAAUAGAGCACACUGCUUGAAUGCAAGUCAGUAUUAGGAGCAAAACAGCUGCAAUGAAAGAAAUAGUUGCCCAAGGUGUAUUGAAAUAAUGUUGCCUCAAAUUUGCCUUCCAUUUGUUCCAAGGCUUUCUGCAGUAGCUAUUAAGGCGCUCAGAAAGAAUAGCAAAGUAGAAGCUUUCACGAUACACUGCAAUUCCUUUUCCGAGGUUGUUAAUCAGAGUGCACACCUCAUUGUAGUCACCAAGCAUAUUUUUGACAAUCCCAUCCUUCAGAAGGAACUCCACAUCCUUUUCGGUGUUCACAAACUCAUCCAUGAGUGAAACAUAAUCACUUAUGUAAUUCUUACGGCAAUGGCACUAUUCAAAGGCAAUGAGGUUACGGAGUGUGAGCUCUGUGUAAUCGUGUAUUUUUAGUUUUGGAAUUUCUAGAAUCCCAUCGUUGAAUUGUGUUAACGCAGCUUUCCUUUCCUAGCCUACACGGAAGUCAACUUCACAAUCUCCUCCUAGCAAUUAGUCUUUCCUGCUGUAAAUCAGAUUUCCUACUGUAAAUCGGAUUGUAUUCAUGUCUAUAUUAUUUCCUACUUUAAGUAGAUAUCUUGUACUAGUAUAAAUAGGGACUUUGUGUAAUCUGUUAAAUACAAGGAAAUAUAUACUCUGCAUGGUAUCAGCCUAACCUAGGGUUCUCUCUCUCUCCCUUAUUCGAUCCUCUUCUCCUUUAGGUCCACCUCAUGGCUUUGUCUGAAUCCACCAUCUCCCUCCCAAGCCCCAACUCUUCUAUUUUAUCAAGCUUAUUGACUCCAACUAUCUUCUUUGGCUCCGCCAACUCAAACCCUUUUUAGUCGGCCAUGACCUCUGGAAAUUUAUCGAUGGCAUUCAUAAACAACCUUCUGCCCACACCUCCACCUCUACCACCGCAACACCCACAACCACCACCACUCUUACCCAAAUCAAUCAUGCCCAUGCUCAGUGGUACCAACAAGACCAACUCAUUGUUAGCUACAUCACCAAUACACUCUCUGAGUCCAUUCUCUUUCUCACUGUUGGUUGCACCUCUGCCCGGGAUCUCUGGGAGUGUCUCCAACGCCACUUCUCUCAAUCCAGUAUGGCCAGUGAAUCUACUCUUCGUUUUAAACUCAUGGAUUUGCAAAAAGGCUCUGAACCCACUUAUGCUUACAUUCGUCAUGCUAAGUCCUUUGCCGAUUCACUGGCUGCCAUCAAUGAACCUGUCUCCCCAAAAGAACUUGUCACUACUGUGCUUUGGGGUUUAAGACCCUAUUGCAACAUCCUCGUCACAGCAAUUCUCAAUUUCCCUCUGCUUCCUAACUUUGCUAAUCUUCGUGCUCGUUUGUUAGCAUUUGACGCACAGACUCCUUGAAUCUCUCCUGAUCAAAACACAGCGCAAAUGGCCACCCAAUCCUCUCCUCACACCACCGGUCAUACUUCCUUCCCUUCUCACCGUGGUGGUGGCUCUUCCAACAACAGGCGUGGUGGCCUCGGUGGCUGGCGCAAUAGCGGCCGGGGUGGCUGGCGCAGCUUCUCAUCUUCCUGGAGCAACCCGUGGAAUGGCUUCCAGCAGCUCCAAUGACCUAAUCAACCAUGGCCUCCUUUUGCUCCAAGUUCUGGAUCUCAAAGCAACUGGCCUUCCUUUCAGCCUCCUUGGGCCUAAUCUGCCGCUUCUAUCAAACACUUUGCCCGGCCCAACUCAGCUCCUGGUGUCUUGGGACCCGCUUGGUGCACUACCUGCAAUACCAAUCACAUACUACUACAAUAUGUCCUCAUCGCUACAAUGGCCCAGAAUCCUUUCUUUGCUAGGGCUCAAUUCAUGUAGCCACCUGACUCUACUUGGUACCCUGACACAAGUACCACUCAUCAUAUGAUUGGUAGUCCUUCUAAUCUCCAAAAUCAAUCCUUCUAAUCUCCAAAAUCAACAGCCAUAUCAGGUUCAUAAUUCUGUAUUUCUUGGUAAUGGAGAUUCUCUCCCUAUCUCUCAUACUAGCUCUCUCUUUUGUCUUCCAUCUCUUCGUACUAAUCUUCUUUUUGUUGCCCAUUUUACUUGUGAUAAUUUAGUUUUCUUUGUCUUUACUCUUGACUUUUAUCAAAUCUAUGACUUAUGUACUGGUUCGUUACUCUUUCAGGGCCCUUCUAAAGAUGGUCUUUACCCACUUUCCAUCUCCUCUCACUCAUCCAUAGUCCCCCAUGCCCUUACCACCGUGCACUCUCCUGCUUGGCAUCAUUGCCUUGGCCAUCCAUUCCAUCGUGUGCUCUCUCAUUUAGCGCCAUCUCUAGGCUUUAAAGUUUCUCAUGCUUUCUGUAAGGAUUGUGCACUUAGCAAAUCCACCAAACUGUCAUUUCUUAGUAAUAAAACCUUUGCCCCAUCUCCCUUUUAUUUAAUUCACUCUGAUGUAUGGAUGUCCUCGGUCAUUUCUGUCACUGGUUAUCGCUAUUAUGUCUUGUUUACAGAUGACUUUUCUCGUUACUCCUGGAUCUAUCAUAUGCACCGUAAAAAUGAGGUCUUUUCUCACUUUCAAACCUUUCUUGCUAUGGUUAAAAAUCAAUUUCACACCACUGUACAAAUUCUUUAAAGUGACAAUGGCACUGAAUAUGUUAAUAAUGCUUUCUCUGAUCUUUGCAGUCAACUAGGCAUCCACCAACGUUUCACAUGUCCCCACACUCCCCAACAAAAUGGCCUAGCUGAACAUAAACACAGACACAUUGCCACCAUGAUCUGUCCCCGGUCAUUUAUUCAACCAUCUUGACCUUUUGCUUGAUCAUUUUCCACAAGCAACCGUCCACGUACCCCAAUAAUUUAAAAGGGCUGAUGAUCUUUAAUUUGGUGAAAGCUUCUAUCUACCUACCGUGCUAUAUAUGAGCUAUGCAAUCGUGACCGUGUUACAUGACGUCCCAAUGUCGUAGGGAUAAAAAAAUAAUAGUCAUGGUUUUCUUAUUAAUGUCAAUACAUUCAUAGCAAAGAGCUUGUAGCUCUAGUGGUUAAGAGCAAUUACCCAUGCACUUGAGAUAUUUUGUGUUUAAAUCCCCUCUUCCCCAAUAUUUCUUGUAUAAAAAUAAAAAUAACAAUAAUAAUGACAUUAAUGUUGUAUUCUAUAAAGUGUUGGACAUGUUUUAUACCCCUUUCUUGCAAAUUACAGUUUGCCACGUGUACAAAAAUAAUAGAUAAGUGUUGGACAUCAAGAGCACUUACAUAUAGGUUUAAUAGGUAAGUUUUGAAUAUUUCUGUAUUUAGCUUUAAAUAUUGAAAAUCAACCUAUUAGCAUAUUAAAGAUUUGUCCAUAUUCGACGUACAUUCUCUUAUUUUUCUCUCAUUGAAGUAAAUACAAAACUAAGCACAUAGUGGGAAAGUGCGUCACGAUUAGGGGUGGGUUUAGUCUAGGUUGGUUCAUUUUUGGGCUCAAUUUGAACACCGAACUGUAAGCUUCGGUUUGGCUAUUUUGGAAACCGAAACCAAACCAUAAUUGAUGAAAACCGACCACUUCGAUUACCUUCUGGUCUUCCAACCAGAAGAAAACUCAAAACUUUAACCAUACCAAGUGCAACAGAAUUACACCAGGCUGGAUUCAAGUUUAUGAUGGUUAAAGAUAAAAACUUAUUUGACAUACAAUUUGAGAAUGGAAUCCUCAAAAUUCCACACCUGCGAAUACGGGGUUUAACAGAAAUUUUCUUCCGCAAUCUUAUUGCCUAUGAGCAGUGUGAGCUUCAUGAUCAUUACAUCAACGACUAUGUCUUCAUCAUGGACCGCCUGGUCGACAGUGCCAGGGAUGUGGAAUUGCUUGUGAAGAGUGGAAUUCUUGAAUCUAUGCUACCGGACAGCGAGGCAGCAGGGGAAUUUAUUAAUUCUCUUGACUUGGGGCCUAUUUUAGGCAAGCUUGAAACAAGACUAUUUCAGUUCACCAUGGGCUGGCCUGUCUAUUAUUGUAGCCGCUAUACUAGUUGUGCUCACAUUUAUUCAAACAGUGUGCUCCGUAAUGGCGCUGUAGGUUCUUCAUUUCCUCAAUUUCAUGUUUAGUGGUUGCAGAUUUGUUGCUCAUGUACGUGUUUAUCUAAAGUUAAAUAAGAGUGAUUGACUGGAUUGACUGUUAGUCUGUUAGUUUGUUUUUCUGGGGUUUUUCCCCCCUGUUCGUCAAAAAAAAAAAUAAAAGAGUGAUGGCUUGUGCCUAUGAAAAUUACUUAGGAGUAUGCUCCACAGAGCCAAAAUAAAUAAACUAGGGAAGUGGAGGUUCUUCUGUUUGUAUAUAAAUGAGCAAUUCAAACUCUCAGUGCCAAGGGAGUUACCCUUGAUACAUUUGUUAAAAAUUAUAUAUUUGGUCUUACAUCAAACAAAUAAUUUGAAGGGCUUUUUUGACAACUGCUGACAGCGUUUGGCAGAAAAGUUUAGAAGCGCUUCUACGCUUCUAGAUCAUAAAAGUGCUUUACCAAAAAGCACUUAGAUUUCUUAUGAAAAUUUCAACAUUUUUAUAAUAAAAGCGCUUGCUAGAAGCACUUAUAAGCAGAAGUGCUUCAUAGAGAAGCAGUCCCAAACGAGCUUGAUUUUCAAAUGUGCUGCUUAAGAAGAAAUUUAAUACGUUUUGAAAACAAAAAAAAAUACGAAAUUUAAUACGUUUGUUUUACAAAUUGUAUUAAUUGUUAUCAAUAAUACUUGUGCACACCCACAACAUACUUCUUUCUUUCUUUAUUUUCCUUCAGUACAGUUCUGCCUUUCUUUAAUUAUUUUUAACGAAUGCAAAGAGUUUGUCACAAAAUCAAGGAUUGAAAAAAAAAGAGAGUAAAUUAUGUGCUAGAGAAACUUUCCUGCAGAAAUUGAAGAACAACUCUAGUUUCUCUCUUUCGCCUUGUACUCCCGCACUGAGGUUAGUAUUGUUAUAAUGUGCAGAUUAUACGGUCACUCUUGUAUAAUGGCGAGAAGGCUCUAAUUAUAUUUUUGAACCUCUUUGACAGGACCCGCCCCGAAUUUCCCGAAACCCAAGACGAAUUCUGUGGAAAUUCCCUACAUCACCCCGAUGUUGGGCCCACUUCUAAAACUAUAUCAUUUUUCCUAAAAAGGAAUAAGGGCACGAGACUUUCUACCGAAAUUUCGGCAGAGUCUCUCCUGUAAAUUGAACAUUUCCCAAAAUUUCAACCUGCAUAAAACACAUUUUAUAUUACCCAACUGGCAGCAUGCACAAAAUAAUAACAUGCAAUUCACAUAAACGGCCUCUGGCCCUCCGGUAAUUCAGAGCAAUGCAAACUAGCAACUCUAAACCUAAUAAAACAACAUAAGUAACAUUUAGCCAGCGGCUGCACCCAGGCACUACCCUAGGCUACCUACGUACCCUUACUAAGGGAUCAAGCCACACGUAGUUCUUUCAUACAAAAUUUCCAAAUCCAUCAACAUGCAAUCAAUUACAGAAUCCCAAACAAAAUCUUUCUCAAACAUCAUUAGUUCCCAACUCAGUAUAAUAAUCCUUAAUUCAUCUCUGUAAUAAUCACAAUAUCUCCCCAUACGCCGGAACUACCAACACCACGUAUGGAGCCUGCCUGUACGCCAGAUAACCAACGACACGUGGGACCUCAUCAUCAUAUCACAUAAUCUCCCCAUACGCCGAAACUACCAACACCACGUAUGGGGUCUGUCAACACGCCGGAUAACCUACGACGUGUGACCUCAACAUCAAAUCACAAUAUCUCCCCAUACACCGGAACUACCUACGCCACGUAUGGGGUCUGUCCACAUGCCGGAUAACCUACGACACGUGGGACCUCAUCAUCAUAUCACAUAAUAUAUUAACGAUCAAGAAAUAUCACUACGGUCAUUUAAUCCUCCUGGGAAGGUAAAACUAUCUCAGGAGACUCACGGUCAACCAAGGGUCAAACUACCUCAUACUUGGACAAACGAGCCCACGGAGCCCACAACCUCCGUUUUACUAUCCAAGAGUUCCUAUAGGUUCUACAAGGUUUAGGAUACACGGCUUGCAAGUUUGGUCAAGAUCAGACGGUCGGAUCGCUCACGAUAGGACGGUUACUGCAAACCUAGCCCUAGGGUUGGCAUUUUCGGAGUAUCCGAAACUCCGUUUUACGAUCUGUCGAAUCAUAGACGAUCCUAAGGAUUUGCAGACUAACUAUAAUAAAUUCAAGACCAUCCAACGGUCUAAACCUAUCGAACCCGGAUAACGCGCAAUAGGCAAUAUCCAAAUUGAAAUCCGAGCACACCUACGCACUCGUGAGGACUAGGAGAUUACAUCGGGACAUAGUGCCCUUUUUCUACAGUGCCCAUGAGCCGCCGCACGCACCAGCAACGCGUGGGUGCCCAAAGCGAUUAUGCAUCGCCAAAAAAUCUCAAAACCACGGCUCAAGACUCCUACCCUAGGUAUAACACCCUAUUUGGAACCACUUUUGUUCUUGGACCUACCCCAAAAACUGAUCAGAAGUGGCCGGAAUGGCUGAAAUGUAAUUCAAAAAUCAAGCUACCAACGCUCAAAAUCGAUGCAAUCCUACCCAACCAUCAACUAGAUUAUGAAGAAUGGAUAAAUUUCCAUACCUUGAUCGCCAACAAUGGCGGCCGGAGGAGAGAGAUCUGAUCCGGCGAAGUUCGAGUGAAAACGGCCAAAAAUCAUCUUUUUCAGGCGGCUGGAGGGCGACCGAUGUCAGGGAAGGGCAGGGUCGUGACGCUAAGGCUGAGCCUGUCCUUUUGGCACCGGUCCCUUCCGCAGCCGUGUCCGGUGGCUGGAGUUUCGAAGAGAGAGAGAGAGAGAGAGAGAGAGAGAGAGAGAGAAAUCUGAUUUUUAUCAAACCUUUUUGCCAAAAUUACGGUUAUGCCACUGAGGGUAUUUUGAUAGUAUCUCUCUCGUUACAACUUCGAUUCGAGCCCACCACGUGUGUACGGACUCAUCUAACUGUGUUGUACGCAACGGUAUAGUCGAAAUUCCCAAAUUAUUUCCUUGUCAAAAAGUCAACUUUAAACAUUAUAAAAUAUUUUAGGGAAAAAAUGGUAUUUUCUCUCAAUAAAUUAGUAACUAAUUUAUUUAGGACUGGGUCAUUAUACUCUUUUUCGCUUCAAUGGAUGGGAAAAAAUUUUAUGUAAUAUCCCACAUCGACCAACGAAGAGGGGGCGAUGUGUCUUAUAUGUACAUGCCCGCCUCCAUCUAGCAUAAGGCCUUUUGGAAGCUCACUGGCUUCAGAGUCAUGGGAACUCCGAAGUUAAGCGAGUUGGGGGCUAGAGCAAUCCCAGGAUGAGUAACCCACUGGGAAGUUGCUCGUGAGCUUCGAGAAACAAAACCGUGAGGGCAGAGAGAGGGGCCCAAAGCGGACAAUAAGGCCUCGUGCUAGAUGGAGGCGGGCAUGUACAUAUAAGGCACAUCACUCUCUCUCCGUUGGUCGAUGUGGAAUGUUAGAAUGGAAUUGUUACCUUUGGUGUGGAGGUGUUCUAUCAUUUGAGCAAGAAAUUCCCACAUAUUCUUCAACUAUUUUUCAAGCAUGCAUAUUCCUCCCUAUCAAUCUUUGGUUUCUUCCUUUACUGUGCAUAGUAAGGAUCCAGUCAGGGACGGACCGUCGCUAUGACUAUCCUGGGCUAUAGCCCAGGCAAAUUAUUUUUUUUUCUAGUCUAAAAUAGCAAUCCCACCGCUUGCUGUAGUACUUGUUCAGUUCGUCACAAACAUGAGCAUAAUAGAAGUUAUCAACAUCUAUAUAGGAACCCCAAUGAAAAGGCUGUUAACUAAUAAUGAAGUUAACCCGUCAAUUUUUCCGCAUAUCAGAUAUCUCUCAGAAUAUGCGAUUCCAUAUUCAAUAAGCCACUCCACAUGCCCUGAGGUUUUCAUCAAACCACCCAUUAAGGAAACAUACUGACUCAUGUAAUUAUCAUUACUCAUCGGGUAAUGCAAUUGUUCAAAGGCAAGGACAUUUCUCAUUAUUUAUGUAGCGAACCCCAAUGGAAAUGGUGGGAUCUUCAGAACCCCAUCGGUGCUACUGAAUUGUAUGUCAAAUAUGUUUUCACCUUGUCACGCCUCAAACUUGACUCCAGCGUGCUGUAAUUCUGUCAAGCUGGGUAUGGAUGAUGGGAGUUUGAUGCAGGAGCAUAGGGGUGGAUCAAGAUAGAUAUUUACUAUUUAAUUAGUUAUUUCAUGAUAUAUUGUUAUUUUCUUAUUUAGGUAGUUUUAUGAUAUCUUUUAUUAUUUAUGUGUGAUUUUAUAAUUAAUUAGUAUACUUUUGGACCAAGUAGCCUUGGUGCUCAAGUCUUGUAAAGCCUAUAAAUAAGGCUAAUGUAAUAGUUGUAGAAUAGAUGUCGAUGAUUAAUAAAAUCGUUUAUUUGUGGCAUGGAUUUGCUACGAUAUAUGUGAGUUUGCACUAGCCCUAGAUUUCAGUGCUCGUGUAUGUGGUUGGUGACCUGUGUCCGGAUCCCGAUCCCCAUCAAUUGGUAUCAGAGCUAUGGCUCAAGAUCUGCUAUAUCGGGGAGGUUUUUGGAUGGAGGGUCGUUUUAACAACUACAACGACAUGGAGGAAAUUAGGAGGAUGCUACGGCAACUUAUGGAACACAUUGCUCGCAUUGAAGCUCGAACCCAGAUAGGUAAGAGUUCUGACGGGGAGGGAUGUGUGAACCCUUAUCUGAACCGAGUAGCUCGCAUCGACACUCUAAGCCGUGAGAGUCUCGACGGGGAGUACGAGGGAGAUAGCCCUUUUCAUUAUUGUGCUCCGCUGUGUGAGUCAAGUGAAGAGGGGCACGGUUAUUCUCAUUGUGUCUUUGAAGGUAUAAAUGAAUUUAGUAAUUUUGGUGCAUCUUGUUAUUCAUCAAAGUUAUUAAAUUUGGAUUUACCUCCAUUAUUUGAUCCUUGCAAUUGUGAAAAUUGCAAUAAAAAUUGUUUGGGUGUUCAAAGCAAUUUUGAUAAGCAAUUUAUUGACCAGAACAGUGAAGAGAUGAGAAUUGAGAAAACUUUCGAAGAUAUUAUUGAUUUUAUGGGCAUUAAUAUUUUCACUUGGAAGGUUGCCAAAAAUCUGGUUGAUUUUGUCAAUCGGUUGAAGAUUCUAGAGAGAAACAUUUGCAUUGCUAGAGGGAGUAAGAAGUCAAGAAUAACGAAAUAUUCCAAAUAUCUUUUUAUUUGGAAAGGAAGGUUUCAAUUGGAUGCUAAAAGAUCCAAAAUUAAUAUGCAGCAAUUGAAGAUUCUACUCGGAUUUUCCUUAAUCAAAGGCUUGAAUUCGAGGACGAAUUCUUUCCAACUAUGGGAGUCUGAUGCAGGAGCAUAGGGGUGGAUCAAGAUAGAUAUUUACUAUUUAAUUUGUUAUUUCAUGAUAUAUUGUUAUUUUCUUAUUUAGGUAGUUUUAUGAUAUCUUUUAUUAUUUAUGUGUGAUUUUAUAAUUAAUUAGUUUACUUUUGGACCAAGUAGCCUUGGUGCUCAAGUCUUGUAAAGCCUAUAAAUAAGGCUAAUGUAAUAGUUGUAGAAUAGAUGUCGAUGAUUAAUAAAAUCGUUUAUUUGUGGCAUGGAUUUGCUACAAUAUAUGUGAGUUUGCACUAACCCUUGAUUUCGGUGCUCGUGUAUGUGGUUGGUGACCUGUGUCCGGAUCCCGAUCCCCAUCAGAGUUCCCCUCCAGCUUUUGAUUCCAACGGUUGAUAGAGUUUAAAUAUUUUCCUGAAAAGAUCAAUAAUAUGUGCCACUGAUCUAAAAGUCUCCAAAUUGUCUUCCAAUUUGUCAACAGGCAAUAGAUGUUCGAAGAAACUGAAAGAAAUACAAAUUAUUGAAAGCCCCUCAGUAAUGCUGUUAUUGUCAGCAUUAGCAGGGAGUGUAAUUUUCUGUGGGUCGAAAAGAUCCUCGAGAAUGAAGAAUGGCAACUGAUUUUCAAGCAACCACGUAUCUGUCCAUGCAUCUUGCAACAUACCUGGUUUGUCAAAUAUGCGGUCAUUUUCGUCCCAAAAUUUGAAGUAGUCCUUCAAUAAGGGCUCAAUAACGAAGGCGGCGCCCACUAGAAUGAUUGUUACAAAUUCAUCACUGCUAAACUUGAUGGGUUCUCCAUAACAACGUCUCAAUCUUGCUUCGUGGUCCUUUAUUUUCUUAAUAUAAUCCUCCAAACUCACAUUGGUCCGACCUAUAAAAUCUUGCAGGUAUCUCUGUUUGUUCUCUUCCAAUACGACAUUCAAGCCUUCCUUUCCAUGGUGAAGUGGACCUAUAGAGACCGACUGCCUGAGGUGUGCAGAGCUUUUCAUUCACACAUACGUAGAUAAAAUGUCUGGGGGCUCAGAGAGUGAUGAAUGUGCAACAGCUAAUGGGAGGGUUUAUAUUCCUGAAGUAAGAAAUGAGGAAACACCAGCAGUUGGGAUGAAGUUUGACUCGCUUGACCUCGUUUACAAUUUCUAUAAUAGAUAUGCAUUCUUGGCUGGCUUUGGUAUUCGACUUCAUUCUAGCUUUUGGGGGAAAAAUAAGAAAGAGAUUUUGAGGAAAGAAUUUGUAUGUUGCAAACAAGGUGCAUACAAGAAGGAUGAAACUCGGGAGAGAAAAAGACAACGGGGAAUAAGUAGAUGCAAUUGCAAAGCAAAGAUUGUGGUUGUGAAGACAAAUGGGAGCAAGAAGUAUACCAUUUCUCUUUUUGCAGAGGGACACAAUCAUAAGAUGACACCCUCAGAAAGAAUGCAUUUAUUGAGAUCACACCGUCAUAUUUCAGAUUCUACAAAAGUACUCACAAAACAGUUGGGUUCAGUUAAUAUUCCCAUUCAUCAGAAGGUAAGUAUAUUCGAGGUGCAAUCCGGAGGAAUGGAUAAAAUCGGUUUUAUCAAAAAAGAUAUCUACAAUCUUGAAUGUAGUGUGAAUGGGAAGCUGAGGAACCACGAUGUUGAACUAGUGACCGAGUAUUUUAUGGCUGAACAGAAAAAAAAUGAGGCUUUUUAUUUCAAGAUUGAGGGAGAUGGGCAUGACAGGUUUAGUCGAUGUUUUUGGGCAGAUGCAACUUCUAGACGGGCGUAUGGGUUUUAUGGAGAUGUUGUUGUAUUCGAUACCACAUUCAACACGAAUCGAUACGACUUGACAUUUGCACCAAUGUUGGGAGUUAAUAACCAUGGUCAGACAAUUGUCUUAGCAUGCGCAUUUUUGAGCAAGGAAACGACUGAGUCGUUUGUUUGGAUGUUUGAGGAGUUUAAGAAAGCCAUGCCAGGUGGGGAACCUAAAACGAUCAUUACAGAUCAAGAUGCGGCAAUGGCCAUAGCGAUUUCAAUAGCCUUCCCGAGUACAUUUCAUCGACUUUGCAUAUGGCACAUCACAUCAAAGUUCUCUGUUAAGUUACCACGUGACGCUUAUAAGGAGUAUUGGCCUGAAUUUCAGAAAGCCAUAUGGGAUACUGACAAUAAGGAUGAGUUUGAUGCAAAAUGGAAUAUUGUGGUUAUAAAGGCUGGUUUGACUGACCAUCCAUGGCUAAGUUCAAUGUUUGAUUUAAGGGAAUCUUGGGUUCCAGCCUACGCACGACAAUUUUUUGCCGCUGGAAUGUCAAGCAGCCAAAGAGCGGAAGGUUCUCAUGGUUUUUUCAAGCAAUACAUAUCAAGGAGAAAUUCGUUGAUGGAUUUCAUAAUACGAUUUGAGAGGGCAUUUUCUCAUCAACGUGAAAAAGAGUUAGUUGCUGAUCACGUAGAUGCAUUUGAAGUGGCUCAAUGUCUUCUACCGAUGCCAAUGAACAAACAAAUGGCUACCUUGUACACAAGGACAAUGUUUCAAAAGUUUGAGCAAGAACUAAUACAAAGUACAGCAUGUUUCCUAGAGCUCAAAACAGAGGAUGCAUGUAAAGUUGUGUUCAACGUGAGCGAAAGGAAAAAUUGGGAAACAAGAGUGGCAGAAGUCGUAUAUGUCAAAGAUUCUGACCACGCAUCGUGUAGCUGCAAAAGAUUUGAAUUUGUUGGAAUUAUUUGCAAGCACAUCCUAGCAUUGUUCAGAAGGGACCAGAUUGAAUAUAUGCCCGAUAAAUAUAUUUUGAAGAGGUGGAAGAAAACUGCGAAAUGUGGAUUGGUGUCAGAUGCAAAUGGCAACGAAAUUAAAGACUGUGCAGAUCCUGGCCUUCUAAUAAAGCGGAGUACAAUGUCUCGACUUGCUUCAAAUGUGGUUGAGGAUGCAUUAAUGAGUGAAGAAGGAUGUGAGCUACUGUCAGAGACUCUAAAAAGUUUGCAGGUGAAGUUGAAGUUGCUGAAGGAUGGACCAAGUAAUAACGAAGUUGGAGGGUCCAGCUCUCAAACACAAUAUAUGAAAGACCCUAAGAGAGUGAGGUGCAAAGGAAGGUCGAAAGGAAUAACGGGAGCAAAGGAAAAGGCAAUGAAGCGAGGGAUUAGACACUGUCGGGAGUGUGGACACAUUGGUCAUGAUAGAAGACAAUGCCCAGCCUUGAACACACCGUAAGAUGCUACCACUAUUUGUAAUAAUAUCUAAAAUAUGAAAAGGUAAAAUUUUUAUGUGCUUGUGUUUGAUGUUUAUGCAGGACAUCACCGUCGAACAAUGACAAAUCAACUCCAAUACAUCGUAGUGACCCAUUAUUCGACGAUUUUGACAAGAUGCACAGACCAACUGAAUGAUUGAUAUUUGUAUUAGACGAAAUGUGGUUGUUAUGAAGAUUAAUGAUCAAGUGAAGUUUUAUAGAUUCAGUUUUUGAAUGUUAUUGUGUUUUUGUUCAUGUCCACCGAUGAGCUCUUACUAUGUCCACUGGUAAUUGAAAUGAAAAUUUUCUUGGUUUCAUUCUUCCAAGACAUUUGGAGACAUGUUAAUUUUACGUCUUCUCCCUAUUUAUAAAUUUUCAUAGACAUUUGAUCAAGUUUGAAAUUUGUAGUUAUGUGAAGAAGCAAUGACUCUUACCAUGUAAAAUGGGCAGUUUAGGGUGAAAUUUGUUUUAACAGAGAUUCAUUUUUCAAUUCCUCAGGGUAAUGCAGCAAUUACAGCAGCCAGCUGUUGUUUCCAUUACCAGUAAUCAUUUCCAGCAGCAGCCACUUUUUCCGACUGGUUAUUAGGGGCACGAUUUUGUACACUUUUGUAAGUGAAGGAUACUCGAAGCACUUUGUUGGAACAGAGCAAAUAGAAACCAGCGGGUAAAAAAAAAACAUAACAUUGCAGCUAAUUACAUUUCGAUACAUAGGUGAAAAAUAUUAAAGGGUACACUAACUUACAUAAAUACUCAUAAUUCCACACACAAAAGAACAUUUGAUUGCAAAACAUAUUAUGUGCUUCCUCAUAGCAAUACCACGAUCUCCCCAACCAACUGAACAACGGUAGCCACAAUCACUGGGUCGUACUCGUCAGCUUCUUCUUAGCAGGUCUCACAUGCUUAUGGCCACUCAUAUCCCUAGUGAUAUACACGAAAUAAAUCUUCAGCAAUAUUUGGAAUUUUAUUAUAUAUAAAUAAACCAUAAACCAUUCAGUAAACAAUGUAUAGCACAUGUUAUGUAACUUAUGACUCACGUGUCAGUUUUUUUUUUAACACAUUAGUACUCCAGCUCUUUAAUGUAAAUGGACAUGAUAAGGAGCAUUUACUGAUUCCCGGCUUUCUAUGAUAUUGACUGCUUCUUGAAUAAUAUUUCCAUAUUUGCAAAAUAUAAUGUUAGACAUUAUAACACAUGAUGACUUGCAAUACAUAGUCCCAAUAAUUAUAUAUCAAGCAAAUGAAACUGAUAUUUGUGUUAUUUUAAGUUAGAUAAUGACAUUAAGGGAGUAUAUGUGCAAUACCACGGUCACCCUCAACCAACUGAACAGCGGUAGCCGCAAUCACUUAGUCGUAUCGGUCGGCUUCUUCCGAGCAGCUUUGACGUGCUUAUGCUCAUUCAUGUCACCCCCAUCGUCUAGUAUCUCUCUCACAGCAUCAGGGGACACAUAGUUCCAAUCAUAACUUGUAUGAGUAGUUGCCGCAAAUGCUCGGAAUUUGUCGAAUCCUUCGUUGAAUGCCAACUCCAGUUCAGUAUGGUGCUCUUCGCAUCGCAUAUGGUUCAUCAAACAACCUUUGAUUUCAUCAUUCAUUACUGUAUCCAACUCCUCAGCUUUCAGCUUCCUGCUAUGACUCAGCUUCAAGUACUUGUUCUUUUGGGAUAACGCUUUGUUCACCCUAAUGUUAAGAUCAGCCAAAAUUGCCUCGUCUUCAACACAUUUCUCGUGCCAUGAAUUGAUCAGUCUGGAAUUAUAAUCCAGCUUGCCACUGACUGCAUGUAUUGCCUGUAAUGGAUCAUCGGAGUCCCCCUCACUCCCAAAUGAUGUUGAAAAAGGAAGGGGUCGGCGAGUACAAUGUGGAAAUAGAACCUGCCACUCCAAUUUGUCAUCUUCGAUUGUGUUGUUGGCGCCUGAAGAGGUUGACAUGCUUGAAUAAUCCUCUUUGUUUUGGGAGGAUGAGGAUUGCAUAUGCAAUUUCGUUUGAGAAAGGGAACAUAGGUUUAUAGACCAACAUACCAAAGCUUGUGUGUAGUCAACAUAUGUACUUUUUGGCGGGAAUUUUUUAAAAAUAGGUGUUAGGUUUUGCUUUUCAAGCAUGUCAACCUCACACUCUCCUGACACCACUGCUAGUGGUUGAAACAAAGUCAAUGGAAGUGACAUCUACUUAGUUAACUCAACCAAACUAGUUAGGAUUAAACUUAGAUUGUAUCAGACCAAAAAAUAAUUUCUACUUUGUCAACCAAAUAUUUUUUGGCGGGAACCCUUUUCUUGGUAUUACUAUCACCCCUUUCAUAUAAAAUCUCCUUCCACACAAAACUCACUCCUCCACCGAAUCUGUCUCCAUCUACCGAUACUCUCUCAAGCAAACAAACUCAUUCCCCCCAAAGAAUGAGCAUAAGCACAACCAAGUUUGAUGUGAGCAUAAUAAACACCCCUCCAAACAAAGACCGGCUUCGACACGCAAGUGAGUCACCGGACAAGCAAUGUCACAUUGCUAGACAGAAUGACCAUUUUGUUGGAAGUUUUGAGUCUGAAAGAGUUGUUGCUUUUUGGAAGGAGAGGCAUCUUCAACUUGGUGAUGAAAUCCAAAGGGCAAGGGCACGUUUGGAAUUUGUGGAAGGCCAAAUUGAAGAUGACAAAAGGCAGGCCAAUCUGGAUAGGGCGAAGUUGUAGCGCAUGAAGCGUAGACACAAACGACUUCGGAGUGUAGCUGUUCAAAAAUACAAGAACUCAUCUAAUGUAGUGGAGUCAAAGAAGCGUGUGAUGCAAGCUGGAUUCGACUACUUCCGAUCCUAUGCAAAACUCGUCGUACCCGGGUUUGAUUGGUCAUCUAUUACCGUUUCCGACGUCACCAAAUAUACUCAGCAAGGGAAGUAACCAUUUUGGUUCUCGUGUUUUAGCAGAGGCAAAUAAGUGGAAUUGGAAUUUUGGUUACACUCUGCUUCAAAGCUAUUUUGAUGCUAACUACUAUGGAAGAUUUAAACCUUAAUAUUUUGAUGUCUUUAAUUACGAAAACAGAAGAUGCAAAGAGCUCAUCUACUUCAGCCAUAUGUUGCUGCCAUGUCCAUUUGUUUUUGAUCACUUAUCAGAUUUGGACAUGGUUGCAUCAUAUGCAAUGUUGCCUUUAUUUAUUAUAUGUUAGGACAAGGUUUAUGGAAAAGCUUUUGUGAGUGCGUUUGUGACAAGGUUAUGGAAUUAUUAUGUACACUUUAUAUAUUGUUUUUUGUACUGGUUCAUUUCCUACUAUUUCUUGCUUUCUUUAUAUUUUAUGUUUGUGGAAUCCCUCUCAAAGUUAACAUAUACUGUGAAAAAAAUAUUAUGCAACUGAUUAUAUAAUCACUCAUAUAGACUAGGACAAAUAUUCACUAAGGGUUUUAAACUUGCUUCACUUGUGUGAUGUUAUUGACAAAAAGUAUGGCAUUAUUUAUGUGAUUUGACAUGAUUGAAAAUAUAUUACUGAUUCCCAAUGCGGCGUCAUAUGGACAACGUAUUGAAUACCUGUGACGUGUUAAUAACUCAAGGUGCAGUUGCAUGUGGACAACUUCUUGAAUACCUCUGACGUGUUGAAAACUCUAGGUGCAGUUGCAUGUGGACAACUUAUUGAAUACGAACUGACGUCUUCAAAGCUCUAGGCGUAGUUGCAAUGAUGGCUUCAAAGCAUGUGCAAUUAUUUUUUAUGUACAUUAUUAUAACAAAACAUAUUAUUGUAUAUAGUGAAACUAAAUAUUGUAUUAUUAGAAAUUAUAUUUCGAAUAUUAUCCGAAAUAUACGUGUUAACGUGAAUUUGGGUUAAGAGGAAAGUGAGUUAUGUACAAAUAAUUUUCAUUUUCUCAUUUUCCGGGCAUUUUUUGGAUUUUCGUAGAAUUUAUUACCUAUGUCCACAGAUUGUUGCACUAAAAAAGCCAAAAUAAUAGCAAGAGGACACCUGGAGCGAUCUCAGCCCGUCACUGAUGACUACUUGCACAAGUGUACGUCAGUCAACAUGGCCACACCCUCCCAUUUUACCCUAAAUUAUUAUUUUAUUACUUUUCCUUACAAAAAUCAGAACUAAUUACACACAAAAUAAAAAAAUUAUCCGAAAAUUGCUACGAACUCAUUGACACUCCAUCUCCGUUGCUGAAUUCUCCGAUUCAUUGUUACGUAUUUGUAAAAUUAAUUCCCAACAUUAACGGGAGAUGCUUGUUGAAGUAGGUUAUUCAAGUUGAAGUUAACAAACAUCAAUACUUAGGGUUAAGAGGAAAGUGAGUUAUGUAACACAAUUUGGAUUAUUUCAUUGCGAGACGAAUGAUUUAUAGGUUCUCCUAGUUUUAUGACGUCACAAGUAGGCCGGAGUAAUUUUUGGGGCAUUUUUACGAUUUUCCUACUAUUUUUUACCUAGUUUCAAAGAUUUUUGAACAAAAGAAUCCAAAAUGUAAAAGAAGAUGACACCUGGCGCGAUCUCAGCCCGUCACUUUUCACUACUUGCACAAGUGUACGUCAGUCAACAUGGCCACAUCCUCUCAUUUUACCCUAAAUUAUUAUUUUAUUACGUUUUGUCUUGGAAAAUUCAUAACUAAAUACACAAAAAUUCAAAAUUAUUUCUGAAAAUUGCUACGAACUCAUUGACACUCCAUCUCCGUUGCUGAAUUCUCCGAUUCAUUGUUACGCAUUUUUAAAAUUAAUUCCCAACAUUAACGGGAGAUGCUUGUUGAAGUAGGUUAUUCAAGUUGAAGUUAACAAACAUCAAUACUUAGGGUUAAGAGGAAAGUGAGUUAUGUAACACAAUUUGGAUUAUUUCAUUGUGAGACGAAUGAUUUAUAGGUUCUCCUAGUUUUAUGACGUCACAAGUAGGCCGGAGUAAUUUUUGGGCCAUUUUUACGAUUUUCCUACUAUUUAUUACCUAGUUUCAAAGAUUUUUGAACAAAAGAAUCCAAAAUUAACAAGAAUAUGACACCUGGCGCGAUCUCAGCCAGUCACUUUUGACUACUUGCACAAGUGUACGUUACCGAACAUGGCCACAUCCUCCCAUUUUACCCUAAAUUAUUAUUUUAUUACCUUUUUUCUUGGAAAAUUCAUAACUAAAUACACAAAAAUUAGAAAAACGAUCCGAAAAUUUCUACGAACUUAUUGCGAUUUCAUCUUCCUACUGCAUUCCCUGUUUAAUGGUUAUGCUACAUUAGUAUUUUAUUAUUAUUUAUCCACAAUUAUUAUAAUUAUUAUGAUAUUACUUUUUAGGCUGUCCAUUUGUUAAUUAUACCACAUCCAACUUGUUGAAAACAAUUUUAUUUUCCGUGCGAAUAGGCCAUUUGUAGUGCUUAUCGGUUUCUCUGUUCUUCAAUUUGUUAAUUUUUUUAUUUUUUAGGUUGAAGGGAUGUUUUGAAACAUAAUAUGGAAAUAUACAAGUCAUCCAUUGUACUCCUUCCACACAAAAAAAUAGUCUACGUCAUUCACUGUUCAACACCCUAGGUUAAGACACGUGUAACCAAAUCCGUUCGGAUAUGCUAAGUGGGAAAAUGUCAUUCCCAAGCACUGGUGAAAAGACACUUAUUUACUCCAUGCAUGACUUUUGGUUUACCAAAUAUGAAGAUUGGGGUCGGUGAGCAAAAUAUCUGUGUCAGUAAAAUGUCAUUCCUAGCCAUCUAUGAUGUAAGUAAUAAUUCCGCUAUAUAAUAAAUAUUAUACAUUUAUAUAUAAAACGGUUUAUGACAAAAUACCAACAUUUGAACAACAUUUAAACUGAGAUAGGUAUAACGUAGCCAGCCAACCUAGAAGUGAAGAGAAGCAAGUCCACAAUGCAUCAAAACUGUAAAUUCGUACUAAAACUAAUGCAAAAAUACGUGAUUCCCUCGCACAACUUACUCACGCAGGAUUUUGCACCAAAAAAUACUCUCACGGUGCCAUUUGCAUCGGUUGCAGCAAGUCCAAAACGCAGGAUUUAUCUUGUCUUCACUAGGCCACCCUGGAAUAACAAAAUACCAUUCAUUGUUGUUACAAGCGCUGCACCGAUUGAACUUAAUCUUCCCAUAGUCAAACAUAUCUACGAUAUGUCUUGCAACAAAUGCUCCGCGACAUCUUCCUGUUAAAGCAUCCCUGGUUCCUUUCAUAUCAAUGUUGUUACGUUGAUUCAAAGAACACAAGAAUUGUAAUGCAUCCUCUUUUGACUGACCAAUUCCGGACAUACCAAGUAGUCCAACUACAUAUGCCGCUUCCAUAUGGCCUGCCGUGGCUGCAAUGCGCAUCCCAUACAACGCUUCCACCUUACCGUCUGUGAAAAAACCUUCGAAUGCUUCUCUAAAUAUGGACUCAGGGUUAUCGCAAGCCCUGCAUUGUUGCAAGAAAUGCUGGACUGCAGGUUUGGCACGGUAGCAGAUAGGAUGGUGUGGGUACUUUGCCAUUGAAAUGGUGUUCCACACUUGUGGACUGUUUGCCAAAAUGUUGAACAAUCGGCACACACAUGCCAUACGGAAGAGAUCUUCCGAUGAUUCGGUUGCCACGUAUAACAUCACUUGAAACCAAGCGGACUCCGGGAUAAAGGCUUCGGGCAUAUCGAAAUGGAGAUGCUUCCUUCUCUUUCCUCCGACUGUAGUGAAGUGUUUCGAAUUCAUUGAAAAGUUUUUGGAAUGGAACGAUUUGAGGAGUGGCAGAGGGGAUAAAUGAUAAUAUUUGGGGUACACGUUCUACUUCCGAGCCUCUGUUUAUAGUGUUUUGAAAAGGUGUUUCCAGUUGGGGUUUUUCCAAGUUGACCCUUUUGAAAGAAACUGAAUCCAAGUGAAUUAAAACUUAAGACAAAAGAAGGGAAAACGUCAUAACGGUGCAUACAGAGUCAGACAGUUAAAAAGUUAAUUAAAUGGCUAUUUGCAUAGCCAUUUUUGGGUUUAUCCCACUAUCAAAUUCAUUGAUACAAAUGUGAUGGAUUACUGACUAGUGACAGAAGGUCCCAUCAUAUACUUUUUCAUUUUCGCACACCCAACUAUCCCUAGUAAUGUUAUUAAAAUGGAACCAAUAAUGACGGAUUCUUAUCCAACUAGUUGCCUUAAUGAAAUAUAAAUAAAUUAAUAAAAUUGAAGCAGUGUCCCGUCAUUAGUCAGAAAAUAUAUUUGGUAGUGAAGUAGUUUCUAUUGCUUUUCGGGCUAAAAGAUGUCACAAUGCUGACGGUACAGGUGUCGACAUCGUGACCAACCCACCAAAUGAUCCCAAAAAAAAGUAAUAUAACUCGAUUUGGGCAGAGAUGAGAGAGAGCUGAGUGACAAGUUUAGGGUUAUGAGUGAAGGGGUAUGAAUGACAACUAUGAGUGAGAAGGUAUGAGUCCGAAGAGGUUUCAGUGAGAAGAUUUGAGUGAGAAGAGGUACAACUGAGAAGAUUCAACAUGUCUUCGUCUUCAUCUCCUGCUCAAACAAAGAGGUGUCAGUAUUGUGGAGCUACAAUGGUGCUUCGGGUUUCAAAAUCUGAAAAAAAAUCGAGGGAAGCCAUUCUGGAAGUGUCUAACCUCCUAUGUAAGUUUUAAUUUAAAGAAUAUGUAUGUGGGUGAAAAAAAACCUAUGUCUAACUCUGACAGAAUUAUAUUCCAUAUAUGAUGCCUGCAAUUAGGGAGCCACCAGUUGCAAUGGAUUCGAAUGGGUUGAUGUAACCUCCGCUGAAGCAGAACAUCAAGAUGACACGUAUGAUGUUAGAGUGCUGAACAUGCUGAAGUCCAUUAAGGACUUGGUAUUAGUUUUAUUAGUUGUAUUAAUUGUCAUUUUAUUUGUUCUUUUAAUGAUCAUUUAACUGCACGGUUUAAAAGAUUGUGAAAGUUCUCUCGCACAAGACAUAUUGCACGCACCACCAAUGAGACCCUAAACCCAUUUUGUAAUAUUUGGUAACUGCAUGUAUUUCGCAUGUUAUUGAAUGUUUAUUGAAGGUUUAUUGAUAGUUUGCUGCAUGUAUAUGGAAUAUCAUUGCCCCAAAAUUGGAUGUUUAUUGGGGCCACAAGUAUCACUCAAGUAAGAAUGAAGGGGAGAAACGGACCUUAUUCUUUCUUAUAGUAGGAAGAACAACUGUUAAGUUUAAUAUCCUAUUCAAUACGACUUCCCUAUGGUUGGUGUACUUGGGGACUGAAGUAUAUUGCAUCAUUAUUGUGGGCAAGGGCAUGUCUAUUGUGUGUGUUAAGGGAGUAUUGUGUGGGCAAGGGCAUGUCUACUGUGUGUAUAUUGCAUGUCUACUGUGUGUAUAUUGCAUAUCUAUUCUCUGUAUAUGGCAGGCCAAGUUUGUGUAUAUUGUUUGUCUGUUGUGUGUGUAUUGCUUGUCGGUGCGUUUGUGAAUUGUGGUUCAUUUUGUGUAUAUUGUCUUUGUUUCUACUUUUAUGCUACUGAGCUGCGGAAAACCUCGCAUGUUUAGACACCUAUUAUGAUGCAACACAUUGCGAUUAAUGGUGGCUUGCAUCAACAAUGACAUAUCACUUUGCAAUGAUGUAAUACACUUAAAAAGCCGUCUUCAAAUCCCAAUUCACAUAUGCAGUCUUAAAAUUCUAAUUCAAUGCAGUUUGGUUAACAAACAUGUAAAUGUCAUGAAGGAGUUAGCGGUAGAAUUCGAUAAGGACCCGUACGUCUCUAUUGUGUAUUUACAUUAGUUUGAGAAUGGACAUUCCCAAAACCUUCUCAUGUACCAUUUGUCAUCUUCAACCAAUAUCAUGGGAAGUAAGCAUCUCCCCUUGUUAUCUCCGCAGCCAAUUUCAACCGAAAAAAAGGCAUGUUGUGCGAGGUGCAAGUAGCUAACGGAAGCUUAGCGCUGAAAAGCUCAAUGUACUUUAACACAAACAUGCCACAAUCGCCUCUGAAGCAAAACAAGAACUCGAUCAAUUCAACUAAUGACAUUCUAAUGUAAUUGACAAUUGAAAGUAAUAAAAUUAAAUUGCAAGUUGUGCUUACUCAUUAGACUGUUGUGGAACAUCCACACGCUCUAUUGGCCACGGACACCACCAAUCUCGGCUGCAAUUGUUUGCAUAAACACCUUCUUCAUAAAAGUCGAUGGUGUUGAGAAGAUUUGGAAGCGUAAUUGAUAGCGGGCCGAGUUCUUCCUUUACGAUGUCAUCUGGAAUUAGUGAAACCUUUGAAUCGUACACUUUGAUUCACACAAUACCAGAUCAAACANNNNNNNNNNNNNNNNNNNNNNNNNNNNNNNNNNNNNNNNNNNNNNNNNNNNNNNNNNNNNNNNNNNNNNNNNNNNNNNNNNNNNNNNNNNNNNNNNNNNNNNNNNNNNNNNNNNNNNNNNNNNNNNNNNNNNNNNNNNNNNNNNNNNNNNNNNNNNNNNNNNNNNNNNNNNNNNNNNNNNNNNNNNNNNNNNNNNNNNNNNNNNNNNNNNNNNNNNNNNNNNNNNNNNNNNNNNNNNNNNNNNNNNNNNNNNNNNNNNNNNNNNNNNNNNNNNNNNNNNNNNNNNNNNNNNNNNNNNNNNNNNNNNNNNNNNNNNNNNNNNNNNNNNNNNNNNNNNNNNNNNNNNNNNNNNNNNNNNNNNNNNNNNNNNNNNNNNNNNNNNNNNNNNNNNNNNNNNNNNNNNNNNNNNNNNNNNNNNNNNNNNNNNNNNNNNNNNNNNNNNNNNNNNNNNNNNNNNNNNNNNNNNNNNNNNNNNNNNNNNNNNNNNNNNNNNNNNNNNNNNNNNNNNNNNNNNNNNNNNNNNNNNNNNNNNNNNNNNNNNNNNNNNNNNNNNNNNNNNNNNNNNNNNNNNNNNNNNNNNNNNNNNNNNNNNNNNNNNNNNNNNNNNNNNNNNNNNNNNNNNNNNNNNNNNNNNNNNNNNNNNNNNNNNNNNNNNNNNNNNNNNNNNNNNNNNNNNNNNNNNNNNNNNNNNNNNNNNNNNNNNNNNNNNNNNNNNNNNNNNNNNNNNNNNNNNNNNNNNNNNNNNNNNNNNNNNNNNNNNNNNNNNNNNNNNNNNNNNNNNNNNNNNNNNNNNNNNNNNNNNNNNNNNNNNNNNNNNNNNNNNNNNNNNNNNNNNNNNNNNNNNNNNNNNNNNNNNNNNNNNNNNNNNNNNNNNNNNNNNNNNNNNNNNNNNNNNNNNNNNNNNNNNNNNNNNNNNNNNNNNNNNNNNNNNNNNNNNNNNNNNNNNNNNNNNNNNNNNNNNNNNNNNNNNNNNNNNNNNNNNNNNNNNNNNNNNNNNNNNNNNNNNNNNNNNNNNNNNNNNNNNNNNNNNNNNNNNNNNNNNNNNNNNNNNNNNNNNNNNNNNNNNNNNNNNNNNNNNNNNNNNNNNNNNNNNNNNNNNNNNNNNNNNNNNNNNNNNNNNNNNNNNNNNNNNNNNNNNNNNNNNNNNNNNNNNNNNNNNNNNNNNNNNNNNNNNNNNNNNNNNNNNNNNNNNNNNNNUUUUCCUCUCCCUCAUCUCUAUUAUUUGGCCCUUCACCCCCUUCAAUCCCUUCAUCUUCUUUUUCCUCUCCCUCAUUUCUGUUACUUGGCCCUUCAUCCCAUUGAAUGUCAUCCAUUUCCCCAUAUCCCUUAAAUAGAUGUGAGACGACACAACGAUUCGUCCUCUGUUUCAGUAAAGCUAGGUCCCUCCUUACUUCCUGCUCAAACUGAGGACCUAAACAUUGGUCCAAUAGUUUUUCCAUCCGUAUGACCUUUAAGUGAAGGACGUCUUUUUCCCGCUUUUCUUGAAACAACUCGGACCUCAACAAGCUUACCACCUUGUUCAACUCAUCAAGAUCACCACAUGAAGAAGGAAUUGACUCUGCCGAGACAACAGCAGGGCGAUCCUGUGGCCAACUCCAAUAUGGCUGUCUCAUUUCCUCUUCACUUAGACAUAGCGCCCGCAACUGAACUGACUGUUUCAGAAUACAGACAAGAGUCAUAUUAAAUCAUUCUACUUCAUAAUUUCAUUCAAUCUUAUCAAUAGUUCUAAGGGCUGCAAACCAAACCUCUUUGCUCUGGAAAAAAUAAUUGUUCAACUUUCUCAUCUCUGGAACAGACGUAGUAGUUCUCCAUCGCAAAAUACGCGGGACAGCGGUCGGAUCAACAACCUUGCAGUAAUUCAGGUCCGCCAUUCUAGGAAUUAAUUCAUAUACCCAAAUCUACACAAUUCACAGGACAAAAGUCAUUAUUUAUGUUUUAAAGAAAAACAAAACAUAACUGACAUGAACAUUAUUACCAUGUACCUGGAAAGCAUACGUGAAACCUUUAAAACUCCAGCCACUCCUUUGCGCUUCACUAUGCUUAUCCUUCUUGCCCUUCUCAUUUCUCCGGCUUGUUCCCGUUACCUUACUUUUCCCCUUCCCUCUUCCCUCUUCAUUUUCCAAGCUUUUCACAUACUUUGUUGGUGCAGAAAAUAGACUGUCUUGGGUUUUGUCAAAGGACACCGAACCCCACGGAUACCUGUUGAACGCAUCCAAGUCCUCUACAAGGGUCAGGUAAUUUAGAUUGAUGUUCAAAUGUUUGUCCCUUCCCAAAACCACUAACUCAGCAAAGUAAACAAGAGGUAGCUUGAAGAUGUCAUCUUCCUCUGUGCACCUCACAAAUGCUUCUUCUAAAGCAUUGCAUGUAAUUCCUUCGUCUAUAAAAUAUCUUUUCUGAAGUCUGAUUUCAUUACUCUCUCCACUGGAAACUUCAGGCACUUCCCCAAAACGAAGCCCUGUGAUCAAACAGAAAUCCUGACGAGUGAACUGAGCAACGUCACACCCUAAUAAGAAACUCAGUCCAUCCAAGUCUUUCACACCCUGCCCCGCUACUCUACGCAACACAACCCCAUGCACAAUCUGUCCGCUAAACUGAAUCUUAUCUAUAUUCAGAAGAUGGCCAAAGCAUGAUGUCUUGAAUUGUUCUAAUUGUUCCGCACUCAACUUCGCUCGAAUUGCAGCUAGAGAUGAAUUUGCAUGUGAGCAGUUGUUCACCCGUGAUGAAUAUACCUCUGCCUCUGGCCAUACCAGCUCCACGUUGGAUCCCAUUUCCUCAAAUACAAUGUGAAAUAACGUGAACAUAUAUACUACCACGUAUUUGCACAAUCACAACUAGUCAACCAGGCACAUUACAACUUUUACAAAGUACAUGAGCAUAUGGAUUACUCAUCACAGGCUUUAACAUCAUCAAAGCAAUAUGACAAUUUUUGUGCAAAUACCUGUUAAUGCAAUGAUUAUGUGAAUUACAAACAAUUUCACGUGUUUUAUUUAUGGAUCCAUACUCGUGUGAGUGCAAUGUAGGCAAGUUCUGCACUUCACACACAUGACAAUUAUUGUCAUCUCAUACACAACCCAAAAUAAAUAAAUAAGAAAUAUAGUGGAAGGAAGCAAAGCAAAGCAUGUACUCUGCUAUCUGCUUGCUAAGCAAUUGCCACAUCCUUCUUUCUUUCUACCUUUUUCUUCAGUCACCCACAAUCGUCAUAGAUCAACCUUCAUUUCAAAUGCUUUGCACUUUUAUUCAUGAGUUUAUUAUUAUCUGUUCUCAUUUCUCAUAGGCAAAUUUAGUAACAAAUGAAAUAAUAUUUAUUUCACAAAAUAUAUAAAUUCUAGUGCCAGAGAGGUACUCUUCACUCUGCACUGCUUCAAAUGUGGAAGGUUUUGAGAUGUUAUUGACAUGUGAUUGACUUUAUUUUCAUUCGUUUUUUAACAUAUACCCAAGCAAAAAUUAACAUGCAAUUGAAGCACAAAUAAGAGAUGCCAAAUCCAACAACAUUGAUGGUACAAAUUGGGGAAAACCAUUACUCUAACCCUAAACUCAAAUUCCUUACAUUACUCAUCAAAUGCUUUGCAGUUCUAUUCAUGAGUUUAUUAUUAUCUGUUCAAAUGUUUCUCAGGCAAAUUUAGUAACAAAGGAAAUCAUAUUUACUUCAUAAAAUAUAUAUAUAUAUAUAUAUAUUCUAGCGCCUCUUCUUAAUCUGCACUAUGCACUGCUUCAAAUGUGGAAGGUUUUGAGGGCCUCCUCCAAUUCAACACCAUUAUCUUAUUCAUAUCAUUAUUGACAUGUUAUUCACUUGUUAUUGACUUCAUUUUCAUUCUUUUUUUAACAUAUACCUAAGCAAAAAUUAACAUGCAACUGAAGCACAACGAAGAGAUGCCAAAUCCAACAAAAUUUAUGGUACAAAUUGGGGAAAACCAUUACUCUAACCCUAAACUCAAAUUCCAUAAAUUACUCACCAAAUGCUGGUUAUUGCAAGGUGUCUGUGUGGGGUCUUUCUGUUUCUUUGCUCCACAAAUGGAACCUACCACUUCCAACGAAUACAGCUUUUCCCCUUCCCCUUCCACUGCUUCGCCUCUUCACUGAUUUGGAAUCCACACCUUUGCCCCUUCUACUCCAAAUAAAUACUUUCUCGGGGUCUGGAGAACGGAGUGGCGAAUCGUUGCCUUCAACUGUCGUUAGCCGUUGCCUUCAUUGGGUAUCUCAGACCUCUGUGUUUUAGAGAGAUGAGUUCUUUCUGUUCAAACUUCGAACUUGCCUCUUCUUCUUCUUUUUCGGACGUGUUUCCCUCUUCUUCUUCUUUUUGGACGUGCUGGAUAUUCAAUUCGGGUUUGGGUUCCUUACCUACCCAAUUGUGAAACUUUAACUCAAUUCUCCCCAGCCCUUGGAUUAAUCUGAUGGCUAUAAAGUGAACCCCUUAUAACUUACCCCUUAUAACUUUCCACUCAUUAUAGUCUUGGCCAGGUAUGGCGGCCAUGCUAGUAAGUGUUGGGUCUUUGACCCAACUUAAGCUAAAUGGGUCAUAAGAUGACCGAUCAUCUUAUCUCAUAAGGAUAUAUAAGUCAUGUUAUGAUUUAGGAUUUUAUAGGGUUUCCUUUGUAAGAGGUAAGAGAGAAACAAGCUCUCUCUCUCUCUACACAAGGAGGUCAGCCAUAGCAAGGGAAAGGCUCCUAGCACUCUCCUCUCUCUUAUUAUAUCAUCCUUCCAAGGACAGCUUUGGUAUGGUAAAGUUGGAGGUUGCACACUUUGUGCACUUUGGUAAGAACUCAUCCAAGGGAGCCAAGAUUAAAUUGGUUAGCUGUUGGAUUAAAUUGGUUAGCACGAUUCAACGGUUAAUAGAUAAAACUUCACAUAAAAGUCAUAUAUAAGGCCCUCACUAUAGAAUGACUCGUUAGUUUAGUCUCUUGUUACAUAUCAAAUGUUAGAGAUAUUUUUUAAUAAGGAUCUGCCAUACCACAUAGUUGGAUAAGACAUUAUACACGGCUUUUGUAAGAGCAUCUCCAGCGCUCCAAACUAGCCCAAGCAGCAGGGGGGCCUAAGUCUAGGAAGCAGCUCCAGCUCGCAAGAUUCAACCCAGGCAAGGUGUGGAACCCACGAGGAGAUCUAGCCCGUCACCUUGCCUUUGGGUUUCAGUCAAGCUGAUGUCAACGAAAGAAUUUCAAAUUUUUUUUACCGUUACAAUGUACGCGCCAACGAUAAAUUUUCUUUGGAUUUCUUGCAUUGAUCCACAGCUACCAAAAACCAACAGCUACAAGCCACGUGGCUUCUCCAGGAGCCUCCGAUCCAAAAAUCAUGUCAAAUCUAACGGCAGUCCAUUUUUUGGCUAAAAAUAUCAAAAAAUUAUGGAAACAUGUUCUAUAAAUUCCUACAAAUAUUAUUCACUUCCCACACCAAAUCUUCAUACAAAUUCAUAUCCUUUCAAUAUUUUUCACUUUCCAUACAAGAUUUUCUACUACUAAGUUUCGUUUGUGUAAAAAUACAAAUGACCUCUUCUAUCGAAGCCGGAGGCGCGUGUACAACCGUGGAAGAUAUUUUGUUGCGUGAGUGUUGGGUCAAAGUUGGUCAUUCCCUGAUCACGGGCAAUGAGAUGAAGUCCUCUCGUAGGAGUUUCUGACAUCGCAACGAAAGUAAGAUGUGAUAUGAAAAUGUAAGGAAUUUGAUGAGAGGAAUGGGAUUUGAGGAGUUUGAUGUAGGAAUUGAUGUAGGAAUUGAAUUUGGGAGGUAUGUAUAUAAGAUUUGAGGGUAUGUGUUUAGGGAUUUUGAUAAGAGGAUUUGAGGAAUUUAGAUUUGAAGGAUUUGGAUUUGGGGAAUUUAAAUAUGAGGAAUUUGAUUAGGGUUUGGGUUUGAAUAUGUGAAAUUUGAUAUGAGAGUUUAGAGACAACAGAUGAUCGAUUGCUCUGAUACCAUGCUAAAAUAUGAUAUGGUUUGAAUACUUUAGGUUGAGUUUUAUUCUUUUCCAUAAAAAGGUAUAUAUAGGAGUUUACAUGAGUGCUUUACAAAGAAAUAGAUACAAUAAUCAAUUAGGAUAAUAUCUCCUAAUUAUACAAUAAUUUGUCAACUAUAUAGAAUAGGAAAGUAAAUUCCUUAAUUAAUCAAGAAAAUAAAUCUCAUUGAUUAAUUAGGAGACUAACGUCAACAUUUAUAAGCCAUAAAAGAGCAGAAAAAGAGGUACUUAGGAGAUUUUAUACGUCGGACUAAGGUAAGCUUAAAGGACUAUAUCAAAAAAAUAAGGGACCAAGAAGCAAGACAGAGAAGUUGUUAUGCAAACCCAUUAAGUUUAGCAGUGAUGAAUUUGUAAAAAUCAUUCUAGUGGAUUCUGCCUUCACUAUUGAGUUCUUAUUGAGGUUCUAUCUGAAAGGAUCUGGACAUGAAGGAGACCGCUUAUUAAACAAACCGUGGAUGUUUACAGCCUGACAUGUGGUUGCUUGAAAAUCAGCUCCCAUUCUUUAUUCUUGAGGAUCUUUAUCACACAUACAUAAUAACCGACUCUUUUAGGAAUUAUUACAGUACUCAUGAUCAUGAGAGGCUUUCAAUAAUUAAUAUUUCUAAGAAUUUCUUCACAGCCGGAAUAUUGAAUUUGGAGGGGAAGGGAGACAAAUGGAACAGAAUAUCAUCUUCUUCUAGUGUUGGAAAUUUUAUAUUAUUUAAUAAUAUUUAAUUUCUAUUGUGAAUGAAAAAUAAGUUUCUUUAAGAAACGUGUGUCUUAGGCCAGUUUUUCUAACUGGUCGGCUUCCUUAGAUUUGUGCCUAUUGCUUUUCAAAGUAUAAUGAUGCAAUGGUUGUAUCUCGUUCAGGCAAAUGGAAGGUAUAUAGCAAUUUAUAGAACAAUACAGUAAUCCAGAAGAAAUAUUAUGAAAUGAAAAGAAUAAAAAGUAAAAAAAGAGAAAGAAAGGAAUUCCCACCUGCAAUGUAUAUGUAUGAAAGGAAGGACCAAGUUUGUUUUAAAAUGGUAAGAACAAGUUGAUUUUAAAUUGGGUUCAGAUCAACUCAUAGAUUUCUUGCCUUUUCUGUUCUCCUUCCUUGGACAUGAACUGUUUAAUCUUGGACUCUUCCCCAUCAUGUUGGGCCUGUCUUCUUCUUGAGGAUUGUAUAGGCCUAGGAAAUGCUUCGGGGUAGUUUUUGUGUUUUGGGCAUUGGGACCCAACUUCACAAAAAGAAAACAAAUUUGACCAAAACACAAAUUUGAAGGACAUUGAAAUUGUACCCGUAGGAUAGAUUAAAACACUAUAAGGGAGGUAAAUAGUACGUUUACAGAGUUUAAGUGUAAUAAAGGAAUAAAAACAUGCCCAGAGAAUUGAUAAGUGAUAUCAAUUCUUGAAUAUACGUGAAAAUUAUUUUAUGUGGUUAAACCCCACCUCUGGGGAAAAUCCACGGAACUUCUUAGUCCAACUUCUAUCACUUAUCCUAGACACAUUCUAGAUAAUGUUUGCCAACCUCUUCGUAACUCAACUUCUGUCACGAGAUGAUCUUUCAACACUUUAUGUCGAACGCAAUACUGGUCACGAUUUCUUCAAGCUCGCCGGAGUUCUUCCAAUUCUCCUUAUAUUGAAUCUGAUACUAGUCACGAUCGAUUCAAGCUCAUCGGAGAAAAAUCGCCACAACAAUCUUGGUGCCCUCAACCGUAUGAGUCACUGAACAUGCAAAUGAAUACAAUAUGAAUGAUAAAAGUGUUUGAUAAAUCACCAAGUUAUGGAACACUUGAUGAUUUAUCUCAAAUAAAAAUUCAGCUUUCCAAAGUUUAUGAAUUGAAAAUAUGACCGUUAAAGCUCUCUAAACAAAGAAGACGAAGGUCUUAUUUUAUAGACUUUUACUUUACAAGAAAGAAAACACGUUGAAAACCAAAUCUCCAAUUUCCAAGGCUUGACAGAAAAUCACAAAAUUAUCUUUCCUAUUCUAGAGAUUGGUCACAUGAAGUCCAACCAAUAGGAAAUGAGAUAUUUAAGAAAGGAAGAUUUUGAUCAAUAUCAAUAUCAAAUGAAUUCUUAUACGCCUAGUCAAUUGUUAUGGGUAUCUUGACUCCUUGAUAUUGUGAUAUGAUUGAAACAUGAUUUCCACGUUAGAAAAUUAAGGGGAUGUUAAAACAUGAAGGUAAUAGGAGAAUCAAAUUGAUUUGGGCCAAAAUUGCCUAAAAAGAAAACACUCCUUAAUAAACUUCAAUUUACUUUUAAAAAUAGUAAAACGUGAUUGAAUCGUUCUUUAAAACAAUUCCCUAAUAUACAUGCAUGAUAGUGAUAUCACUUACCUUUGAAUCAGAUGGCUUUCACGGGUCAAGCCACAAGUUUUUGUCUUGGGGAUUGCUGAGCUUCAUCAAUCCUGCCAAUGUCAAUUUUGCCCCUAAGCUCUCUCAAAGCACGUUUACAACCUAUGCUAACAUAUAUUAGAGUUUAUGUUAGUAUCAAGAAAAUGCCAACACUAAUUUCGUAACACGUAGAAAUUGUUAGAGAUUGAAGUUUUUAUCAUUUUUUCUUCCAGACUCUCCACCACUCACUAAUAUAGUUUACUCAUGUGAUGAGUUUACAAAACCUAUUUCUCUACUCUCACAAAGACUAUACUUAGGGGGGUGUAUUCAAUUAGGAUUCUAAAGCGUUUAAAAAGAUUUUGUUUAAGUGCCAGCUUUCAUAGAACUUGAUGGAACUUUAUAAUUCGUAUAGAACUUGAUAGACUUUCAGAAGACUUCUGUAUAAUUUUUUAAUAAAACUUUCUUAAGCUUUCAUAGAACUUGAUAGGCUUUCAUUCCAAACUUAUGUAGAUGGUAUAUUUCAUUUUAUCCCCAUCCUUGACAUUUAAAGAAAGAAACUUGAAUUUUUUCAAUCAAAUUUGUUUUUGUUACCAAAGCAGCAAAAACAAAAAGUACUUGUUUGCGAUGGAAGAACAUAUGCACAGUUCAAAAUGAAAAGAAUAAGAAGCAAAGUACCUAUUUGACCAAUGAAUGCUGUGUCAACUAGAGAAGCAAUUGGAUCGGCUGUCAAAGCCAAUGCUGCAGGCAAUGCAUCGAUGGUCCAAAUUGCAAUAAAAAAAUAUUUUGAAUAAUGGCUCUUGCAGACAAAGACCACAUAAAUUCUGAACUGGUCUAGCUUGAAUAAUAAGGUUAGAUUAGCCAAUUGAUGAGAUUAAAAGCAAAGCAAGUUGAUGAAUUUAUCAUCAACUAUUUAAUAACCACAGUCCUGAUCUCUUGGACCCCUGUAGUCCAAGAGAUUUAUGGUCACCCACCGUUGGAUGUAAAUUCAACGGUUGACUUGAAUCGGGUAAUAAUCAUUUAUGUCAUAUUGCAUUUAUAUAUAUCAUUUUGAACCAUUGGAUUAAUAUCCAACGGUGGGUGACCACAAUCUCUUGGACUCCUGUGGUCCAAGAGAUCGGGACUGUUAAUAACCAAUAGAGUAUUUAAACAUAAACAACAAUGUUUGAUCAACAAAACAAAUAGUCCAAAUAUCAUCCAAAAAACAAUAACAAAAAAUCAAUCAUUCCAAACAAACUAGUCAUUCUCAAAAACUCUCAAAAAACCCACUCAUUCCAAAUUGUAGGAUAUCCAAUUUGAGCACUCCUCAGGAGACAUUUUCAAAAAUGCAUCCUUUUUUGUGUUACUAUGCAACAAAGAGAGUGCUUUAUAACGAGCAUGUUCAUCCAAAUUUGGGGUCUCCUUAAUGGCAUCCCAUAUAUAACUCCGCUGCUCUCUCUCUUUUUCCCUUUUUGCCAAUAGGUUAUGGACCUCCCGGAAGUCGAUGACAAUUGAAUCAAUGCUAAGGCUAAUUCUUCCCAUAGCUUGCUGGGUGGUCACAUUUGAGAUAGCAUUCCCUUCCAAAUAUGUUCUAGUUCGUUUCCUCUAGUAACAAGCAUAAAUCCUAGUAACAAGCAUAAACCCUAACCCCAACCUAUAACCUAAUAACAAGAAGAAAACCCAACGAGGUAUUGAUCAAAGAAAAAUUAGGGAGCAUACCUUCACAGAUGGAGGAAGGAAGCUGUUCGUCUUCGCAGAGAGAAAAUCUAGGGAAAGAGAAAAACGUCUUAUGAAAUACUUGGGGGGGAGGUUGGAUUUAUUUUGGUCUUUUUUAUUUAUAACUCUCCCCUUAAAACCUACGUAAAUUUAUCACUUAAUGAAAUCCUUCCAAAUAUAUGACCUUUCGAAUACACCUAGAUUUGAUUCAACUUUUUUAUAAUCAUAAUUGAAUACACCCAUAUUUGAAUGGACUUUUUAAAAGUUCAUAUAGGUCCGAAAUGAAUAUACUCAAACUUGUAAAACCUCUUUUAAAGUUUGUAUAAAUCCAAAUUGAAUACACCUGGAUUUUUAAAAUCUUUUUAAACACUUUAUAAUCCUAAUUGAAUACACCCCCCUUAUUCUCAAAAGACUAUAUUACUUUACCUCUAUCUCUGUGAAAUGUAAAAAGUUGAAACUUUAAUGUCAAACCUCAACAAAAGAUGAACUUUCAUCAGUUACGUUGAAUUUGGAUUUGUUGAACUUAAGUGGUUUUAUUUUCUUUGUCAGUGUUUGAUGACUUAAUUUGGUAUUUAUUUCUUCUUUUUUUUCCUUGGAAAUGUGUUCCACCAACGUGAGGAAGAAAAAUAUGCACAAAUUAAUAUAUUUAAUAGAAGCCCAAGAUUUCGGAUGCAUAUAAUUUCUACAAAAAUCUACAAAGUUUUUUACUUUACAAACUUCUUAUGUCUACCAAUUUCUACUAAAAUUAAUUUCUCUGUGGUGCUCAAAUUCAUCAUAUGUGUGUCGUUAAUUUUAUUGAAAAUUGGAAGUUCCCAUCAUUUUUGUUUUUUGGGAAUUUUCUGAACCAAGGAAAAUCAAGUAAAAUUAAUAAAGCCUAAAUUGGAAAGGGAAAAUAUCUAGAGGAUGCAUUGUAGGAUUGCUCAUGCCAAUAAUUGUACCCUCUAAAUAUAUAGAGACAUAUUUUUUUUGUUUUCAUGACAUGUGGUCCUAAAAUUAUUGUGUAAAUCUUCAAUCCUGAACGAUGCACCUAAAACUCAUCCACCCAUUCUCAGGCCAAUUAUUGCACCUAGUGGGCUCUCGACCCCCUCUCAAAUUUAACCACAUAUUUUAUGGACCAUCCAGCUGUGAGGUACAUUCCCCCCACAUGCCACAAUUGUAUAUUCACAAUUACGUCUGAUACAUCACAUCAUGCCACUUGCCUCAAAUGAAUUUAAGUGAGUGAGGCAGUUGGAAGUAAUUAAGCUCUAUAUUGGUGGGUGGAGUGUUACUUCUCGGUUCCCCUCAUCAUUCGUCUAUAAAAUGGUGAAGGCAGUUGCUAUUGUUACCAUAAGAGCCAGCUCCGACUUCCUUUAAUUUCUUGCUUCAUAUCCACUAGCUACAUCUGUUACCAAGUUAAUUUCAGUUCUAAUGGGGUUUCAUCUCCCACUCAUCUUUGCUCUUCUCAGUGUAAGCUCUGCAAUUUGAUUAACUUUUCCAUUCUCUCUCAUUGUACUCUAUAUAAACGAAAGUUUUGUGUUCCUAUUGUUCUCUCCGAUUUUAUUUAGUACGUACUUAAGUGUCGUCCACUAAUUAAUUAUACUUUGUGAUUUGAUUUUAAUUUGAGUUUGAAUUAAUGUUGCAGCUAGCAGCAGUGGCACUGGCAAACCAUGCUGCUCAACCAGCACCUCAACUUUACUGGAGCUCCGUCCUGCCAAACACACAGAUGCCAAGAUCUAUCAGUGAACUUCUGCAUCCUGGUUUGUGUUGAGCUCUUUAGAAUCUUAGAUAUCUCUUCUACCUGCCAUUUUACUAAAAUAUGUUCCACCACAUAUUUAUCAGUUAACCAUUGUCAUUACAUGAGUGACACAUAUUCACAAAUCGGCUGAUCACUUAUUUUCCAUUAUGACUUGAUAUAUAAUUUGCAGACUCCACAAAUGAAGAAAAGAGCACAAAUGACGUUGGCAAACCUGAAACUUUCCCAUUGGGCAAUCAACAUUACUCCAGUCAAAAACAUUAUGGAGGCAUACCUGAAACUUCCCCAUUGGGCAAUAAACAUUACUCCAGUCAAAAACAUUAUGGAAGAGGCAAACCUGAAACUUUCCCAUUGGGCAAUCAGCAUUACUCCAGUCAAAGACAUUAUGGAAGAGGCAAACCUGAAACUUUCCCAUUGGGCAAUAAACAUUACUCCAGUCAAAAACAUUAUGGAAGAGGCAAACCUGAAACUUUCCCAUUGGGCAAUCAGCAUUACUCCAGUCAAAAAAAGUAUGGAAGAGGUGCUUCUCCAUCCGACAAUCAACAACUCCAUUAUAAAGACUUAGCUAUUUUCUUCUUGGAGAAGGACAUGCGCCCUGGCACAACAAUGAAGUUCCAAUUCCCUAUAAAUUCAAACACGGCUACUUUCUUGCCACGAGAAAGCGCUCAAUCGAUCCCCUUCUCCUCUAACAAACUGCCAGAAAUUUUCAACCAUUUUUCAGUGAAGCCAACAUCUGAGGAAGCCAAAACAAUUAAGCAAACAAUCGAAGAGUGUGAAGCUCCAGACCUUAAGGGAGAGGAAAUAUAUUGCGCCACAUCUUUAGAAUCAAUGGUUGAUUUUAGCACUUCGAAGCUUGGAACAAGAAACGUUGAAGCAAUCUCGACGGAGGUAUUGGAAAAAGGAGCCACCAUGUCCAUCCAAAACUAUACAACAAUGCCGGGACUGAAGAAGUUGGCAGGUGACAAAGUCGUUGUGUGUCAUAAGCAGAACUAUCCCUAUGCUGUGUUUUUCUGCCAUGCAAUAAAACAUACAGCAGCUUAUGCUCUCUCCCUGAAAGGCGAUGAUGGGGAGAAGGUUAAAGCAGUAACCAUCUGCCAUCUAGACACAUCAGAAUGGGACCCAGAGCAUAUGUCCUUCCAAAUCGUCAACGUUAAGCCCGGAACCAUUCCCAUCUGCCAUUUCAUUUCCACUGAUGCUAUUGCCUGGGUUCCGAACCACAAAUCUGCAUGAUCAUCACUUAGCACUAGUACUGUGCGUAUAAUAUGCCUGUAUAAUUAUCUCCCUACUUAUUUCUGCCUCUUCAUCAUGUGGUGUAAGAUAUAUGUUGAGAUGAAGUUUUUGGGAUUUGUGGUCGAAAUUAACCCGAUCAUGUUUUCUCUUGCAACCAUAUAGACUUCAACUUGUACUCAUAAUAAAGCAUGCUAUAUUUAUGAAGAGAUAUUAAUCUUCAGGCAAAUAGAUAUUAUGAAAACAUAUAUAGCAAUUUAUCCAGAAGAAACAUUAUGAAAUGAAAAGAAUAAAAAGUAGAAAAACAGAAGGAAAGGAAUUCGCACGUGCUAUGCUAUGUAUGAAAGGACCAAGAUUGUUUUCCCUUUGGUUAAUGACUAGAAAAGCUCACUUGCAGAGUGCUUUCUCCGACCAUAGAUGGAAGAGAAAUUUUCUCUUAAUAAUAGCACAAUGAUCGGGUAAUUGUAAGAACAAGUUGAUUUAAAAUUCCUUGACCCAAAAAAAAAAAAAAAGUUCUUUUCAAAUUCAGGUCAACCCAUAGAUUUCUUGCCUUCGUCUUCUUCAUCACGUUGGGCUUGUCUUCUUUUUGCGUUUUGGGCCUUGGAAGUUGGGACCCAACCCAACUUCACAAAAAGAAAACAGAUUUGCCAAAAAUCAAAUUUCAAGUCUCUCCUCCGAUCACUAAUACAGAUCAAAUUUUGGAUUUGAUGAACUAAAGUGGUUUUACUUUCUCUGUCAGUGUUUGAUGACUUAAUUUGUUAUUUACUUUUUUUUUUUUACUUGAUCUUUGUAGGGGCUUUUUUUUUUCCGGCAGCUUAAACGGGCUGGGCUGCCGUAAAGGGUAGAUUGAUGAAAUUGUCCCCUUUGUCUGAAUUCGAAAAUCAAGCCCCAAAAGCGCUUCGAAAGGGCAGUAGAGCCUUAGGAAGCGUUCUGGUUACCUUCACUAAUUAAAACAACAGCAACUUACAGAUGAUUUCUUGAGGCUUACAGAUAAAUUUUCUAGCUUGGCAUGACAUGGAAGCAAAAUCAGCAUGAGUUUAGCACCAAAGAGGAAAAUAUGGCUUCCUAGGGAGAAAUGAGAGUGUUUAAGGUGAGGAAGAAGAGGUUUGCAGGCUGAUUUGGCUGAGAAAAGAGAAAGAAAGAACAAUGUUCUUCCGGCAGCUUGACAAAGCUUCUGACAGAUGUGAAAGUCGUCCGCCAGAAGAGGAAAAUGGAGAAGAAGGAUGAAUAGUGCACGAAAUUGGUGGGUUCUUGCAGGUAAGAGAGAAAGCUUGCUCUCUGAAUCUGAGUUGGUUUUGGUUGGGUAGAAGAAGCCCCCUUUUAUAGCUGCGGGAAACCAUCUUUUUCCAAGAAACCCUAAUGGUUUCUAUCCUUUUUGGCCAAGCUUUUCCCUUCCUUUCUCUUCUCCUCCCUUGACUUUUCCUAUCUUGGUGAAAUUUCCUCUGCCUAUUUGCACAAAAUUAGAGAUUUUGAGGAGCUCAAGGCCCCUUUCCCGCAGCUGCCUUAGUGGAGAAUCCCCAUUUUCAGUCAUCUUUCUUCCUUCUUUUCUCCCAUCUUCCAAGGCUAGGUUUGAUGAGAGAAAGAAAUGGAUAUGCACACUGGUUUGAAGGGUGUUUUUCCUUGAAACUUGUUCUCUCCCAUGUGCUGGAGCUUCCCAGCAGCUUACACACAUAGAUAUUUUGGCUUUCAUCGUGGCUUUUGUUUUCAGCUAGGUGCUGGAGAUUUUGCAUAUAUUUUCUUGAGUUGCUUGGGCCUUCUAGGACAAUACGUUGGUUUAUCAAGUGAAUGGGCUAACUUCAUCAAUUGUUGGGCAAUUUUGGUUGAGUUAAUGGACUAUUUUGGUUCAAGUAAUGGACUAUUUUGGUUGAAAUAAUAGGCUAUUUUUCUCUCUUUGUGCUCACCCACAUAUUUGGGCCUAAAAAAUGGGCUUGAGUUUCGGGGCUCCCAAGCAACCCCGGGACUUCCAUUUCUCGGCCCAUCAAUGAGCCUCAUGUCAACUUAUUACCAUCCAUACCACAACCCACUCAAGCAAGCCUCAGGCAUCUUGCGUGGCUUGGGCCCACGUAAGCUCGUAGUGGCAAUGUUGCUUAUUUGCUUGACGUGGCAUGUGUGCAAGUGCAUAUGACGAACUUUCGCGUGCCCAAAUUGAGUUUCUUCUCGGUAGGGUAUCGCAUUGGGCCGAGAAUUUAAUUGGGUAGAACCGUGGAUUUUUUGGGCCUCAACAAUCUUAUAUAUAUUAGUUUUCUUUUUUUCCUUAAUAUUCACCACCUUUCUGUUGCAUAAGUAUUCCAGUCUUAGCGGGUUUCCAUCUACCACUCAUCUUUGCUCUUUUAAGUGCAAGCUUUUUUAUUUUUAUUUUUUUAUGCACAAGAUUAGAGGGGAGGGAGAUUUCUCAAUGUAAGCUUUGCAGUUUCAUAAUUAAUAUUUCCAAUAUCUCACUGUUAGUAAAAUAUGGAACGGGAAAAGUACGAAUAAAAUACACACAUGUUUUAUUUAGCAAAAUUUUGACAAGAUACAACUGAAAAGUUUGGCCACUAUAUAAUAUUUUGAUUUAAUUUUUUUUAUUUUUUUAAUAUAUAUUAUUUUUAUUCAAUAAUAUGUGAAAAAUAGGUGUACAAUAUAUGAAAUUUGUAUGUAUUAUUGAAAAAUUCGUAAAAAAAAAACAUGUUAUUAAAUGUGAAAAAUAUGUACGUAUAUGUAUAAAACAUGUAUUGUACAUUACUUUUUAACAAACUUGUAUUUUACCUAGUCUUUAAACCGUAUAUGGAAAACGGAAGUAUUAUUGAAAAAUACAUAUGUACGUAUAUGUAUAAAACAUGUAUUGUACAUUACUUUUUAACAAACUUGUAUUUUACCUAGUCUUUAAACCGUAUAUGGAAAACGGAAGUAUUAUUAAAAAAUACAUAUGUACGUGUAUAAUAUGAGUAUUAAACAAAAAAAUGUGCUAAGUACUUAUCUUUUAAUUUAAUAAUUCAUUUCAUUUUGUGAUCUCAUACGUAGUAAUGAGAGUUCAAAUUAAUGUUGCAGCUGACAAUGGUGGCUCUGGCAAGCCAUGCUUGAUGCAGGAGUAUAGGGGUGGAUCAAGAUAGAUAUUUACCAUGUAAUUAGUUAUUUCAUGAUAUAUUGUUAUUUUCUUAUUUAGGUAGUUUUAUGAUAUCUUUUAUUAUUUAUGUGGGAUUUUAUAAUUAAUUAGUUUACUUUUGGACCAAGUAGCCUUGGUGCUCAAGUCUUGUAAAGCUUAUAAAUAAGGCUAAUGUAAUAGUUGUAGGAAAAGAGAUGUCGAUGAUUAAUAAAAUCGUUUAUUUGUGGCAUGGAUUUGCUACGAUAUAUGUGAGUUUGCACUAGCCCUAGAUUUCGGUGCUCGUGUAUGUGGUUGGUGACCUGUGUCCGGAUCCCGAUCCCCAUCAAUGCUGUUCUCCCAGUACCUCAACUUUACUGGAACUCUUUCCUGCCAAACACAAAUGCCAAGAGCUAUCAGUCAACUUCUGCAUCCUGGUUUCUAUUAAGGGACUUUUCGUGAGCUUAUCAUCUACCCAAAUUUUACUCAUCCGACGUAAUUUUAAAAGUGAUUUGAUCCUUUGGCAAAGUAAUCUUGAACUACAAAAAAGGAGGGCACUCGAAUAGGCAUGCCAUUUGGUAUUACCCACCUCUAAUUUCUUUUAAAAUUUUAGUAAUUGAUUUUUAAGAUUAGAAAAUGGGAAAGUUCAAAACCGAAAAAGUUGUUUCAGUUUUGGCAAGUAUCGGAAAAGACUAAAAUUUUCCGACUUUAUUAUUACUAGAAACAAAGUCGAAGUAUUCACCAAUCAUGUGGCCUUCCAAGUGCUCAAGGUUAAGCCAGGAACCGUUCCUAUCAGCCAUUUCCUUCCCAAGUAUGAUCAUGUUGUCUGGGUUCCAACCCACAAAUCUACAUCAGUACCUGAACUAAUCAGUUCUACAUGAAUAUUCAUUCAUGGCAACCUUGGGCUAAGUAUUUGAAUUUAUGCUCAUAAAGCUUUAAUGCUUUUGAGGGCCAAUCGUUGUCUACAUAUGGUAUUGUAGCAUCUUUAGAUGGAAGAGGUCAGGGGUUCAAUUCUUGUUUUCCACUUCUUUAUUUGUUGGUUUAUCGAGUGUAGAGUGGAGUUGCACCUAUAUGUUCGUCUCUCACCCCAUCAUUUACCAUUGAUAUAUAUUUAAUAGAAGCCUAAGAUUUCGGAAGCACAUAAUUUCUACUUUACAAACUUCCUGUGUCUACCAAUUUCUACUAAAAUUAAUUUAUCUGCGGUGCUGAGAUUCAUCAUAAUUUUAAUAGAAAUUGGAAGUUUUCAUCAUUUUUGCUUUAAGUCUCUACUCCACUCACUAAUAAAGAUUACUCAUGUGAGUUUACAAAACAUUUUUUUUUUCUACUCUCUCCUGAAGACUACACUUCUUCUCAAAAAAUUAGAUCACUUCACAUCUUGUGUAUGUGAAAACUAAUGUAAAAAGUUGAAACUUUAUCGUAAAACCUCGACAAAAAUGAGCUCUACUACAAAAUGUUAAAUUUGGAUUCGUUGAUUUAAAUGGCAAUUUGACACUUGAUAGAAAUUUUUACAUACAUGUGUUAGUGUUUGAUCACUUCACAUGUCACUUACUAUAUUUAUUCCACUCAAGUUAGGUAAAUAUUAUUAUCAAACAUUUCAAUUAAUUUGUGAUUUUUUUAUUAUUUAAUCAAUUAUGAAUUAAUGGAUUCUUCUUGUUGUUUUGAAGACCAACAAAAAAAAAAAAAAGGGUAGUGAUGGCUUAUAAUUCUGGUAAAACAACAGUGACGUGGACAACAGAUGUUACGCUGUACUAAAGAUUUUUGAAGAUUCUUUAUUUGAGUUUCUUUCAAGAUAAAAACCAUAUUAUCCACAACCACAAGCACAUCCGGCAGACAAUCUUUGGCUAUUCAUCACAAUUGGGAGACAAUGAAGAAGACAGAAAAUGGAGUAAUUCAGAUGUUACCAGCCAUCCACGACAAACUGAAGUCUGCAAAGCAUUCGUAAUCUAAAAAGGAUGGGGAGGCUGCGCAAUACUUAGCCACGUGUAGGCCAGGAGGCUUUCCAAUUUUAAUAUAUAUAUAGAUUGAAAAAAUAAAAUAAAAAUCAAUCUAUUAUCAUAUAUAUUAUAAAAUAAAGAUUAUUGCUCCCAUGGGCGGUGCUAUGCACAGGACAGUGCCUGCCUAGUCCAAAUUUUUUUUAAAUAAAAAUAAAAAUCUACAUAUGUUAUAAGCUCAUCCAAAAAAAAAAAAAAAAAUAAAAGUGUUGUAAAUUAUAAGGUGGAGCCCACAUGUUGGAAGGCUUUGCCUACAAAAGGGUUCACACCCUCCCUUUGUAAUUAGACAUUGAGAAUACUAAGGAAGACAGAAAUGAAUAGAGAGAAAACAUUCCCUUCUCUCCAUCUCAAUUCCCUCUCCAAUUCCUCUAGAUUUAUAACACGUUAUCAGCAGCACGAAUCGCUUUCAAACAAUACCAGCUGAAUUUUAUGAUGAAACCCAGAUCUCUCAUCCAUCUCUGCUGCUCCACUACUUCAAAAUAAAUCCCACAGAAAAAGAAAAAGCCUCAAUGCUCUCUCUCUCUCUCUGUCUCGCUUGGGAGACUUGGACAAUUCCUCAUCCCCGUUACUGACAAUUUCAACAGCUUCAGGGGAAGCUAGUUUAUCUUCCUCUGCUCACGAAACCAUGACUCUUUCAGAGCCAAACAACAACACAAUAGACAACGCAUGGAGACCAGACUGGAGCUCGUCGGCUAAGGCACCGACGAUCCGACCCUACCCGUAUGGACCUUCCGGAUGUGGUUCCUGGGUCUUGUCUCAUGUGCCCUCCUCUCAUUUCUCAACCAAUUCUACAAGCAGCAGAGCUUCAAAUCAAACAGAUCAUGGCAUCGCUUUCACACCUCCCCAUCUUCCUCUUCCUCCUGUUCACCGCUUUCUAUUCUACAGCUUCGCAGUCCUUCAUCGGCGCAUCCAAAGGCGACAUACCGGCGCUCGCCUCAGAUCCGAACGCGGCGGCUCAGUGGGUGAACUCGAAUGUCCUCGCCUUCUACUCGGCCAGCAACAUCGACCUCAUCAACGUCGGCAACGAGGUCCUUUUUCUCCAACGACCAGGGCCUCAUCUCGCAGCUCCUCCCCGCCAUGCGAAAUGUCCAAUCUGCCCUCUCCGCCGCGUCCCUCGGCGGCAAGGUCCGUGUCUCCACGGUCCACUGCCUCGCCGGAUCGGGAUCCUUCCUUCAAGUGUUUCUCUGUCUUCGACUUGAAAAAGAAGGUCAUGGCAGGCCUAUGUAAAAAUUGCGAAAAGGAAGGCAAUCUUCAACCUUUUCUCCUGUCUCUCUCUUGAUCAAUUCAUGGAAGGCACAUUUGGGUCUUCCGGGGGCUCAUCAAAUGAGUCAGCAAUGUCAAAGGUGGAGGUGGUGGAGCAAGACUACGUGGGGAUGUCAUAUGAGGCAACCUCAUACCCAGCUGAGGCAGAGCUUGUGCUGGGCCUGGGCCUUGGCCUGAGCCUUCGUGGUGGUGGUGCAGGGAAGCAGCCAAAGCCAUGUGCAUGGGGUGAGCGUGGUAGAAUCUUGACUGCUAAAGUUAGGUGCUGAGUUACACUGUGUUCUCUGCUACUGACCCUAAGAGGAGUGCUAGAAACUUCCAUGUUCCGCCAUCAUUUCGCUUUCACUGUUACAAGGCACUGGAGUAUGUUUAAUUGAAAAGUGAGAUACACAGCAAGUUGAUCAGCCUAGUGGAAAGCAAAGGAUUAUUGCCAGGGAUAUGAACACCCACCGAAAUAAAGGGAUAAGUACUCUUUUUCCCUUCGACCAGUUUUUUUUUGUCCCACUGGGUUUUUACUGGCAAGGUUUUUCACGAAACAUAUUCCGUAUCAUUUGUGGUCUCUAAGAGGGAGUGUUGUAAAUUAUAAGGUGGAGCCCACAUGUUGGAAGGCUUUGCCUACAAAAGGGUUCACACCCUCCCUUUGUAAUUAGACAUUGAGAAUACUAAGGAAGACAGAAAUGAAUAGAGAGAAAACAUUCCCUUCUCUCCAUCUCAAUUCCCUCUCCAAUUCCUCUAGAUUUAUAACAAAAAGUAAAUUCUACACAUAUGUUGCCCAUCCAGGUGGUCCCAUAUCUUCUCUUUCCUUUUCUUUUGGCUAUUAGACUUCUUGUUUCUCUCUCUCUCUUUGCUACCCCACAUCAGCAAGUUUCUCCCUCUCUUUUUUUGGGAUCAAAUUCUUCUUCUAUUGACAAAAUCUUCUAUUAUAUUGGGUGGGCAACUUGGCAACAACAUCUUCUCCUCUCCUUUUGUCAACAGCAAGUAUUAUUCUCAUUCUCUCAUUUGCUAUAUAUCUUUAAUUAUAGUUUUAAUUUAAAAUUGAGUAUUCUAGGGUUUAAUUAGGGAUGAAUUAUAAUUUUGGGAUUUUGUUGAAAUUAAUUAGGGCUUCGAUUAGGGGUGAAUUAUUCUACUGCUUUGAUUUGGAAUUUUGUUAAAAUUGAGUAUUAUAGGUUUAAUUAUGGAUGAAUUACAAUUUUUGGUUUUGGUAUUGUUGAGAUGUUAUUAUGAGAAUUUGUUUGAUUUUUUGUUGGUAUAUUUGAUUAAAAUUCUUUCUACAUAUUAUUCAUAGGCUAUCUUUUAUUAUGUCGGAUCACAAUCGGAAUCCCAAGAAAACAAAAAAUUUGAAUAGUGUUGUUUUGUAUUGCAUUGCAUUUACUUUUGGUUUUAGUUUUGCUUUUAGUGUAAAUUACUCAAAUGGUCCUCAAAUUUGUACCCAAUUUACAUUUUGGUCCAUAAACUAAAUUAUUCAUUCAAAUGGUCCACCAACUCUUUAUUAAUCGGUGCUUUGGUCCUAUCGUUAUGUUUUCUAUUAAAUUUAGUCAUGUGAGCAGCACAUGCUACAUUUGUAUGGGUAAAUAAGACUUUUGACCAGUGGCGGAUCCACGUUGGGACAAGAGGGGUCGGACGACCCCUUGGAAGGCUGGAAAUUUGGCAAGGGAGUCCAUGAAAGCCCCCUUGGACAGCUGCUGGAAGCCCCCUUGUAUGCACACAAUGUGCUCGACGAAAUGCCCCAACGAAAUGUCCUGCGCAGCUGUGCUGCGCCUUGCGCGUAAUUUUUUUUUAAAACCAGCCUUGCCAAACGACGUCGUUUGGUCAAGGCUCAGUCAAAUUUUUUUUUAAUUAACCUGGCCUCAAAACGACGUCGUUUUGGGCCAGGUUUAAAAAAAAAAAAACAGAACAGUACACACGCACAGCAGCUCUGCACAGAUUCAUUUUCUCCAAACCUUUCAUUCCCAAUUCCACAGCCCCUCUUCCCAUCCUCUCAAACCCUAACCUCCCAACCUCCCAACCUUGGACAACCUCCAUCAACUCUUCACCGGUGGCCCAAUGCCGAUCACCACCACCUUCUACCGCCGUCCGCCGCCCAUUUUUUAAACUACAAGUAAGUAAGCAUGGAAAAUCUGAUAUUAAUAAUUAUAGUGAUAAUAUAUAUUGUUGAUAUUGAUAUUUUUUUUUUAUGUAAUGAAAUUUAUGGAUAUGAAUCAUAUUGAUUGAUUGAGUUUAUGCUUGAAAUUUAUGGAUAUGAAUCAUAUUGAUAUUUUUUUUUAUGUAAUUAAAUUUAUGGAUAUGAAUCAUAGUGAUAAUCAUAUUAAUGUAGAUUGAUUGAGUUUAUGCUUGAUUGAUAAUAUGAAUUGAUUGGGUAUAUUAAAUAUUGAUUGCUAUUUGAUAUGAUAAUUUGGUAUAUUGAAUAUUGAUUGAUAUGGGUUUAGGGAGUAUAUUGAAUAUUGAGAGUGGGUUAUUGAAAUUUUCAUAUUCAUAUGAUAAUUAGGAUAAAAAUUAAUGAUUGAUUGAAUUAAUUGAUUUGUAGAUUUAUGGAACGAUUCUUUAAAAGAAAAUUAUCUACGGAUAGUUCUUCUCUGUCUAAUCCGGGUAGUUCAAAUGCAAGACCAAUUGAAGUAGAUGAGAUCUUAGCUAAUCUUCAAGCAGACCCUGGACUAAGAACUCGAAUGGCGGAUUAUAGUCCUAAUAUUAGGGAUGAGAUCCGAAGAGCAUAUCUACAAAAGGGACCUUGUCAACCUAGAAGUUAUAAAUUCCCACAAACUAAUCAAUCAGGAAUUAAUAGACGCUUCAUUGCUCAUUGGUUUGAUGAUCAUGAUUGGUUGGAAUAUAGUAUUGCUAAAGAUGCUACGUUUUGUCUUCAUUGUUAUCUCUUCAAAUCUAAUUUUGAUCAAGUGGGUGGUGAUGCAUUCACUGGGGUAGGCUUCAAUAAUUGGAAGAAGGCGAAAGAAAGAUUUAACCUUCAUAUUGGACCGGUUGGUAGUGUUCACAACCAAGCUAGAGAAGUUGCUUACAAUUUGAUGCAUCAAACUACACACAUUGAAACAAUUGUGCUCAAGCAAACAAGCCAAGCUCGCACGGCUUAUCGCACUUGCUUGAAUGCAUCACUUAAGUGCACUAGGUAUUUGUUGCGGCAAGGGCUUUCUUUUCGUGGUCAUGAUGAAAGUGCACAAUCAAGUAAUAAAGGGAAUUAUUUAGAGCUCUUGCAAUUUCUUGCGGAUCAUGAUGAAAAAGUUAAGGCCGUUGUAUUGGAAAAUGCUCCGGGAAAUUUAAAGUUAAUAGCUCCUUCAAUUCAAAAAGAUCUUGUCAAUUCUUGUGCCAAAGAAACCAUUGAUCUUAUCUUGAGUGAUGUAAAAGAUAGAUAUUUUUCAAUAAUGGUGGAUGAAGCACGUGAUGUUUCAAUAAAGGAGCAAAUGGCAAUGGUGUUGCGUUAUGUGAAUGACAAAGGACAAAUAAUUGAAAGGUUUGUGGGGGUUCAACAUGUAACCGACACUACUUCAAGUGCACUAAAGGAAACAAUUGAUGAAUUCUUUUCUUCCGCGAAUUUGAGCUUUUCCAAGCUACGAGGACAAGGUUAUGAUGGAGCUAGCAAUAUGAGAGGUGAGUUCAAUGGCCUUAAGAGAAAGAUUUUGAGAGAACAACCUUGUGCAUUUUAUGUUCAUUGCUUUGCUCAUCAACUUCAACUAGCUCUUGUUGCGGUAGCAAAGAAAAACAUUGAUGUCAACUCUUUUUUCACAACGGCUAAUAGUUUGGUUAAUGUGGUUGGAGCAUCUUGUAAGCGUCGCGAUGCACUUAGAGCACAAUACCAAGAAGAGCUUGUGAGAGCUUUUGAAGAUGAUUGUCUUAUAACGGGGCGGGGCUUAAAUCAAGAAAGGACUCUCAAACGUGCCGGCAAUACACGAUGGAACUCACAUUAUGGUACGUUGAUUAGUAUCAUUUCUAUGUUCCCAUCUGUGGUGAAUGUGCUUCAAAUGAUUGUUGAUGAUAAUCUUAAUGAUAGUUCGGGUGAAGCCUAUAAGUUAAGGAGAGAAAUACAAUCUUUUGAGUUUGUGUUUCACUUAUUUGUAAUGAAAGCUAUAUUGGGAAUAACAAACACUUUGUCUCUAGCAUUGCAAAAGAAAGAUCAAGACAUUGUGAGUACAAUGAAUUUAGUGAAAACAUGCAAGGAAAACCUGCAGUUGAUGAGGGAUAAUGAGUUUGAAGAAUUGGUUGGGCAAGCAUCCUCGUUUUGUUACAAAUAUGAUAUUAUAGUUCCUACCAUGGAUGAGGAAUAUGUAAUUCCAGGGAGAUCAUGGCGUAAUGCUCCAAUGAAGACAAAUUAUCAUCGUUAUCGUGUGGAGAUCUUUAUUCAUGUAAUUGAUGGGCAACUUGCGGAAUUAAAUGAUCGCUUCAACGAGGUAAGUACUGAGUUACUUACUUGUUUGGCAUGCUUGAGUCCAAAAAAUAACUUUGUGACUUUUGACAAACGAAAGCUAGUUCGUCUUGCUCAAUUUUAUCCUUAUGAUUUUUCGGAUAGAGACUUAUUGAUGCUUGAAGAUCAACUUGGUGUUUAUGUUCAUCAUAUGCGUUCGAGUAGUGAUUUUUCUCAAUUGGAAGGGAUUAGUAGUCUUGCGGAAAAAAUGGUGGAGAAAGGAAUGCAUGAAAUAUUUCCUUUUGUAUUUGCUUCUUACAUUGGCUUUGGUUUUACCGGUUGCAACUGCAUCAGUGGAGAGGGCAUUUUCCGCUAUGAAUAUUAUUAAAAAUCCACUUCGCAACAGAAUGGGAGAUCAAUGGUUGAAUGAUAGCUUGCUUGUUUACAUUGAGAGAGAUGUUUUUGCUUGUAUUGAUAACGAAAUUAUAAUGCAAUGUUUUCAGAAUAUGAAAACUCGUCGUGGACAAUUGUAACUUGUAUUAUUGGUUUUGUUAUGAAUUAUGAAUGAAAGUACUAUCUUUCUAUCUUUUUAGCAUUAUUUUCUUUGUAGAAAAAUUUCAGAACUUUUACACUAAGCCCCCUUGGCUACAUAAUCCUGGAUCCGCCACUGCUUUUGACCACUUUAUCACCUAUGUAUCACCACUUUAUAACCUAUUUGGGGAACAUAGGUCAGUUAUGGACGGUUUUACCCUUACAUUUGACGGCAACAUUAACAUAAUGUAACAGUGGGAUCAAUGGAGUGAUUAAUAUAAAGUUGAUGGACCAUUUGAAUGAAUAAUUUAAUUGAGAGACCAAAAUGUAAAUCAAGUAUAAGUUUGAGGACCAUUUGAGUAAUUUACCCUUCGCUUUUAUAUUUGUUGAACUUUUAUUUAUGAUAGAUAUGCAUUUAAGGGUAAGACCCAUUAUGUUCCCCUGGCUAGGUGUAUCUUUUUAUGUUUAUUAAUGAAAUUCACUCGAACUGUUGAGUUUAGUAUGUAAGUUUUGCCUAACUGGCUUUUGAAUCCUAGAACCGCCACUGUUGCUCCAUCCUCCAUGCACUUGCAUGUGCUCUUACAAAGUGUGAAGUAGAUUUUGUGUGCUCCAAGUCAUUGACUAGAGCUGAAACAUGGUUAGCUAGAUUUAUAAGGACCCAUCUCUUUAUUUCCUAGACAUAUACCCAUCUCUCUAUAAAUCUAUAUGUAAAACCUAAUUUCAAACUUAAAUGACCAGUAGGAUAUAAAAGGUCAUAGUAUUCCUAUGUUUUUAUAUCGUUGCCACCAGACUUCUUAUUUUAUUUAUAAUUUAUUUCAAGCAUUUCAUUAACUGCCAUAAUUGUAAUUAAUACUCCAUAUUAAUAGCAUAUCAAUCACCCCAUUUCUUUUGGUUGCCAUUCCCUCUAACAUAUCGCCCCUUAAAUUUGAAAACCAAAAAAAAAAAAUGUAAAUUACAUAUCCAAUAAUGUACCUAUGAAAAAUAUAAAUAUAAAUAUAUACAUAUAAAAAUAUAGGUAUAUUAUUUACCAAAUAGAAAAUAUAAAAACCUAGGUCAGUUGCUUUGUAAUUGAAAUUUCUGUACAUUUUCCACAAAUUAAAAAUAGGUACAUAAUAAUUUAUAGAAAAUAUAUGUACAUUAUUUAUCCAUAGGUAAAAAUACCGAUAAAUGCACAUAGGUGAAUUAUUUACCAAUAUAUUAUUUUUUUGCUAAGGAUUUACCUUAGUUUUUAGUAGAUUAAUUUACCUACCUAGAGGCAUAGGUAGCUUAAAAAAAAUGUACCACCUUAGUUGGUUGCAUACUAAUUUACCUACCUAGAGGCAUAGGUUGCUAAGAAAAAAUGUAGGUAAAUUCAUGUACCUAAACACAUAGGGGUCAAAUAGAGAAUAACAUGUUAUUUCCCUUUGAACAAAUUAAUUUCAAACCAUAACAAUUAUUGAAUUUGGAAAUUGGUAUAAAUAAAAGGAAAUAAAUAAACUAUCAAUUUGAAAAUUAAAAUAAGAAAUGAUCAAGUAGUCAUAUUUGAAAAAAAAGGAAAGAAUAUAUUCUUGGUUUUUAUAGGAACAACGAGUAUAUUCAAACCAAACGGCGAUAACUACACCAAGCUUUAAUUACUUUUUUUUAAGGCCAAAAGUCACUUUUGGUCCCUGUAGUUCGGCAUUUCUACCACUUUUGAUGUUGUAGUUUCAAUUCCGUCAAUUUUGCCAUUGUAGUUUCGUAUUUGUAGCAAUUCAAGGACCUGUUAAUAUUAAUGUCAAUUUGUUUAAUGAUGCAAGAGGUAAUUUCGUCAUCCCAAAAUCCUUGAGCAUAAAAGAUUGUCUGAAAUUCUCCCCAUUUCAUAUUAGGGCUCGAAAUUCAACCACUAAUCCUAAUUUUUGAAGAACCCUAGACCCAAAUGACCAAUUUCAAGCCCUAAUAUGAAAUUACGGAAGUUUUAGAUGAGCUUUUAUGCUCAAGGAUUUUGAGUUGAAGAAACUGCCCCUUGCACUGUCAAAUAAAUUGACAGGAAUACUGACUUGUCCUUGAAUUGCUACAAAUACAAAACUACAGUGUCAAAAUUAACAGAAUUUAAACUAUAGGGUCAAAAGUAGUUGAAGUGUCAAACUAUAAGGACCAAAAGUGACUUUUAGCCUUUUUGUUUCAAUAAGGAAAAAACUGACCUAUUAAAUCCUUGGAAUCUAUACAAAAUUGAAACACAAUUAAUCAACAUUGAAUUGCAGCUAAUUUCUUAAACAAGGGUAUUAUAGGAAUUUAAAAAGUAUAACAUUUAAUCCAUUGAAUUUGAUUAGGAAACUUGAUGAAUUGAAUCCUAGUUAUAUAGUUUUUCUUAUAAAAAUCAGGUUUUAUUUAUAGACAAAUAAAACAAUGGGUUGUAGGUAAGAAAAUAUUAAUUUGAAGGGAAAGAGUCAAAUUUACUAAAUUAAUAAAGCAUAAAUUGGAAAGGGAAAAGAUCUAGAGGAUGCAUUGUAGGAUUGCUCAUGCCAAUAAUUGCACCCUCUCGAUAUUGAAAAACCUAUUGUUUAUUAUUAUCUUCAAUCCUGAAUGAUGCACCUAAAACCCAAGUGUCUCAGGCCAACCAUUGCGCUCAUACCACUUGUUGCAGUACACAUUCACCUGUUUUUAAAGAAAGAAAUUCUACCAAUCGAUAUUUUCUCAAAUUUAAUCACAUAGAUCUAUUAUGGUUAACCAUAUGUACUUUUAUCUGCCAUCCAGAGGUACCUUUUUCCAACGUGCAACAAUUGUAUUUGAUUCACAAUUAUGUCUGAUAUACAUCACAUCAUGCCACUUGCCUCAAAUGAAUUUAAUUGAGUGAGGCAAUGGGAAGUAAUUAAGCUCUAUAUUGGUGGGUGGAGUGUUACUUCUGGAACCCUCAUCAUUCGUCCAUACAGGGGAACAAUUCCCUUCCUUCUAUAAAAUGGGAGCAAUUCUCUCACUGUACUCUAUAUAAAGGAAUAAGUGUCGUCCACUAAUUAAUUACACUUUGUGAGAUUUGAUUUUAAUUAGAGUUCGAAUUAAUGUUGCAGCUAGCAGCGGUGGCACUGGCAAACCAUGCUGCUCAACCAGCACCUCCACUUUACUGGAAUUCCAUCCUGCCAAACACACAAAUGCCAAGAGCUAUCAGUGAACUUCUGCAUCCUGAUUUGUGUUGAAUAGAUAUAGUAUGUUACUGGAGUACGUAUGGCAACAUAUUCACAAAUGUGUCACGUAUUUUCCAUUAUGACGUUGAUAUAUAAUUGCAGACUCCACAAACGAAGAAAAGAGCACAAAUGUCAUGAAUGCUGUUGGGAAUGGAAAGCCAAUUGACCACAAGGGCAAACCUGAAAAUACUGUACUACCACAGCUUGCACGACGCCCAUUUUCUUACAAGAGUGAUGAUCGUCCCACUGACAAUCAACUCCAUUAUAAAAACGUAGCUAUUUUCUUCUUGGAGAAGGACAUGCGCCCUGGCACAACAAUGAGCUUCCAAUUCCCUAGAAAUUCAAACACGGCUACUUUCCUGCCACGAGAAAGAGCUCAAUCGAUCCCCUUCUCCUCUAACAAACUACCAGAAAUUUUCAACCAUUUUUCAGUGAAGCCAACAUCUGUGGAAGCCAAAACAAUUAAGCAAACAAUCGAAGAGUGUGAGGCUCCAGGCAUUAAGGGAGAGGAAAUAUAUUGCGCCACAUCUUUAGAAUCAAUGGUUGAUUUUAGCACUUCGAAGCUUCGAACAAGAAACGUUCAAGCAAUCUCGACGGAGGUAUUGGAAAAAGGUGCCACCAUGUCCAUGCACAAGCACACAACAAUGCCGGGACUGAAGAAGUUGGCAGGUGUCAAAGUCGUUUUGUGUCAUAAGCAGAACUAUCCCUAUGCUGUGUUUUACUGCCAUGUAAUAAAACCAACAGCAGCUUAUGUUCUCUCCCUGAAAGGCGAUGAUGGGGUGAAAGUUAAAGCAGUAGCCAUCUGCCAUCUAGACACAUCAGAAUGGAACCCAAAGCAUUUGGCCUUCCAAAUCCUCAAAGUUAAGCCCGGAACAAUUCCCAUCUGCCAUUUCCUUCCCACUGAUCAUAUUGUCUGGGUUCCGAACCACAAAUCUGCAUGAUCAUCACUUAGCACUGUACGUAUAAUAACCUUUACCCCUGUAUAAUUAUCUCCCUACUCUACUUAUUUCUGCCUCUUCAUGUGGUGUAAGAUAUAUGAUGAGAUGAAGUUUUUGGGAUUAGUGGUCGGGUUGCCUUAAAAACACAGAUUACAGAAACUGCUUGAACUUAACCCGAUCAUGUUUUCUCUUGUACUCGUAAAGCAUGCUGUUGUGGUUCUACUUAAUUUCGUCCUCCCCAAUGUUUGAGUGUUUAAUUGUUACGUUGGAAUAGGCUGCUAAUGCAUGUAGUUAGAGAAGCUUUCAUUUAUAUCAAAGUCCUCAAACUAUCAAGAAUUAAUGCAUCCAGAAACAUAUAUACCAAGACGCAAAACAACAUAUUUUCCAUGCUGUGUCGGUAACACCAAAGCAAACUUCCUUUAUCACAAAAGGACCAAAUUCCAAUACUAAUCUAAUCCAUCAUGUAAAGCAUACAAUCUACAACUGCCUCCCUAAAUUUGUCCAUUGGAUAUAUAUGUCACUUUUUGGUAAUUUGGUAUAGCAGCACCACGUAGUAUGCAUUUAACAGAAAAGUAAACAAAAUUGACAGUAGAACUAUUUGUCCUAACGAAACUGAAGUUGAAAGACCAUGAGAACGAUUUUGAAAAUUAAGGGACUCAAAUGAAAAUUGGGUCUAAGUUCAGGGACCAAUAAAACGAUUAACCCAUAGAUUUUGGAUCCAGUACCACAUCCCAAAGAGAAAACCACAAGUUUGCAAGCAAGUUUGUCCAUACUAACACUACGUACAGUAUGGGCAAUGUGCUAGACUCAUCUCACUUUCUCAACCUAUCCUAUACUUGUCUAAAAGAGUUUCUAAUUUAAUGUACUGAGAUUUACGAAAGAAAUAUCAGAGAAACAAUUUUCAGGCAAUAAAAAAAUGUCUUGGCAAGAAAAUGCACAAUUUGUUACAUAACUUAUUAAAUAUGAACAGUUGAAAGAAAAAAGAAUUUGGAUGAGGGAUUUGCAAAUUCCUAUGGCCCAAUUACCUUUUUUUCUUUGUUUUUUUUUGGUUCUUUUGAUCCAGUAGCAUAUUCCAAAGAAUGAAAACCACAGGCAUGCAAUGCAAGCUCUUUUCCCAUGUUUUCCUCUGUUUUUCUCCUAUCAUGGAAGUGAUUAAAACACACCUCUAAGCUUGUUUUGCGUUUGGUAGCCGAGUGUAAAAGCUCAAUGCAAGAUAGUUUGAGGUAGAAUUUUCUCCUGUUUUAUUAGGACAAUGAUGAGCUAUAUGUGACAACAAAUUGCUUUAAUAAUGAAAAUUAAAAAAGUGUGAUUCAUUGAAUAUUUGCGGGGUUUUGUUCAGAGCUGACAAAGUUCUAAGUCAACACAUCAAAUUCCUUUUUCCAACAAUCGUAUUUGAUUCACAAUUUUGUCUGAUAUACAUCACAUCAUGACACUUGCAUCAAAUGAAUUUAAUUGAGUGAGGCAAUGGGAAGUAAUUAAGCUCUAUAUUGGUGGGUGGAGUGUUACUUCUGGAAUCCUAAUCAUUCGUCCCUACAGGACUCUAGAACUCUCACACUUCUUACAAGGACUACUUAACUCUAUAGCUUAUUGCAUAUAGCAUAUAUAUGCAAACCCAAUUAGAAAUUCUACAACAGAAGCAAGAUCAAUCUCACUAUGCCUUCUAAACAAACAAACAAAUAAAACAAGCAUAUUAAUUGCUUUAAUCACUCUACUAACAUCAACACAGCACACUUAGUUUACUAACAGAUGAUAUAGAAAGGAAAAAAAAGGACCAAUAGGGAGAAAAUGGUGAACUAAGGAGAGACUAAUACUUCUGGUCCUUAGAAGGCAUAACAGAAAUAAUAGAGCACACUGCUUGAAUGCAAGUCAGUAUUAGGAGCAAAACAGCUGCAAUGAAAGAAAUAGUUGCCCAAGGUGUAUUGAAAUAAUGUUGCCUCAAAUUUGCCUUCCAUUUGUUCCAAGGCUUUCUGCAGUAGCUAUUAAGGCGCUCAGAAAGAGUAGCAAAGUAGAAGCUUUCACGAUACACUGCAAUUCCUUUUCCGAGGUUGUUAAUCAGAGUGCACACCUCAUUGUAGUCACCAAGCAUAUUUUUGACAAUCCCAUACUUCAGAAGGAACUCCACAUCCUUUUCGGUGUUCACAAACUCAUCCAUGAGUGAAACAUAAUCACUUAUGUAAUUCUUACGGCAAUGGCACUAUUCAAAGGCAAUGAGGUUAUGGAGUGUGAGCUCUGUGUAAUCGUUUAUUUUUAGUUUUGGAAUUUCUAGAAUCCCAUCGUUGAAUCGUGUUAACGCAGCUUUCCUUUCCUAGCCUACGCGGAAGUCAACUUCACAAUCUCCUCCUAGCAAUUAGCCUUUCCUACUGUAAAUCGGAUUGUAUUCAUGUCUAUAUUAUUUCCUACCUUAAAUAGAUAUCCUGUACUAGUAUACAUAGGGACUUUGUGUAAUCUGUUAAAUACAAGGAAAUAUAUACUCUACAUGGUAUCAACCUAACCUAGGGUUCUCUCUCUCCCCCUUAUUCGAUCCUCUUCUCCUUUAGGUCCACCUCAUGGCUUCGUUUGAAUCCACCAUCUCCCUCCCAAGCCCUAACUCUUCUCAUUUUAUCAAGCUUACUAACUCCAACUAUCUUCUUUGGCUCCGCCAACUCAAACCCUUUUAGUUGGCCAUGACCUCUGGAAAUUUAUCGAUGGCAUUCAUAAACAACCUUCUGCCCACACCUCCACCUCUACCACCACAACACCCACAACCACCACCACUCUUACCGAAAUCAAUCCUACCUAUGCUCAGUGGUACCAACAAGACCAACUCAUUGUUAGCUACAUCACCAGUACACUCUCUGAGUCCAUUUUCUCUCUCACUGUCGGUUGCAUCUCUGCCCGGGAUCUCUGGGAGUGUCUCCAAUGCCACUUCUCUUAAUCCAAUAUGGCCAGUGAAUCUGCUCUUCGUUUUCAACUCAUGGAUUUGCAAAAAGGCUCUCAACCCAUUGAUGCUUACCUUCGUCAUGCUAAGUCUCUUGCCGAUUCACUAGCUGCCAUCAAUUAACCUGUCUCCCCAAAAGAACUUGUCACUGCUGUGCUUCGGGGUUUAGGACCCGAUCACAAAAUGCUCAUCACAGCAAUUCUCAAUUUCUCUCCGCUUCCAGACUUUGCUGAUCUUCGUGCUCGUUUGUUAGCUUUUGAUGCACAGACUCCUCGAAUCUUUCCUGAUCAAAACACAACGCUAAUGGCCACCCAAUCUUCUCCUUACACCACCGGUCAUACUUCCUUCCCUUCUCACCGUGGUUGUGGCUCUUCCAGCAAUAGGCGCGGUGGCUGGUGCAGUAUUGGCCGUGGUGGCUGGCACAACUUCUCAUCUUCCUAGAGCAACCCGUGGAAUGGCUUCCAGCAGCCCUAAUGACCUAAUCAACUGUGGCCUCCUUUUGCUCUAAGUUUUGGAUCUCAAAGCAACUGGCCUUCCUUUCAACCUCUUUGGGCCCAAUCUGCCGCUUCUAGCAAACACUCUGCCCGACCCAACUCAGCUCCUGGUGUCUUGGGACCCGCUUGGUGCACCACAUGCAAUACCAAUCGACAUACUACUACAACAUGUCCUUAUUGCUACAAUGGCCCAGAAUUCUUCCUUUGCUGGGGCUCAAUUCAUGCAGCCACCUAACUCUACAUGGUACCCUGACACAAGUGCCACUCAUCAUAUGACUGGUAGUUCUUCUAAUCUCCAAAGGAAAUUAAAUGAAGGAGUCCUACGAAGGCUCAAGGCUCGAAAGCACACGAUCCGGCUCUGCUGCGGAGCUCACUCAACUACUGGCUGAGGGGGCGCAAAACAGAAAAUUGUGAGUGGACAAAAAUAAAAAUUCAGUUCAGUGUAAACCAACGUAAUAUAACCCCACCGUUUAGAAAACCAUGCAAGAAAUCCAAAUGCAUCUCAAAACCAUCAUAAUCAUCAAAUCAAAAUCAAAUACUGGAUGCCAAGUCCGAAAUCCAUAAAGAAAGCUUUACAAACCCACCAUCCAAAUCUUACAAUCCCACAACUAAACUCUCGAAAGCGUACCCAUUGGCAGUACCAGCAAGGAAGUAUCCUCACCGAGAAACAAGAACAAAAGAAUAGCUAUAUAUAUAAUUAUAUAAUAUAACCACACCUAGUUGUACCGGGAAAACAAUCCAACCGGGGGAUUGUUUGACUAGUCACCAUGGCAGAGUCAAAGUAAACAAAUUCCUCAAUUCACCAUGUGACUAGGGAACGAGCUGUCCAACUGGGGGACCAACUCUCAGCCAGCAUGUACCGUCGAUAGCCUCAAAACCCGUACGUCUGUGACCAGUCCUACGCGUGCAGACUACCCAAUCAAGGGUUUACAGCAACAUCCCAUCAAGGAUGCCCUAGGUUCCCACAAUUCCAAGUAUCUCAAGUUUGCGUAUCCAAGUUCCAAAUCCGGGGAGGUACAUAGGGUAGUGCUUAUAGCACUCCAAAUUGACAUUCUAUACUCAUCACUUUCCACAAUCUCAUCUCAACAACCUAAGUACCCCACACAUAGCCAAACAUAUAUAGAAAUUCUCAAAAUCCAUAUAUACAUACUCAAGAUACUCAAAUAUGUCAAAAUCCAAAAUAUAUUUCCAAUGCAUCAUAAAAAUAUCACUUUUAACAAUUGAAUAAAUAAUAUAUAUCCAAUAUACCAAUUAAAACAUCAUGCAUAAUAUUUCCCAUCAUAAAAUCAUGCAUAAGAUUUGAAAACAAAGUCCACUCACAAGUAGUCCCACACUGCUUGACCUUGAGAGGGUCCCGCCUACUGCGUAUGCGUGGUUGGAGUACCUAUUUCAGAAUACGUAUACGAGAUUAAUAAGAAGCGUUUCGAACGAGAACUUUGAAUUAAAUAUCCUAAUUUCCCAGGUUUCUAGUAAGUGUACUAGGAACGAGACGUUCUAAGGUUCCACUACCCAAUUCGAACCAUGGAAGAGCUUCGGGAGACACUCGGUCAACCGGCGGUCAAAUUCCCAAAUCGGGUCAACUGGCCCACGGGACCCACGACCUCCGUUUUUAAAAUCCGUAAGUUCCUAAAGGUUUCACAAUGUCUAAGAUACUACUAUCACAAGUUUGGUCCGAAACGGACUGUUAGAUCGCUUACGAUCGCACGAUCAGACGGUUAUUGUAAAACGUAAACUUUAAGUUAUUGAAUCAGAACAUCCGGGGCUCCGAUUCACGAUCCGCGAAUUCCUACACGAUCCUAGGAAGGUCUAGAGUAACAUAUAUUGGAAUGGAGUCGAUCCAAAGGUCCGAACAUAUCGAACCUAGACCGGAUAACUCCUAAUAUGUGAGAUUCGUUCGGGGUUCGAACAUCAACCAAAUUGGAAUCCUAAGGUACCUACGUGCUCGUGACAUUAAGGGGAUCAAUUGGGACAAAAAUGCCCCUCUGCUACAGUGCCCACGUGCCACCACACGCGGCGGUAGAGAGUGGGUGUCCAAAGCGAUUUCUCUUCGCCGGAAAAUCUCCAAAUUACAAGCCACUCUCCUGGCUACAGGUUCUACUCAACGAGUGGAACACUUUAUUCAACUACAGCCAAGUCCAAUUCGGACGGCAAGUGGCCGGAAACUCACGGUUUAACCCGGAACUUCAUGGCUUGGAUUGGGCGACCAUCGUCACCAUUGUCGUGGCACAACCUAGGAAAUAGCUAAAAGGAGAGGAGGGCUACCUAUUCCAAGCGAUGGCGCAGCUCGCGGUAGCCGAAAAUGUAGCCGAUGACGUUGGCAGUUUUGGCCGGUUUUUCACGUCGUUGCCAUCGCCGUUUGUCGAGUUUUCGAUUGGAGAAAAGGGGUGGGGUGAGUAGAGGAGGAAGAGAGGAAGCUUUUGCAAGAAAUGACACUUGUCAGGGAGGGGGGGGUUGGGGGAAGAGAGAGAGAGAGAGAGAGAGAGAGAGAGAAAAAAAAAAAAUUUCAGAUUUUCAUCCAAACCCUUUUCGAAAUAUUUACAAGUUUGCCACUAAACUACUUUUGGUUGCCAAAUCUUCGUUAUAACUCCGAUUCAAGCCUACCACGUGUCUACGGAUUCGUCUCAAUACAACCUACCCAAAAAUACCAGUCACUGCCCCAAACUCUUUUUGGGUAAGAAAAUGACCAAAAUACCCCUACCCCAAGGGUAAAUUCAUAAUUUCACUUCAAUAAUUUAAUAAAGAAUUAAAUUUGGAGUCGGGGUGUUACAUUAACUACCUGUUUAGUAGGUGUGGGGUUUUAUACAAAAAGCAUCGAUGUUAUUGGGAGUGGAACCACUUAUUAUAAGUUGUGAUUUAUUUAGUCAAGUUUCCUAUGUGGGAUUUUCUAUUCUUCAACAAGCCCCCUCAUGUGGGACCACCACAUAGUGGGCCACAUGUAAAGCUAAGUCCACAUCGGAGUCAAUCAUUCAAGCCCAAUACCUAAACACCACGUAUUGUGUGAGGGGUAGGGGUAAACAUUCAAGCCCAACAUGUGAACCACCAAAUAUUAAGUAAGGGUAAAGGCUCAAUUCAGGCCCAAUCAAUGAACCCAUUAUGAUAUCAUGUUAAAUUUCAGAUAGACGGGACUGUGGCCCACCACUAGCAACAUUGAUAUUGUCCCCAACUUAACUACAUGUUUAGUAGGUGUGGAGUUCUAUACAUAAGGUCUCGAUGUUUUUAGGAGUGGAACCACUUAUUAUAAGUUAUAAUUUAUUUAGUCAAGUUUCCAGUCAACCUGACUUUGAUACCAUGUUAAGAUUUUAAAGGGACGAACUCUUGGCACUAUUAGUAACAUCGACAUUGUCCCCAACUUAACCACCUGUUUAGCAAGUGUGGGGUUUUAUCCUAAAGGCCUCGAUCUUAUUAAGAGUUGAGUCAUUUAUUAUAUGGAACUUUCUAUUUUGUUAACUCUGUGUAUUCUUCAUCAAUGUGAACACCCCUAAACCAAUCAUACCUGAUACGAAUUGAAACACAAGUUUGUUUUUUGCCUUUGGUAGAUGAGUAGCUAGAAAAGCUCAAUGCACUUGCUCUUCUGCUACAUUUCAAUAUAAGAACAAGGUUUGGAAGUCAGGUCAACUCCUCAUAGCUUCCUUGCCUUUGCUUUGACAUGUCUAUGCACUUCUUGGGGAAGUUUGAAUAAUCCAUUGCAGGCCCCAUGACAACUAAGGAACCAACAUUUUGUAGAAGGUUUUGUCUAUACCUUUUGACUAUAAGUAAAAUCUUUUGUAUCUGCUCUUAUGUUUCGGUGAAGUUUCUAUGUGUCCUUUGUGCCGAGUUUCUAUGCGUCCUUUGUUGAACCAAAAAAUGAGGUUGUUUCUUACUAGAUUCAAAUACUUAAAAGAAAAAAAGAAAUUGUUGUUUCUUAAUGGAUUUUAUGAUGAACAAUAUCAAACUCUCCUCUUAUACGUCUGUUGGUAAAUUUUAACAACAAUAUUAAAACCUUGCAAGUGCACAAAUCAAAUGAUAGUAUAGUAAGCAAGCAAGGGUCGAUCCCACGGAGAUUGUGAUCUAAAGAGAUGUUUAUCAAUGUCACGCAAUGAAAAUCAAAACAAAGGACUUCCAAACACACGCCAACACCAAGGGGGGUUUUGAUUUGUUUUUGUGAAUCAAACAAAAUAAGGAAAAGGAAACAAAAGAGAAUUUAAAUUAGAGUUUAAGAGAAAUUGGUUUAAAAUCAAUCAAGAUCAAUAGCUAGGACUUACUAUCCACCUCCAAACAAUCAAUCAAUCCAUAAACAACAAUAGAUAAUCAAUUUCUAGUAAGCACACUACUACAAAAAAGCAAAAAGACGACGGUAAAUCACCGUCGUGUAUUCGGUUUUUCAAUGGUCGUGGAAUCCACCGUCAUCUUUUCCCUCAUAAACCACGACGCUAAAUCACCGUCGUUGUUACAAUAUACAACGUCAUCAACAAAUACAAAACGACGUCUUUGUACUGCAAAAAGAUCUAAAAAAGCAAUCGAUGAUGAGAAAAGACGACCAACUCUCUAAACAAACCGUCGUUAAAAAGAAAAAAUAUGACACAUAUUAACAGAACAUGGCCGCAAGAUAGACAUACAACGACGAAAAUUAAAAUAAGACGCCGUUAAAUAUCAUUUUCACGACAAUAAAAAAUAUGUCGUCUUUAAAUACAUUAGAAGACGACGUUAUUGAUACCUACUACGUCGCCUAUAUAAAAAUAACCGUCGUAAAAUAAAUUUUCCACUUCGAUUUUUCUAUAAAAGAUGACGUGGAAAUAGUUGUCAGUGUCAUUAUUUACGACGUAUGUAUUUAUAGAGUAGACGUUGAACAACGAAACAACGUCGGUUACAAAUAUAUGAGAGUCGUAUUACAAAAUUUAUACGUCCUAUUUUCAGAAACAAACAACGACGAUAAAUAUUAGACGUUGUUAAAUAAAACAACGUCGAAAACAAAUAAAAACAGACGUGUUUAGUCUGCUAAAGUUCUAAAAAAUAGUCGAGGAUGAGAAUAGACGACCAACUCAAACAAAUCACCGUCGUUAAAAAGGAAAAAUAUGACACAUAUUAAAAGAACAAGGCCGCAAGAUAGACAUACAACGACGACAACUAAAACACUACGCCGUCAAAUAUAAUUUUCACGACAAGAAAAAAUAUGACGUCUUUAAAUACAUGAGAAGACGACGUUAUUGAAAUAUACUACGUUUCUUAUUUACAAACAACCGUCGUGAAAUAAAUUUUCCACUUCGAUUUUUCUAAAAAAGAUGAUGUGGAAAUAGUUGUCAGUGUCAUUAUUUACGACGUAUGUAUUUAUAUAGUUGACGUUGAAAUGCGAAACAACGUCGGUGGCAUUUAUAUAGUCGACGUUGUAUUUAUAUGUAUUCAUUACUCACGACGCACUUAUUAAUAUAGACGACGUUGAACUUCUAAACAACGUCGGUUCCAAAUAAAUGAGAGCCGUAUUACAGAAAAUAUAGAUGGCGUUGAUUAUGAUGAGAGCCGUAUUACAAAUAACGUCGUUUAAUUGAUAUUAGACGGCGGUUAUAAUGAAUUACCGUCGGAAUUCAUUUCGUUCCUCUUCGUUUAUAAAAGAACUUGCGACGUGGAAAAUGUAUGAUGACGUCGUAUUUUUUAACGUUCAGAUUAUAUAUCUCGUUUUUUAGACGUCGGUAUUAUGGGAUUGGAGUCGUGUUAUUUUGAAUUACAUGGCGGUUCUUAAUCCUUCCCCGACGUGAUAUCCUGAAUAAUUGCUUCAUAAUAGCGUCGUGGUUCUUCAUUGUUACGUUGCUUUAAGACGUCGGUAAAUAUGCUGAAUAACUGGUUCACAAUAACGUCGUGUUUUAUUUGAACGUAGAAAGUGAAGAAAUCACAUUACAAUAUAUUACAAAAUUAAUGUCAUACACUGCCAAUUACAUAAGCAUCAUUCAAUCCAUAUAUCUUCACACCCAUCUCGAAUAUUUUGACCGCCUAACUCACCCACCAGUUCAUCAAAUGUGUCAACAUUUGGCAUCCCUCUAGUAAAUGGCUCACACUCAAUUAUCACAUCACCUAAGACUUCAUCACCAAUAACAUUAUUAUAUUCUCUAUUAGGCAUUGAUAACACUACCGACCAACCACGAUGCAUCGGGUCGUCAACAAAAAAUAUUUGUUUGACUUGAGAAGCCAAAACAAAUUGGUCAUUCCUAUGUCCAAUUUUACUCAAAUCUACAAGGGUAAAUCCAAGUUCGUCGACUACAAGACCAGAACUAUCUAUCCAAUCACACCUAAAGACUGGGAUUGUAAACUUUUGGUAGUCAAGGUCCCAAAUUUCUUGAAUGACACCAUAGAAACCCAUAUUUGAGAGAAUUGAGUUUUUAUCCUUGGCACUAGCAACUUGCAUGGUAUGUGCAAGUAAAUAAACUCCACUAUUUUGAGUUGUCCGCACAUCAUCUUGUGCCUUGAUAUUGAAUUUAAUACCUUUAAUAAGAUAGCUCCUAUAUAAUGGCACAGCCAUGUUUGGACCAGCUGCUAGCCACCUUAAAUUUUCUGAUACGCCAUGAUUGUCUUCCUCAAGUUCACUUUGAACCUGCAAAUUAAUCAUAUAUCUUAAUGCAAUCUAACAUAGAAAUAAGAAGAAAAUUAAAAGAGAAAUAUGUUAUUCAACAACAUAUACCUUGAAGCGUAGCCAUUGAAUGAAAGUGUUAUUGUGCUUAUCCUGCAGCCACUUUGUGAUUUAAGGUAUGACAAUCAUGUGAUUUAAGGCCAAGAAGUCUUGAAUCUUGUAAAGAUACAAGAUUUUUAAUAUUUGAAGAAUAACCUUCAGGGACCUUCAUACCAUAGAAAGAAUUGCAAACCUCUCUCUUCUCUGCUCUUGACAAAUUCCAAGGCCCAGGAGGCAAACGAGUACGUCUUUCUCCAUACUCGGGUUGCAAAUCAGUUUUGACCCCCAUGUUCAAUAAAUCUAAUCGAGCAGCAAUCCCAUCUUUAUUUUUUCCAGGGAUCUCCAGCAAUGUACCAAUGAUACUAUCGCAAACAUUCUUCUCAAUGUGCAUAACAUCUAGGGCAUGCCUCACAGGAAGGUAUUUCCAAUACUCGAGAUCAAAGAAUAUUGAUUUCUUCUUCCAACAAACUCUGUCACCAUUUUCAACCAUGUGCAGCACUUCUUCUCCGGUUAAUGGCUCGGGAGGUAUGCCAUAUUCAGGUUUCCCAUUAAAAGCUGCACGUUGCCUCCUAUAUGGAUGAUUGAUUGGUAACCAUUUUCUAUGCCCAAUGUAACAAAUUUUGUGGCCAUUUUCAACCUGUGACUAGGUGUAUCAUCGCCGCAUAUUGGACAAGCUUUAUAUCCUUUAACAACACAACCAGAUAAGUUUCCAUAGGCGGGGAAAUCAUUAAUUGUCCACAUUAAUGCAGCUCUGAGUGUAAAGUAUUCUCCAUUAUGUGCAUCAUACACUCCUCUAAUCCCAUCCCACAAAGAUUUUAAAUCAUCAAUCAAAGGCUCCAAGUAGACGUCUAUAUCAUUUUCGGGUUGUUUAGGACCGGAAAUCAAUAAGGUUAACAUCAUGAACUUUCGUUUCAUGCACAGCCAUGGAGGGAGAUUAUAUGUAACUAAGAUAACCGGCCAACAACUAUAUCUGCUACUUAGAGAACUGUGGGGAUUGAAUCCAUCAGAUGAAAGAGCCAAUCUCAAGUUUCUCGGCUCAUUACCAAACUCAGGCCAUUUAUCAUCAAGAAGUUUCCAAGACGGGGAAUCCGCCGGAUGAGACAUCUGACCGUCAAUUGAUUUUCUAGCAGCAUGCCAAGUCAAACUCUUAGCUGUCUCAUGUGAUUGAAACAUCCUUUUAAACCUUGGAAUUGGAGGAAAAUACCACACCACCUUCGCUGGCACAUCCUCUUUCAAGAUUGAAUCUUUGCCUUCCUUCCACCUUGAGAUACCACAAGUAGGACAAUUAGUUGAAUCCUCAUACUCCUUCCUAUACAAGAUGCAAUCAUUGGGGCAUGCGUGCAUUUUCUCAUAACUCAGCCCCAAUGCACACAAAGUCUUUUUUGCCUCAUACAUAGAGGUUGGUAUUGUAUUUCCUUCUGGAAGCAAAUCGCCUUGAAGUAUCAAUAAUUCUGUAAAACAGACAUCACUCAUCCCAUGUUUUGCCUUCAAAUUAUACAACUUCACUAAUGCCGAUAACUUCGUGUACUUUCUACAACCAGGGUACACUGGUUGAUCUCCAUCCCCAAUCACAUUGGCAAACUCAUACGGAUCGGAACCAAAAUCACCAAAAUCAUUAUCAUCCAUAUCAAUUUCUUCAGACACAAAACUGUACCUACUAUGGCCAUCAUCUUCUUCAACAUUUCUACUAGCAUUAGUAGUUGCUUCCCAAGGUUCUCCGUGAAAUGUCCAAUUCUUAUAGCUUUGGUCAAUUCCAUUAAAGUAUAAGUGAUCCCUUAUAAUUCCAACCCCAAACAACUUCAAAUUAACACAUUUAACACAUGGACAACGGAUAUGUGUUGUAGUUAGAAGAUUUUCUACAGCAAAGUUCAAAAAUGCUUCCACCCCAAACUCAUAUGCCUUCGAUCUUCUAUCCGAGUGCAUCCAUGACUUAUUCAUCUCCGACACUAUAACCUAUUAUCUAUAAUAAAGUGAAAAUACAGGCAAUGACCAUCACUAUAGCAGAUUAUACAAAGAUCUAAUAGCAAGUAAUACAUAACAGAGACGACGGGUUUUAAACAAAAACAGACGUAUUUGGCAUAUAUAGACGACGGAUUUUCAACAGACGUCGUCUAAUAUAAGUAAUACAAACGACGGUUUAUGAAAAAACCGUCGUGUAUAAGUAAUACAACGACGGUUUUUUCAUAAACCGUCGUGUAAUCGUCGUCGUAUGCCUAAAAAGGCGUCGUGUCUCAGUUUAUUUUCAAGAACCCAAAACCCAUUAAGAACACAACAUAUAUAUGAAACCAAGCAAGAAACCAACAUAUACAUGAAGCCAAGCAUGAAAACAAUAAAUCCAUUCCCAAUUCAACAUAACAUAGGGUGAUUAAAAGAUCCGACAAAAUUAAAACCAUUCCCAAUUCAACAUAACAGAUAAUGUAAUCCAUGAACCCAUUAAACAGAAAAUCCAUGAACCUAUACCUAUAAGCACAUUAUUAACAGAUCGCAAAGCAUAUACCUAAAACCCUUUAACAAAACAACCUAAUAUCAUUCAAUGAAUUUACAAAGGGAAGAUAGGGUUUGUACUUACAGGUUGGACGAGCUCACAGAUUCGACGAAGCCUGGAGAGUGCAACUUUUAAUUAGAGCAGAAGUGAGAGAGCGAAUGUUAUGUUGCGCGAAAUCUGAAAAUUUUAGGGUUCAGGGUUAGAAGUAUAAGAAUAAGAGCCAAAUAUAAAAAAAUUUAGGGCGCGCGAAAAUUUUUAGAGCGCGCGCUCUUUAAAACGUCGAAAGAAAAACCAUGGCGAAAGUUCUACAAGAACCGACGUAAAUGUAAUAUUCCACGACGAAAACACUUAACGUAACGCCGUUUAUUUUGACGUUCAUUUUUCGGAUUAAUUUUAAAUUUAUUUUGAAUAUUUUGAUAUAAAGACGACUGAAAAACCACGUCGAAGUUAAGAAAUUGAAAACGUUGUAAAUUAUAAUAGACGACUUACAUAUUAAAAUGACGUCGUUUAAAGUGGAAACCAUGUCGGAUAUUUUACUGCACGACGUAACAUAUGUAUUCCACGACUCAACCACCGUCGUUAACAAUUAAUACCCUAAACCCUUAAAACUAAAUUAUAUAAUUUUAAAAAUUAAGUUUAUAAAAGGGUUUAUGGUUUUACAGCCUAAUAUAUACCCUAUACUACCCAAAAAUUAUACUUUAAAAAUAAACCCCAAUAAAUAACAACCCUAAUCUCUAAACCCUAGACUCUAAACCCUAAACCAUAAAACUAGAAGUGAUUUUAUGACUCAUCAAAACAAUUUUGUUUUGGAUGGUCAUUUUAAAUUUUUUUUAUUCAAAAUGAAUUUUUUCAAGGUUUAGGGGGAAGAAAAUAUAUCAAUGACUUCAUAGGAGUUGACUUUUCAUUUUUCUGAUUUAUUUUAAAUUUAUUUUGAAUAUUUUGAUAUAAAAAUAAUAAAAUAUUCUUAUCACAAUAACAAACCACGUCGGUGUUAAUAAAUUUUAGACGUUGUAAAUUGUAAUAGACGACUAAGUUGUUAAAAUGACGUCGUUUAAAUGAGAAACCAUGGCGGAUAUUUAACUAUCCGACAUAAAAUAUAUAUUCCACGACUUAACCGCUGUCGUUACAAAGUACUACCCUGAACCCUUAAGAAAUUGAAGACGUUGUAAACCAUAAACGACUCAAUUGUUCAAAGAACGUCGUCUAAAUAUCCUUUUACGUCGGAUUUGGUUAAAACGAAACAACAAAAAACGACGGCUUUUGACUUUAUUACGUCGUUGGAAAAGUAUUACACGUCGGUUACGCAAUUUGUAUGUUUGUUUUUUUUUUUAAUUUAAGAAAACCUCAACAAAUUUUUACAUUAUAUAUUAUAGACAAAAUUUGUACAUUAUACAUAAAUAUCAAGUGUUCAAUAAUUCCCCUAUUCCAGGUGAAGGCAAACAAACUCUGACCAUUCAUUCCGGACUUCAUCAAUUGCUUCUUGGGGGUAUGGCGCUUCCUGUUUUCCCUUGGCAUACUGCAUAAACAAUGACUAUUAGGGUUUAUAAAUAAAAAGAAAUUCAAUCACAGACGACGAUAUUUUUCAUAACCGACGUACUAUAUCUAUUCAACGACGGUAAUUUUACAUGACCGUCGUUGAUAAUACAAAAAACGACGUAAAAUGUAUGAAGGUAAUUUCUUCUUACCUUCUUCUCAAACCCCAAGGAAGGAUCCAUGAUGAUGUCCCUCAUGAAGCGCAUCACAUAAUACCCGCAUUCGACAUUGCUGGGUUGCUUUGGUGUCCCUGACAGAGUUUUCCAAAUGGCUGCCUUACGGCCUGGUCUGGCUAUGUGAGAAUUAUAAAUUUUUAUAGCACUGUUCACAAUGUUUUUGGCCUCUUCAUCGACCACACGAUUUCCUGGCAGAGGAUCCAGAAAAUAGACGGUUUCUCUCUUUGCUCUUACAAUCAGCAAGAUCCAAUGACGGCUGCACAAAAUUAAUAUAAAAACGACGGUUAUUUACAAUAACGACGUAUUAUAAUGUUUCACACGACGAAAUAAAGUAGCAAUCGACGACAUUUUACAUUUAUCACGACGAUAAAUAACUACCGACGUGGUUAGUAGUUUCAAACGACUCAAUAAAAUAAAACACCGACGUGGUUAGUUUAUACGCUGUAAUUUAUUGAAAAUCAUAAAAACAAAAUCCUGUUAAGGAGACUAACCCUGGAUUGUAAGGCAUCAGGAAAAUCUGUUCACCGUCAGUCUUUUGAAGUCGAGCUGCUAGUAAGCGUGAUCUGUCAGCUAUUGUGCCAGAGUUGGCACUAACUGUAGCAAGGUCGAUAAAGCCAACCAUAUUGCACAUAUUUGCUCGUUUCAAAACAUCGUGCAAGUGCCUAAAUAUAUAAAAUAAUAUAAACAAGUCAGCACAAAAAAACACACGACGGUUAUGUAUAACAAAACGACGUAUUAUAAAAUUUCACACGACGUACUGAAAUAGACAACGACGUUAUAAUAUAUUUAUCACGACGGUAAAUACUAACGACGUGGUUAGUUAGUUAAGACGACGUAAUAAAUAAACCAACGACGUAUUAUUUUAGAAUGACAAACCUCAUAUAUACAAAAAAACACGACGGUUAUGUAUAACAAAACGACGUAUUAUAAAAUUUCACACGACAUACUGAAAUAGACAACGACGUUAUGAUAUACUAACGACGUGGUUAGUUGGUUAAGACGACGCAAUAAAUACACCAACGACGUAUUAUUUUAGAAUGACAAACCUCAUAUAUACAGCAAUGACAGUGGCUCCUAUUUCUUCCAUGCCUGCAAAUUGUGUAAUAUCUUCAGGCAGGAGGAAGGUAUCGCGCUCUAGACCAAACACCUCCUUAUCAAUUGUAAAGUGCAGGGUCUUAUCCUGAGGCACGAGUGUCGUUUCCACAUAACGACAAAGGGAGUUUAAAGAAGAUGGCGCCUCCAUAUUUGAAUAAUCAACAACUUUAAUAACCUGUUUAAAGAAAUAUAAAAAAUGACGUGGUAAUUCAAUAAAAACGACGGUUUAAGGAAUAAAACGUCGUCUGAAAAGAAUUUAAACGUCGUCUGAAGAAACCGUCGUGGUGAAUAAUUUAUUACGUCUUAAAAAAAAUUCCGCCGUCUAAGUUGUAAACAAACGACGGUUUAAAGAAAAAUAUCGACGUCUGGAAUUUUGAAAAACAAAUAAAAAAGGCAAAGUUAUGUGAACAUACCUGGUCGUCAUCUUCUUUCUCCUUUUCAUCAUGUUUUUCUUCUGUCUUCCCUUCAUCUAUUACGUCGAGAAUGACUAACUCCGUCGUCUAAAAACCACAAAGUUUUAAAAUAACGACGUUUAAUGGCGUGUAAAACAAGUAAACUAAAUACGACGUGGUAUUGAAAUACAAACGACGGUUUAUGUUUAAAAUCGUGGUGGUAUGUAUUUCAAACGACGGUUUUAUUAAUAAUAACGACAUCUAAUGGUUUUUAAAAAAACAGAGAAUUCAAAGUUCAGAUAUGUUACCUUUUCUUCCUGAUGUUUCCCAUUUUUGGCAGUAUCAUCCUCAAAAUGCUGGGAUCUCACAUCACCUCCAGAGCAGCUUGCUUUGUCAGACAUUGGAUUUUUGGGACUUUGGCUAAUUCUGGGUUUAAGCAUGCUUGGAUCAAAAUUGGGAAUUAAUUGGGAAAGCUGACUCAGGAAAUGCUCCCUCUCAGCCUCUACCAAUUGUUUCGUUCUAGCCUCCAUCCUUAAAGCCUCUUCCCUUGCCUUAGCUUCCAUCUUUUUAGUCUCUUCUUGAAGGAGAACUCUUAAACUGUCCUUCAAACGGUCGUCAAAGCUCACUCUCUGUGGUUUGGGUAAAUUGAAAUAUUGCCUUGGUGAGAUCCCAGCACCUACUCCUCUCACUCUGCCUGGAUGCUCGGGGCCCAAAGCCAUGGUCAGCACAUCAUUGCUGCCAGAAACAGUGACUUUGCCUUCCGAGACUUGUUUUUGCAAUUCAUCCUAAAACAAAGAUAUAUAAAAAAGUAAGAACAAAAACACACGACGGUUAUUUAUAUACAAACGACGUAUUAUAUAAUUUCACACGACGCAAUAACAUAUAAAUCGACGUUAUUAUAAUUUAUCACGACGGUAGUUUUUAAACCGACGUGGUUAGUUUUUAAAACGACGAAAUGAAUAAACCACCGACGUCUUAUGCUUUAUUUACAGAUAACAGAGGGAUGAUUCAAUAUUCACACCUUUAACGACCUUGUUUAAAAUAUUUCGACGUAGUAAUUCAAUACAAACGACGCGAAAAUGAACCACCGACAUCUUAUGCUAUAAUUACAGAAAACAGAGUAGUGAUUCCUGAUUUAGACCUUUAACGAUGUGGUAAUAUCAUUCACACGACGCAAAAUAUAACAUAAGACGUAAUAAGAAUUAUUCACAGUUUAAUAAAAAUUUAAAACAGAGUGAGUAGGCUUACAAUUAAUUUUGCUUUCUCUGCCACCUUUGGAUCCGGGAUGUUACCAUGUUUGUCCUGUCUAGCUCUCUUCCAUAAGGUAGAUCGAUCAAUUUCUACCCCAGGCAUGGUUUCCUCCAAUUGAUCCUCCAAACCAGCAUAUCCUUUUCGAGACAAUCGAUGAUUGUACUCAAGUUUCUCCCUAAUCUGUGCAUGUUGAGAAUGCACAGACUCAAAAUCUUUGGAUAACCUUGAAGCUACAAAGGCAUCCCAUUGUGCUUUCUCUAUGAAUUUAUAUAUUUCAGGGGGUUGGCUUAAUCUCUCCCUGUCAUUAGUGUAUGGAAGGAUAUAUUGCCUCGUUAGUGUAGACUUGAAAUCCUUCCAUUUCUUGGCAGCAGAAGCUAACACAGAGCUCUUGCCCCCUUGACCUACCACAAAAGCAAUGUCAACUGCUUCCCAAAUCUGCUCCUUUAUAUCCUUGGAGAUUUGAGCCUAUUUCAUGUCCACAAGUGGAACUCUGGAGCGUGCCAACACACCAAUGUAGGACUGCAUCUCACUAUGUGCUUGGCCAAUUCCUUUCCCCCUUUUAUUGUACUCAACAAUUGGCCUCAGUUUCUGAAGUUUUCUCUUCACAACAUGAGGCAUUGUGCUCAUACCUCGACCAGACUUUGAAUCAUCAGAGAUUGUUGUCGUGCUGGUUCGUUCUGUCUCAGCAGAUGAUGAAGCAAACUUCAUCUUCUUCGAAGGCUUCACUUGAGGAGGUACCAUUCCAAGGUCCUUACCUCCAUUUUUCUUGGAGCCAGAAUCCUUACUUUGGUCUUAGUGAGAAACCAUUUUUACAGACAAAACUGCAAGUGAAAAUAUUUCAGGAAAAGAUUAAGAACACAAACGACAGUUAUUAAUAAAAUACGACGUAUGAUAUGAUUUUAAACGACGCAAUGAAAUAAUCUCAGACGUAAUAAAUGUUUAAAACCAAGGUAAUUAAACAACGACGAAAUAAUUAACUAUAAACGACGUGAUAAUUAACUAUAAACGACGAAAUAUUUAUAUAACGUCGUGGUAUUGAUGUUCACACGACGUCAGUCGUAAUAUACCGUCGUCUAUAUAAGGAUCCAAAACCCUUCUUUCUUUCUCUGUGAAUGUUUGAUUGCAGAUUUGAUUUUUCUGAACCAUGGUUUUUGUUUUCUAAUUUGAUAAAAUACAAGGCCAAGAAAGAAAGUUUUGGAAUCUUAUAUAGACGACGGUAUUUUAAUAUGACGUCGUGGUAUUAACAUUCACACGACGUAAAACAAUAAGAUACUGUCGUCUAUAUUAGAUACCAACCCUACUUUCUUUUUCUUUAUAUUUUAUCAAAUUAGGGAAAAACAAAAACCAUUGUUCAGAGAAAUCAAACCUGCAAUUAAACAAGCAAAUAAAAAAAAGACUAUAAUUUUAAAAACAACUUUGUCAAUUUUCAGACGACGCUAGAACGACUGACGAACCGUCGUGGUCUACAUAUUUAACCACGUACAUAAGAAGCUACCGUCGUCUUAUUUAGUUGAGGUAGUUGUCUUCAAAGUUGGAAACUUUCCCUCUUUGUCUGUAUAUUUUAUUGAACUUGGAAAGAAGUAAAAUGAUUUUGGCCAGAAAAAAGGUAAAAAGAUUUUUCAAACAAAAAACGUAUGAGCAUGCAAAACAACAACCAAAAUAGUGAAAAUGAAAGCUUACCUUUUGCGUGCAAUGAAAGCAAGAGGAAGAUUAUGUUUAAGUUCAGAGACGACGAAGAAGAAGAGAGGAAGACGAUGAGAUACUCUGACAGUGCUCUGACAAGGAAAAAAGUCUAAAAGUUUUCUCUGGGAGAUUGAACUUUUUAAUCGGGUUUGAAAACGGCGCAUGUGUAUGUCAGGUAGACGAAAAGUUGCUUACAUAUAAAACCAUUUCAAAAAAAUAAUACGGCGGUUACAUAUAACUACGACGUAUAAAUUACAAAAUACGACGGUACAUUUAACUUCGGACGUGGUAAAUAAAUACGACAGUAGUGUUGUAGGUACCGUCGUAGUAAACUCAAAAAUUAAAGUACAUAAGUAAUAACUCGCGUCAUGGUAGAUUAUUUAACACGUCGUUUUUAUUAAUUUACCGACGUGGAUUUCUGUAAUAUACGUCGAUAAUACCGACGUUGAUUUUACAAUUUAAACGGCGGUUUUUUUGUAAGGACCGCCGUUGGUUUUAAAAAUUUAUUCUAUAAAUUUGUCGCUUUCAUUCAUUUUCGGUUUACAUUUAAGGUUCCAAGUUCUUCCUCUCUCAGUCUCUCACGUCUCAAAGACAAUAAUUUGGAUGUCUUUCUCAAAGAGAAAUUGAGCUUACUCGCAUCAAAUAUAUGUCCACAAGAAGAAGCUUGUCAACUAGCCUUCUCACUUCCUUGAUCAAGCCUGAUAGGACACUUAGUGCUUCUGAAUACUCCUUGCUUUCCAUCAAAAGAGAUGCAAGCCUGGCCUCCACUCGCUGUCGAAGGAAAGUUCGCUUCUCAGGGAAAUCUUCUUGAUUUUCUUGGCUAAGAAGAUCCGUCAGAUUUGUGAUAGCCUCUUCCUUUAUCCGUAGAGCUUCAGAAGAAGAAGAUGGGUUUCAAGAAUGCGAUAAAGAAUAGAAAUGGCUUCAGAUGGCCUCUAAAGCAUGAGCAAUCGAAUCAGUAGUUGUUGGGAGAUAUGAUGAAGACAUUGUCAAUGCUUUGAACUAUACAAGUCCUGCAGAAAGAUAAAGGACCAAACUGUUAAAGAAACUGAAACAAUGGCGGUUUUCUGUUCUACCGUCGUCUUUUCUCGUCGUCUAUAUUAAGGUAAGAUGGCGGUAGAUUUAUAAUUACCGACGUAGAUUAUUUUGUUAAACGUCGUUAAGUGUACUACAACCGACGUGGAUUUUAUUUUUAAAUUAUAAAUAGAGUUUUUUUUCCCCUAUUCUUUCAGUUUUAGUUUUCAAUUACAAAGCGUGAUAAAUAGAUUUUUCUUUCCCGAGGAAAUUUAAAAUGAGGGAAAUUAAUGUUCUAGAAUUUGUAAACUAACACGACGCAAUAUUUGCAAAUCUGUGUCAUCUGUUAAGAUUAUGAUGUGGAACAGAGUUCCAUCUGGUAAGAUUUCGUAACCCUUGGGAUCUCAGACAAAUCUGAUUAUGUCGGCGGUUUUCUAUAUAAAUCGUCGUGGUUAUUUCAAUUCUUGUCAUUAAGUAGAUCUACCGACGUAGGAUAAGAAAAUCAAAGAAAAAAAUUGUUAACAAAAAUUCUUAUUAAGACGACGGUUAAAAUUAAAGGUACGACGUAUAAAAUGAAUAAAUACGACGUUAAAUUUUAUUGUACGAUUUAAAGAUAACGUCGUAGAACUAUAAGAGAAUGACGUCGAUAUAUUUAUAUUUUCCGUCGUUGUACAUUAAUUUAAUACGGCGAUAUUUUGUAUUUUAAAGCCGUGGAUUUGUUUGUAAUUAUACGGCGUCUUAUACGAAAACCUCGUCGUGUUAUUUUAUGAGUAAAAACGGCAGUUUUUAUUGAAAUCGUCGUCUUUACUUUCUACGUCGGUCGAUUCAUAACUUCUGCCGUUCUUUGUUGGCAUUGAUUUUACACUGCGAAAAUCUGUUUCAAAUAGACGUCGGUUGUUUAAUUAUGUACGUUGUUGUUUUUGAACAGCCAUUUGAAUCUCCAUUUUUUAGUUGUCUAAGGUUGUAUUACACGACGGUGUUUUUAGAACCGUCGUCUUUUUAAAAACCACGACGGUUUUCACUUAGACCGUCGUUGUUUUCUGGUCGUCUUUUUCACUUUUUGUAGUAGUGGCAUAUGAUGACGACACUCACAACAAGAUCAUGGCAUUUGACUCGAGUUGUAUGAUUCUCUCUUAAGUGUAUGUAAAGUGUAUGACAUUUACAUCAAUACGUGUAUUCUUAAUUGAAAUCUACUAUGGCAUUUACUCAAAUUAACAAUCAAGAAUCCAUUAAGAUCAAAGAGAAUAUGAGUGUCACAAAAACCCUAAAACAUGGCAUUUGUUAUUAGGAAUUCAAGAAUCGAUUUCUCAUAACUAGUUCUUAACCCAAUUAUUCGUUGCAAAUAAGAACACAUUCAAUAUGGCAAUUGACCUAUGUUCUACAACAAUUUAAUUCCAAUACAUGCUUCUAAGUUAGCUACUCAAAGAAACAAAAUAUCAGAAUUCACAUAACAUAUAGAAACCGAAAACAUCACGCUUGUAGAAACUAAAAAUCCAUUAACCUUGUUUAUAAAAUUGAAAUCAUGUUUAGGGCUUCAAGAUUAAGCCCUAACUAACAAGAAAUUAGUUACUCAUGGUCUUGGAUGAACUCAAAAAUAAAUACAUAAGAACUGAAAAUUAAAGAAGGAAGGAAAAGAAAGAACUCGUUCGCAGCUUUCUCCUCUUGCGCUGUUGAUCUCUUUAGGACGUGAAUCCUUUUUAUCAGCCUUGCCUCGUCUUUUAUAUCACUUAUAUCAGAGUUCUAAACCCUAAAAUUGACUGAAAAGUCGUCCAAGAAGUCUUGGUAAACAAGGAAUCCAAAUAGGAAAGUAAAAAUCACAAUUCCUAACUCCACUGGGAAAUACAGCUCAGCCCAAUGUUCACACGAUUUUGGGAUCUUCGACCUUGUAGAAAAAUCAUUAAAAAUAUAUUUUAGAAAGAUAAAUGUCUUAUCUUUCCAACCAUAUAUAGCACGUAACUUGAAAAAUUCGGAAAGGCUUCCGUUUCUUCACAUUCACGUAGCAUGUACGAAACUGUCCUGUCUGCACGUGGGCUAACUUUACUUGUAAUACUGUACCAAUUGGCUCGGUAGAAAAUUCUAGAAAAAUCAUAGAUUGAACUUCAAGAUGUUAGCUUUCAUCUCCAAUCAGGGGCGGCCUUGGGGAGGUGCAAGUGGCGCCACCGCACAGGGCCCCCGAAAAAAAAAAUAUUUAUAUUAUAUAUAUAUAUUAAUAUUAUAUGAAUCGUAUAUAUAAUAUAGCGUCUGGAUAUUUGCACAACAGCGUGUUCAGGGGAGUUGGAUGGAGCACAUCUCUCUUUGGCAAAAGGGCCCGAGUUCGAUGCUCCUUGAUGUCGUUCUACUGGCUAGCCUUUUGUGAUAUUAUUUUUGCAUUCAAACUUUACAUAAUUAUUGAACCAUUGGAUUAAUAUGCAACGAUGGGUGACCACAAUCUCUUGGACUCCUGUGGUCCAUGAGAUCGGGACUGAUAUUACAUGACUUAUUUUAUUAAAUUAUUAUCAUGUUGAUGAUUGGUUGUAUGAGAAUAUAGUUUGUAGAAAUAUUUAUCUAUUUCUUGUUGGGGUUUUCUUCCAGGUUAUAGGGUUUUGGAAUUUUUCUUUGUAAUCUAAACAUGCCACCUACUAGAAAAUACGUUUAUGGAUAUACAAAACGGCUUAGAAAAAGAAAAUUCGAGGAAUUGACUCAAUCUCAAAGAGGAGCUCUUGAUAGAUUCAUUGUUAGAGAAUCACAUGCUACAAUUGAUGAAAAUAUUUAAAUUUUUAUGAAUUUAAUUUCUGAUUUUCAUUGCAUAUUUAUUGAUGGUGAAUUUUAGUUAUAAAAAAAAAUUGUUUAUGACAUUAAGUUAUGGCAAAUUUUUAUAGUAUUUUCGUAUUAGAUUAUGCAAGGCCCCAAUUUAAGUUUCGCACAGGGCCCUCAAAAUCUCAGGGACGGCCCUGUCUCCAAUUGGUCUUGUGCUAAAAUUCCUCCGAAAAGUUGAUUUUCCCUUAAAAACCUUCUAAGAGUGCAGAAAAGCUGAAAAUCAGAAAAAUAAAGUAAUAAGCCAUUUUUAAAUCUAAUUCUCUUACAAAACCAAAGUAAAAAGAGUACAUAAAUGAGUAUAUUUAUGGACUUAUCAACGUCUUCUUCGUUGGACUUGGGGUUGUUUUCCUUAUAUGUCCCCUAUAUAUAUAUAUGGCCUUUAGUUGAGCCCACAAAUACCUUCAGUUAGUUUUUGGGUUUAGGGGCCUACAGAACCUGCACUAAACAAUAAAAGAAAAUACCUAAUUAGUUUAGUACGAAUUUAUAAUGAAGGCUUUAUUAGGUGAAGUUUUAUUUCUUAAUCGUUAGAUCAAAUUGGUUAGCAUCUGAAGUCGCCCAAAGAUUUGAGAGGGAUUCCACAAACAUAUAAUAUAAAGAAAGAAAGCAAUAGUAGGAGAUGAACCAGUACAAAAAACAAUAUAUAAAUAGUACAUAAUAAUUCCAUAACCUUGUCACAAACGCACUCACAAAUGCUUUCCAUAAACCUUGCCCUAACAUAUAACAAAUAAAGGCAACAUUGCAUAUGAUGCAACCAUGUCCAAAUCUGAUACGUGAUAAAAAAAAAAGGACAUGGCAGCAACAUAUGACUGAAGUAGAUGGGCUCUUUGCAUCUCGUGUUAUCGUAAUUAAAGACAUCAAAAUAUUAAGGUUGAAAUCUUCUAUAGUAGCAAGCAUUAAAAUAGGUUUGAAGCAGAGUUUAAAGAAAAUUCCAAUUCCACUGAUUUGCCUCUGCUCAAAGACGAGAACCAAAAUGGUUACUUCCCUUGCUGAGUAUAUUUGUUAACGUCGGAAACGGUAAUAGAUGACCAAUCAAACCCAAGUACGACGAGUUUUGCAUAGGAUCAGAAGUAGUUGAAUCCAGCUUGCAUCACACGCUUCUUUGACUCCAUUGCAUUAGAUGAGUUUUUGUAUUUUUGAACAGCUACACUCCGAAGUCGUUUGUGUCUACGCUUCAUGCGCUGCAACUUCGCCCUAUCCAGAUUGGCCUGCCUUUUGUCAUCUUCAAUUUGGCCUUCAACAAAUUCCAAACGUGCCCUUGCCCUUUGGAUUUCAUCACCAAGUUGAAGAUGCCUCUCCUUCCAAAAAGCAAGAACUCUUUCAGACUCAAAACUUCCAACAAAAUGGUCAUUCUAUCUAGGAAUGUGACAUUGCUUGUCUGGUGACUCACCUGCGUUUCAAAGGCGGUCUUUGUUUGGAGGGGUGUUUAUUAUGCUCACAUCAAACUUGGUUAGUAAAUCCAUUCUAUGGGGGGAGUGAGUUUCUGUGGAGGAGAGAGUUUCAGUAGAUGGAGACAGAUUCGGUGGAGGAGUGAGAUUUUUGUGGAGGGAGAAUUUCUAUGAAAUGGGUGAUAGUAAUACCAAUAAAAGGGUUCCCGCCAAAAAGUAUUUGGUUGACAAUGUAUAAAUUAAUUUUUGGUCUGAUACAAUCUAAGUUUAAUCCUAACUAGUUUGGUUAGUUUGGUUGAAUUCACUAACUAGAUGUCACUUCCAUUGAGUUUCUUUCAACCACUAUCAGUGGUGUAAGGAGAGUGUGAGGUUGACAUGCUUGAAAAGCAAAACCUAACACCUCUUUUUUUUAAAAUUGAAAGAAAGUACAUAUGUUGACUACACACAAGCUUUGGUAUGUUGGUCUAUAAAGCUAUGUUCCCUUUCUCAAACGAAAUUGCAUAUGCAAUCCUCGUCCUCCCAAAACAAAUAGAAUUAUUCAAGCAUGUCAACCUCUUCAGGCGCCAACAACACAAUCAAAGAUGACAAAUUGGAGUCGCAGGUUCUAUUUCCACAUUGUACUCGCCGACCCCUUCCAUUUUCAACAUCAUUUGGGAGUGAGGGGGACUCCGAUGAUCCAUUAGAGCUAAUACAUGCAGUCAAUAGCAAGCUGGAUUAUAAUUCCAGACUGAUCAAUUCAUGGCGCGAGAAAUAUGUUGAAGACGAAGCCAUUUUGGCUGAUCUUAACAUUAGAGUGAACAAAGCGUUCUCCCAAAAGAACAAGUACUUGAAGCUGAGUCAUAAAAGGAAGCUGAAAGCUGAGGAGUUAGAUACAGUAAUGAAUGAUGAAAUUAAAGGUUGUUUGAUGAAUCAUAUGCGAUGCGAAGAGCACCACAGUGAACUGGAGUUGGCAUUCAACGAAGGAUUCGAAAAAUUACGAGCAUUUGCAGCAACUACUCAUACAAGUUAUAAUUGGGACUAUGUGUCCCCUGAUGUUGUGAGAGAGAUACUAGACGAUGGUGGUGACAUGAAUGAGCAUAAGCACGUCAAAGCUGCUUGGAAGAAGCCGACCGAUACGACUAAGUGAUUGCGGCUACAGUUGUUCAGUUGGUUGAGAGUGAUCGUGGUAUUGCACAAAUUAGAAGUAUAUUCCCAUAAUGUCAUUAUCUAAUUUAAAAUAACACAAAUAUCAGUUUCAUUUGCUUCAUAUUGUAACACCCCGACCCCAAAUUUCCCCAAAAUUUACCCUCAUUUAAUUAAUUAAUUAUUUAAGGGUAUUUUAGUCAUAUUUUUAACCGGAGAGAGUUUGGGACCAUGACUUGUAUUUUUGGAUAGGUCGUACUGAGACGAGUUCAUAGACACGUAGUGGGCUCGAAUCAGAGUUGUAACGAGAGAGAUAUGGUCAAAAGAAACCCAGUGGCACAAUCGUAAAUAUUUCAAAAUGGGAUUUUUAUAAAAAUCUGGUUUUUCUCUCUCUCUCUCUCUCUCUCUCUCUCUCUCCCGCGACUUCUCUCUCUCUCCCGUCGGCUCUCUCUCUUUCUCUCCUUGUAUCUCCGGCCACCGACCACGGCUGUGGGCGGGGCCGGUACCAAACUGACCGGGACGACGUCCCCUUCCUUCCCCGACCAUUCCCCGCCGGCAACGCGGCCGUUGCUGGCCGGAAAAUGCAGAAAACCGCCGGGAGGUCGUCGAAACUUCAACGCCGUCGAUCUCCCUCCUCCGGCCACCAUUUUCGUCGACCCAGGUAUGGAUCUUGAACCUCUCGAGCUGUUCUAGCUGUUUGUUGGUUGGGUUUUGAUCGAUUCGAUCUCUAGAUCACUCGAUUUUCGAAUUGAAAAUUGGCCGAAACUUCGGCCGCCGUGAUCGGCCAUUUUCGGCCACUUUUUGUGGUAGGUCCAAGAACAAAAGUGGCUCCAAAUAGGGUGUUAUACCUAGGGUAGAAGUUUGGAGCCGAGAUGUUGAGAUUUUCCGGCGAAGCGUUAUCGCUUUGGGCACCCACGCGUGCGGCGGCGCGUGGGCACUGUAGAAAAAGUAGAUGUGUUCCGAUGAGAUCCUUAGGUUGUCACGAGUGCGUAGGAUUUGGCGGAUCUCAAUUCGGACGUCGUUUGACUAUCGAACGGAUAAUCGCAUAUUAUGCGUUAUCCGGGUUCGAUAGGUUGAGACCGUCGGAUGGUCCCAAAUUUAAUAUAUGUUGAUCUAGGUAUUUCUAGGAUCGUGUAGGAUUUCACGGAUCGUGAAUCGGAGCCCCGGAUGUUCCGAAUAAUAAUUUAAAGUUUAUAUUUUAUAUUAACCAUCAGAUUAUGCGAUCGUGAGAAAUCCGACCGUCUGAUCUGAACCAAACUGGCAGGAAAAGUGUCCUGUACCUGGUAGAACCCAUAGGGACCUUCGGAUCGGAAAUUGGAGGUCGUGGGUUCCGCAAGUCUGUUUGACCAGGGUUAGAGUAGUUUGACCCUUGGUUGACCGUGAGUCUCCCGGAGUAAUCUCACCCUUCCAGGGGGAAUUAUCGGGAGCUAGACUAUUGUGGAGGGUUACACAAUAUUAGAAUUAUUUAUAUAAUUAUAUAUGGUUGUACAAGGGUACAACAAAGUCUAGAAUGUCAGUUUGGAGUGCUAUACGCACUACUUUAGGUACCUCCUCGGAUUUUGGAUUCGCUACAAGCACCACCAAGUGAAAGUUAGGUCCCGCGUGGCGUAGGUUAUCCGGCGUUGGGACAGACCCCAUACGUGGCGUUGGUUGUACCGGCGUAUGGGGAGAUUUGCAAUAUGAUGUUCAGGUCUCACGUGGCGUAGGUUAUCCGGCGUUGAGACAGGCCCCGUACGUGGCGUUGGUUGUACCAGCGUACGGGGAGAUUAUGUGAUAUGAUGUUGAGGUCCCGCGUGGCGUAGGUUAUCCGGCGUUGGGACAGGCCCCAUACGUGGCGUUGGUUGUACCGGCGUAUGGGGAGUUAUAUGAUAUGAUAGUAUGGCAUGGUCGCACAUGGCGUAGGUUAUCCGGCGUGUUGACAGGCCCCAUACGUGGCGUUGGUUGUAUCGGCGUAUGGGGAGAAUAUGUGAAAUGCAGAGAAAGGAAAUAAGGUAUCACCGAUGUGUGGAAUUGGGUUUUAGGGAAGAACUACGUGUGGCUUGAUCCCUCAAGGAGGGUACGUAGGCAGCCUAAGGUUAUUGGGUGCAGCCGCAGACUAAAUAUUAGUCAUAUUUGGUAUUUGAAUUGUAUGGUAGUUGUUUGAGAAUUAUUGGAAGGCCAAAGGCCAUUUAUGAGAAUUUGCAUGAAAUUAUAUUGUGCAUGCUGCUAGUUGUGGAUAUUAAAUGUGUUUUUAUGCAGGUUGAAAUUUUGGGAAAUGUCCAAUUUAUAGGGGAGACUCUGCUGAAAUUUCGGCAGGAAGUCUCGGUUUUUAGUAAGUGGGCCUGGCAUCGGGGUGAUGUCAGGAAUUCCAAAGGGUUCGUCUCGGGUUUUGAGAAAAUUCGGGGCGGGUCCUUAAACAUAUAUAAUUAUUGGGACUAUGUAUUGCAAGUCAUCAUGUGUUCCUUCUGUCUAACAUUAUAUUUUGCAAAUAUCAAAAUAUUAUUCAAUAAGCAGUCAAUAUCACAGCAAGUUGGGAAUUAGUAAAGCCCCAUUAUCAUGUCCGUUCACAUUAAAGAGCUGGCGUACUUUUUCUCAAAAAACUGACACGUGAGUCAUAAGUAACAUAACAUGUGCUAUACAUUGUUUAGUGAAUGGUUUAUGGUUUAUUUAUAUAUAAUAAAAUUCCAAAUAUUGCUGAAUAUUUGUUUUUUCUAUAUCCCUGGGAACAUGAGUGACCAUAAGCAUGUAAGACCUGUUAAGAAGAAGCUGACUAAUACGACCGAGUGAUUGUGGCUACCGUUGUUUAGUUGGUUGGGGAGAUCGUGGUAUUGCUAAGAGGGAGCACAUAAUGUGCUUUGCAAUCAAAUUUUCUUUUGUGUGUGGAAUUAUGAGUAGUUCAAAUGUUAGUGUACCCUUUAAUAUUCUUCAACCGUUUGAAAUGUGAUUAGCUGCAAUGUACUUUUUUACACGCUGCUUUCUAAUCACUCUGUUCCAACAAAGUGCUUUAAGUAUCCUUCAGUUACAAAUGUUUACAAAAUCGUGCAUCUAAUAACCAGUCGAGCUCAGAUCUUAAUAACAAGUAAAACACUAGAACAUAACAUUCGGAAAAAGUGGGUGCUGCUGGAAAUCAUUACUGGUAAUGGAAGCAAGAGCUGGCUGCUGGAAAUGCUGCAUUAGCCUGUGAUAUAAUCAAUGAAUCUCUGUUAAAACAUAAUUCACCAUAAACUACCCAUUUUACAUGGUAAAAGUCAUUGCUUCUUCACAUAACUCAAAAUUUGAUACUUUAUCAAAUGUCUAUGAAAAUUUCUAAAUAGGGGAAAGACGUAAAAUUAACAUGUGUCCAAAUUUCAUGCAAGAAUGAAACCAAGCAAAUUUUUAUUUCAAUUAUCAGUGGACAUAGUAAGAACUCAUCGGUGGACAUGAACAAAAAAAUAAUAAUAUUAAAAACUGAAUCUAGAAAACUUCACCUGAUCAUUAGUCUUCAUAACAACCGAAUUUCGUCUAAUAGAAACAUAAAUCAUUCAGUUGGUCCGUGCAUCGUGUCAAAUUCAUAGAAUAAUGGGUCACUACGAUCUAUUGGAGUUGAUUCGUCAUUGUUCGACGGUGAUGUCCUGCAUAGACAUCAAACACAAGCACAGAAAAAAUUUACCUAUUCAAAUUUUAGGUGUUAUUAUAAAUAGUGUUAGCAUCUUACGGUGUGUUCAAAUUUCUUGCGCAUUGUCUUCUAUCAUGACCAAUGUGUCCACACUCCAGACAGUGUCUAAUCCCUCGCUUCAUUGCCUUUUCUUUUGCUCCCGUUACUCGUUUCGACCUUCUUUUGCACCUCACUCUCUUAGGGUCUUUCAUAUAUUGUGUUUGAGAGCUGGACCCUCCAACUUCGUUAUUACUUGGUCCAUCCUUCAACAACUUCAACUUCACCUGCAAACUUUUUAGAGUCUCUGACAGUAGCUCACAUCCUUCUUCACUCAUUAAUGCACCCUCAACCACAUCUUAAGCAAGUCGAGACAUUGUACUCCGCCUUAUUAAAAGACCAGGAUCUGCAGAGUCUUUAAUUUCGUUGCCAUUUGCAUCUGACACCAAUUCAGAUUUUGCAGUUUUCUUCCACCUCUUUAAAAUAUAUUUAUCGGGCAUAUAUUCAAUCUGGUCCCUUCUGAACAAUGCUAGGAUGUGCUUGCAAAUAAUUCCAACAAAUUCAAAUCUUUUGCACCCACACGAUGCGUGGUCAGAAUCUUUAACAUAUACGACGUCUGCCACUCUUGUUUCCCAAUUUUUCCUUUUGCUCACGCGAAAGACAACUUUAGAAGCACCCUCUGUUUUGAGCUCUAGGAAACAUGUUGUACUUUGUAUUAGUUCUUGGUCAAACUUUUGAAACAUUGUCCUUGUGUACAAGGUAGCCAUUUGUUUGUUCAUUGGCAUCGGUAGAAUACAUUGAGCCACUUCAAAUGCAUCUACGUGAUCAGCAACUAACUCUUUUUGACGUUGAUGAGAAAGUGCCCUCUCAAAUCGUAUUAUGAAAUCCAUCAACGAAUUUCUCCUUGAUAUGUAUUGCUUGAAAAAACCAUGAGAACCUUCCACUCUUUGGCUGCUUGACAUUCCAGCGGCAAAAAAUUGUUGUGCGUAGGCUGGAACCCAAGAUUCUCUUAAAUCAAACAUUGAACUUAGCCAUGGAUGGUCAGUCAAACCAGCCUUUGUAACCACAAUAUUCCAUUUUGUAACAAACUUAUCCUUAUUGUCAGUAUCCCAUACGGCUUUCUGAAAUUCACGCCAAUACUCCUUAUAAGCAGAAUGUGGUAACUUAACAGAGAACUUUGAUGUGAUGUGCAAUAUGCAAAGUCGAUGAAAUGUAGUCGGGAAGGGUAUUGAAAUCGCUCUGGUCAUUGCCGCAUCUUGAUCUGUAAUGAUCGUUUUAGGUCCGCCACUUGGCAUGGCUUUCUUAAACUCCUCAAACAUCCAAAUAAACGACUCAGUCGUUUCCUUGCUCAAAAAUGCGCAUGCUUAGACAAUUGUCUGACCAUGGUUAUUAACUCCCAACAUUGGUGCAAAUGUCAAGUCGUAUCGAUUCGUGUUGAAUGUGGUAUCGAAUACAACAACAUCUCCAUAAAACCCGUACGCCCAUCUAGAAGUUGCAUCUGCCCAAAAACAUUGACUAAACCUGUCAUGGCCAUCUCUCUCAAUCUUGAAAUAAAAAGCCUCAUUUUUUUUUUCUGUUCAGCCAUAAAAUACUCGGUCACUAGUUCAACAUCGUGGUUCCUCAACUUCCCAUUCACACUACAUUCAAAAUUGUAGAUAUCUUUUUUGAUAAAACCGAUUUUAUCCAUUCCUCCGGAUUGCACCUCGAAAAUACUUACCUUCUGAUGAAUGAGAAUAUUAACCGAACCCAACUGUUUUGUGAGUACUUUUGUAGAAUCUGAACUAUGACGGUGUGAUCUCAAUAAAUGCAUUCUUUCUGAGGGUGUCAUCUUAUGAUUGUGUCCCUCUGCAAAAAGAGAGAUGGUAUACUUCUUGCUCCCAUUUGUCUUCACAACCACAAUCUUAGCUUUGCAAUUGCAUCUACUUAUUCCCCGCUGUCUUUUUCUCUCCCGAGUUUCAUCUCUCCUGUAUUCACCUUGUUUGCAACAUACAAAUUCUUUCCUCAAAAUCUCUUUCUUAUUUCCCCCCCAAAAGCUGGAAUGAAGUCGAAUACCAAAGCCAGCCAAGAAUGCAUAUCUAUUAUAGAAAUUGUAAACGAGGUCAAGCAAGUCGAACUUCAUCCCAACUGCUGGUGUUUCCUCAUUUCUUACUUCAAGAAUGUAAACCCUCCCAUUAGCUGUUACACAGUCAUCACUCUCUGAGCCCCCAGACAUUUUAUCCACGUAUAUUAUUGAUCCACUUCUAUAUUAUUGCAUAGCAAAUAUUAAUUCAUUAAUAAAUCAUUACUGCAUCACAACAUAUCAAUGCAUUCCACUUACACAAAACAUUGCCCAAAUUGACACAAAACACGCAUAGCCUAACUUGUUGGAUUCCGAUUACACAAAACGCAAGCAAAAUUUAAUAAUAGUUACGUCAUCUCUUGUGAAAUAAUCUAGAAAAAAUAACAUUAGAACCAACAUGUUCAACUAAGAACACAAAUGCAAUUCAAACCAGCAAUCACAUAACUUCACCCAAUAUCCUCUCCAAAUGCUUACUCCUAAUGUCAUUAAGCCUAAGUUUAGGAUCUUUUACCUACAUUUCAUAAUUUUUCACCCCCACCAAAAAUAAUCAACUAAGUAUACUGAAUAUUCAUAAGGAAAUGACGCAUUAUUGAUGCCACAAAUGACGAAUUUCCUACCCUCACAAAAAACAAAUCAAACCCAAUUAAAUCAAUCCAGCAAGAGUGAACUUACCUCUCAAAAUCAAUCGGGAGCUCCGAAGUCAGUAAGCUUGAGAGAAUGUGGUGGACAUUAGAGAAGACUCUUUGGUAUUGGAGACUCCAUCUCUACCAAAAUCGAGGAACGAACUGCUGCUACGGCGUCUAGCUACAGAAAAAGAUAUGCUACUUUACUUUCAUCUGGAAUCUUGUUUGCUGAACGAAAAAGAGAAAGGGUUUUCACUUGAGCCAUAGAAUCAAAACAAGGCAACAUCUAGGUAAGAGCCAUUAAUCGUCAUAUCGAGGAUACCAUAGAUCGCAGGCCUCCCAAGGAGCUGAUGACAAUGGAGCGACUAUAGGGUUUGGGAGCUUUGGAUCCUUCUAAUUGUGGGUUUGCGUUACAUUCAAAAAAAGAGGAGUGUGUUGUUGAGUUUUUCACAUAGAGGGAAAGAGGGAAAGAUCUUCAACUGAAGUUGGGUUUCCAACGGGUCAAAUUUCAACCCGGUUCUACAUGCACCCUCUUUUAAAAACUCACCGUUGGAUUUCAUCCAACGGCUCGUACAUACCCCUCAAAAACACCCCUUAUAACUUUCCACUCACUAUAGAAGCUCUCCCCAGGAAAUGCUUCGAGGUAGAUUUUAUGUUUUGGGCCUUGGGACCCAACUUCACAAAAAGAAAACAAAUUUGACCAAAAAACAAAGUUGAAGGACAUUGAUAUUGUACCUGUAGGAUAGGUUAAAACACUAAAAGGAAGGUAAAUAGUACGUUUACAGAGUUUAAGUGUAAUAAAGGAAUAAAAACAUGCCCAGAGAAUUGAUAAGUGAUAUCAAUUCUUGAAUAUAUAGAACGUAAAAUAAAGGAAUACGUAGAAAAUUAUUUUAUGUGGUAAAACUCAAUCUAUGGGGCCACGGGACUUCUUAGUCCAAAAAAAAUCCAUUGAACGAUGAUUACAAGAAGUACUCACACACUUAUCCUAGACACAUUCUAGAUAAUUUUUACUAACAUCUUUGUAACUCAACUUCUGUCAUAGGAUGAUUUUUUGACACUCCUUAUGUUGAACGCAAUACUGGUCACGAUUUCUUCAAGCUCGCAGGAACUCUCCUUAUAUUGAAUAUGAUACUAGUCACGAUAGAUUCAAGCUCAUCGGAGAAAAACAGCCACAACGGUCUUGGUGCCCUCAAUGGUAUGAGUCACUGAACAUGCAAAUAAAUACAAUAUGAAUGAUAAAAGUGUUUGAUAAAUCACCAAGUUAUGGAACACUUGAUGAUUUAUCUCAAAUAAAAACUCAGCUUUCCAAAGUUUAUGAAUUGAAAAUAUGAUCGUUAAAGCUCUCUAAACAAAGAAGACGAAGAUCUUAUUUUAUAGAAUUUUUCUUUAUAAGAAAGAAAACACAUUGAAAACCAAAUCUCCAAGGCUUGACAGAAAAUCACAAAAGUAUCUUUCCUAUUCUAGAGAUUGGUCACAUGUAGUCCAACCAAUAGGACAUGAGAUAUUUAAGAAAUGAAGAUUUUGAUCAAUAUCAAUAUCAAAUGAAUUCUUAUACGCCUAGUCAACUAUUAAGGGUAUCUUGACUCCUUGAUAUUGUGAUAUGAUUGAAACAUGAUUUCCACGUUAGAAAAUUAAGGGGAUGUUAAAACAUGAAAGUAAUAGGAGAAUCAAAUUGAUUUCGGCCAAAAUUGCCUAAAAAGAAAACACUCCUAAAUAAACUCAAUUCACUUUUAAAAACAGUAAAACGUGAUUGAAUUGUUCUUUAAAACAAUUCCCUAAUAUACAUGCAUGAUAAUGACAUCACUUACCUCUGAAUCAAAUGCCUUUCAUAGGUCAAGCCACAAGUCUGUGUUUUGGGGAUUGCUGAGCUGCAUCAAUCCUGCCAAUGUCAAUGCUGCCCCUAUGCUCUCUCAAAGCACGUUUACAACCUAUGCUAACAUAUACCCUAAACCCUAGUAUCAAGAAAAUGCCAACACUAAUUUCGUAACACGUAGAAAUUGUUAGAGAUUGGAAGUUUUUUUUCUUCAAGUCUCUCCACCACUCACUAAUACAGAUUGCUCAUGUGAUGAGUUUACAAAACCUAUUUCUCUACUCUCACAAAGACUAUACUUCUUCUCAAAAGACUAUAUCACUUUACCUCUAUCUCUGUGAAAUGUAAAAAGUUGAAACUUUAAUGUCAAACCUCGACAAAAGAUGAACUUCCAUAAGUUACGUUGAAUUUGGAUUUGUUGAACUUAAGUGGUUUUACUUUUCUGUCAGUGUUUGAUGACUUAAUUUGGUAUUUACUUCUUCUUUUUUUCCUUGGAAAUGUGUUCCACCAACGUGAGGAAGAAAAAUAUGCACAAAUUAAUAUAUUUAAUAGAAGCCCAAGAUUUCGGAAGCACAUAAUUUCUACAAAAUUCUACAAAGUGUUCUACUUUACAAACUUCAUAUGUCUACCAAUUUUUACUAAAAUUAAUUUAUCUGCAGUGCUCAAAUUCAUCAUAUGUGUGUCCUUAAUUUUAGUGAAAAUUGGAAGUUUCCAUUAUUUUUGUUUUACGGGAAUUUUUUGAACCAAGGAAAAUCAAGUAAAAUUAAUAAAGCAUAAAUUGGAAAGGGAAAAUAUCUAGAGGAUGCAUUGUAGGAUUGCUCAUGCCAAUAAUUGUACCCUCUAAAUAUAUAGGGACAUAUUUUUUUUGCUCAUACCACUUGUUGCAGUACACAUUCACCCGUUUUCAAAGAAAGAAAUUCUACCAAUCGAUAAUGUCUCAAAUUUAAUCACAUAUUUUAUGGACCAUCCAGCUAUGAGGUUUUAUCUCAAAAACCUUCGGUACAUUUCUCCCACAUGCCACAAUUGUAUAUUCACAAUUACGUCUGAUACAUCACAUCAUGCCACUUGCCUCAAAUGAAUUUAAGUGAGUGAGGCAGUUGGAAGUAAUUAAGCUCUAUAUUGGUGGGUGGAGUGUUAGUUCUGGGUACCCCUCAUCAUUCGUCUAUAAAAUGGUGAAGCCAGUUGCUACUGUUACCAUAAGAGCCAGCUCCGACUUUCUUUAAUUUCUUGCUUCAUAUCCACUAGCUACAUCUGUUGCUCUUCUCAGUGUAAGCUCUGCAAUUUGAUUAACUUUCCCAUUAUCUCUCACUGUACUCUAUAUAAAGGAAUAAGUGUCGUCCAUUAAUUCUCUCCGAAAGUGUCGUCCUGAUUUUAAUUAGAGUUCGAAUUAAUGUUGCAGCUAGCAGCGGUUGCACUGGCAAACCAUGCUGCUCAACCGGUACCUCAACUUUACUGGAACUCCGUCCUGCCAAACACACAGAUGCCAAGAUCUAUCAGUGAACUUCUGCAUCCUGGUUUGUGUUUGAGCACUUUAGAAUCUUAGAUAUCUCUUCUACCUGCCAUUUUACUAAAAUAUGUUCAACCACAUAUUUAUCAGUUAACUACUGUCAUUACAUGAGUGACACAUAUUCACAAAUCGGCUGAUCACUUAUUUUCCAUUAUGACGUUGAUAUAUAAUGUUGGGAAUGGAAAGCCAAUUGACCACAAGGGAAAACCUGAAAAUACUGUACUACCACAGCUAGCACGAAGCCCAUUUUCUUACAAGAGUGAUGUGGGGACCAAAUCUCAUGUAUCAUAGCUUAACCCAUAUGCCACAACUAAAAGACGUGGGAUGAUCGAACAGCAUACCCACAUGGUCAUGGAUCUCUUCAGAUAAUCAAUAUUAAACAACCCAUAAACUUCUCCCUUUGAAGAACAAAUUAAAACCAAUUUCUAGAGGAAGGUUACAAAACAUUUUAGCCCGUGAAGAACAAAUCAAGACAAUAUAACCCAUUUGAUAACAAAAUCAAAAUGAGAUUUACCAAUACUAGAUGACCACGGCGCCAGUAUAAUGGUACGACGGCGGCGUUAUUGUAACGGUGGAGAAGUGGAUGGUAUGACGACGGUGUUAGUGUGACGGUGGAGGAAACGAUAUUAUGAAGGAGGCGUUGCUAUGUUCGGUGGAGGAGUCGUGUGUUUCACAGUUCAAUAUAUCCUUUUUAGUCAUUUUAUAUUAGGGUAAAUCAGUAAUUCAAUAAAUAAUUUGAUAGUAUGGUGUACUCAGUUAAUAUUAGGGUUCAUUUAACAGCACUCAAAUUAACUAGUGUAGAGUCUAUCUAUAUUAUUAAUACUAAAAAUAAAUAUAUGACUAAAUAACUCAAAAAAAAAAUAAAUCUACAAUCUUUUUUUUAAAAAAUUUUUUUUAUAGAAUUUUAUUAGAUUAAUAGGCACUACUAAAAAAUCUCCUUAUAAACUACAAAUACACGCAUAACUUAUACUAAUGUGAGCUACUGACACCACCUGCCACAUGACAGUUGUCCAAGCAUAGUGUUGUCAUUCAUUAUUCCCCACAGCAACUAACAUCCAAUAAAGGGUUGGGGCCCACCCAUACUCCACCUCUCUGUAUGUAGCUCUUUGAGAAUACAGAAGAAAUAUUUUUUAGGGAAAUAGCUUAAAAUGAUACCCAUUUCAUAAUUUUAAUUAAAAAUACCACCCCUUUCCAAUUUUUGUACAACUAUCACCUAUAAAUAUAAAAUUAUUGUCCACUUAUUGCUGAUUUUUCACAAGUUCAGAAAUUUUGGAAAGAAGAAGCUCACACAGCUCUCUCUCUCUCUCUCUCUCUCUCUCUCUCUCUCUAGCACAACUCUCUUUCUUUGGUAUCUGUCUAUCACAGCUCUCUGUGUCUCUCUUGGCUCUCUCUAUCUUGGCUCUCUCUCUCUCUAGCACAACUCUCUGUCUCUCUCUUUGCUCUCUUUCUCAUAGCGCAGCUGUUUCUCUCUCUAGCUUCGUUAUGUCUCUUUCUCCCCUAUUCGAUCUCUUGCUUUCUGUUUGGAAUCGCGAACCCCUCCCUUUAGCUAUGUCUUCUGAAUAGCUGCUUGCAACCUUGAAGCUCUAGUGGAUUGCCGACCUCGAAAAGGUAGUGUUGAUGGUUAUUUUCUUAAUAUCAGUGGGAUUAUGUGAAAUGGGUUAUAGUUUGAUUGUUUGGGUUUGUGUUAAAUUCGUUUUGGCUUUAAUUUCUUUGGGUUAGGUUUUGUUGAAUAUUCAUACUCAUUCAUCUGGGUUUGUACCAAUUGCAUUUAGAUUGGUCUGGAUAUGUGAAUCUUGAAACUUGGGAUUUUCUAUUUGAUGUAGUAGAUCUGUAUAGUGUGAUUCUGUUGUGUUCCUCUUAUUUUACAGUCGUAUUGCUGUUAUAUUGUCAUUAUAUUGCUUAUAUAUUGCUGUUAUAUUGUGGUUAUAUUGCUAUUGUAUUGUUUGGUUAUUGUGGUUAUAUUGUGUUAAUGAAAUGUUGUUUUGUCAUGGUCAGAAAUGGAGACAAUUGUUAUUCUCGUGUGCUACAAUGGAAAAUGGGUCACCUCGAAGAAGAUGUGCAAAUACGAAGGGGGUGACUCAAAAGGCUUAAUAGUUCCACGGACCAUCAAAUUUGUUGAACUGUUGGACCGUGUGCAUUAGAUUGGUAAUACAAACAGCAGGGAAGACAAGGUUUGCUUAAAAUUCUCAGUUUUGGUGGCCUCGAAUGAGUGGAAGCACAUAAAUAUUGAGGACGAUGAUGAUAUCAAUUUUUUUAUGAAGUACAAUUCCGAGGUAACACCUUCAAAACUAGCUCCCUUACUCGUGAGUAUAGAAGAUAAAGGAUUGACAAAUGAUGUAGUUCAUAGUAUGCAUAUCACGACAGAUAGUAGUCGGAUGGGUCAUUCUUCAGUUGCCAUUGUUGAAAGCAAUGAAGUAACUUGGAAUAAUACGAAUGUCACUGAUGUGGGAGGUGAAGUAGGGACAGAUUUUGUGGAUAUGAUUGAUUUUAGCGAGGUGUAGGAGAUGCAUGGUGGUGAUAAUAGUACUGAAAGAAAUGAAGUGUCAGUGUACUCUGCCCCUCCUAAUUUGGGCUGCUUCAACAUAGCUGCCCAGUUGCCAAUAAUGCGUUUAGGAGGAGAAUCUGAACCCACUCGUCAACAUUAUUGGAGUCAAAUAGGUGAACAAAAUCGGUACAAUGCAGCCGGUGUAAAUGAUGAAGAAGCAUAUUUGGACAGCGGGUUUUCACGAAGUGAUUGGAAUCCGAAAAUUACAGUUGGGCAAAUUUUCUCUAGUAAGAAAGCAUUGUUGACGGAGUUACGGUUGACGGCAUUAAGAGGCCACUUUGAAUUUAAGGUGCAAUUCUCUUGCACUAAAAGGUUGCUUGUGGUUUGUUGUCAACGUCCAUGCCCAUGGCGGGUCCGAGCAUCGAGAAUUGGAGAAUACAGCUUCAUGAUUGUGAGGUGUACAACUGUCCAUGAAUGUGAUUUGAGGUUCGUAAGUGACAAGCAUCGUCAAGCAACCGCAGCACUUGUAGCCACUUCACUUAAAAGGAAGUGACAUUAUGAGAGAUGUGAAACACAACUUUGGUUGCACCAUCCAUUAUUCGAAAGCUUGGAAAGCAAAGGAGUUAGCUCUAUUGUCCAUUAGAGGAUCAGCGGAGGAGGCAUAUUAUAUCCUUCCAGCUUAUUGCUAUGAAUUGGAGCGUAUGAAUCCCGGCACAAAAACACACAUCCAAACUGAUGAGAACAAUCACUUUGUGUAUUUAUUUAUGGCGGUUGGCGCAUGUAUUAGAGGGUUCCGUUCUUCCAUGCGCCCAGUGAUAGCCGUGGAUGCCACUCAUUUAAAAUCCAAGUACAAGGGUGUUAUGUUUGUAGCAAAUGCAUUCGAUGGUAAUUGAAAUAUAUAUCCUCUUGCUUUUGGGAUCGGGGAUUUGGAGACGGAUGCAUCAUGGCAUUGGUUUUUCACUAAACUUCAUGAAGCCAUUGGUGAGUGUCCCAAUCUUGUUAUUAUUUCUGAUCGCAAUGUUAGCAUAGAGAAUGUGUGGAACAAAAUUUUUCCAACUGCACAACGUGGCAUAUGCUUUUAUCAUAUGAAGGGGAACAUGAAACGCACUUGCUAGUUGAAAAAGCGUGAUCACAUACUUAUGCACUUUGAGCAGGCUGCGAAAUCUUAUUCCAUUGCUGAAUUUGAUUGUCAUUUUUGCAAGAUCAAGCGAAAGGAACAUGUUGCUCAAUAUCUUGAAGAGACAGGGUUACAUAAGUGGUCUAGAGCUCACAUGGAUGGACGCCGCUACAAUGUAAUGACAACAAAUAUUGCAGAGUCAAUCAACUCAGUCCUUAGGUUUGCAAGGAUGCUGCCAGUGGUUCAUUUGAUAGGGGAAAUUGUUAAUCUCCUUGUGAAAUGGUUCACCGAACGUUGUGAGUUGGUUUUGAAUUGCACAACAACAUUGUGCCCCAAUUUUGGAGAGAAGAAGUUGAGGAACAGGUUGGAGGAUGCUGCAAGGAUGAAUGUGGUUAAAGUAAAUAAUGCACAGUUUAAUGUUUUGGACGGUGAUAUGGACGGCCUCGUAGAUUUGGCGAACAGCAGUUGUAGUUGUAGAAAGUUUCAGCUUGAGCAGCUACCUUGCAAGCAUGUAGUUGCAGUUUGCCGCUUCUUGAAAGUAAAUGUAUACGCAAAGGCUUCUCGGUAUUACACUCAGAAAACCUGGAUGAUGCUUAUUCGGAUAGCAUCUACCCGGCACAACCUCACGGAAUGUGGGAUAUUCCUGAAGAUGUUCGAAGUCGAGUUGUGCUGCCUCCCAUGGCAAGGGUCAUGCCAGGCAGACGAAAGAAGAUCAGAAUUCCCUCGCAAGGAGAGGGCACCAUUAGAAGAAAGUGCUCAAGGUGCGGUUCCGCAGGCCACAAUAAAAGCACAUGUAAAAACAAUAUUCCAUUGCGCAAUGUAUCUUAGACAAUAUGAUUUGUGUUGCUUUGGUAGGUCAUGUAAACUCUACUUUUAUUUGUGGUGGGUUUCGUGUUAUGUUGAAUGGGAAUUCUUUUAAAUUUGCAUAAUUUGGGUUGCAUUGCUACAGCAUGCUGUAUUGCUGACAGAUUGCUAUUAUAUUGGACUUUUAUUGUACUGGUAUUGCUUCCAGAUUGCUAUUAUAAUUUGAGUGCGAAAUUAAAGGGACUGGAAUGUAAUUCCAAAUGGAUCCAAAUCAUUAAAGUUCUUAGAAUUCCUAUAUUACACAGUUACUGUGAUACUCCGACUAUACCUUCUUUUAUGAUUACAAAUUCGGCCAAUGCAUAGGCCAGAUGUGGGGCAAAUACAAGGUGAAAUGUCCUAUGUGUUUGACUACAUAUACUUGUUGAAGGAGCAUUACGAAUGCUAACCUCAAUAGAUUGCUCAUGUCUUGCCAAGAACACUCUUGAAUUUAUGCAAUGUGCCCAAGCCAGUCCCAAAGCUGGACUCACCCGUCUGCCUGAUGUGUCCAGGGACUCCAAGUUUCCCAACCUCACCUCAUUCACUUUAUCAUGUGGCCCAAUAAAAUCCACCACUUGGUUGGUGACAACCACCGCCAACCCAAACUUAUUUGCUAAACCCUUCAAUGUCCCAGAUAUGUUGAAAAAUAUUUCAAACCGCCAUUUCAAAUCUGCUGGUGUUGUCUGAUACUGUGAUCGGAACAAUGCAGCAAUGGAAUCAAUGACAAUGAGUUUCACAGGUAGGUGGGUGUGAUCAAUGGCAAUAAAUGCUUCUAUGUCUCCAAGGACAUGGAUGAGUUGUUGAGCAUCAUGAACACCAUGAACAUAUAUGUCUUCCAAUGGCUCCAACCUUAUUAAGUUGGGGUAUGAUGCAUGAUAAAGGUUGCCUAGUUGUUGCAAUCGACGAAAUGGGAAGCUGAAUUCUGUGAAUAUGUAGACGGUGGAGCCCUCUAGUCCGCCAUGUGAGGGUGGGAGCUGAGCUGGUACCGUAAGUUGGAGACAAAGUUGCGUCUUCCCAGAACCACUCUCCCCUACCAAUUCUGUUAUAGAGUUGCAGGGUAUCCCACCCCCCAAGCAGUCAUCUAGUAUUGGGCAUCCAAUGGAUAAUUGAGGGGUUGAAAGAGGAAGGAGCAUGAGGUUUUAGGGUGUCAUAUUUGUGUAAUUUAGGGGGGGAUGUGAUGGUGCUACAAGGCAUGCAUUAUAUAUAUAUAUAUAUGUAGAGUUCAUUUUGAAGGUCUGUAUUGUAGGCCAUAUGUCUUUUAAGGGAUGUAUAAUCCAUCCUUUUUUCAGGUUGUAAUUAAUUUUUUGUUUAUUUAUUAGUAUUUUUUUGGACCAAAUAAUUUAAAAAACAUUAUGAUGCAGUACGUACUGUAAUAGGAUCAUAUUGUAACUCUAUCAUCACUCUAUUGUACUCUUAUUGACAUAAUAUUGCCGUUAUAUGCAUGUUUAUUAUAUAGUUAUUACUGCUAUAUCGCCACUGAACUGGACACCGAUAAACUGUAUACGCACAAAUACAAAAAGAGGCUUCAUCAUUCCAUAAAAUCCUAUUUCCAAACUUACAUAAUACAACAACAGGCCACCCCAUCGUUACAUAAUACAAAAAUACGCCACCUCAUAGUUCCAUUUCCCUACUGUUGACAAAUUCGAAGUUGCAUACUCUUCAAGUGCGGUGACCGCGACGCAUGAAAUUCAUGACCCCGGCCACAGUGAUGUUGGCCUAGUUUCCUGCCGGAUCCACUAUUUUUGCAAACUUACGAAAUAGUUCGAAUCCGCUUUCCACUUCUUCUUGCUUCAACUUGGCCGUUGCUUCUGAUUCCUUGAAUACCAUAAUUGCAGUGGUAGGGGCAAUUUCAAUUUUUGCUUUCAUUGUCUUUAUAUGUAGGAGAUGCAUGCGCGCAUGAUAACGAGAGCGAAUUGUGCGGUUUUUUAUGACACCCCAUCUAGUUUGGCCCUCCACAAUUUUGAAACUAUGUCUGCAUGAAGAUUUUUCCAAAACAUGGUAUUGCCUCGACAUUGCUGCAUGCCAUGGACCAAGUCUGCAGGGAGUGAAUUGGGUGACUUGGCUUGUGUUUCAGUCUUCUCUCCUUCAGUAAUUGAAAGUGUUGGGUGUGGUGUGAGGUUAUGGUCCAUGGUCUUCGAUAUUUAUUGUAGCCUAGUGUACAACUUAAUUGGAAAAAAAGGGGACUAAAUGCGAUGGGAGUGAAAUCAGUGGGGAAGGUAGUGGCUGUAAGCAGGAGUUAAUGUGAUGGAAGUUUUCAUUUCAAACAACUGGGUUGAUUAAUAUAGGCAAGUUUUAAUGACCUGGAGUAACUCAGAGAGUUAUUGGUGGGAGGGAUUAGAGGGAGUAAUUGGCGGGAGGGAUUGGCGGGAGUCUUAGGCGGGAUAGUAUUGGGCGGGAGUUAUUACCCAGUUGACUGUAUGCCUUUUUGUAAUAUAUUUGUAUGUUGGACGUUCCAAACUUGGUAAUUUUCCCAUUAUGUAAUUCAAAUAAGGGAUUUGCCUAUUUGCCUAAUUGACCAACUCAUUCAAAUUGACCAAUAUGGUUAUUGUCUUAUUUCUCAUUUCAGCAAUCUCAAUUCGUUUCCAUUUUUCCAUUCUUCAUAUUUUCCUAUUUUCCAUGUGUCAUCCAAUUUUCCAAUUUUCCAAUUUUUCAUUAUUUUUGCCUAUUUUUUCCUAUUCCCUAUUUUCCUAUUGUGCAAUUUCCCAAGUUUCCUUUUGUUGUAUUUCUAGUUUUCCAAUUUUUCAAUGUUCCCAUUUUCCCAUUAUGUAAUUUAAAAAAAGUUGCCUGCUUUGCCUAAUUCAGAAAGUAAUUAAAAUGGUCCAAUAUGGUAAUUGUCUUAUUUUCCAUUUCCACAAUUUCAAUUCGUUUCCAAUUUUCUUAUUUUCCAUGUGUCCCUAUUUCCUAUUUCCAUUUUUCAAAUUUUAAGUUUUUGUCCAAUUAUCCAAUUAUCUUUUUUCCAAUUGGACUAUUUUCUAAGUUUCCUUUUUUUCCUAUUUCCAAUUUUCCAAUUUUUCAAUUUGCUAACUUUCCUUUUGUUCUAUUUCCAAUUUUGCUAUUUUCCAAGUUGCCUUAUUUCCUAUUUUUCAAUUAUCCAGUUAUCCAAUAUUCCAAUUUUCCAAUUAUCCAAUUUUCAAUUUUCCAAUUUGCGAAUUUGCCUAUUUUCCAAGUGUCCUUUUUUCCUAUUUCCUAUUUCAAAUUUUCCAAUUUUCAUGUUUUCAGAGUUUCCUUUUUUUUUCCUAUUUUCCAAGUUUCCUUUUGUCCAAUUUCAAAUUUUCCAAUUUUCCAAGUUGCUUUAUUUUCCAAUUACCCAAAUUUCCUAUUUUCCAAGUGUCCUUUUUUCCUUUUUCCAAUUUUCCAAUUUUCCAAGUGUCAUGUAAUCCUAUUGCCUAGUUUCCUCUUUCCAAUUUUUCCUUUUUUCCUAUUUCCAAUUUUCAAUUUUCCAAAUUUCCCAAAUUUCCAACUUUCCAUUUUUUCGUAUUUCCGAUUUGCCAAUUUUCCUUUUGUUCUAUUUCCAAUUUUCCAAGUUUCCUUAUUUCCCAUUCUCCAAGUUUUCACUUUUCCUAUUUUUCAAUUUCGCUAUUUUCCAAUUUUCUGUUCUGAAAUUCGCAAUAAAUGCUUAGUUACACAGUCCUAUUUUGGGUUGAAAUCCACAAUUUUCAAUUUCCCAUUAAGGUUUGCUUUUUUGUCGUUUGGAAGCCAAUUUUAUUGUUGUUAAUGUAAUGUUGUACUGUUGUAAAUUACAGCCAAUGAGUUAAUGAUGUAGUUUGCAAUCCCAUCAAUUGAAUGCACCAACUAAAUACCCAAUAUACUUCAUAUAAGUUCGUACAUAUAACUCAACCUUCCUAUACAGAACUGCAACAGAGGCACCUUCUUAACGGGAAAGGUAAUUAGUCUUACUAAAACGCAAAUAUUCUCCACUACAGCUAACCAAUUGUCGUUUACAACUGGAGACUGAAUCUACCUUUAUUUGUUUUGUUGCAGGCAACAGCUGUGAAUUGUCCCCGGCAAUACUUAAAGAUGUCGGAUGUACGCCCUCCAAAUGAGCAUGUCACAGUUACCCGGGGGACCAGCCGUGGCAUGUGCCAUUCCCAUCUCCACCUCGGACUCCCAAUCAUGAUCCCACUUCAUCUGGAAGUGAGGCUGAGAGCAAUGAUCCGCUUGACAAAAUCUCUGCCGUCAAGCACCACCUCCAAUAUAUGUCAAAGGCAACGGAUUGGUGGGAGAGUAAGUGCGAUAUUCAUGGCCAAGUUAUGGGAAACUUGGCCAACAAGUUGAACAAAGCAUACGCUGGAGAGGUGAAGCAAACUCUAAAAGCAAAAAGUCGGAGCAAAGAGUUAGAGUCCUUGAAGUUGAAAUUGGAAGAGAGAAAGAAAAAUGCUGUCGAAAAAUUCACACAAUCUGAAGAAUAUAACCAUGAAAUGGUUGAAUGUUUCAACAACGGCUUUGAAAUGUUCCGAGAUUAUGCUUCGGUCAUCUCACCAGACUACAAUUGGAGUGAAAUUGAUGUAGCUGGUGUUUGGCAGGUGCUGAAUAUGGGUGCUGAGGGAAUGGCUCAUCAUAGCCUCGUGCAUGCAGCAAGGAGAAAGGACAAAGACUUGGAUCUUUUGAUGGACCUGUAGUAACAGUGAGUGCUGCUUCAGUUCAACUCACCUGAGUACAUGGAUCUUUUGUUGCCUUCAUUUUCCCUUCGCAGGCUAGUAUUGUUAAGGUUCGGUGGCGAUUUCUUUUGCAUGUGUAAAAUGUUGUCUGUAAUGUGUAUGUAUUGUAUGUAGAUUGACUUAAUAUUGUAGUUCUAUUGUAUGUAUAUUGCCUUAAUAUUGCCUUUGUAUAGCAUAGAUAGUGUAUGCAUAUUGCCACCGUAUUGGAUGUAUAUUGUAAAACUAUUGGUAUCGUAUUGCCCUUAUAUUGCUCUAAUAUUGCCUCUAUAGUGCACCUAUAUUGACCUAAUAUUGCUCUUAUAUCGUAUGUCAAUGGCAUGUGCUCUAAUAAGUCUCCAGUUCGUUGAAAGUAAUCCUGAAUUCAAAUAUGAUGGACAAGACAAUUGUUAUCCAUCCUUAUAUUACCAUGAAUUGAUUUGGACCUUUCAAAUGAUAGUUGGAGUUGCACAUGGAUUCAUAUUCAAAAGGAAAGUAAUUCUCUCCCUCAAUGAAUUGUCGUUCAAAAGAAGGCAGCUAUCAAAUUUUGGGUACAAAAAGGCAACAUCCACGGUAAAUUAAUUGGGCACAAACCACAUAUUACAAAACCAGGAUGAUUUUUGGCAUGCUUCAAAAGAGAAGGGCCAAAUACAACAGAAAAGAAAAUCCAUUCAAGCUUGUACAAUAGAAUGCACAAUAACCCUUUUACAUGUCCUUCCAACACCAGUGUUUUGCCUACUUUAGAGUCGCAGGAGGAGAGCUUAUUGCCAUUGUGCAAUUCGAGGGGGCAGUCAAUUUGGAAUGGUGGCAUAAACAUGUUUACUCCACGGAUCACCUAUAUGGGACAGAGCUUCCUUCUUCCCUUGUCGUCUGUAGGUUUCAACUUCACACUUUUUAUAUACAUGUAUGAGAACUUGUGGCUAUUUAUUUAUGGCCUUCUAACACUUGUUCUGCCAUUCCAAAGUGGGUUGGAGACUUUUUGAGUUGAAUGACUGGAAAGACUUCAGAUGACAGAAACUAGAGAGUUUGAAGAAAAAGGGUUACCAAGAACAGCAGUCAUGCCCACGACAUAAACUAAACAUGCUAUAAGCUCCACAGUAAUAUUUACUUCAUCUCCAUAAUCAGAAUAUUGGGAAAAAAAUACCACGGAGAAAUACGUGAAAUGAAAAACAACUCGGCAGUUACUGUGAGAUUGUGUACAUAAAACUUGGAACAACCAAACCAAUUAAAGCUAAGCCAUCUCAUACGUAUACCUACAUCAAAUAACAGUGUAUGGUCAUCUUGUUUAGAAUAUUGCAAUCAACACUUGGUUGAGACCGACCUGCAAAAACAACUGGGUUAAGUACAGAUGAAGCCAUUUAUGAAGGGCAGUUCCAGAAUUAAGACCUACGUUAAUUUGUAACUGCCACCGAAUCAGUUCAUAGUGCCAAAUGCAUCUACCAAGCACACAGAUAUGACCAGCCAAAAGAAAAAAAAGCAAAGUAAAAAAGAUAAAAGAGGCAUGCCAUAAAUGGGAACCUCAGCAGAAAUCAUCAGAUAUGCAUACAAGCAGAUUGAGUAACAUCUCACUAAGUAGAGGUCAUGUUGGUAAUCGCAUGUUGUGUUUGCACACAGACAUUUGGUUUUUGCAAACACAACAUGCAAUUGCAUUCCAUGAUGUGUGUGUUGUGUUUGCACACAGACAUUUGGUUUUUGCAAACACAACAUGCAAUUGCAUGAUGUGUGUGUUGUGUUUGCACACAGACAUAUGGUUUUUGCAAACACAACAUGCAAUUGCAUAUUGUGUGUGUUGUGUUUGCACACAGACAUAUGGUUUUUGCAAACACAACAUGCAAUUGCAUAUUGUGUGUGUUGUGUUUGCACACAGACAUUUGGUUUUUACACACACGAUAUGUAACAUUUAGUUUUACCCUUUUAUUCUUAUUUUCUUCGUUCAAACAUGGUGGUGAGAAAAGCACCAAACCAUCCCAUCAUAUAAAGCAAAACUCAUACAAUAUUUUAGAUGCAAAAGUUAUAUAUUUUAUAUAAAUGCAUCAUCCGCAUGGCUUGAAAUUACAAAUUCACGUUCACAUAUUACUUUUCACAAGCGCACAGACUAACAAUAAUAAUAAUCAACCAAGUAGUUGCGACAUUCAUCCUAUUACGUCCAUAUUGAUAAUGUCAGAAGUUUCAUCGAUAAGCCUCAUCAAACUACAAGUUUUUUAAUUUGAAUUAUGAAUUCAGAACUAAAAGCUCAUGAUAUGCAGAAAAUGACAUACAUUGUCCACAAUCGACUUUUCGAUAUAUUUCUGCUCUAGCAAUUUAUCGUCCAAAUUCUGGACUCUCUGUGUCAGGUGCUUCUUUGUGUUCUAUCCAGCAUAAGAAUAUUUAAUAGUGUGAUUUCAAUUGUUUAUACAAAUUCUAUAAGUAAUAUUGAUGAGUGCUGUAAAUCUAUUUGAUAUUGGGAACAAACAUGGUCCCACUAACAGAAACUCAAACAAAACAGGAAUUUUUUUUUAUUUUUUUUGGCAUAGACAGCCGAAAAGAAACUUACAGCAAUAGCCUCUGUCACGCUCUCCAGACGUUUAUGCAAUUUUGAAACAGCAGCAUUCAUACUACGCUUUGUCACAUACAGAAGAUCUGAGAAUUUUAGACCCUAACCAUUUGUGAAGAGCAAAUAUUAGAUUUGCUUAAAGAAGACAACAACUCACAGAACCAAUGGAUGAAAUAAUAUGAACAUAAAUAUAUCAUUUGGAUACCUUCCACCACAUGUAACCAUAACCCAAUGCCCCCAAGGUAGCUGUUGGCAUUAUUAGUGAUGUCAAACCUAUUAAAAAAAUCAAAAAAAAAAAUAUAACCAAGUAUAAAAUGUUUCUAUUGCAUUAUGAAAUACAUACGUGUAAGGAAUUAAUCGUUUUACAACUUAACCAAAAAGUCAAGGCAGGAGCAUGCAUUCAUUGAGUGGUUAUAAGCAAGAGGAAAAAGCACAAAGCAUGCUAAGAAUUCAUUUGAACACAGAAGAGAAAGUAAGCUACCUUGGAAUUUGGCUGUCAUUCCCCUUCAGGACGGCUCUCUGUAGUGACGAGUCUAGUUGUCGGACCUCAGCUGCCAGUCGGCGCACCUAAAACAAAGUAACACAGGAAAAUUGAUAUCCAUUACAAAAAACAAAAAUUGAACACGAGAAAGCAUCCUUCGACACUAAAUUUAUAGCAGUUUUUCCAAUACCUGUGAUGCGAUCGCAUAAAAGUCACCUUCUGAUUGUUCUCCGGUUCCAUUGAACAAAGGCUGCAAACAAAACAGAAAUAGACACAAAUCCAUCAAUUUUUUGAGCAACAAGACACAAGCUCCGAAAUAAAUAAACUAUCUAACUGAUCAAAACCCUAGUUUACCAAAUGCAUUACAAAAUUAAAAACUCAUACAAAAAUAACACCAAAUACAAAUGUUCUGCGAGUUCCACUAGCAAAGCAGAGUACAAAUCAUGAAAAUGGUACCUGAAGUUCACCGAUCAAUUCAGAUAAUUGACCAUUCUUACGCAGGAUGGUGCUCGUAUACCCUGUAGAAAGAGAACAAUCACUCAGAUCAAAUGUAGCUAAAUACACAAGGAAACUAAUCCAGUAUGCAAGAUGAAAGAGGAGUGAUUGGUACCUACUCCAGCGAAGAUCAGCAAACACAGUAUGAGGUUCCAAAUUCAAAUAACAACAUAAUGCUAAGCAGAGAAGUAGAAUUGCUGCCGAAAUUAUUUAAAACGAACUAAGUCAAAACUAAAUGGAGAAAUGUUAACAAAGUUGUAUGCUUCAGUAAGUCCAGUAACAGAUUCCCAAAACCACAGAGACAAAAUGUGAACAAUGGCUACAAAAGCAUCCAUAAAGAGCAACUAUGUUUAUAUAUGGAGGUGUACAAAAUAGUUAACCUUCAAAAUCGAAACAGUGUGUGUGCCAUGUAAGGCAAUUAGCCACUGCUUCUAGACUAUACAAUAUUACACCUCACAAUAAUAACUAAACCAACUAGCUCUAGCAAAAAGGCAGGAUGACCAUAUAAAGUACCCCCAGCAAAGCAUCUACGUCUGCAUCUUCAUAUCAAGGAGUUCCUGACAUAAGUAAUGAGCAAAGUGAAUUCCCAAGUCAUAAGUCCAGAAUGAGGUGAAUUCACGGACAUUAAAACAUUUACCUCAUAAAUAUGCCUCCCCCCUUAAACCCUCAAUUGCAAGCCUCAGCCGGUAAUAUUUGAUCUUCAAAGGGUCAACUUUAUCUACCGAAAUCCCAGCACUGAGAUGCUCGAUGAAUUUGACGGUCAUGAUUCCGCAAGACGUACUGUGAGACCAAUAAGUUGGGAAAUUAGAACUGCAGUUAUGUAAGAUUUGGAUAAACUGCACUAAAUUCACAAAGCUUACCCAUCUCGUUGUUGUGGCACAUCUGCAAUGCUGCAAACUGAGAAUGGCGUAAACGUCAACAUCUUCAGCCCCUUUUGCUUAACCUUUUCAACCUCAGAAUCUUCAUAAAAGUGCAUAUCGUACAGCACUCGUGCCAGCGUAUCGCUAAUAGGGUGCAGAAGUGUAACCAGCUUCGAACAUUUGGUAAAAGCAACAUAUGAGUCAUACACAGUUGCAGUAUGUCAGACGAAAUCAAUUUCGAUUGCAACCCAGUAAGACCCUUUAAGAUUAUAUGGAAUAUAGACCUUCCGGACUUUUGUCCAAGCUUGGCCAUACCCGUGUUGCCACGUACCGCGUACAAAGUAAUGUAUAUUCUGCAGCUUGCUGGGUGGAAGGUCAACGGUGUUUGAAGCAACUGCCUUCUUCGAUCCACGUUUCUUGGCAGUCGGUUUGAACGGAUCUAGAAAUUGCUGCAUAAAUUGAAAUGAAGGCAUAUUAGAAAAUCACAACCGAAAGCAAAUGAAGCAGCGAAUGUAACAUGGUAACAUGUUUACCUGCAAGCAACAAUCUGCUGUUGUCCAGUCAGUUCCAAAUACCAACGGAUGAGAGAGUUGCCUUUUCCAGAUAAGAAAGGUUGCCAUGUCCAGGUGCUGAAAGUUGACACACAUAAUAUCAGCACAAUUUCAUACAACUGUACACUUAAAAAAGGUGAGAAAACAAUUUAAUUAUCGCAAUAAAGUAGAGCUUUGUGUAUUCUUACCCUUGAGCUAAUCCAUUCCGUUUCAUCGAUAAGUCUGUAGAAAAAAUCAGCGCCCACUGAAAAUAAUUCCAGCUGCACCUCCGCACUACAAAAGGCAAACUUGCAAUGGUUACUUUUAUAGUCAUCUCAUAAUUCUGACUUUGUUGAUGACAAAAAUACACAUGUAUAUUAAAGCAAACUCUACGUUUUCUCAUUAGUCUAUGACUACAUACUAGAAUAGGAUGAAGAUUGGAAUUCAAAGGUAAAGAAUCCUAACCUGAUAUCGUUUUUCCAGGCAGUACAAAACUCUAUUACUGCCUUCACAUCUUCAAUGGGCACGGAUUUUGAUGGAUCAAAACAUGGCGGGGUUGCAGUCGCAGCCAACACACUCAUCGUCCUCUUCUUCCUCAAAGGAUCAGUAAAUGGGCUCAACAAUGUCUGCGCCGGGCGCUUCUGUCUGCACCCUUUACCUUCCACUUCUUUUUUUUCCACACUCGAACUACCUUCUUCAUCACCAGCCAUACUAACUGUGGGUAGACUUGGAGGAUUCAUCGGACCUCCCGAUGGCAUACUCUUAGUCACUUUCCAAUCUUCUAACAGAGACAACACUUUUUGGCAGAUUUCGUCACACCCGGCCACAUCUUCCGGGGUAGGCAGCUUCUCGGAUUGUGCCUGCUCAGCUGCUUCAUGCACUUGUAAGUGAGGAACUGAAGCGGCCAUUUCUGCCUCUUCGACUACCAUGGCUGCGGAAGGUUCGGCUCCAUCACCGGGAACUUGUGUUUCCAUUACCGCCGGUUCUGUAGGCGGACUAACAUGGUCAUGUAAUGGCGACAAGUGAUUGUCGCCUCCUUCAUUCAUAUGAGGACUACUGAGGUCCUCAUGUCCUUUCCCACCUUCAUUCACCCCACCAUUUCGUUUUUUCAGCUGCUCUAUCUCCACAUUAAAAUAAUGCUCCAUUAAAGCCAGGGUGUUGCGGAAAUCCUCCACACACUUUUUAUUUUUUUCGAACUCUCUUUCAACUUUCAAUGACUCCUUCCGUACCAUGUCUUCCAACUGAUGCACUCUGUUGCGAAGCGCUCGAUUUGAUAUGGCAACUUUGGCCAAUUCAUCCUUUGUCCUUUGAAAGUCACGCUUCAAAGUGCGUAACUCUCUGGACGCGACUGUACCCUGCAUUCAGUUAUAAUGCAAGUGUUACAAUAUUUUCAAAAUAUAUUGCAACAAUACAGCAGUUAUUUUCCUAUUGUAUUAUGACGUAUAUCUUGGAAAAAAAUGUAAUGCUUGCCUUAGAAGACGACGGAAGGCUAGCAGUUUCGUCAAUGUCCUUAUCUUUUUCUUCUACAGAGGCAGAAGUGCUGGUUUUUUGUUCAGCGUCAUCGCCAAACAACUGAACAAGUUCUUCAGUGUCGUCAACACUGUCACCCCAAGUCCAAUACGGCUGCUGCUUGUCGAUUACAGAUGGCCGGAGAAGUUGCACAUCAACCUGCAAUUUACACAUACAAUAUACAUAUCAGUAAACUUAUUAUAUUAUAUUUUCAUAUGCCUAACAUUAUCAUUAAAAACUUAACUAACCUCACGGUUCUCGAAUACUUGGCUCAUUAGCUCAUAAAAACACGGCGAACUAUUGCUCCUCCAAUGUAGUAAACGAGGGAUGUAGGCAUUAUCUUCGUGCACCACCAAAUGUAGUGCAGCCAACGCUGGAAAAACCUCAUAAGCCCAAAUCUGGUUUGAGGAAUAAAACGUGAGUCACUGUAAACAAAUGAAAUUUAACUUCAACAUGAAUGGAAAUUUGCUCACCUGAAGUGCAUAGGCAAAACCUUUGAGGUGGUACUCUCUUGGUCUACCAGUUGCCGUUGUUUUUGCUUUCUUUUCAGAUUUUUUUGUUUUUGCAGCUUUUUUGGGCACUUUCACUCGCUGGUAAUCUGUACAAAGUGCCCUCAGAAGUGACACAAUUGUCUUGGCAUAACACACAGCACCCCAUGGAUACUUCCCAAACUCUUCAAGGUCUUCCACCAACUUCAAAUAUCGCAUGUCAAUCUGGACAUGUUUUUCACUGCCCAACAGCACAAACACAGCAAAGUAUACAAAUCUGAGCUUCAAUACAUCGUCCGCAUCAACGCAUUUGAGGAAGGCCUUUUCUAAUUCCAAAACAUUGACAGUUUUAUAGUUGCCAAAGUACUUCCUUUUCAAUGAGCAGUUCUCAUUAGUGGGAAUCGGAAUAAAGGGAAGGUUUCCAAACCUUAGCCCUGUCACGAUGCAAAAUUGCUGCGCCGUGAAUUGGAUCACCUUAUUGCCAACGAUGAAUUUGAUCCCGUUGAGUUGGGAAACUGUCUUUGGAUCAGCUUUCCUCAGCAGCAAGCCGUGGACAAUUGGCGAAGUCCACUUGAGGUCCUCAAUCAGUAGGAGAUGCCCAAAACAACUCUCUUCAAACCUUUGUAGCUGUUGUUCACUGAAUUUCUCCUUUAUCGUGCUGAUUGCAGUCUUCGUAUGGGAUAGGGACAAUGCUUUUCCUUGGAACUUUUCUUCCUCUGCAAUCAUCAACUUCAUUUGAGCAACCAUCUUUCCCUGCAUGCCAAUAUUAUAAAAAAAAAUUCAGUCCGUUGCAAUCUAGACAAUAACAAGCAAUAAACAAUCAGCACUUAUCUACAGCCUAUUAUAGGAUAUUAAGUGAAAACAAAAAAACAAAAAAUACAGGGCAUAAACAAAACCCCAGCUAUUUACAACUGACCUACUAAUUCAAUAGCUCAAAGCCACAUCCCAAGACACCCAGUACUCUACCACUCUUGCAUAAUAUAAUAUCUAAAGACACAUCUCAACACACCAGAUAAUCAUGACACAGCUUCAGCUAGAAUGGGAAUGUGCGGUAGCACAAGCCUAAUUGAGAACAAUUCAAGACUAACGAUAGAAAUCUAUCUGACUAGAAAGAGUUUUAAAAAAACAAGAAGACAUCGGGAAAGAAUUGAUUGACUUCAAGGUAUAAUGUAAUGGAACAUCCUAUGAAUUAGUGGCAACCAUAAUAAUGACUCCACUAUGGCCCUCCUUUCAAAUGUAAGAAAAUGAAUGAAAUUGGCACCAUCCCUUCAGUUUUUUCUUAACAAAAUAAGAGAUUUGUAUGUAUUCUCUGCUUUAUCGAUAUCAAAGAUAAAUUAAUAAAUAAACCAUCAAAACUGUAUAAAAUGUUUGUUAGACAUGUACAAUUACAAAAUUAUAAGUUCUCCUCAGAAACAAAGUUCUCUAAGUACGCAAACAAGAAAAGCAAAAGCUUAAAGAGUUAGCUUAUAGCAAAAUCAAUGUCCCCAUUUCUCUAAACCACACCUGCUGGUGGUAGGUUCCCAUCUUCACUCAUUUCCCGCUUUCUUUUAAACAGACAAUGAUCAAGCACAAAAGAGCAAACUUUUAAAUAACUCAUAUUACACCACAAAUAGUUCUAAAGAAAACUUAUUCAUAUCCAAUAUGCAACCCCUAAAGUUAGUAAACAGAGUUAUAAAAAAAUAUGUCAAAUUAACAAGCAUUAUUCUCAAACAAAAAGUAUGAUAUGGUUGGGAGUUUACAAGUUCAAAAUGAUAUACACAGGUUAAUUGUCUUAGACUUUAGAUAUCAUCUUCAACAAAGAAAAUAGAUACCGAUUAGACUUGUAAGAAGGUUAAAUGCAAUGGUCAUAAAGACCCAUAGUAAGCCACCAAAUACCAAUCAAUAACUGCUAUAAAAACCAUAAUAAAACCAUAAUAAACUAAAAAUACAACAGCACUAAAAUGCCAACACAACAUCACUACAUUAGCAAUAUAGUAGCAACAAAACCACAAUACGACAUCAAUAGCAACAGCAAAACAACAGCAGUGCAAGCAUCAGUCCACAAAGAACAAACCCAUUCACUGUUUCAAACAAGGAAUCAUCAUACUAAGAUCAUUUCAGAGAAACCCCAAAACCAAUUUCAGUGAAACCCCUAAACCAAUUUCAGAGAAACCCCUAAACCAAUUUCAGAGAAACCCCUAAACCUUCAACCAAUUUCGAACAAAUCCCUGAACCAAUUUCAUAGAAAUGCAUAAACCCUAAACCAACUUCAAAGAAACCCUAAACUGUAAGAAAAUGACGAUGAACAGUACCUGUUCAAGGUGAACGAUGGAGUUGAGCUUCGAUGAACAAAUUUCGCUCGGAGAGGAAGAGAGAAGAGAGAGUCAGAGCUGAGCGACGAGAGAUUAAGGGCUGAGCGACGAGAGAGUGAGAGCUGAUCGACGAGAGAUGAGAGAGUGAGAGCAAAGUGACGACAGAGUGAAGAGAAAUUGAGAGAAGGAGCCAAGAGAGAGAGCUGAGAGAGAACUUCAGCAAAACUGAUAGAGAACUUCAGCAAAAGUGAUAUGUGUACAAUAAGGGGACAAUAAAUAUAUAUUUAUAGGUUAUAGUUCCAAAUUUUUUUAAAAAGAGUGGUAUUUUCAGUUACAAUUAUAAAAAUGGUGGCAUUUUGAGCUAUUUCCUUAUUUUUUAUUCAACAUGGACGCAGAAACUGUUGCUAAACUGCAAACUUCUUAAAAUAUUUGUCUCACUUUCUCAACCCUAUAUUUGUCUAACUUUCUAGAUCCAUGUACUGAGAUUUAUUAGGGAAAUAUUGUAGAAACUGAUUAUUUUGAAAUAUUAAAUGUGAAAAACUGAACAAAAAUUUGAUGGGUUACAUAUUUCAACUCAUUUCAGCAGCUUAGAUUUUGAAGACCUCGGAAGAGGCCAUGCAGUGAGCCUAGCUAGUGCACUGUUGAUCACUUCAGUGUCUACCGAUCUGUAAUUUUUCCAGAUUGGUUAUAUUUUCCUUUACAUAUUCUUAUAUUAUUCCCAGCUGUAAGUGUUUUACACACUUGUCUAUUAGAAAAGGGGAGACUUAUAAAUAAAUCCAAAAUGGGUACAGUAUUUAUAAAGAAUGACAAAAUUAAAGUGUUUGGGCAAUAAUGCCCUUAUUCAUUUUGAGAUUGCCUAAGGAAUAUUUUUUCUGAUUUUCAGAAGAUGCCAAAGGACCGUUGUUUGAUGAUUGCCGUAAGGAGCUAAGAAAACUUGCUUUGAUAGUUUUGGACAGAUGCAUGCUACUGUUGCUGGGAUGAUCUCUUCACGUGAAAUGAGGAUGAUGAUGCUUCUACACUACACAAUCCAACGAAUUCACAUGUCUAUUUCAGAUACAAGUAUAAACUAACAAGGCUUUAAAAUAUGGGCUGAUGCACUGUUGUUGAUGUUGCUGACACUGUUACUGUGUUGUUGAUACUGUCACUGCGUUGCUGUUGGAAAAAGCACAAGGACUUCACAUGUUGCUUUCGUCUUUUGUGGAGGAGAGAGACCUAGGACUUGCAUGUCUUAGAUAUUUAAGAUAAGGGGCUUUCGUUCCAUUUUGAAAAUACUUUGGGUGUUUUUGAAAGGUGAUUGUUUCUUUUGGGUUUCUCACUAAAUUUCGCUUUAGAAGGGAAAAUAAUAAUAAUAAUGUCAAACAAAGUAGGGUAAAUAUUCAGAUAUGCUCAUAUUAUUAUUCUUCUCCAAUAUUGAGGUAUUUAUACAAGUACAAAGAUGUGUUAACCCUAAAUAAAAUAGGAAAUAUAUCUAAAUUAUAAUAGGCAGUAAAUCUCUAUUACAAUAGGACUAAAUAAUAAUUGGUAAGUAACCAAAAUUCUAAUGAAAUAAGGAAUCAAAAUCCUAACUAAGUAAGGACUCGCCAACACUCCCCCUCAAGUUAGGGCAAACAUAUUUCGCAUGCCUAACUUGACAAGCGAGUCAUAGAACACCAUACUUGAGAAGCACCAAUUGUAGAGAAGGUCUUUUCGUCAACCACGAGUGAAACAAGUGACAAACUAAAGCAAAGUUCGCAGCGGAAACACAAGAGCGAAUCCUAAAAAAUAGGGCACAUAGCAGAACACAAAAAUCCUGGAGCACGACAGUAGAUAAGGCAGAACACAGAAACCCUGUUAGCACGGCAAUAGGUAAGGCAGAAAAAGUCAAGAGCAAAGGCAAGGUCAACAGGCGUGACCACAACGAAAACACACCAGCAAAGACAUGAGCAACAAUAUUAGCACCAUAAUAGACAUGAGCAACAAUACUGGUACCAACAACAGCAAUACAAGGCACUGGCACCAGCAAGAGCAACAAGGCAUGGACAUAACAUGCAUAAUCAAUAGUAAUCAACAUUGUCCCCAACAAGAGUCAUAAUAGGCAUGAGCAAUAACAUUGUCCCCACUAAGAGACUUAACAGGUAUGAGUAACAGUACUGGCACCAGCAAAGGGCAUAGUAGUCAGCAGCAAUAACAAUGACAAAUACUUCUAUUAUUGCAGAGACAACUUCUCUUCACUCCCCAUCUCCCCUUGAAGAGAAGGGGUCAUCGGAACCAUAAGAAAAGUGGCACUUAAGAAACAGAAGUUGACUGACGCUCAAAUGUAGAAGAAUCAGCCAUGGCAAAUAGGUAGCUGAAUUGCAGCGGAAUAGAUGAGCAGCGGUGUCACUCCCCCUCAUAUCUGAUAAUGUAUGAGAGUCGAGAUUUGGAGAAAGCAAUAUCGAAAAAUAAAGUUGCAGAACCCAAAUAAAGUUGCAUCUAUCUCCCCAUCAAAUCCGACACUGGUAAAGGGUCGAGAUUUGAAAGAGGAGAAAUUGAAAUAAUAGUAAAGAGACUCAAACAUGCAGUCUCAUGGCAGAAACAAAUGCAAGAGGGGAAGAUGGUAGCAUACGGUUGUCCCAUGAAGAAAAAACUUCAGAAAAGGAGAAUAGUAAGGGAGGAAACCUAGCAAAUCAUGAACAGAGACAAAGACAAAGAUGCUCAAACUGAGAAGCGGAAAGGCAACUCAAGAGAGCAACCGAAGAAGACAGAGGCCCGCAGAACAGUCAAAGUUAAGGCUCGGCGAGUGGUGACGAUGCUCGCGGAGGAAAGCAACGGCUCGGUGAGCGGUGAUGAGGCUCACGGAGUAAAGAGACUUGUUAUGAAGUUUCAAAGAUAGAGAAGCUGAGACAUCAAGAAAGACCAUCUGGCAUACAAAGAUGAAAAAUAAAAAUUUUGGAACAGUAGCAAAGAAGCAUGUGAAGGCUGGUGCGGUGAAAACACAUAUGAAAGGAUGAACAAAAGAAGAUGACUAUACAAGAUGAAGACCCAUGAUGGGUUAGGAAUGAGGAGUGCCAACGACUCUCAAUUUGGCAGAGGUUAUCGCAGGUUAGGAACCUGGCUCUGAUACCAUGUCAAACAAAGUAGGGUAAAUAUUCAGUUAUGCUCAGAUAUGCUCAUAUUAUUAUUUUUCUCCAAUAUGGAGAUAAUUAUACAAGUACAAAGAUGUGUUAACCCUAAAUAAAAUAGAAAAUAUAUCUAAAUUACAAUUGGAAGUAAAUCUAUAUUACAAUAGGACUAAAUAAUAAUUGGUAAGUAACUAAAAUUCUAAUGAAAUAAGGAACCAAAAUCCUAACUAAGUUAGGACUCGCCAACAAAUAAUAGUACAACUCUUAUUAGCAACAGGUUACAAACUUCUUCUACAACACACCAACAUGAAUCUAGCCCUGAUCCACUCUUUUACAUACUUGAAAACAAAACAAAACACGAAAAACAAAAAACAAGAAACAAGAUAGGGAGAAAAUGGCUACGGAGAGACUUCCUGCUAAUCAGGGGCGGCCCUGGGGUGGUGCAAGUGGCGUCACCGCACAGGGCCCCCGAUUCUUAAGGGCCCCCAAAAAAUAAUUCUUUAUAUUAUAUAUAUAUAUAUUAAUAUUAUAUGAAUCGUAUAUAAAGUAUAGCGUCUGGAUGAUAAAGAGACUCAUUAUCAUUAUCUUAGUCAUAAGAUUCAAAAUGAAUUGAUACUUUUGUUAGCUUCUGAGCUCAAAAGUGCAAUCAUUAAAAAGAUUGAAGAAGCUAAAUAUUUUUCUGUGAUUCUUGAUUGUACUCCAGAUGCUAGAAACCAAGAACAAAUGAGUUUGAUAGUAAGAUGUGUGGAUGUCUCUACUAAUUCAAUAAAGGUUGAAGAAUUCUUUUUGGAAUUUUUGAUUGUGAAUGAUACAACAGGACAAGGACUUUUUGAAGAGUUGCAAACGGUGUUGCAAAAACUUAAGCUUGAUAUUGAUAAUGUGAGAGGACAAGGCUAUGACAAUGGAUCAAAUAUGAGUGGGAAAUAUCAAGGUGUCCAAAGAAAAUUUUUGGAUGUAAAUCCUAGAGCAUUGUACACACCUUGUGGUUGUCAUAGUCUUAAUUUAACACUUUGCGAUAUUGCAAACUCUUGUGGAAAAGCAAAAGAUUUUUUUGGAAUCAUACAACGUAUUUAUACAUUGUUUGCUAAUUCUACAAAGCGGUGGAAGAUAUUGAAAGAUAAUGUUAAACACUUAACUCUGAAAUCAUUGUCAGUUACACGUUGGGAAAGUCGUAUUGAAAGUGUGAGAGCAAUAAGAUUCCAAGCUGCAGAUUUAAGAGAAGCUUUACUUCAGUUAGCAGAAAGUGACGGUGACUCCAAAAUAACAAGUGAAGCUAAUUCUUUGGCAACAUAUGAACUUGGAAAUUUUGAGUUCUUAUUGGGCAUGGUUAUUUGGUAUGAUAUAUUAGGUGGUGUCAAUGUAGUGAGCAAAAACUUACAAUCUGAAGACAUGCUUAUUGAUGUUGCUAUUGAUAAAGUGAAAGGGUUGAUUACUUUUUUUUUGAAAAGUAUAGAGAAAAUGGGUUUACAGAAGCUAUGUGUACUGCUAAAAAAAUUGCUACUGACAUGGGAAUUGACCCGGUGUUUCCUGAGAAGCGAAAAAUUCGUAGAAAAAAACAUUUUGAUGAGAAUACUUGUGAGCUAUCCCAAUCAGUUCCUGAAUCAACUGAAGAAAAGUUUAGAAUUGAUUAUUUCUUGUAUUUAGUGGACCAAGCUAUUGGUUCUUUACGAAGAAGGUUUCGACAAUAUCAAGAGUAUGAGAAUUUUUGGGUUUUUGUUUACUUCAGAGAAGUUAAAUUCAUUGGAUGAUUGCGAUUUGAAGAAUAGUUGCAGUCAUCUGGAAAGCAUUUUGAAAAAUGACAAGUUUUCUGAUGUCGAUGGGGAGGAUUUAUUUGUUGAGUUGAAAGUUUUACAAGAGCUUUUACCAAAAGUAAAUACCACAGCUACUGCAAUAUUAAAUUUCUUGAAAAGAUUAAAUUGUUUUCCAAAUGCAUUCAUUGCAUAUAGAAUCCUAUUGACUAUUCCUGUUACUGUUGCAUCUGCGGAAAGAAGUUUUUCAAAAUUAAAAUUGUUAAAAUCAUACUUGAGAUCAACUAUGUCGCAAGAAAGAUUAAAUGGACUAGCUUUGAUUUCAAUUGAAAGUGAACUUCUUGAAAAACUUGAUUAUGAACAUUUGAUUGAUGAUUUCUCUUCUAAAAAUUCAAGAAGAUCAAUUUUCAGACAUUAGUAUUGUACUAGCUGUGUUUUUUUUUUUCUUCUAGGGUAAAAGCUCUCAUAAUAAUUUUAAUUCUUCAAAUAAGACAGCAAAUACAAUGUGAUGAAUUUUGGAUAAUCAGGUAUGUUUUUGUUGUUGCUUUUGUGUUUAAUGCAAUAUAAUCUAAUUUUUUUAAUGACAUUUGUGUGCAACUACUCUUUGAUUUGUGAUUGCCAAUUUUUUUUUCUUUCUAUUAAACACAGAUUGCUUAUUGGAGGCAGCAAGAGACCUUAUAGGGGCACAAGGAGCUUAUUUUUGUACAAAACAUUUAACUUUAUCAAAUGGAAACAUUUAAAUUUUUAUGAAUUUGAUUUCUGAUUGUCAUUGCAUAUUUAUUGAUGGUGAAUUUUAGUUAUAAAAAAAAAAUUGUUUAUGACAUUAAGUUAUGGCAAAUUUUUAUAGUAUUUUCGUAUUAGAUUAUGCGAGGUCCCAAUUUAAGUUUCGCACAGGGCCCUCAAAAUCUCAGGAACGGCCCUGCUGCUAAUACUUGAUCAAUAACAGAGAUAAUAGAGCACACUGUUUGUAUGACAAUGAGUAUCAGAAGAAUAAUAGCUGCAAAGAGAGAAAUAGCUGCCCAAGGUGUGUUGAAAUACUUUUGUCUCAAAUUUGCCUUCCGUCUGUUCGUGGUCUUCUUGCAGUACUCGUUUAGUUUGCCAGCAAGAUCACCAAAAUAGUAGUUUCCGUGGUUCGGAGCAACUUUACUGCAAAGCUUGUUAAUCAUAAUGGAAACCUUAUUGUUGUCACCUAGCGUGUUUACAACAAUUCCAUUGUCAACAAGCAACUCUACAUCCUUUGGGGUGUUUACAAAUUUAUCCAGGAUGAAAACAUAAUCGCUUAUGUAUUUAUCCACGCAAUGGCCUUGUUCAAAGGCAAUGAGAUUUCUAUGUGUAAGCUGUGUAAUCAUGUAUUUCAAUUUUUGGAAUUUCCAAGGUGUUUUUCUUGAACUGUAUAUCGAAUAAGUUCUUGCUUGAUCCCACGUUAAACUUAACUCCGGCCUGGUGUAGUUUUGUCAUGCUGGGUGUACUUUGGAGCCCUCCAUUUUUUUUUCUUUUGGCAGAUGUAAAGUUCUAAUAAAAUCAACAAAAUGUAAAGGUUUUUUAGGAUCAGGAGGCAUAAAAGACUUACGGAAGGCUGGUGAGUUCUCCAAGUUUUCUAAACGCAGUGCCUGUUGGAAGAACUUGUAAGAGAGUUCAAUUAUUGAAGGCUCCCCAGUCUGAGCACCUGUGAGAUUGUAAAGAUCCUCGAGAAUGAAAAAUGGCAGCUGAUUUACGAGCAUAAGCAUGUCAGGCAAUAUAUUUUGUAGCACCCAUGGUUUUUUAAAUAUCCAAGCAUCAUCAUCCUGCAAUUUUUCUUCCUGAAAUUUUUCUUCGGAUUUAUUCCUCAACAAUAGCUCAAUGACAAAGGCGGCAUCAACUAGAAUGAUAUUCACAAAAGUAGCAAUGUUAAACUUCUUAGGGCUAGUUUGGCGGCGUUGUGCUUUUAAAAAAAUAUGCUUCUGCUGUGCUGUGAAAAUAAUUAGCUGUGAAAAAAAGCUACUAGGCGUUUGGUAAACUGUUUUUGAAAAACUGCUGUGAGUAGUCAAAGUGUUUGGUAAAUUUUUAUCAGAAGUACUUUUAGUGUGUAUAAUGACCAAAAAGGACAUGAUGAUGAAAUUGUUUGUUAUUUUCUUCAUUCUUUUUCUACUUUAAAAAAAAAAAAAACCCAAUUUCACUACAUAAAUUUUUAUUCUUUUUUAAUUCACACCUUUUUAUCAAAAAAUUUAAUCUACAAUUAACAUACAUAUUUUACCAUAAAUUAUAAAUUACUAUUAUAACAAAAGUAAUUCUAAAUAUUGUUAUAUUAAUAUGGGCUUCGGACAUGACAAAAAUACAAAAAUUGUUCAAUUUUAAAAUGCCCCAAUAGAUCACUACAAUAUAAAAGAAGCUAAUUAGAUGCAUUCAUUAAACUUGUAGCGAUGCUAUUUCUUAAUGCAUUCAUUAGCUUCUUUUUUUGGUUUCCAAUGGUUCUCUAACAAUUUUAACUAAAAAAACAACCAUAAUGCUUUGUGAACAAUAAAUUCAAGUCCAAAUCUGCUAUUGCCCACACCAUACAUAUAUACAUAAUUGUUCCUUUCAUAAAACUUGAAGAUUCAAUAGUAAUUACACAGUUUACCAAUCUUGAUUCCAACUAUAUCCAUAAAAUUAAACUAUAAUUAGAAAUAGAGGAGCUACAUGUGAUUACUCAUAAAUGCUUCCCACUCUCAUCAUCAUCAUCAUCAUCAUCUUCCUCCUCUGUACUUUGCCUUUCACAAAUGGACAAGACCAGAUGGUAACGUACACGACAUGGUCCACAUAUAGAUAAAUUUUGGGUUCACUGGAGAACAUAAAAGAGUUUUUACACGAAUACAAAGUUAGUUAAGUAGUGAAUAAAGUAAAACUAUUCUGUACAAUUCUAGCUGAUGCAGUCCAAAAAGAAUAUAUGUCUAAUAACUUAAAUAACAAUAAAGAGAAACAAAAGCCUCAUGAAAAAUGCUAGAGUAAAAGUUACAUAACUGAAUCGAUGGACAGAGAACUCCACAGGCAGAGAAACAGCAACAAAAAUUGUCAAAACAGUAGCAAGACCAUGUUGGAGUCAAGGCCAAAGAUCAUAUUUCCUGUGUAUCUUCUUCCAUUCUGAAUUAUUCUCGUAUUCAAAUACUGUAACUCUAUUUCAAGUGCACCCCAAAAUACUUAUCUAAGGCCAGUACAUAGGACUUCAUAAAGGGUGCGAUAAAAAAUAUUGCCCCUUAAUUGAUAAACAGAACCAAGAUCCCAACAGCACACCAAAACUAUACCAACCACACCUACAUAAUAUGGACAGAAAAUCCUGUUGUUCCGAUCUCUAACCACACCAAUGACAUUCAUUAGGAAAAUACAAAAGAUGGGUACCCUGCAUUUCUAACAUUUAAGAUAAAAUUCACUGCCAGCUAAUCACAAAUUUGAAAAGAUGGCAAGAAAAUUGGCUAAGCUUUAACAAAAACCAGAGCAGUCCUUGCAUAGACCUGACUUUUUGCUCCAAGCUUUAGCAGAUCACUUACUGGUAGAGAGCAGAGAACAUGUAUGUGAAUAUCUGAAGUUGGAAGGGUAAGCCAUCACAAACACCAAGAGAUCUGAUUCUCAUCUCUUGUUACAACAACAAAUCACAAACACCAAUACAUCUGAUUCAGAAUCUCAUAAACAAUGGAGGAACAAACACAUAUUCACACACAUAUAAAUCCCUAAACAGAAAAAAUAAAAAAUAAAAAAAAAACCAUGAAAGUCAUAGGAGAAUCAAAUUGAUUUGGGCCAAAAUUGCCUAAAAAGAAAACACUCCUAAAUAAACUUCAAUUCACUUUUAAAAACAGUAAAACAUGAUUGAAUCAUUCUUUAAAACAAUUCCCUAAUAUACAUGCAUGAUAAUGACAUCAUUUACCCCUGAAUCAAAUGCCUUUCACUGGUCAAGCCACAAGUCUGUGUUUUGGGAAUUGCUGAGCUGCAUCAAUCCUGCCAAUGUAAAUUCUGCCCCUAGGCUCUCUCAAAGUGCGUUUACAACCUAUGCUAACAUAUACUAGAGUUUGUUUUAGUAUCUAGAAAAUGCCAACACUAAUUUCGUAACACGUAGAAAUUGUUACAUAUUGGAAGUUUUUAUCAUUUUUUCUUCCAGUCUCUCCACCACUCACUAAUACAGAUUACUCAUGUGAUGAGUUUACAAAACAUAUUUCUCUACUCCCACAAAGACCAUACUUUUUCUCAAAAGACUAUAUCACUUUAUCUCUAUCUUUGUGAAAUGUAAAAAGUUGAAACUUUAAUGUCAAACCUCGACAAAAGAUGAACAUCCAUCAUCAAUUACAUUGAAUUUGAAUUUGUUGAACUUAAGUAGUUUUACUUCUCUGUCAGCGUUUGAUGACUUGAUUUGUUAUUUACUUCUUCUUUUUUCCUUGGAAAUGUGUUCCAUCAACGUGAGGAAGAAAAAUAUGCACAAAUUAAUAUAUUUAAUAGAAGCAAAAAUUAAUAUUUACAAAAAUAUGCACAAAUCAAGUAAAAUUAAUAAAGCAUAAAUUGGAAAGGGAAAAUAUGUAGAGGAUGCAUUGUAGGAUUGCUCAUGCCAAUAAUUGUACCCUCUAAAUAUAUAGGGACAUAUUUUUUUUUGUUUUCAUGACAUGUGGUCCUAAAAUUAUUGUUCUUAGCGGGCUCUCCACCCCUCUCGACUGAAAACCUAUUGUGUAAAUCUUCAAUCCUGAAUGAUGCACCUAAAACUCAUGUUGCAAUACACAUCCACCCAUUCUCAGGCCAAUUAUUACUCCUAGUGGGCUCUCCACCCCCUCUCAAAUUUAAGUGGUCCAUUAUUAUUAACCGUAUAUUUUAUGGACCAGCCAGCUGUGAGGUUUUAUCUCAAAAACCUUUCUCCCACAUGCCACAAUUUAUGUCUGAUACAUCACAUCAUGCCAGUUGUCUCAAAUGAAUUUAAGUGAGUGAGGCAGUGUUACUUCUGGGUACCCCUCAUUAUUCGUCUAUAAAUUGGUGAAGCCAGUUGCUACUGUUACCAUAAGAGCCAGCUCCGACUUUCAAAAUAAAAAUUCCAACAACGGUCUUAGUGCCUUCAAUUGUAUGAGUCAUUGAACAUGCAAAUGAAUAAAAUAUGAAUGAUAAAAGUGUUUGAUAAAUCACCAAGUUAUAGAACACUUGAUGAUUUAUCUCAAAUAAAAAUUCAGCUUUCUAAAGUUUGUGAAUUGAAAAUAUAAUCGUUAAAGCUCUCUAAACAAAGAAGACGAAAGUCUUAUUUUAUAGAAUUUUUCUUUACAAGAAAGAAAACAUGUUGAAAACCAAAUCUCCAAUUUCCAAGGCUUGACAGAAAAUCAAAAAAAUAUCUUUCCUAUUCUAGAGAUUGGUCACAUGUAGUUCAACCAAUAGGAAAUGAGAUAUUUAAGAAAGCAAGAUUUUGAUCAAUACCAAUAUCAAAUGAAUUCUUAUACGCCUAGUCAACUAUUAAGGGUAUCUUGACUCCUUGAUAUUGUGAUAUGAUUGAAACAUGAUUUCCAUGUUAGAAAAUUAAGGGGAUGUUAAAACAUGAAAGUAAUAGGAGAAUCAAAUUGAUUUGGACUAAAAUUGCCUAAAAAGAAAACACUCUUAAAUAAACUUCAAUUCACUUUUAAAAACAGUAAAACAUGAUUGAAUCAUUUUUUAAAACAAUUCCCUAAUAUACAUGCAUGAUAAUGACAUCACUUACCCCUAAAUCAAAUUGUCACGCCCCGGACCUGGGGGUCAGUGGAAACCCCACGUUCGGUGCGUGAGAAAAUAAAAAGUAAAAUAAAAUAAAAAGAAUGCCGAAACAAGGGUUUAAAAUAAACUUCUCUUAUAAAAAUAACUCCAAAAUCUUACAACUUUACAAGAAAUAAAUAAAGCCCUAUCAUUCUUAUCUAAUUCAGCCUCAACUGGUUUAGUCCUUGUCUUGCCCACUAAUUCAUCUAAAAAAUGAAGAGUGUUGCUAAACGAACCCUAAAAUUAAUUGAGUACACCCUACUACCAAACGAUUUAUUGAAUUUGUCACAUCUCGGGAUCAACUCCGCCGUAGCACGAUAUUGUUCGCUUUGGGCCCUCCCUCUCUGGCUCGCAUGGUUUUGUUUCUGGGAACUCACGAGUAACUUCCCAGUGGGUCACCAAUCCUGGGAUUGCUCUAGCCCACAACUCGCUUAACUUCGGAGUUCCUACGACUCCGAAGCCUGUGAGCUCCCAAAAGGUCUCGUGCUAGAUGGAUGCGGGUGUGCACAUAUAAGGCACAUCACCCCCUCUCCGUUGGUUGAUGUGGGAUCUUAUAGAAUUACUAAUUUAUCCUAAUAUAAAAUGACCAAAGAAGAUAAAAUAAUAUUGGUAUCUAUUGCUUUGAAUCCAUGCCUUCAAACAAAUUGACUUAAUUUUUAACAAACAACACGGAGUCCAGGAGAAGUGUAUUGAUCCAAGUUGAUUUUUGUAUGCGUAAAACUUAAACAAUCAAUAACACAAAGCAGUUCAUGCUGAAAUAUUGGAAACCCACACCCAAAGAGUUCUCCGCUGCGAGGUUGAAGGCAGGAGAGAUGGGUGACAGAUUUUACUUCCACUGCGAAGUUGGAGGCUAGGAGAGUCUGUGACUGCCAUGGUUGAGGGAGAAGAUGCGUUCAAAAUGCCUAUUGAUAUUUUACAUUAUUGGCUUUUUUCAAAAGUGAAAGUUUUUUUAUGGGUAAAACCUAAAUUUACUUUUUCUAUACAAGUUAACAGUGUUUGUGUAUUGUGAAAAGGUGGAGAGACGUGUCAAAAUUUUAGACAAAGGACAGGAGGAGAUAGGGAAUUUGGGGACAGCAGAUCUCAACUCCCUUGAGACCCUAUUCUCUACGCCACCCCUCCCCCUCAACAACCCUAGUCACCAUUUCUCCUUCAACUCCAACGGCAACUCAUUAAAACCCAAUUCUCAAAUGCAACAAUCUAAUCCCAAUCCCAAUUCAGAUGUUUCUAAAAAACCCAUUGUCGUGGUGGAGAACUGCAAUUCCAGGUGGUGGUGGUGGUACCACAUGGGAGAGAGAAAAAAGAAGAAGAAGAAGCAGGAGAGAGAGAGUUUUUUAUUUUAUUAUUAUUUUACUGUAAUUUUUUAAUUUAAAUAAUUAAAAAAAUUAAAAGUUAAAGAGGAUGUACCAUGGGUAUUUUUGGUAGUUAAAUAAGGUGUACUUAGGGUCAGUUUGGCAUUGCUGUGCUGUGAAAAUAAUAGCUGUCAGAUUUGCUGUGAGAGAAAUCAGCUGUGAGAGAAAUCAGUUUGGCGUUUGAUAAAAUUUUUGUUAAAAGUGUGUUGAUAUUGAUUUUAUGCUUAAUCCGAAAAUGAUUGCUGCAUAAUCAUUAAACCCAGCGCCUCUUCGAAACUGAUUCCUAUAUAAUCAGAAAAUGAAAGCACCUCAUUAGCUGCUUUCCUUUAUAGCUUUCUCUCACAGCAAUUUUUAACAAUAAGUGAUUUUCUCACAGUUUACCAAACGGGUUGGGCUUCUCAAAAUUUUUUAAAAAUCACUUAUUACCCCAAAUAAGCAAUACCAAACGGGCACUUAGUUAAUUUUACAUUUUAAUUUAAACAUUAGGGUGUACUCAGUUAAUUUUAGGGUUCGUUCAGCAGCACUCAAAAUUAAACAAGGUGAGGGAUGAGCAAGUAGGGACAUGAGACAUUGCCACAGUAGAUUGAUAUAACUAAAUAUUAUUAUAAACAUAGAAAUAUAUAAGUAUUAUUAUAAUAGGAUUCAUAAUAAUUAAUAUAAAAGUAUAACAACAAUAUUUACAUUUAUGUACCAAGAUAAUUACACAUAUAAAUAUAACCAAUAUAUAUUUUUAUAUAUUUUAAAAUAUAAGUCUUUACGUAAAUGCCUUUCACGGGUCAAGCCACAAGUCUGUGUUUUGGGGAUUGCUGAGCUGCAUCAAUCCUGCCAAUGUCAAUUCUGCCCCUGAGCUCUCUCAAAGCACGUUUAAAACCUAUGCUAACAUAUACUAGAGUUUAUGCUGUAUCUAGAAAAUGCCAACACUAAUUUCGUAACACGUAGAAAUUGUUAGAGAUUGGAAGUUUUUAUCAUUUUUUCUUCCAGUCUCUCCACUACUUAUUAAUACAGAUUACUCAUGUGAUGAGUUUACAAAACCUAUUUCUCUACUCUCGCAAAGACUAAACUUCUUCUCAAAAGACUAGAUCACUUUACCUCUAUCUCUGUGAAAUGUAAAAAGUUGAAACUUUAAUGUCAAACCUCGACAAAGUGUUCUACUUUACAAACUUCUUGUGUCUACCAAUUUGUACUAAAAUUAAUUUCUCUACAGUGCUCAGAUUCAUCAUAUGUGUGUCCUUAAUUUUAGUGGAAAUUGGAAGUUUCCAUAAUUUUUGCUUUAAGUCACUCUUCUGAAGGAAGUUGAGGUUCCACUUCAUAAUCCAAAAUGUCAGGUUGACUUAUGGCAAACAAUGUAAAUAUGUAGGAGUACUAUGACCUUUUAUAGCAUUUUUAGUUUGAAUUUGGGUUUUAUACAUAGAUUUCAAAAUUAAUAGGUUGAUGCCUAGGAAAUAGAAAUUGUAAGGGCCUAUAUUAGAGUAGCCCUCUUAAAAAUAAUAUUAAUUAAUGAAUAUUUGUUCUUCUUGUUGUUUUGAAGUAGUGGUGGGAGGCAGACCAACAAAAAAAAAAUAUAGUGAAGGCUUAUAAGAGCAUUUACAAUCAUGCUCCCUAUUUUUUAGUUAAAAUUUAGCUAAAAAUAGAAAAAAAGUUAUUAUAGGAGCUCUUUAUAAAGCUCCUUUAUAAAAUUUGAACUCCAAUCAUACUCCCUAGUUUAGGGAGUCAAAAAUACUAUAGUUAUUUUUUAAUUCAAUUUGAUUUUGGUUAAUCUCUAUAAAUAUGAAAAAAUAGUUAGCAUUAAUUAAAAGUUUAAACUAUGCAUAAAACAAAGAAACAUUAAAUUAUAGGGAGCCACUAUGAGUCAUUACUCUCUCCUCAGAUUUAGGAGCUCCUAAAGGUCUCCCUAUUUUAUGAGGUGGAUAAGGAGCAUGGUUGGAGUUGUAUUUCUUCAAUUUCCUCCCUAAAAUUUGUCUAAGGAUGUGGUUUAGGGAGCCCAUUGUGAAUGCUCUAACUCUGGUAAAACACGAGUGACAUGGACAACAUAUGUUACGUCGUACUGAAGAUUUUUGGGUUUCUUUAAUUGGUUAAGUAGCAUCCACACAGCUUCCUAAAUCAUCUCCUUAGACAAAUUUUAGGGAGGAAUUGGAAAAGUACAACUCCAACUAUGCUCCCUAUCCACCAACUAAAAUAGGGAGACUUCUAGGAGCUCCUAAAUCUGAUGAGAGAGAAAGGACUCUUAAUGACUCCCUAUAAUUUAAUGUUGCUUUAUAUUAUUUUGUAUACAGACGGGUCAAUUAUAUUAAAUUAAAAAAUAAUUAAAGUAUUUAUGACUCUCUAAACUAGUGAGCAUAAUUGUAGAUCAUCUUAUAUACCUUAAUUUGAAGAUUCUUUAUUUGGGUUUCUUUCAAGACUUAUCACCUUAGCCACGCCACCUACACGUCUGCAAGCUUUCCUAACAAGGAAGGGGAGGCUGCGCAAUACUUAUCACCUUAGCCACACUACACCAAAUUGACGUCUGCAAGCUUUCGUAAUCUAACAAGGAAGGGGAGGCUGCGCAAUACUUAUCACCUUAGCCACACCAACACCACAAGACCAAUAUGUGUAGUCCAGGAGGCUUUCCCAUUUUAAUAUAUAUUAUCAAAUAAAAUAAAAAUCAAUCUAUUAUCAUAUAUAUUAUAAAAUAAAGAUUAUUGCUCCAUCCUCCAUGCACUUGCAUGCCUCUUACAAAGUGUGAAGUAGAUUUUGUGUGCUCCAAGUCAUUGACGAGAGCUGUAACAUGGUUAGCUGGAUUUAUAAGAUCUUUUCUUUUCUGGGAAUUUUCUGAAUCAAGAAAAAUUAAGUAAAAUUAAUAAAGCAUAAAUUAGAAAGGAAAAAUAUCUAGAGGAUGCAUUGUAGGAUUGCACAUGCCAAUAAUUGUAUCCUCUAAAUAUAUAGGGACAUAUUUUUUUGUUUUCAUGACAUGUGGCCCUAAAAUUAUUGUUCCUAGCGGGCUCUCCACCCCCUCUCGAUUGAAAACUAAUUGUGUAAAUCUUCAAUCUUGAAUGAUGCACCUAAAACUCAAGUGUCCCAGGCCAAUUAUUGCUCUCAUACCACUUGUUGUAAUAAACAUCCAUCCAUUCUAAAGGAAAGAUAACCAUCGAUAUUAUCUCAAAUUUAACCACUUAAGUUCAUUAUGAUUAACUAUGUAUCUUAUGGACCAAUCCAAUCAUGAGGUUUUAUACCCAAUUAGAUCGACUAAUACAAAGUUCACACGUGGAUUGAAAAGCGCUAUCAGUAGGGGAGUGUUCGGCACCCUUUACUGCCGAACGCAACACAAGACCCCUUGCAUGCCUUCACUAAGUUGAGCCUAUCUAUUUUUUAGCAUUAACAAUAUAUAUAGAUUGAAAAAAUAAAAUAAAAAUCAAUCUAUUAUCAUAUAAAAUAAAUAUUAUUGCUCCAUCCUCCAUACACUUGCAUGCCCUCUUACAAAGUGUGAAGUAGAUUUUUUGUGCUCCAACUCAUUGACUAGGGCUGAAACAUGGUUAGUUGGAUUUAUAAGAUCUUUUCUUUUCUGGGAAUUUUCUGAAGCACGGAAAAUCAAAUAAAAUUAAUAAAGCAGAAACUGUACCCUUUAAUUAUAUAUGGACGUAUGUUUUUUUGUUUUCAAGUCUUAGAUGACAUGGGGACCUAAAAUUAUUGCUCCUAGUGGACUCUCGACCCCUCUCAAAUUUAAGUGGUCCAUUAUUAUUAACCACAUAUUUUAUGGACCAUGCAGCUGUGAGGUUUUAUCUCAAAAACCUUCGGUACAUUUCUCCCACAUGCCACAAUUGUAUAUUCACAAUUACGGCUGUUACGUCACAUCAUGCCACUUGCCUCACAUGCAACAAGUCUGUGUUUUGGGGAUUGCCGAGCUGCAUCAAUUCUGCCAAUGUCAAUUCUGCCCCUGGACUCUCUCAAAGCACAUUUAAAACCUAUGCGAACAUAUAUUAGAGUUUAUGAUGUAUGUAUCUAGAAAAUGCCAACACUAAUUUCGUAACAUGUAAAAAUUAUUAGAGAUUGGAAGUUUUUAUCAUUUUUUCUUCCAGUCUCUCCACCACUUAUUAAUACAGAUUACUCAUGUGAUGAGUUUACAAAACCUAUUUCUCUACUCUCGCAAAGACUAAACUUCUUCUCAAAAGACUAGAUCACUUUACCUCUAUCUCUGUGAAAUGUAAAAAGUUGAAACUUUAAUGUCAAACCUCGACAAAGUGUUCUACUUUACAAACUUCUUGUGUCUACCAAUUUGUACUAAAAUUAAUUUAUCUACGGUGCUCAGCUUCAUCGUAUGUGUGUCCUUAAUUUUAGUGGAAAUUGGAAGUUUCCAUAAUUUUUGCUUUAAGUCACUCUUCUGAAGGAAGUUGAGGUUCCACUCCAUAAUCCCAAAUGUCAGGUUGACUUAUGGCAAACAAUGUAAAUAUGUAGGAGUACUAUGACCUUUUAUAGCAUUUUUAGUUUGAAUUUGGGUUUUAUACAUAGAUUUCAAAAUUAAUAGGUUGAUGCCUAGGAAAUAGAAAUUGUAAGGGCCUAUAUUAGAGUAGCCCUCUUAAAAAUAAUAUUAAUUAAUGAAUAUUUGUUCUUCUUGUUGUUUUGAAGUAGUGGUGGGAGGCAGACCAACAAAAAAAAUAUAGUGAAGGCUUAUAAGAGCAUUUACAAUCAUGCUCCCUAUUUUUUAGUUAAAAUUUAGCUAAAAAUAGAAAAAAGUUAUUAUAGGAGCUCUUUAUAAAAUUUGAAUUCCAAUCGUACUCCCUAAUUUAGGGAGUCAUAAAUAUUAUAGUUAUUUUUUAAUUCAAUUUGAUUUUGGUUAAUCUCUAUAAAUAAAUAAAAAUAUGAAAAAAUAGUUAGCAUUAAUUAAAAGUUUAAACUAUGCAUAAAACAAAGAAACAUUAAAUUAUAGGGAGCCACUAUGCCAAUAAUUGUAUCCUCUAAAUAUAUAGGGACAUAUUUUUUUUGUUUUCAUGACAUGUGGCCCUAAAAUUAUUGUUCCUAGCGGGCUCUCCAACCCCUCUCGAUUGAAAACCAAUUGUGUAAAUCUUCAAUCUUGAAUGAUGCACCUAAAACUCAAGUGUCCCAGGCCAAUUAUUGCUCUCAUACCACGUGUUGUAAUAAACAUCCAUCCAUUCUAAAGGAAAGAUAACCAUCGAUAUUAUCUCAAAUUUAACCACUUAAGUUCAUUAUGAUUAACUAUGUAUCUUAUGAACCAAUCCAAUCGUGAGGUUUUAUACCCAAUUAGAUCGACCAAUACAAAGUUCACACGUGGAUUGAAAAGCACUAUCAAUAGGGGAGUGUUCGGCACCCUUUACUGCCGAGCGCAACACAAGAUCCCUUGCAUGCCCUCACUAAGUUGAGCCCAACUAUUUUUUAGCAUUAACAAUAUAUAUAGAUUGAAAAAAUAAAAUAAAAAUCAAUCUAUUAUCAUAUAUUUUAUAAAAUACAUAUUAUUGCUCCAUCCUCCAUACACUUGCAUGCCCUCUUACAAAGUGUGAAGUAGAUUUUUUGUGCUCCAACUCAUUGACUAGGGCUGAAACAUGGUUAGUUAGAUUUAUAAGAUCUUUUGUUUUUUGGGAAUUUUCUGAAGCAAGGAAAAUCAAAUAAAAUUAAUAAAGCAGAAACUGUACCCUUUAAUUAUAUAUGGACAUAUGUUUUUUUGUUUUUUUGCUCUCGACCCCUCUCAAAUUUAAGUGGUCCAUUAUUGUUAACCACAUAUUUUAUGGACCAUCCAGCUUCGGUACAUUUCAAAAAGCUUCGGUACAUUUCUCCCACAUGACACAAUUGUAUAUUCACAAUUACUUCUGGGUACCCCUCAUCAGUCGUCUAUAAAAUGGUGAAGCCAGUUGCUACUGUUACCAUAAGAGCCAGCUCCGACUUUCUUUAAUUUCUUGCUACAUCUGUUGCUAAGUUAAUUUCAGUCCUAAUGGGGUUUCAUCUCCCACUCAUCUUUGCUAUUCUCAGUGUAAGCUCUGCAAUUUGAUUAACUUUUCCAUUCUCUCUCAUUGUACUCUAUAUAUAUAAAUGAAAGUUUUGUGUUCCUAUAAUUCUCUCCGAUUUUAUUUAGUACGUACUUAAGUGUCGUCCACUAAUUAAUUACACUUUGUGAGAUUUGAUUUUAAUUAGAGUUCGAAUUAAUGUUGCAGCUAGCAGCGGUUGCACUGGCAAACAAUGCUGCUCAACCAGCACCUCAACUUUACUGGAACUCCGUCCUGCCAAACACACAGAUGCCAAGAUCUAUCAGUGAACUUCUGCAUCCUGGUUUGUGUUCAGCUCUUUAUAAUCUUAGAUAUCUCUUCUACCUGCCAUUUUACUAAAAUAUGUUCGACCACAUAUUUAUCAGCUAACUACUGUGAUUACAAGAAUGACACUUAUUUUCCAAUAUAAUUUGCAGACUCCACAAAUGAAGAAAAGAGCAAACCUGAAAUUUUCCCAUUGCAGGGCAAUAGAGUUUACACUCAAAGCCAUUAUAAAAAACGUCCUCCUCCUCCAUCUGACGAGGGCAAACCUGAAACUUUCCCAUUGGGCAAUAGCCAUUACACUCAAACCCGUUAUAAAAAACGUCCUCCUCCUCCAUCUGACGAGGGCAAACCUGAAAAUUUCCCAUUGGGCAAUAGCCAUUACACUCAAACCCGUUAUAAAAAACGUCCUCCUCCUCCAUCCGACGAGGGCAAACCUGAAAAUUUCCCAUUGGCCAAUAGCUUUUACACUCAAACCCGUUAUAAAAAACGUCCUCCUCCUCCAUCUGACGAGGGCAAACCUGAAAAUUUCCCAUUGGCCAAUAGCUUUUACACUCAAAGCCAUUAUAAAAAACGUCCUCCUCCUCCAUCUGACGAGGGCAAACCUGAAAAUUUCCCAUUGGCACGUUCUCCUCCAUCUGACAGUCAACUAAAGCAUUACAAAGACUUAGCUAUUUUCUUCUUCGAGAAGGACAUGCGCCCGGGCACAACUAUGAAGUUCCAAUUCCCUAGAAAUUCAAACACGGCUACUUUCCUGCCACGCGAAAGUGCUCAAUCGAUCCCCUUCUCCUCUAAGAAACUACCAGAAAUUUUCAACCAUUUUUCAGUGAAGCCAACAUCUGAGGAAGCCAAAACAAUUAAGCAAACAAUCGAAGAGUGUGAAGCUCCAGGCCUUAAGGGAGAGGAAAAAUAUUGCGCCACAUCUUUAGAAUCAAUGGUUGAUUUUAGCACUUCGAAGCUUGGAACAAGAAACGUUGAAGCAAUCUCAACGGAGGUAUUGGAAGAAGGAGCCACCAAGUACAUGCACAACUAUACAACAAUGCCGGGACUGAAGAAGUUGGAAGGUGACAAAGUCGUUGUGUGUCAUAAGGAGAACUAUCCCUAUGCUGUGUUUCUCUGCCAUGCAAUAAAACAAACAGAAGCUUAUGUUCUCUCCCUGAAAGCCGAUGAUGGGAUGAAGGUGAAAGCAGUAACCAUCUGCCAUCUAGACACAUCAGAAUGGGACCCAGAGCAUUUGUCCUUCCAAAUCCUCAACGUUAAGCCCGGAACCACUCCCAUCUGCCAUUUCCUUACCACUGAUGCUAUUGCCUGGGUUCCAAAACACAAAUCUGCAUGAUCAUCACUUAGCACUGUACGUGUAAUAAGCUUGGUCGGGUUGCACCCUAGGCCUGCAUAAUUAUCUCCCUACUUAUUUCUGCCUCUUCAUCAUGCGGUGUAAGAUAUAUGAUGAGAUGAAGUUUUCUCUUGUAACUAUGUAGACUACUUCAACUUGUACUCAUAAUAAAGCACGCUGUUGGGGGGUUCUACUUAAUUUCGUUCUCUCCAAUGUUUGAGUGUUGAAUUGUUACGUUGGAAUAGGCUGCUAAUGCAUGUAGUUAGAGAAGCCUUCAUUUAUAUCAAAGUCCUCAAACUAUCAAGAAUUAAUGUAUCCAGAAACAUAUACCAAGACGCAAAACAACAUAUUUUCCAUUCUCUGUCUGUAACACCAAAGCAAACUUCCUUUAUCACAUCAUUUAAAGGAUCAAAUUCCAGUACUAAUCUAAUCCAUCAUGUAAAGCAUACAAGUGCCUACCUAAAUUUGUCCAUUGGAUAUAUAUGUCACUUUUUAUUUUUUGAUAGAGAUAUAAAUGUUGAAAAAAUUAGAGUACACAACUCUUAUAGACACUACUACGAUUUACUAUUUGCGCGACGGAAGUUUGCGCGACGAACAUUGUUUCGUCGCGCAAAAAGCACUAUUGCGACGAAAAAAAAAUACCGUAGCGCAAACAACAUAACACAAGCGCGACAAACAGUUUCGUCGCGCAAACAAUCUAUGCGCGACCAAUAUUAAUUUCGUCGCGCAAAGGUAGGGGAAAAAAACCCGGUUUUUUUUUUUUGGCGCCAUAAUCUUGCGCGACAACAACAAUCGUCGCGCAUGACAAUAUUGCGCGACAAUUCAAAGAAUUCGUCAGGUAAAGAUGGACAGAAAAUUGUCUCAUUUUUUUGGCGGUAAAAAACUUUGCGCGACGAAAUUUUUCGUCUCAAAAGACAACUUAGCGCGACGGAAAUAUGUACCGUCGCGUAAAAAAACGAGGGAUACUUAUUUUUGGCGCCAAAAUGCAGGGUGGAUAAAAAAAAUUUUGCGCGACGGAAUUACCUUCGUCGCGUAAAGUGUAAUGCCGGUGCUUUCUUGCGCGACGAAAUAAAUAAUUUGCGCGACGUAAUUUAAACCUUGCGCGACGAAAAGUAUUAUUUGCGCGACGAAAUUUUGUGCGACGAAUAAUAUGUUUCGUCGCACAAAAAAGCAGAUGUCGACAGGUAAUUGCGCGACGGAAAUGUUGUUUUGUGCGAUGGAAAAGUGGGUUUUCGCGACGGCAUUUUGCGCGACGGAUAUUGGUGUUCGUCGCGCAAAGUCCUUCUUCUUCAUAUUAGUAUCUGCCAUUGCAGAGGCAGAAUGCAGAAAUUGCAUUCUGCCUCUCUCUCACUCUCCCUGCCGCUGCUCUGCUGUGAAUUCAAUACGUUCAUUGGGUAUGUAUUUUUUGUCGUUAGUUUAAAUGUAUUAAUGUAAAUUCGUAGUAACGCUAUUAAUUUUGUUAUCGUUAGGGAUAUUUGUGAUUAGUGAUUGGUGGAGAACGAUUGAGAAGGUAUGUUAUUGUAAAAGUUUGUUUGUUAUGUUUGUAAUUUUUUUGUGAAGUUAUAUGUAUAUAAUGUUGUGAAAUUGUGCGUGACAUAGCACAAUGUGUUGUGAUGUACGAAGUUAAUUGAAAUUAACUUCGUACUUUUAUUUUUAUGUUUAGUAACACGUAGUUUCCCGUUCGAGAUUAGUUGGAUUUCGUGCAUGGAUGAGUAAUGCAUGACUGCGGUCCAAUUAAUUCUUGAAUUGUCCCAUUAUUUGGACAGUUUGGUAAUGCAUAGUGUUGUCACAUAAUCUUCGGCUACAGGAUUAGGUUUCGAUUGUGGAGAUUUCGGUGUCAUCUCGGUACGUUCUUCGAGUGGUACGUAGGUAUUUAUACCUAUGCCCACUUCAAGAACUGUGUCGAGAUGCUGCCGAAAUUAAUCCACGUCGAAAUCUAAUCUCAUGUAGCCGUAGGUUACGUGACAGGACUAUGCAUUCCCGAAUGGGAUAGGGCCCUUACCGGAGGCAUAAGGUGACAUUAUAACUUCGUAUGAAGUUGUUGUGAUUGUUGUGUCGUGAUUGUGGUUUCAUGAAUUAUGAGCAGAAGGUGGAUACAUAACCCGAAUAGAUGCGCAGACGAAUACUUGGAUGGAAUCGAGGAUUUUAUUGAGUUUGCACAUAGACACAACCCGGGUGCAAGUAGAAUCCGUUGUCCUUGUAGGAGGUGUAACAACACGUUGUGGGAGACAAUUGAAAAUGUUGGAUUUCAUUUAGUAAGGAAUGGAAUGAUUGAAACAUAUAGCAUUUGGAACCUUCACGGCGAACAUGUAGGCCAUGCUUCGUCUUCAAAUGCCCCAAGAGUGGACAAUGUUGAACCUAUUGUGGAUCCUAAUGAUCAAGUCAUGGGUAUUAUACAGGAUGCUUUUCCAUUCGCAUCGACCAACAUCAAUCAGGAAGGGGAAGAUAACGUGCCUACACCAAUAGACAGUGCGGAGUUUGAACAGUAUGAAAAACUGUUAAAAAAUGCCAACCAAGAGUUAUACCCGGGGUACGAGAGCUUUUCCGUUCUCACUUCUAUUGUGGAGCUAAUGCACGGAAAAAUAAAGUAUCGUAUGUCGAACUUGUGUUUCGAUUACUUUUUGGGGGUUUUCAAGAGAAUGCUUCCGACGGAUAAUUAUUUGCCGAAAGACCAGAAACAUGCACAGAAGGUGUUGCAUGGUCUUGGAUUGGGUUAUGAAAAAAUCCACGCUUGCAAAAACAAUUGCAUGUUAUUCUACAAAGAGCAUGAAACGUUGGAUACAUGCCCUAUAUGCAAUGAGUCGAGGUUCAAAAUGACAUCCCAGAAUAGAACGACUAAGAUACCACAAAAAGUCAUGCGUUAUCUGCCCCUUAAACCUGGGUUGCAGCGAUUGUAUAUGUCGACGCAUACUGCCACAGACAUGAGAUGGCAUAAGGAAAAACGGGUAGACGAUGAUGUGAUGCGGCAUCCUGCAGAUGGGGAGGCAUGGAAAGAGUUCGAUCGAACGUUCCCCGAGUUUGCUGCUGAUCCCCGAAAUGUAAGAUUGGGACUUGCCACUGACGGAUUCAAUCCGUAUGGGGUUCUAAACCAACACCACAGCACUUGGCCGAUUUUCGCAUUCCCAUAUAAUUUGCCGCCUUGGAAAUGCAUGAAAAAAGAAUACAUGAUGAUGACUGUUUUGAUAACUGAGGAUCCUGGCAGGUCAAUUGAUGUGUACUUAAGGCCUCUGGUUGAUGAGCUGAAAGAUUUAUGGACAAACGGUGUUCGCACGUACGAUAAAUCAACUGGGAGGAUGUUCACUUUGCGAGCAGCAAUUAUGUGGACUGUGAAUGAUUUUCCAGCAUAUGCAAUGGUUUCUGGGUGGAGCACAAAAGGUUAUAUGGCAUGUCAUGUAUGCAAGGAAGAUGUAACUUCUGGUUGGCACGCGGGAAAAGUUUGUUACCUUGGUCAUCGGAGAUGGUUGCCAUGGGACCACGAGUGGCGAGAAAAAGAUAAAGAGUUCAACGGGAACACAGAGCGUCGCCUCAGACCUGGAGAAUGGUCCGGUGAUGAGAUCUUGGAACAGCUGAACCGUUUGGAUUUUGGUCCGUUCGGAAAAACAAUUAGUCGGACCAGACCUUCUACACAUUUGAACUGGACGCACAAGCCUAUGUUUUUUGAGCUCCCAUAUUGGUCGAAACUGAAAUUGAGGCACAAUCUAGAUGUGAUGCAUGUUGAGAAAAAUGUAUUCGACACAUUGGUGGGCACGAUUCUAGAUAUCGAGGGGAAGACGAAGGACACGAUCAAAGCUCGUCUUGAUUUGGAAAGAAUGGGCAUACGAAGGGGUUUAUGGAUGAAUAGGGACAGUGAUAAAGCUAGAAGGGAUCUUGCAUUCUUUUCUAUGAAACCGAAUGACAAAAAGGAGUUUCUAAAGUUUGUAUCGUCUGUCAAAUUUCCCGAUGGGUAUGCUUCUAAUAUCGCACGUUGCGUGAAUGUCGAUGGGGGUAAAUUUACUGGACUUAAGAGCCAUGACUGCCAUGUUCCUGUGGGUAUUCGACACCUACUGCCGGAAGAUGUGGUGAAGCCAAUCAUGUUGUUAUCCAGAUUUUUUUCCCAACUGACGGCAAAAACAUUGCGAAGGACAGACAUGUUUCAGUUGCGCCAUGACAUUGUCCAAGUCCUAUGCAAGUUUGAGAUGAUAUUUCCUCCGGCUUUCUUUACAAGUAUGAUGCACGUAAUGGUUCACUUGCCAGAAGAGGCAUUGCUUGCUGGUCCUGUCAACUAUCGCUGGAUGUAUCCAAUAGAAAGGUAUAUAAUCUUUAUCAUUUGUGUAUGCAUCAUUAUCGACACUUUGCUAAUUUGUAUCAUAUCGUUUUAUUUUGGCAGGCUUCUCGGAGAGCUGAAAAAAAGUGUACGCAACAGGGCAAAGCCCGAAGGAUUAAUUAUAGAGGCUUGGGUUCAAUAUGAGUCGCUUACUUUCUGUGGAAUGUAUUUAAAAGAUGUGGAGACGGUUUUCAAUCGUCCUCAACGCAAUAAUGACGGAGGUAUGAGAAAUGAAAAACUUUUUGUUUUUGCCCAAAGCGCAUGACCAUUUGGAGAUCCUGGACGAGGAGAGUCGUUUUCUAGAAAUGACAUGGAGGUAGCGCAUUGGUUCGUACUGAACAAUUGUGAUGAGAUAAUGGCCUACUUAGAUGAGCAUGAACAGAUGAUGAAGCGAGAACAUCCAUCACAUUUGGUUGCCCGGAAACAUCGUGAAUUAUUUCCACAAUGGUUUUUGGAUUCUGUAAGUUAUAACUGUUUUGUAAUUGACAAAUAUAAAUUGUAGUAUUUAAUUUUGUCAGACUAACAUGUAAAUGAUUUUGUAUACUAUUAGGUGAAUAAAUUGAAAUCAUCGAAUUCCCCCACUUACAGUGAUGAGUUAUAUAACUUGGCGUUCGGCCCAAUUCGUGCUGAGUUGUUCUCGGGUUGUAAUGUUAACGGCGUCAAAUUUUUGGGGGCCGCACGAGAUGACAAGUUGUGUAUGCAAAACAGCGGUGUCCAUGUCCCAGGUGGAGGCGAAAGUACGGACAUUGAUUUCUAUGGCAAACUGACAACUGUCGUGCAAUUGCUUUAGAAAGAUCGAUACCAAGUCAUCAUGUUUAAGUGUCGAUGGUUCGAUACCAACCCAAAUAGGGCGGGAAGUGUUAAAAUCGACCAUGGAGUACUGUUUGUGAACAUGGCGUCCCAAAUUGUGUAUCUAGAUGACCCUAAAGCCGGGAGCGGGUGAAAAGUUGUGCAGAAGAUGGAUCAUAGGAACGUGUAUGAUAUACCAGAACUAGACCCAAGUGACAACGACGUCGACAAUGUGGCUGACCAACGUUUAGAAUCUUCAAUGGAAAAUGAUGCGGAAACACUUCGAGAUACAAAUGUUAUACAAGAACCGUUUCAAAUAGAAGGAGUGUCUUCAGUAGAAAUACCGAUUCAGUCAAUUACAAUUGACCUCGGUGAUCUUCCCCGAUACGAUGUUGCAGUGGGUCCUAGCAACGCCGAUGAUGCAGUUAUAGAGGAGGAGGAGGAAGAAGAUUGGGAGACCGAGAGUGAUGAUAGCGAUGAUAACGAAAGUUAUUAUAGUUCAGAUGAUGAAUAAUGAAUUUAUUUGUAAAGUUAUUAUGUUAGUGUAUUCAUUUUGUGUAAUACAAAUCUUUGAAUAUAUGUAGUUGUCCAUAUGUAGUUGUGUAUUCAUUCUCCAUAUUUCAUCACAAACUUCAUUGGAAUGUCAAUACUUUAGUCAAUACUUAUUACGACCCCAUGCUUGUCGAUUGGUUUUUAUUUAUUUAUUUAUUAAUGUCUUUAACUCUUCAAUUAUUAUUUUUUUCUUUUGAGAUAUAGUUAUUUCUUCAUGUUUAAACAAAAAAUAUAAGUUAUUUCUCCAAUAUUAUCUGUGUGCCACUUAUUUUUCUUCACUUUGGUUCAUGAUUAGUGGCAUCAAUCUAGUCAAACCGAUAAAAUCGGUCGAUUCAAAUCUUAAUUAUCAAUUUAGUUUGGUUUUGAUGAAGAAAUACAAAGCCUUUCCAAAAAAUACAGAGCAUAAAAAAUGAUGAAUACAAAACCUUUCCAAAAAAUACAAAGCAUACACAAUUUGAAUUAAAUGAGGAUUUAUGGCGCCAAAUCCUUGCGCAACGAUAAGGAGCCCUUCGUCGCGCAAAUAUAUAUUAGGUAACGUUAUAGUAUAAUAUAUACCCACAUAUAUAUUUAAAAUUGGCGAUCGAAGUAGUUCAUUGUAUUCAUAUGAAGUGUAGGACUGUAGCUGCAAAAAAUCAUCAACAUCGGAGUUAAAAUAACCGUUCAAUCAUCACUUUUUAUUUAGAACCGUCGAAAAGUUUUACCCCGUUACUUAAUCUCUGAAUGUUUUUUUUGUCUGAUUUUUGCUGUCUAUGAUCUCGAAGUAUAACAAAACAAGUUUGACGGCUGGAUGACUGAAGCUAGUUUCGUAGACUGCGUGUGCUAUCAAAAUCAUAUAUUCACCAAAAACUCAAAAAUUUGUUCAUACAUUUGUGAAAAUGUAACUUAAUGUUUAUGUGGUAUCCCCUAGUGUAAAAAUAUGAAAUUGAAGAUCAAAUUCAGUCAUUGUAUUCAUAUAGGGUCAACAAAUGUUGCUGUAAAAAAUGAUCAAAAUCGGAGUUAAAAUAACCGUUAAAUCAUGACUUUUCAUUUAUAACCGUCAAAAUAUUUUGUCCUGUUCCCUGAUAUCUGAAUGUUUGGUCGUUUUGAUUUUUGGCGUAUACGAUCUCCAAGUAUAAACAAAUAAGUUUGCCGGUUGGAUCAUUGAAACUAUUUUAGGGUUUAGGGUUUAGGGCUUAGGGCUUAGGGUUUAGGGUUUACAUUUUAGGGUUUAGGUUUUGCGCGACGAAUAAACAUUCCUUUCGUCGCACAAAGUGAAAGUGACAAAGAUUGCGCGACGGAUAAGUCUUCCAUUCGUCGCGUAAUCUGGGACACACAUUUCACCCCUCCAUACCCUUUGAACACUUAGUGAAAAUUUCAACCGAAUGAAAUUCUUGAACCCGCGCGACGAACAAAGCAAAUACGUCGCGUAAAGUGGACGUGAACAAGAUUGCGCGACGGAUAAAUCUGGUAUUCGUCGCGCAAUCUGGGCCACACUUUCACCCUUCCAUCCCCUUUGAACACUUAGUGAAAAUUUCAACCGAAUGAAAUUUUUGAACUCGCGCGACGAACAAAACAAAUACGUUGCGCAAAGUGGACGUGAACAAGAUUGUGCGACGGAUAAAUCUAAUUUUCGUCGCGCAAUCUGGGCCACGCUUUCACCCUUCCAUCCCCUUUGAACACUUAGUGAAAAUUUCAAGCGAAGCAAAAUCUUCAACUCGCGCGACGAAUAAAAGUAUUCGUCGCGCAAAAGGCACAGGCCUCUGAUUUUUGUUAGCAAACAUUGCGCGACGUUUACUGUCUUCGUCGCGCAAAAGGCACAGACCCUUCAGUUUCAGCCUCCCGCUAAACCCAAAAUUUUCCCAAAAUUUUGGCGGAACGACAGCGUUUUGCGCGACGAACAUAUGACUUUCCGUCGCACAAGGUUAACCUUGCUCGACGUUUACUAUCUUCGUCGCGCAAAAGCACAAACCCUUCAGUUUCAGCCUCCCGCUAAACCCUAAGUCCCAAAAUUUGGGCGGAACGACAUCGUUUUGCGCGACGAAUAUAUGAUUUUCCGUCGCGCAAGGAGAACCUUGCGCAACGUUUACUAUCUUCGUCGCGCAAAAUCACAGUUUCAGCCUCCCGCUAAACCCUAAAUCCCAAAAUUUUGGUGGAACAACAGCGUUUUGCGCGACGAACCAUGUAUUUUUCGUCGCGCAAAAGGCACAGACCCUAAUCCCCAUUCAAAAUUUGGCGUUCUGGGAGACCUUGCGCGACGGAUAUUUCAUCGCGCAAGAUUCAUUAAUACCAUUUUGCACGACGCAUUCUGUUCUUCGUCGCGCAAAGUCGAAUAAAUUUGCAGAAACGGCCCGAUGCCUCCUUCUUCCCCAUUUUCUGGUUUCUCUCCGUUUCUUCCUCUCUCUCCGCCGUCACCUUAGCCCUCUCUCUCUGCCAUCACCUCAGCCACCUCCGCUCGUUCCGUAGCCUCCCUGCCGUCACCGUCGAGCCUGCCGUCGCAAUUUCGUCAGUUUUUCCCGAUUCUUCGCCGGCCGAUUUCUCUCUCCUCCGGCCACCAUUUUCGACGCCUAAGGUAUGAUUUCUCGACUAUUUUUUGUGCUCUAGCUGAUGGUUGGUUAGGAUUUCUUGAAUUUUCGCUAUAGGAAAUAGGAAUUAAAACCCUAGGUUUUGGCCGCUUUGGGAAUUUCAAAUCCGGCCACUUCCGGCCAUUUUUCGGGGUAGGUCCGAGAACAAAAGUGGCUCCAAUUAAUGUUUUCAACCUAGGGUAGGAACCUUGGCCCUUAGUUUUUAGAAUUUUCCGACGAAUGUUAUCGCUUUGGACACCCACGCGCUGCCGGCGCGUGUGGUGGCGCGUGGGAUGUUGUGGCAGUGGGGCAUUGGGUCCCAGAGCAAUCCCCUGUUUGUCACGAGCGCGUAGGUUUGCUCGGAUUUGAAUUUGGUUAUCGUUUGAGUCUUGAUCGGAUUUCGGCUAUUGUGCGAUUUCCAGGUUUGAUAUGUUCGGACCGUUGGAUCGAACUCAAACUCACGUAGUUGUACCUUUGUGUUUCUACGAUCGUUUAGGAUUCGACCGAUCGUUGAUCGGUGUCCCGGAUACUUCGAAAUUCCAAACCCUAGGUGAAGCUAUGCUUUUAAUUAAUUAGUUUAAAUUCUUAAUGAAAUUAUAUGUGCAGAUGUCAGAUUUGAUUAGACGUGGUAGGUCGAUGAUGACUGCACCGAGUUCGGAUCCCCCUGCUCAGUCGGCAUAUGCUGCCACUGCUCCAGCUUUGAUGGAGCACGUGCUGGUUGGUCCCGGGGCGUCCCAGGCGCCUGCGUCAUCUGCGUCAUCCGUCGCGCAGCCAGCUAGUGCUAGGCGGCGGCACCGGCCCGCCGACACGACAUCGACCGACGGUACUGGUGCCUCGGGAUCACAGCCAGAUAUAACUACCAUUUUGUAUUGUUAAUUUUAUAUUGAAAUUUGACAAUGUUGUUUAUUUAACAUUAAUAUCUUUUUUCUUUGCAGCGAAGAAGAACACCUGAGGGCCGUGUCGUCAGCUGAAGACGGCGAAGGUCACCCGGGUGACCAACAGUCGUAUCAGCAUCGGAUACGACGAGCGCCAUCGGGCUGCACCGACGGCGGAGUUGCAUAGCUCCUUGGCCCACGACAUUGGCCACGUCGUGCGGACCCAUUGCCUGAUGCAAUGGAAGUCUUGGAGGGUCAUGCCUGACGAGAUCAAGGUGGAGGUUCGCGGCCAGUUGUCGGUAUGUACCUUACAUUUUCAUUAAUUUUCUUUAAAAUUGUGUAUAUUUCUAUUACUUAACGUAUCUAAUUAAUUGAUUGCAGACGAACUAUAACUUGGAGGAUCUCGACGAAGAGUCGUUGGCGUACGUCAACAGACUCUUCGCUGAGAGGUACAAGCAGUGGAAGAGCGACUUGCACCAUCAUUUUCAGGCCUUUGAUGAUCCGCAAGUCGCUCUUCAGGAGGGUUGCCCGAAGGAGCUUGAGGGGCGGGAGGAUAGUUGGGAGUGGCUCUGCGCUCAUUUUCAAGCGUCCGAAUAUGUGGUAUUUUUUUAAUAAUAUUUGUUUAAUUAUUACUUAUUUCUUAUUAAUGUUUAUUUCAUUUUUUUUAUUUCAUUAUUAUUUAAUUUGUUAUGUUUUAACUAAUACGUUUCAUUUUUUGUAUAACAGAAUAAGGCCCAAGUGAAUAAGGGUAAUAGGAAGAAGAAGACCCUUCUCCACCAUUCCGGCUCCAGGCCCUUUUCGUAUAGGAUGGAUGCCCGGCGACGGGUAAUAAUCACAUAAUUUAUAUUUCAUUUUUAAUGUCAUUUUUAUUAAUUUAUUUUUUUCAUACUAAUAUUUUUCUUCUCUUGUUCAAUUUAGGAGGGGUCCAAGUUCCCAGAGAUCGACGUCUUUGGUGACGUUUAUGUUCGACCCGGGAAUGAGUUGGCCGAGUCCCUUCAUGUAAGUAUUAUUUAAUUUUAAUUCUUAUGUUACGCAUUCAAUUUAUAUGCAUGUUUAAAUUUAUAUUUUAUGUUAUGUUCAACAGACGACGAUGGUGGAGAGGAGCCAGUUGGUUCUUCAGGAGUCCGCCUCCCAGCUUCCUCCCGAGACUCCGAUCGAGUCUGUGGCUCCUCCACAGGAUGCUGGAUUUCAGAUCUUGACGGAGACGUUGGAUCAGACUCUCGGGAGGAGGCCGGGGACAUAUUGUCGAGGGAUGGGGAAUGCCCGGCGGAGGGAACCUAGACCUCGUUCAUCGGCCCAGUCAAACAGUCAGGUGACUGCUUUGACAGCACAGGUGGCCGAGCUUCAGGGUCAGAUGUCGGUGAUUCUACAGUCCCUCGCACAGAGCGGCUUUCCAAUCCCGCAGUUUCGUGCGUCAACCUCCCAGCCCGUCCACCCCGAGUAUGCCCACCAGACCACUGCCCCGGUGGACGCCCAGACCUCCGAGCCGCAUACUGGCGACGACCCGAUUGAUUUUGCUUCAUUAUUUGAUUAGUGUAUUUAUUUUCAUCAUAAACAUUUAUUUUAUUUGUAAUACAUUUAUUUUAUUUUAUAACAAAAUUUUGUUCUAAUUUAUUUUUAUUGCAAUUUCAUUGUUUAAUCAAUAAAAAAACCAAUUUUAUUUAAAAAAAAUAAAAAUAAAUAAAAAACAAAAACAAAAAAAACAAAAAAAAAUUGUAAUAUUAUUUUUGCGCGACGGAAGACAUUUCGUCGCGCAAAACCACAUGUAACAAAAAAAAUUAAAAAAAUCAAUUUUUUAUUACUUUAAUUCUUGCGCGACGAAUACAUACGUCUCGCAAACAUUUUUUGCGCGACGAAAUGUUUCGUCGCGCAACAGCUUUUGCGCGACGACUGAAAUUUUCGUCGCCAAAUAGAUGAGCGACGAAAACUUUCUCAUCGCGCGAAUAGUUCUGCGACGAAUAUAUACGUCUCCCGGACUAGUUUUGCGCGACGAAUUAUUUUCGUCGCGCUAUUCGUUUCGUCGCGCAAAUAUACGUGCGCCGAAUACUUUAUCGUCGCGCAAAUAUUUAUGCGACGAACAGUUGUUUCGUCUCCACACCGUUGGUGCAACGAUGGUUUACCCGUCGCACAAUUAUGCGCGACGAAGUGUUGUACCUCGUCGCGCAAAGGCUUUCUUCACGAUCUUCGCGCGACGGAAGGUGCGCGACGAAUUUUUUGUCGCGCUGAAAUUAGGGCGACUAAAUAAGACUUUGCGCGACGUUUUGUUAUUCGUCGCGCAAAGAGUAAAAUGUAGUAGUGAGACUUGUUGGAGACAAAACAGGUAAACAAAUUACUUGUAUUAGACUCACAAAAUAUUACAACAAGACAACUCUCAAAGAAAAGACAAACUCUCACACUUCUCACAAGGACUACUUAACUUUAUAGCUUAUUGCAUAUAGCAUAUGCAAACACAAUUAGAACAUACCUACGUACACUAUGGGAACACUCGUGUAUAUUUCAACACAAGAAAACAUGUGCACCGUGCACGGUUCACAUGAAGUAAGAAAUGAAGAGGAAAUAAAGAAGAAGAAUACAAAAGAAAAUGGAGAUGAGAAAAAAAAAAAAACCGAAUAAUGAAAAAUGAAUUGACAAUUAUAUAUGGUUGACAUUAGAUCUAAUAUUAUAUGUAACAACUAUUGAUCUAAAAUAAACAUUAAAUCAAACAAUAAUUAAAAGAUUUGACAAUAUAAAAAUUUAUUGAGGACAAAAAAAGGCAAAAACUUAUGAAAAAUGGAAACAAUAAAUAUGAACUGAGUCAUCAACUCACCAUGGUAAGUUUGCUGACGUAUAAAAAUAGUCAAUGGACAUCGAAAAGUAAUUGGCUUACAUCAAAAAUUAAAAUCACGUGGGUUAUUCCUAAGAAACCUUAAUAUUUGCCUUCCAUUUGUUCCAGCAAAAUAAAAGUCAUUGCUACUUAUUGUAACCCCUUUUCCAAGCUUAUUAAUCAAAGUAGACACCUCACUGCUGUCACCUAGCCAAUUUUCAACAAUGUCAUACUUAACAAGCAACUCCACAUCCUUUGAGGUGUUCACAAAACGAUCCAUGAGACUAACAUAAUCACUUAUGUACGUCUCCUCGUAGUGGCAUUGUUCAAAUGCGAUGAGAUUUCUAAUUAAUACCUCUGUAUGAUCGCUUAUUUUCAAUCUUGGAAUUUCAAGAGUCCGGCCAGCAAAUCUAAUAAGGUAUUCAUUGAUCCCUCAUUCAACUUGAACCCUGCCCUGUGUAGCUCUGUGAUGCUGGGUGUGUUUAUAGUUAUGAGUUUCCCGUCAUUAGUUUUUAGGGUUAUUCGUUAUAUGAGUCCCUGAACUUAGACCCGAUUUGCAUUUUAGUCCCUCAAUUUCCAAAAUCGUUCCAGUGGUCCUUCAACUUUAGUUUCGUUAGGACAAAUGGUCCUGCCGUCAAAUGAUUAUAAAGUGGAAAAAACAAGAACAAAAAAGGAAGUGAGUUAAAUUUGCACCUGCUAUGUUCAAACGACAAAGUUCGUUUCCGUUUGGUCGAUUACAAGAGAAGCUCAAUGCAGCUUACUUGGUUCCUCUUGGUAGAUGGAAAUAUAAUUUUUCUCCUAAUAACAAAGGUUUAGUGCAAUCAAUGAUGGGCUGUAUAGAACAACUUUUUUGUUUUAUAUGUUUAUGUGAGACAAGUUUUGCCAGAUUGAAUUAAUGUCUUCUAGCUAUGUACCUUAUCUUUUUGCCGGGCCAUGAGUUGAAUGUAGAGGCAGAGCAUGGCCUUGGGUUUGUAAAAGACAAAAGACUGAACCAGACGUAAUUAUUUAGAUUUUGGAUCCAGUUCCACAUCCCAAAGAGAAAACCACAAGUUUGCAAGCAAGUUUGUCCAUAUUAACACUACGUAGAGUAUAGGCAGUGUGCUACUCAUCUCACUUUCUCAACCUACCCUAUAUUUGUCUAAAAGAGUUUCUAAUUUCGUGUACUGAUUCACUACUACAUUUUACACUUUGUGCGACGAAGAGAAUUUCGUCACGCAAAAUACAUUGGUCGCGCAAAGUUUAAAAAAAAUUUUAAAAAAAUAAAAAAUUCCCGCGUCCAAUUUUUGGUACUUGUCCAAAUUUUUUGAGUUUUGCGCGACGAAUACUAACAUCGCGCAAAUAUUUGCGCGACGAAAUAUUUUUUGUUUUAAAUUUUUUUAAUUUAAAAUAAACUAAUUUAAUAGUUUGCGCUACGAAAUAUUUUGUCGCGCAAGGUUUUUGACUUUUUGUUUUAUUAUUUCUUUAAUAUGAAUUUAUUUAUAUGAAUUUUUUGAAAUUUUUACUUUUUAAAUUUAAUUUAAUUGUAUGAUUUCUUUUUAAAAUUACUUUAAUUUAAAUUGAUAUUAAUUUUUACUUUUUAAAUUUAAUUUAAUUGUAUGAUUUUUUUUAAUUACUUUAAUUUAAAUUGACAUAUUCAAAAUAAAAUUACAUAUGAAAAAUAGUGAUUAAAUUAUCCAAUAAAUAUAUAUAUAUAUAUAAUAUUCAAAAUGUACACAUAAAUUAACAAAGCACAAUAAUAAAAUCCUAAUACAAGCGUAUUGUGGUGGUAGUGUCGGAGGAUAUGUUUUGAUAGCUUCCUAAUCCUCAACUUUAGCCGUCAAAGUCUCGAUGAUUCCCUACAAAAAAAAUAAAUAUGGUCAAAUAACCACAAACAAAAAAAAAAAAAAAAAAAAAGGCAUAAUCUCCCCUAAAAUUGUUAUACCACAAAUCCAACCCAAACUCCAAUCCCUCCCCUUUACUCAACCCCAAAACCCACACAAACUCAAAAUUAACUCCAAAAACACAUAUUAAUGAAAAAAAUUUAAAAUUUGGAGAGAAUAUACCUUUUGGCAAGAUUGAGAGUGAAUGAGAGGGAGAAGUGAGUGUGAGAGAAUUAGAGAAGAUAGUGAUAGAGAGAUGAGAGAGAUGAGAGAGUGAGUGAGAGAGAGUGAGAGAUAGUGAAGAGAGAGAUGAGAGAUUAAGUGAGAGGAGUGAGUGAGAGAAAUGGUGGGAUUUGGGGAGAGGGAAAGAGAAAGGAGAGGUAAGAGUAGAGAAAGGCAUUGAGAAAAUGGUGGAUGAGUUAUUUCGGUUUUAAAAACCGUAUCACUUUGCGUGACGAAAAAUAUUGUUGGUCGCGCAAAGGUUUGCGCGACGAAAAAUAUUGGAAUAUUGAUCGCGCAAACUUUUGAGCGACGAAACAUAUUGGUCGCGCAAAGUCUAAAAAAAUUAUUUAAAAAAAAUAAAAAUCCCCGCGUCCCAUUUUUGGUACCCGCCAAAAUUUUUAAAUUUUUGCGCGACGAAUAUAGGAAUAUUGAUCGCGCAAAGUCUAAAAAAAUUAUUUAAAAAAAUAAAAAUCCCCGCGUCCCAUUUUUGGUACCCGCCAAAAUUUUUAAAUUUUUGCGCGACGAAUAUAGGAAUAUUGGUCGCGCAAAGUCUAAAAAAAUUAUUUAAAAAAAUAAAAAUCCCCGCGUCCCAUUUUUGGUACCCGCCAAAAUUUUUCAAUUUUUGCGCGACGAAAAAUACAUAUUGGUCGCGCAAAGUCUAAAAAAAUUAUUUAAAAAAAUAAAAAUCCCCGCGUCCCAUUUUUGGUACCCGCCAAAAUUUUUAAAUUUUUGCGCGACGAAAAAUACAUACUGGUCGCGCAAAGUCUAAAAAAAUUCCCGCGUCCGAUUUUUGGUACCCGCCCAAAUUUUUGCGAGACGAAAAAUAUAUAUUGGUCGCGCAAAGUUUUGAGCGACAAAAAAUAUUGGUCGCGCAAAGUCUAAAAUUUUUUUAUUUUUUUUUUAAAAUCCAGCGUCCCAUUUUUGGUACCCGUCCAAAUUUUUAGAGUUUUGCGCGACAAACUGUUGGUUGCGCAAACUUUUGAGAGACGAAAAAUUGGUUCGUAACACAAUAUUUAUAAAAAUAAUUGUUAUGAAUAAUAAAAAUAAAAUUAUUUUAUUUUACAAUUUAAAAUAUAAAUAAGGUUAAAGCUGCUUAAGAAAUAUAUAUACUAUUCAAUUUCUUAAGUGUUAUACGUACAAAAUAAAUAAAUUUAAAGGUACUUAAUAAAUAAAUAUAUAUACACACACCAUUCAACGAUCCAACCGUCAGACUUAUUUGUAUAUACUUCAAGAUCGUAUACCCCAAAAAUCACAAAAAACAAACAUUUAGAGAUCUAGUAACGAGACAAAACUUUUCGAUGGUUAUAAAUGAAAAAUUACGAUUUAACGGUUAUUUUAACUCCGAUUUUGAUGAUUUUUUUUUACAGCUACACUCCUUGACCAUAUAUGAAUACAAUGACUGAAUUUGAUCUUCAAUUUAAAAUAUUUACACUAGUGGAUACCACAAAAUCUUAUGUUAUAUCUAACGAACGUAUAAAUAACCUCUUAAUUGUUAGUGAAUAUAUUGUUUUGAUGGCAUAUGCAUUCACCAAAACUAGUUUCAACGAUCCAACCAUCAAACUUGUUUGUUUAUACUUCGAGAUCAUAUACGCCAAAAAUCAGAAAAAAUAAACAUUCAGAGAUCAAGUAAUGGGACAAAAAUUUUCGACGGUUAUAAUGAAAAAUCACGAUUUAACGGUUAUUUUAACUCCGAUUUUGAUGAUUUUUUACAGCUACACUCCUUGACCCUAUAUGAAUACAAUGACUGAAUUUGAUCUUCAAUUUAAAAUAUUUACACUAGUGUAUACCACAAAAUCUUAUGUUAUAUUUAACGAACGUAUAAAUAAACUCUUAAUUGUUAGUGAAUAUAUUGUUUUGAUGGCAUAUGCAUUCACCAAAACUAGUUUCAACGAUCCAACCGUCAAACUUGUUUGUUUAUACUUCGAGAUCAUAUACGCCAAAAAUCGGAAAAAAUAAACAUUCAGAGAUCAAGUAAUGGGACAAAACUUUUCGACGGUUAUAAUGAAAAAUCACGAUUUAACGGUUAUUUUAACUCCGAUUUUGAUGAUUUUUUACAGCUACACUCCUUGAACCUAUAUGAAUACAAUGACUGAAUUUGAUCUUCAAUUUAAAAUAUUUACACUAGUGGAUACCACAAAAUCUUAUGUUAUAUUUAACGAACGUAUAAAUAAACUCUUAAUUGUUAGUGAAUAUAUUGUUUUGAUGGCAUAUGCAUUUACCAAAACUAGUUUCAACGAUCCAACCGUCAACCUUGUUUGUUUAUACUUCGAGAUCAUAUACGCCAAAAAUCGGAAAAAAUAAACAUUCAGAGAUCAAGUAAUGAGACAAAACUUUUCGACGGUUAUAAUGAAAAAUCACGAUUUAACGGUUAUUUUAACUCCGAUUUUGAUGAUUUUUUACAGCUACACUCCUUGACCCUAUAUGAAUACAAUGAACUAAUUCGAUCGUCAAUUUAAAAUAUAUAUUUUCUAACAAAAACCCAAUCUGAACAACAAUAAUAUAUUUUUCUAACAAAAAUCCGAUCCGAUCUAAAAUAAUAAAUUUAAAGCUACUUAAUAAAUAUAUAUACUGUUUAAUUUCUUAAGUGUUAUGCAUACAAAAUAAAAAACAAAAAUAAAUUAGUAUAGGCGACAAAAUGUUUGGAUUACGUCAUGCAAAGAUUUUAAAAUAUAUAUAUAUAUUAUUUUUAUAAGGACUUUGCGCGACGAAGUUCAUUGUUUCGUCGCGCAAAGUCACUUUGAGCGACGAUGUAUUGUUGUCGCGCAAAAGUUUGUCGCGCAAAGUUACUUUGCGCGACGAAUUUUUUUUCAUCGCUCAAAAUUUGGUCGCGCAAGACUUUGAGUGACGAUGUAUUGUCGUCGCGCAAAAGUUUGUCGCGCGAAGUGACUUUGCGCUACGAAUUGUUUUUCGUCACGCAAAAUUUGGUCGCGCAAGACUUUGAGCGACGAAGUUUUGAGUUUCGUCGCGCAAAGUGACUUUGAGCGACGAAUAGUUUUUCGUCGCGCAAAAUUUGGUCGCGCAAGGGGUUUUUUUUUACUAGUAUGAGUUUUAUAUACAAUUUAUAACAAUAUUUUCAGGCAAAAAAAUGUCUUGGCAAGAAAAUGUACAAUUUGUUACGUACUUAACUGGAACGAUUACCUUCAAAUUCCUAUGGCCAAUUACCUUCUUUUUUCUUCCUUUUUUUUUUUUUUUUUUUUUUGGUUGUUGUUGUUCUUUUGAUCAAGUUGCAUAUUCCAAAGAACGAAAACCAGUACAGGCUCUUUUCCAAUGCAAGCUCUUUUCCCAUGUUUCCCUCUGUUUUUCUCCUAUUUUUCUUAUAUGGAAGUGAUUAAAAUACACCUCUAAGCUUGUUUUGCGUUUGGUAACCGACUGUAAAAGCUCAAUGCAGAUAGUUUGAGGUAGAAUUUUCUCCAAUUUUACUAGCACAGUGAUAAGCUAUACUAUAUGUAACAACAAAUUGCUUUAAUAAUGAUAAUGAAAAAAGUGUGAUCCAUCGAAUAUUUGCGGGGUUUUGUUCCAAGUCAACACAUCAAAUUCUUUUACACCAUGAAAUUAAAAAAAAUUUAUUCAACCAUCUCGACCUUAUGCUCGAUCAUUUUGCACAAGCAACCGUCCACGUACCCCAAUAAUUUAAAAGGGCUGAUGAUCUUUAAUUUGGCGAAAGCUUCUAUCUACUUCUACCGCGCUAUAUAUGAGCUAUGCAAUUGUGACGGUGUUACAUGACGUCACAAUGUCGUAGGGAUAAAAAAAUAAUAGUCAUGGUUUCUUAUUAAUGUUAAUACAGGCAUAGCAAAAAGCUUGUAUUUCUAGUGGUUAAGAACAAUUACCCAUGCACUUGAGAUAUUAUGUGCUUAAAUCCCCUCUUCCCCAAUAUUUCUUGUAUAAAAAUAAAAAUAAAAAUAAAAAUAAUAAAGAUAUUGAUAUUGUAUUCUAUAAAGUGUUGGACAUGUUUUAUACCCCUUUACUGCAAAUUACAGUUUGACACAUGUACAAAAAUAAUAGGUAAGUGUUGGACAUCAAGAGUACUUACAUAUAGGUUUAAUAGGUAAGUUUUGAAUAUUUCUGUCUUUAGCUUUAAUUAUUGAAAAUCAACCUAUUAUCAUAUUAAAGACUUAUCCAUGUUCAACGUACAUUCUCUUAUUUUUCUCUCAUUGAAGUAAAUACAAAACUAAGCACAUAGUGGAAAAGUAGGUCACGAUUAGGGGUGGGUUUGGUCUGGGUUGGUUCAGUUUUGGGCUCAACCCGAACACCGAACCGUAGACCUCGAUUUGGCUAUUUUGGAAACCAAAACUAAACCAUAAUUAAUGAAAACCGACCACUUCAAUUACCUUCUGGUCUUCCAACCAGAAGAAAACUCAAAACUUUAACCAUACCAAGUGCAACAGAAUUACACCAGGCUGGAGUCAAGUUUAUGAUGGUUAAAGAUAAAAACUUAUUUGACAUACAAUUUGAGAAUGGAAUCCUCAAAAUUCCACACCUGCGAAUACAGGGUUAAACAGAAAUUUUCUUCCGCAAUUUUAUUGCCUAUGAGCAGUGUGAGCUCCAUGAUCAUUACAUCAACAACUAUGUCUUCGUCAUGGACCGCCUGGUCGACAGUGCCAGGGAUGUGGAAUUGCUUGUGAAGAGUGGAAUUCUUGAAUCCAUGCUACCGGACAGCGAGGCAGCAGGGGAAUUUAUUAAUUCUCUUGACUUGGGGCCUAUUUUAGGCAAGCUUGAAACAAGACUAUUUCAGUUCACCAUGGGCUGGCCUGUCUAUUAUUGUAGCCGCUAUACUAGUUGUGCUCACAUUUAUUCAAACAGUGUGCUCCGUAAUGGCGCUGUAGGUUCUUCAUUUCCUCAAUUUCAUGUUUAGUGGUUGCAGAUUUGUUGCUCAUGUACGUGUUUAUCUAAAGUUAAAUAAGAGUGAUUGACUGAUAGUCUGUUAGUUUGUUUUUCUGGGGUUUUUCCCCUGUUCGUCAAAAAAGAAAAAGAGAAAGAGUGAUUGCUUGUGCCUGUUUGGGCCUAAUUUGACACACCCAAUCCAAAAUCAAAAAGUCCAUGUCAAUUUUGGACAGCCACCAGCAUUCCCUUUGUAAUUAGGCCAAAAACUGCACACCCAACCUAGCACUGGAGCCUAGAACAAACAAGGUAAACUCAGGACCCAAGCAGUUUGAUUUUUUCAUUUAAAUUGGAAUCAAGGGCCCCAAGUCAAAAAAGCCCAAGCCCAAGGCAGAUUUUUUACCAAAAAGACCCAAGGAAGCCCAGUGCAUGCGAAUUGCUUAGCCCACAAUCCCAAAACUCAAAACUAAGUUUGGCAUGAUUAAAUAAAGAUAGAGAGAAGCCCAAAAUUGAAGAAACCCAAAACAGUUUUAUCAAAAUUGUCAGCUCUCUACCCAAGACCUAAAAAGGGUCAAAAAUACCACUAUUGGCAAAAUUGACGCACUCAGCCUUGGAUCACAAAGAAAUCCACGUGACUAUUUGACUUUGAGAAGUCAACAAUUUCAACUAGUCACAAGAGAAGUUGAUUGGAAUUAAUGUAGGCAGGUCAUUACAGAAAAGACUUCUUUGAAACUCUGUAGCCAAAAGAUCAAAAUCCCUUUCUAUAUAAUUCUGCAUCAGAGUAGGUGGUCUUUCCAAGAGAUAAGCAGACUACGUUUUCAAGAGAUAAGUAGAGAAUGAGGGAGUUGUUCAACAAGAAAAGCAAACUAACCAUCAUGAUAGGUUGUGUUCUUUCUCUCUACAAAAAACAAUAGGGAACAAAGAAGAGUUGGUUUUUCUUUCAGAAAAAGGAAGGAAAAGACCUACAUGAAAACUAAUUAUUGAUGGUUCUUCUCUGCCAGAACAGAUAACUUCUCAUUUUCUUUGACAUUUAAAAAUGAAAGGUCUCGCUUUUACAAAAUCUGCCGCCCAUUAUUUAAAGAUUAGAAAACCCACUCCAGCAUUUCCUAUAAAUAUGAGAGGAGGUGAUGUCACAUCACGGGAUUGGCUCUGCCGUAGCACGAUAUUGUCCACUUUGCGCCCCCCUCUCUACCCUCACGGUUUUAUUUUUGGGAACUCACGAGCAACUUCCCAGUGGGUCACUCAUCUUGGGAUUGCUCUAGCCCCCAGCUCGCUUAACUUCGGAGUUCCCAUGACUCCGAAGCCAAUGAGCUCCCAAAAGGCCUCGUGUUAGAUGGAGGCGGGCAUGUACAUAUAAGGCACAUCACCUCCUCUCCGUUGGUCGAUGUGGGAUGUUACAGGUGAACAUAUCAAAGGACAGCCAAAAAAUCAAUCAAAGACAAAAACUCAAAAUGAUCACUUGAUCUCAAAAGCCUUCAAAACACUGAAGCAAGCAAAGCUCAUUGAGCCACAACGAACAAGUCAGCUAGAAUUCAGAAUCUUUAGAGUCAGUUCAGUUUCAGAGAAAUAAUCAAAGAAAGCGAGAUCUCUCUCGUUACAAAUUUGGUUCAGCUUAAAGCCAAAACAAGCAGAGUUCAGGUUCUUACAAAUAUGAAAACCUCAAUAAAUUUAUGGAGAGCCCUGAUCAAGCAAAACAGGUACUACAGUGCAGUUCUAGCUUAGUAAUAAUCAAAUCCACCCACUUCUGCCCCUUCCAGAUUGAGAAGGUCCCAAUUCUGCCCAUUCAAAAAGCCUUCCAAGACUUGAAAUAGAUUAAAGCUCUGCCAAACUCAAAUGUUGGAAUCAAUUCGCAGCUGAAACAUGACAGUUGAAGGUGUUGAUAGUCCAGUCCAGCACAGACAUACCCAGUCUAGCCCAGAUCAGAAGCAUUCACCGAGGCAGAAAUUGAAGUCCAAAGCUCUUUUUGUCUUUUUAGAGUUGGUCUUCCUUUUCUGAGCUUUGUAAAAGGCAAUUCUGCCUAAAACAGUUCACUUUCUUAUCAUUUAUUCUGGCCAGAACUACCAGUUUUGUACUGUGAAAAAUUAUGAAGUCCUCACCAGUCUAAGGCAAGAAAAGAACUUACUUGGGAGAUAUUCCUCACCAAAUUCACAACCGUUUGUUUAGAAAUCAGUAACUUGGUGUAACGACCCGGUCCUAAAUAAAUUGGUAAUUAUUAAUUUAUUCAGAUAAAAGACCAUUUUGCCCAUAGAAUAUUUUAAUAGGUUUACAUGUUGACCCGGGAGGCUUCGGUGAAAUUGUUACAUCUCGGUCCGAAAAAGUGUUAAAAUAAUUAAAGUAGAGUGCUGCUAAAAGAACCCUAAAAUUAACUGAGUACACCCUAUGAUCUAAGUACACCCUAAUAUUUUAAUUAAAAUAUAAAAUUAACUAAGUACACCCUAUAAAACUAUCAAAAAUAACACUGAUACACCCUAAUACUUGUAGCAUUAUUUUAUAGUUGAUUAUUUUAAUAGUGUUUAUAAAUCUUUGACUUUUCAUAUGGAUUUAUGCUUCUACUAAAAUUGUUGCCACUUUUUUUCCAAUUCCAAGUUCUUGCAAUCACCACAUCUUUCGUUAAAAACACAAUAGGACAAGCAAUCUCUUGAUUAGGGUUGAAUAUGGUUAGUAGGGUGUACUUAUUAAUAUUAUAUUUGUUUCACAAUUCCAUAUAUCCUUUUUGGUCAUUUUAUAUUAGGGUAAACCAGUAAUUCAAUAUAUACUUUUAUAGUAGGGUGUACUCAGUUAAUUUUAGGGUUCGUUUAGCAGCACUCUUAAAGUAAGAGAGAAUAAAAUGAAAUAAACAUUAAAAUAAAAUGAUUUGAAUUAAUUAAGGUUUUUGAGAAAUUAAAAUAUUAUUUAAUAUUAUAAGGGGAAAAAGAUCAUUUUAAGUUUGGGAAGGAAUUUGGAAAUUCCAAUUGUACCGUUGUGUAGAGCAUGUCGAAACGAGUCCGUAGACACGUAGUGGACUCGAAUCGUAGUUAUAACGGAGAAAUGGCGAUCAAAAGAAGUUCAGUGGCAUAGCCAUAAAUAUUUCGAAGUUCAGUUUUUUUAAAACCCAAAUUUCUUCUCUCUGGGGAGUGGGAGAGCCAACUUCAAAUGGUGAUUUCUCCCAACUCCGACCACCACACUUCCCUCUUCCUUCAGUUUUGGCAUCAUGAUGGGUUCCAUCCCGGAAUGACACAUUUUCGACGCUAAGGACGUCACAAAUGGUAUUUGAGAUGCUUUGUAAAUUUGUAACCAUGGAAAACACAAUGAACUUUAUGUUCGGAGUUGCAAGAGAACAUUAAGGGGAAUAUGGAGAGUGGGAAAAUAGUAAUAAGUGGAGAUCUGUAUGCUUACUUACUACUGAACUUCCGUCGUGGUGGUUAGUAUGAAAAAGUGUUAGAGAUUAUAGAUUUUAUGGAGGAACAUGGUUGUACACUGAUAAGUAGUCGGUAGGAGUUGAUUUAAGUUCCAAGAGAAAUUCAUUAUGAACUGGGAUGAAUUACUGCAAGAUUCUUGCUGUUUUGAAGUUAUUGAUUUUAGGGGCAUCACCUCUGAAUGAUCAUAAUAACCAUGCGUGGGCUCUGCAUGAGGUUUCUUUGACAUUGUUUGAUUUUGUGUAUUGAUAAUUACACUUAGGGGUGUCACGUUUCUAGAAACGUGUCUAUCCAAAUUGUUGUAUCUCAAUAUCCUAUGGAAGGAAAGCUGAGAAGCUGAAAAUACUGGAUUUAUGGUGGUGAGAUAAAAAUUGUCAGGAACUUUCAAAAGUCAAAUUAUUUCACAAAGGGAAAUACUGGAGAGAAGUAUUAGAGAAUUUUCUUUGGAUAAGUUAUAUAGGAGUGGAGGAGUUGCGAGUUUAACCAAGGAGGGUUGUGACAAUUUAAAUUGAGAAGUAGUGGUGUUGGGUGAAGUAUUAUUUCAUUCGCGUGGGCUUGAAUGCCGCGAUUGACAGGAAUGGAACAUUAGGGUUCUUCUUCCUUGCUCUCUCACGCGAGCUCGCCAUAGAGAGUAUUUCUUGGCGUGGUACUGGCUUCGUCCGACCUCCGAUUACUGUGAUUUUUGAAAGGACCCGGCCCAAAUUUCUCAAAAUCCGAGGCGAAUCCUGUGAAAUUCCCGACAUCACUCCGAUGCCAGGCCCACUUACUAAAGACCGAGACUUUCUGCCGAACUUUCGGCAGAGUCUCCCCUAUAAAUUGGACAUUUUCCAAAACUACCACCUGCAUAAAACACAAUUUAUAUCCCCAACUGGCAGCAUGCACAAGAUAAUUUCAUGCAAAUCACAUAAUCGGCCUGCGGCCUUCAAAUAAUUCAAAACGAAACCACCAAGCACACUAUCAAAUUAAUUCCUACCUUAAACAAGGCAAACAAUAAAUUUAAAUAUGAAUUAUGACUACUAAAUUUCAACAUACGAGGUUUUAACCUCCUAACACAAUCACAUCUAUGUCCGCGGCUGCACCUAAUAACCUUAGGCUGCCUACGUACCUUCACUGAGGGAUCAAGCCACACGUAGUUCUUCCGUAAAACCCAAUUCCACACAUAGGCAAUACCUUUAUUCAUUUCUCUGUAUUUCACAUAAUCUCCCCAUACGCCAGUACUACCAUUGCCACGUAUGGGACUUGUCAACAAGCCGGAUAACCUACACCACGUGCGAUCUCAACAUAAUAUCACAUAAUCUCCUCAUACGCCGGUACAACCAGCGCCACGUAUGGGGCCUGUCAACACGCCGGAUAACCUACGCCACGUGCGACCUCAUCAUACUAUCACAUGAUCUCCCCAUACGCAGGUACAACCAACACCACGUAUGGGGCCUGUCUCAACGCCGGAUAACCUACGCCACGUGAGACCUGAACAUAAUAUCACAUAUCUCCUCAUACGCCGGUACAACCAAUGCCACGUAUGGGGCCUGUCAACACGCCGGAUAACCUACGCCACAUGCGACCUCAAUAUACUAUCACAAUAUCUCCCCAUACGCCGGUGCAACCAACGCCACAUAUAGGGUCUGUCUCAAAUUGGAUAACCUACGCCACGCUAGACCUCAACAUCAUAUCACAAUAUCUCCUCAUACGCCGGUACAACCAACGUCACGUAUGGGGUCUGUCCGCAUGCCGGAUAACCUACGCCAUGUGGGACCUAACUUUCACAGAGUGGUACUUGUAGUGUAACCAAAAUCUGGGGAGGUGCCUAAGGUAGUGCAUAUAGCACUUCAAACUGACAUUCUCUCACUUAUCUAAACUAAUACUAGAGGUCUUCCCAUUUUAAUGGUACCAGUCUAUAGUAGAUUGUAACGUAAUUUAAUCAUAAAAAUAAUAUUAUUUCUAGACCAACGAUUAUUCACAUAAACAUGAAUUUCAUAAUUUCACUAUUUAAAAUAAUAUCUAAAAGUUUCCUAUAAUACAAAUAAACACUCUAAAGAUCCCAACUUAGUCAACACAGCUCAACAAUGCUCAAGACCUGUCAUUAGGGUCAUUAUGAUCCUUCUAGGAAGGUAAAACUACCUCGAAAGACUCAAGGUCAACCAAGGGUCAAACCACCCACAAUUGGUCAAACGGGCCCACGGGGCCCACGACCUCCAAAUUCCAAUCCGAAGGUUCCUAUGGGAUCUACAAGGUAUAGGACACUCGUCUUGCAAGUUAAGCCUAGAUCGGAUGGUCAGAUCGCUCACGAUCGCACAAUCUGAUGGUUAAUAUAAAACAUAAACUUUAAAUUAUUUAAUCGGAACAUCCGGGGCUCCCGAUUCACGAUCUGUUCCUACACGAUCCUAGAAAUACAUAGAUUAACAUAUAUUAAAUUUGAGACCAUCCAACGGUCCUAACCUAUCGAACCCGGAUAACGCGCAAUAGGCGAUAUUCGUUCGAUAGUCAAACGACGUCCGAAUUGAGAUUUACGAAAUCCUACGCACUCGUGACAACCUAAGGAUCUCAUUGAGACAUAUUGCUAUCCCAAAACCGACCGAAAUCCAAUUCGAAAAUCGAGUUACUUACGUUAAGAAUCGACCGAAUCCUACCCAACAGGCAGCUAGAGCAUGAAAAGUAUGUGAGAAACCAUACCUCACUCGUCGAAAUCAGUGGCCAAAGGAGGGAGAUCGACGAUAGAGAAGUUCGGACGAACUGACCGCUUCUUCUCCAUUUUUCAGCGAAACCACGGUAGCUGGUGGCGGGACCUAGCUGGGGUUGGAAGAGGAUGACGCCCCGGUCAUUUUGGUAUCGGCCUCGUGGUCAUCGGUGGCCGGAUGAGAAAACAGCCGGCGAAAAUGUGACCGGCUGCCGUUGCGCACGCGAGAGAGACCACGAGAGAGAGAGAGAGAGAGAGAGAGAGAGAAAUCUGAUUGUGCCACUGAGAUUCUUUUGACCAUAUCUCUCUCGUUACAACUCCGAUUCAAGCCCACCACGUGUCUACGGACUCAUCUCGGUACGACCUAUCCAAAAAUACCAAUCACUACCCCAAAUACUUUUUGGAUCAGAAAGUGACCAAAUUACCCCUACCUCAAUGGUAACUUUGUAAUUUCACUUAAAUAAUUUAAAUAAGGGAUUAAAUUUGGAGUCGGGGUGUUACAAUUUUUGUUGCUAAAUGUUGUCAUCAUUUCUCCUCUACAUCACUCAGUGAUCAUUCACUCCCAUUUCUCUAGUUUACACGGUGAAUUUUAUUUCUAAAAUUUCUUAAAAUUCCGGCCACUGUGAGUUUGACCAGCGACUUGGGUUACUUUUGCCCAUCUUUUUGGAAAUGGAACCGAUUUGAGGAAGAUUAGGAGGAAAGAUACAUAGGCCGCUGAGGCAGAAGUAAAGCCGGAGCUUUACCAUAGACAGAAGUUGUUUUAGAAGUCCUGGAAGAUUGUGAACAGGAAUUGGAAGUUUGCAUGGGGUGAUAGGAUUUUUAGUACUUGUGCAAACAGUGUUAAAAAUCACAUAAAAUACUUGCAAGAAUACAAGGCUAUUGUAGUCUAGAUGCUCAUGCAAGGUCGUUUUCCUCAAGGACUAAUUAGCAAUUUAUGUAAAAAUAAAUUCCAAUUACUACUUAAAAUAAAAAGUCAAGAAAGAUGAUUAUAAAUUUGGUUGAUUCUAAAAAACAAAUAUUAAACAAAAACAAAUACGAUUGAAAGAAAGAGUUUUGAAUAUCAAUUUAUAAAAACACUAGGGUUUCACCAUCACCUAGCAAUCCUAUGAACUUUUACCAAUUACUUAUGAUUUGCACAUGCCACUUUGAAGGUUAGGUUUUCCUAAUGUAUAUUCUACUUAGAACCUCCAACACAGAAUGUAUAUCCAACAUGCAACCCGUCCGGACGUUCGGAUCAAAUCUGAACAUGAAAGACUCAUUAAGUUUUGUGAAAACCCUUUGAAAAACCAUGCAACCCUUAAGACGUGGUGUUCAUCUUAAGUGAAAUUACAAUUAUUAAUCAGAAGAAGCUAGCAUCAAUUUCAGGGAACCUUCCGACCAAAAUUGCAUCCAAUUACUUUUCUAAAGAUCCUAAUGGUGAUCAGGCAUUAAGACAAUUAGAUAGUUUAAAACAGUGAUUAACAAUUCAAAAUACGCAUGCACUCAUCAUAAGCAAUUAAAUAAAAAUCACAUAUUCAUGCUAAGGUUCAAGGCUUCACCCUAGCAAAAGAAAUUUAGUUACGCAUACUCAUAAUUGAAAUCCAAGAAAAUAUCAUUAAGAAGAAAAGAACGAAAACACCUGAAAGUUGUGAAAACCCAAAACCCUAGCAAUUGCUCUCCACAAUGCAAAGUUCAAAAGUGAAAAGGGAGUCCUCCAUUCCUUGUGAGAAAGAGCUUAAAUACCCCUUAAAACCUAGCUGCCAAUGUACAGCUUUUCUAUCCCCACAAGGAAACUAAUUAAAAUAAAAUAAUACUAGGAAAUAAAGUCCAAAUUGGAAUAGGAGAAUCUGCUCAAAAUCUGCCCAGCCACGUUUUGGCCCCAAAUCUCCUCCAAAUCUGGCCCAAGAUAGCUUGUUUUAAAGAUAAAAAAUGUUCUGAACACUUCUUUAGAAGGCCACGAACCCAUCCGAGGUCAUCUUGGGCUCCAAAAACGCAAUAAAAGCCCAACACGUCACUAUUCCAGCACCGCGCACUGCUCCUUUAUUUUGUUGCCAGAAAAUAACCGCUUGGAAGAAAAAUCUGAAAUUUUGAUACGAUCAAGCUAAGUGACUCAAGAACGUCCUCCAACUGGAAUUACUCCAAAAUUCCUCAAUUUGAUUAUGUUUUGCUCCAGAGAGAUUCGAAAGUCCUAUAUUGGAAAUAUAAUUCAAAGUAUCAAAAGUCUUCCAAAAUAAUAACCAAAAUAUACUAAGAAUGAGGUUAAAUAUAUAAUAUAAAAUAUGUCCAUCAAAAUACCCCCAAACUUAGCUUUUGCUUGUCCUCAAGUGAAACAAGACUCAAACAAAAAUAAAAACUUAACAGAUUAGACAUCUGGCUAACACUUAACUAGGACAAAAUUUCCACCUUCAAGUUGCAAUCCAUAGAAAAUUUUAAAAACUAGAACAUCCUUUCAAUAGAUCUAAGUAAUCCCACCACAAAGUCUAAGCUAUUUAGACUCAAUUAGAAAAGAAUUCACAAACUUCUUUCGGUGCAAAGUGAACCAUUAUGGUUAUGGAGACUUGACUAAAACCCUUAACUCUCAUCCCUUUUAUUCAUACUUCACACACUCCACACUUUUUGUUUUUUUUGUUUUUUGUUUUUUGUUUUUUUGUUUUUUUUUCUUUUUGUUUUUAUAGUAACAGUAGUGGUUGUGCAAUGUUGGUUCCCUUAAGCUUUCAAUCCAACCGUGUAGCCAGCUUUAGGUCAAUGUCUCCCAAACCACUCGGGUUUUAGGGCACUAGGUGUAGAACACCCCUAAGGACUUAUUAACUCAAGCUGAAAAGGCUACGAAACCAACUAACCACCCUGCCUCAUGCCAAAACUCUACCUUUUGUCUCGAGAAUCACUGCUGAUUAGGCAGGAUUGACCCGGUUACUAGCAAAGCUUCGGGUGAGGUAAUUAUUACUUUAUAACACAAACUAACUUUAUUUAUAUUGAACAUAAAUUAAAACACAUUUGGACAAAAAGUAAGUAUUCCAAUCUCACUCCCCAAAAACCAUGUUGGUGUGAUGUGCAAAUUUCAAAGUAUAAUUCAUGAAUUAAUGUCUAAGCAACAAUAAAUAGAAAAUACUCUACCGUGGGAUUGAUUUUCACCAUGUCCAUUUGUUCUAACGUUUAAAAUAAUCUAUGGAUAUUGACUGAAAAACGAAAAUUUGUAAACAAGACUCAAAAAAUGAAAAAUAAAAAAAAUUACGUUCCCACCCCCUAACUUAAAUCACACAUUGUCCUCAAGGUGGGGUAAAUAAUCAAAAGAAACAAGAGCAGAAACAAAACGACUAAAACUUAGAAAAUGGAAAUCAAAAAUAAAGAAAAUACUCUAAGAAAAGAAAUUAGGAAGGCAAAGGAUGAGAUCCAGAUGGAUCUGGUAAUCCUAUCCGUAGAGAUGGAAAGAUUCUAUACACGCCAUUGAGACUGGAUUUGGAGAUGAGGAUUUGACCCUACCUUGUUCGACGAAUUCCCUCAAGGGGAAUUAUAGCAAUAAAAUACAUAUGCUUCUACAAACAUUUAAUUGCACUGCUACGACGUGGAAAGAGUGCUUUGGGGUCUCAUCUCAUGUGAACCCGUUCGAGUAGAAAUCUUUCAUUAGAAUCAGAAAUGGGUCAUGGUAAAGAGAGGUAGAUGAUGAUUACAGUUCGGUAAAAAUGAUCAUUUCUGACAUUCCUCUCAAAGAACCGUGUUGGCAAUGUCGUUUAUCGAUUCUAAAGAAAGAAGAAAAAUAUCAACAAGUCAAAGAACGUGGAUUUCUUUUAAGGGGAGAGCUAGAACAAAAUCAAAUCACGAAUGGAAGAGUUUAGCUUUCAGAGGAAGAUUGAGCAUUACAGCAGCUAUUAAAGGAUAUUUUUAGUUGAAGAAUGAGAUUUUUCUUCCUCUGAUUGUUUAGCUAGAGCUUUUGGCUUGACUGCCAACGUGGUUGUGGAGGAAGAAACUUGGGAACCCGAGUAGUAGAUGCGAGCCCACUACCCAUACCCCUUUUGAGUGACAGGUAUGAAAUUUCAAGGAUGAAAUUUUUAUAAGAGGGGUAGAUUGUAACGACCCGGUCCUAAAUAAAUUGGUAAUUAUUAAUUUAUUCAUAUAAAAGACCAUUUUGCCCCCAUAAUAUUUUAAUAGGUUUACAUGUUGACUUGUUGACCGGGGAGGCUUUGGUGAAAUUGUUACAUCCCGGUCUGAAAAAGUGUUAAAAUAAUUAAAGUAAGAGAGAAUAAAUUGAAAUAAACAUUAAAAUAAAAUGAUUUGAAUUAAUUAAGGUGUUUGAGAAAUUAAAAUAUUAUUUAAAAUUAUAAGGGGCAAAAAGAUCAUUUUAAGUUUGGGAAGGAAUUUGAAAAUUUUGAUUGUACCGUUGUGUGGAGCACGUCGAAACGAGUCCGUAGACACAUAGUGGACUCGAAUCGGAGUUGUAACGAAAAAAUGGCGAUCAAAAGAAUUUCAGUGGCAUAACCGUAAAUAUUUUGAAGUUCAGUUUUUUUAAAACCCACAUUUAUUCUCUCUGGGGAGUGGGACGUGCCAACUUCAAAUGGUGAUUUCUCCCAACUCCGGCCACCAAUUCAAGUAAGACCGGCCCCGUUAGAACCACCACACUUCCCUCUUCCAGUCCCAGCCCAUCUCAGUCUCGAUCCGCCGUCGUAGUCGCCGAAAAUCGCCACGAAACAAGGUGGUUUGGAUAGUUUUUGUCGAAAUUUCGUGGAGCUCGUUCUCCCUCCUCCGGCCACCGUUUCAGGCGAGUGAGGUAUCAUUUCUCACCUAUUUUCUAUGAUAUAGCUGAUGGUUGGAUAUGAUUUGAUAAAUUUUGAGCGUUGAUAGUUCGAUUUUCGAAUCAAAGUUUGGCCGAAUUUCGGGAUGAAAUUCCGGCCACUUUCGAUCACUUUUUGGGGUAGGCCCAAGAACAAAAGUGUCUUCAAUUGAUGUCCUGAUCCCAGGGUAAGAGCAUUGGUCGAAAAUUUUGAGAUUUUCCUGCUGGUGGUAUCGCUUUGGGCACCCAUGCGCUGAUGGCGCGUGUGGCAGCGUGUGGGCACUGUAGCAGAGGGCCAUUGUGUCCCAAUGCGACCCCCUUGUUGUCACGAGUGCGUAAGGGUGCUCGGAUUCCAAUUUGGUUGAGGUUUGAACCCCGAAUGGAUUUCGUAUAUUGUACAUUAUCCGGGUUUGAUAGGUUUGAACCGUUGGAUAGUCUUGAAUUUAAUAUAUGUUAGUCUAGACAUCCCUAGGAUCAUAUAGGAUUUCGCGGAUCAUGGAUCGGAGCCCCGGAUGUUCUGAUUUAAUAAAUUAAAGUUUGUGUUUUACAAUAACCGUCCGAUCGUGCGAUCGCGAGCAAUCCGACAGUCCGAUCCGAACCAAACUUGCAGGACGGGUAUCCUAAAUCUUGUAGAACCCAUAGGAGCUUUCGGAUAAGAAUUUGGAGGUCGUGGGCCCGGUUGACCAAGAUUAGGUAGUUUGACCCCUCGGUUGACCAUGAGUCUUCCGAGGUAGUUUCACCCUUCGAGGAGUACUAGAAUGACCUUAUUACAUAGUCUCGACCUUUAAUUGAGCUAUGUUGACUAUGUUGAGAUUUUUAGAGUGUUUAUUAUUAUCGUAUGAAAACUCUUGGAUAUUACUUUUAAUAAUUGAAAUUAUGGAUUUGAUGAGCGUGGGUAAAUUGAUUUGAUGAGUGGUGAAAAGAAGUCGUGGGCUUGGCUAUGACUAUUAGGAAGUGAGGGGACAUUUAUGUUGAAUAUGCAUUAAUUUCAACAAUUGAAAGAACAUGCAUGGAAUGGGUAUAUAUAUAUAUAUAGAUAAAUUGGAUUAAAGAUUGAGAAAUUAAUAAGUUGAGAUAUUAGUAAUAUUUAAUUGAGAAAUGGAUUUUGAGGUGGAAAUUGGAAGGUUGAAUUUGGGGAAUUUUGGAAUUGAGAAUUAUGGGUUAAUACUGAAAGAUGUAGGAUUAUACUAUGUAAGUACCAUCCCCUAGUUACUAGGCUUCCCAUACGUGGAGUUGGAAUUUCUGGCGUGUGGGAAGGAUAUAUGAUUAUUAGAUCUCACAUGCCGUUGGAUUUUCCAGCGUGAGACAGACCCCAUACGUGGGGUUGGAUUUUUCGGCGUAUGGGGAGAUUAUGUGAUGGUUAGGUCACACGUAGGGUGGGAUUUUCCAACGUGUUGACAGACCCCAUAAGUGGCGUUGGAUUUUCCGGUGUAUAGGGAGAUUAUGUGAUGGUUAGGUCACACGUGGCAUAGGAUUUUCCAGCGUGUUGACAGACCCCGUACGUGGCGUUGGAUUUUCAGCGUAUGAGGAGAUUAUGUGAUGGUUAGGUCCCAUGUGGCGUAGGAUUUUCCGGCGUGUUGACAGACUCCAUACGUGACGUUGGAUUUUCCGACGUAUGGGGAGAUUAUCUGAUGGUUAGGUCACACGUGGAGUAGGAUUUUUCAGCGUGUUGACAGACCCCAUACGUGACGUUGGAUUUUCCGGCGUAUGGAGAGAUUAUGUGAUGGUUAGGUCACACGUGGCGUAGAAUUUUCUGGCGUGUUGACAGACCCCAUAUGUGGCGUUGGAUUUUCCGGCAUAUGGGGAGAUAAUGAGAUGGUUAGGUCACACGUGGCAUAGGAUUUUCUGGCUUGUUGACAGACCCCAUAUGUGGCGUUGGAUUUUCGCGCGUAUGGGAAGGAUAUGUGAUUAUUAGGUCUCACAGGUGGCGUUGGAAUUUCCGGCGUAUGAGACACUAACAGUGAGAAGAGAAUGAGAUUAUUUUUCUAUAUCAGAGAAAGGUUAGAGUAUAAAAAGAAAUAUGUUUGGUGUGUGGUAAUUUAAAUUAAAACAGGGAAAGAUAACUUACCUGUACUACUGAAACAGUUGUGUAACAUUUGGAGCAUGAUUAUGGAGUGAAAGAACUACGUGUGGCUUGAUCUCUCAGUAAGGGUACGUAGGCAACCUAGGUGCAGUCGUAGACUAAACGUUAUUUAUGUUGUUUUAUUGAGAUUGGUUCUGACCCUGUCGUUGGUCCUGAAAUUCGGUUGAAAACUAGAUGCGAGUAAAUAAUUGUUCAUACUCCCGUUUCGUUGAGGGAGGAUUGUGUAAAUGUGUUCUGGUCAAGACAGGUAUAAGAACUCGUUUAGGAUUGAUGUACGAUUUGGGCUAAGGCCUUAAACUACUUGUUGUUGUAUUAGGAGAUUAAAACCUCGCAUGUGGGAUAAUUGGGAAAGUUAGAUGAUGUAAAGUGCACUUAGGCAUUCAUAUAUAUGUUUAAAUUUAUUAUUUGUCUUGCUUAACGUAAUUGUUUGACUUAUGGGCUUUAUUGGUGAUUUGCUUCAGAUUAUUUAAAGGCCGAAGGCCGUUUAUGUGAAUUGCAUUUUGAUACAUUGUGCAUGCUACUAGUUGUGGAUAUUAAAUGUGUUUUAUGCAGGUUGAAAUUUUUGGGAUUGUUCAAAUUACAGGGGAGACUGCCAAAAUUUUGAUAGAAAGUCUCGGUCAUUAGUAAGUGGGCCCGGCAUCGAGGUGAUGUCGGAAUUUACACAAGAUUCCUCUCGGGUUUUCAGGAAUUCGGGGCGGAUCCUGUUACUUGGGGUGCAAAUUAUCCAUUUGUUCACCCGUUUUCGUGUUUUACUUCUGAGGUGGAAGGGCGAAGUUUCCCACUGGCUUGGAGACCACUUGUUGGUCGACAAGUCAGCUUUCUUUGGUGUGUGUGAGCGUGCCACUGCUAGCAAUGUAAAUUCUAGCAGACUUAUUUUUUAGAGUGGAUAACUUGCGCCUCAAGUUACUGACUUCUAAAACAAAUGAUUGUGAAUUUGGGUGAGGAAUAUCUCCCAAGUAAGUUCUUUUCUUGCCUCAAACUGGUGAGGACUUUCACAAUUUAUCUCAGUAUCAAAUGGUUGUUCUGGCCAGAAUAGAUAAUAAUAAAGUAGACUGUUUCAGGCAGAACUGCCUUUUACAAAAUUAAGAAGGGAGAAAUCAACUCUAGAAAGGAAAAAAGAUGGCUGGAAUCCCAUUUCUGCCUGGGUAGAAACUUCUGAUCCGGGCUGGACUGGGUAUGUCUAUGCUGGACGGUGCUGUCAACAACUUUAGCUUGCUCGGCUUUAGUUGUAAAUCGAUACCAAAGUUCAAUUUUGGCAGAGCUUCAAUCUACUUCAAGCCUUGGGAGACUUUUGAGUGGGCAGAACUGCAGCUUCUUCAGUUUGAAGGGACAGAAGUGGCUAUUCUCGAGGAUUUAGCAAGCUGGAACUAUGCUAUAAAAUUUGUUGAGGUUUUCAUAUUUGUGAAAACUCAAACUAUGUUUGUCUUGGCUUUUGCUGAACCAAAUUUGUAACGAGAGGGAUCUUGUUUUCAGAAGACUUAUUUUCUAAGUCUGAACUUUGGAAUUCUGAUCUAAAGCUGUUUUCUUGUUUGUUUUUUUUUGAUUGACUGAUGAAUUGAGUGUCCUUUGUUUCUUUGCCUUCUUUCGCUUUUAUAAGAGAUCCUCCUAAGGAGGUCAUUUUUAAUCCUAAACAAUGGGCGGCAAAAAGAUCUCUUAUAAUGUAAAGUAAGAAGGGUUUCUUAUCAAUCAAGGCAGAUAGGUUCUGAGCAGUCACCUCCUAAAAACAGUCCAUUCCCUGGUUUCCUGGGUGGCAGCUUUCUAAUUCAACCAACGCCACCGUCUGUGUGGGCUUUUUAUGGCAGUUUUGGCUCUUUUCUUUUGUAUUUUCUGAGUGGUUCCCUGUUUCCCGUUCUAAUUUAGAAAGCGUGAUUCGUGAAUUCCUUGGGAGAUGGUGUAUUGAUUUGGAGCAAAAUCUUGAACACAGAUGGGUUUUUGAUCUUCAAUUGGCAGUGUUUCAGAGACGUCCCUCUCACAUUUUUAAACUUUAGUUGGAAUUGCUGACUUUUCCAAAGUUGAGGCAAUCACGUGGGUGUGUCUUUGAUCCCUUGGUUUUGAAUCUAUCGAAAAUUACGGGCUGAUCUUUGAAGCCCAUUUCGAAAGUUUCCACAUCUGGGCUUUCUUUGGGCUGAGGCUUUAUUUCCAACAUUCUUGGUGUGAAGCCCAAACUGUCUGGGUCUUAUUUUCGUUUUUCUCAAGUCUCUGGGCUGGGCAGGCAAUUUUAUCAUGGGCCUGUCUUCUGGUCUUGGGCGUGCCGAAUUUGGGCCCAAACAAUGCCCCCUAAGUCUGAAUCGUUUUGGAAUGGUUUCAGACUUAAUGUUUUGCCAUUUAAUUCACGUGCCAGUUUCUUCCGUGUUUUCGCCCACGUCUGCCACGUUUGCCUGCUACGAACUAGAGUUCGUGGGAAAACGGCUAGUUAUUAUCUAGUUACUAGCUAAUAAUCAUCAGGUGCCGUCCCAUCUUCUUCUUCCCACGUUUUCGAGCCCCUCUUUAAAAGAAAUUCAAAUUCAUAGCUUCUGAAAAAAGAAACCCUAAACCUUCCAGCUCUUGUUCCUGCGAGUUCUUUCUUCGAGAUUUCCAAAGCCUUCUUUAGACCUUCCUUUCUUCUGCUUCUUCCCUUGAAUCAGAAAUGUCUUCCCCAAGGUCCCGCGCUCAGUCUUCUUCCGCUUCAGUUCCUCCCGAUUAUAUCACUGGGAGCGGGAUUGAUGCUCACGCGAUAGAAAUCAGGAGCAAGCUUCAUCCCUUUGCCCAGAAGAAUCUGGACGAGAAUGUCCUCCAUUUGUUUGAGAACACCCUGGUGUUAGGGCCUCACUGGUUUGGUCCUGUUCCAGCUGAGAUGGCAGAAUUGCUAAAAAAGGAUGCCGAGGCUCCUUUGUGUUUUGAGAGCUCUUCUGCCCUGGCUUCUUAUUCUUGGGUUAGCAAGAAUUUGAGCCGGUCCUUCCCGUCCAGCGAGGUGAGGAAUAGUCUGGUCAAAUGGGCAGACUGGAUUGAUAGACUUCUCCCGAGAUAUGGGGGUCACUGGAGGAGAGCUGGGAUUUAUGACGCCAUUUUUCUGUCCAAACAAUCGAUUAACAGAGAUGAGAAUCUGCUUGCUGCUGCUUUAUGCUUCUGGAAUUCUGCCAGCAAUACAUUUGACUUCCGCGUGGGUCCUAUGGCGCCAACCUUGCUGGAUAUGGCUCAGAUUUUUGGGUUCAGGCCCCAUGGUAGGCCUGUUGAUGCCAUUGGAGAUUAUCACAGGCGAAGGAAUCAAGAGAAAGUGGCCACCCCUUUUACUAUCCCUCCAGCCGUGAUCAACCAGAACUGCUCUUUCUCCAACUAUCUGAAGAAGUUCAGUGCUGAUAAGGACAAGGAUCAGCAACAUAUGUUGUUCCUUCUGUAUUGGCUGAAUUGGUUCGUUCUCCCCAAUCGGUCUUCUGCAGUUCUGCUAGAGUACAGACACUUGGCAGAAGCACUCCACAAUCACACUGAUGUGGGGCUCGGGCCUACAGUUCUGGCUCACCUUUUCAAGAAUCUGCAUACUUCCACCCUGGAGAACCCAUUGAACCUGUCAGCCCCUGGCGCAUUCUGGAUGAUCCAGAUCUGGCUGCAGGUUUAUUUUCCAGAACUAAGGUUCCCAGACAUAGUUCUGCCUGAAGAUCAAGUCCUGGCUCUUCCUCUGAUGUCGGCAGAAGUGCCCAAGCAUUCUAUUGAGGAGUAUUUGAUGCUCUUCAGGCAUUGUACAAAGAGGUCGGCAGCUCAGUGGCAAGUGGUGAUCAGGAGGACCUAUCCUUGGUUCCAGACCGGAUUUCGGUUGUUUGAGAAGGAGCCAGAAGAUGAAGCUGCCAGAACAGAUUUCAGGAGGAAAUUUCUGAGCAUUACUCUGCCCAGAGAUCUACCCCAUGGUGGGGGCAAACCUCCAAACUAUCAUCUGGGGGCAGAAGUCUACCAUCCCAACUUCUGCGCGAGGCAGCUUGGUUGUCCCCAACUCAUUCCGCUGAAAUCAUAUCGGAGUUGUAACCGGGCCUCUUCUUGGAGGGAUGCAGAUGAUCUGGAGGUGCACAAGGAUGCCCGGUGUGCAGUGAACAAAAUCAACAACAGCACGGAUGCCCUCUAUCCCUCGUGGGAGCUGAAUUCCUGCAGUUCUGCCGACUUUGACGCAUGGUGGAAAGCCAGAUUCCAAAGUCUGCCUGCUUCUGUCACUGCCCUCAAGGUGCUGUUUGAUGGUUGGGAAAACUGGGUCGUUUUUGCGAAUGGGGAUGCCAAGACGCAUAUGAUCCAGACCAUCAAGGAUAUUAACGCGCAAAUUAUAGAAGGUAGAUUUCUGAUUCUGUAUGGGGUUCGUUCUGUCCUGAUGAUUGAUUUCUAAUGUCUAUUCUGCCUGUAUCAGAUCCUUCUUUGACCAGCGUAGGUGGGCAGUCUGUUCAUGCUGGGGAAGUGAUUGGUAAGUCUUUUCUUUUAAUUCUAUUCUGUCUUUUCCUGCUGGAUUGGUCUCUAAUGUCUAAUGCCUUGGUGCAGUCUCUUCCGUUAUUGCUGCCGGGGACUUGGAGCUCCCUUCUGCGGAUGAAGGAGAUGAGGUCCAGACAGAACAAACACCUACCGAGGCCGCUCUUUCUGGCAGAAGAAAAAGGAAAGGACCUGCCCCUCCUUCGGAUAAUCCCACGCGGCCUGGUAUUUCAGGUAAGCUCGUGAUGUUCCAACCAUUCUCUUUAAAUUUAUUAUGUCUUGCCUUCUUUUCCCUAAUACUGCUUUUUGUUCUGUGCAGCUGGAAGUCCUUCCCCUCCUCCUACCAAGUUGAAAAAACUUAAAAAGAGGAGUGAGGAGGAGUAUGUCGCCGCGGAAGAGACGGCAGCAAUUCCCACCACUACCUCCGGGACGGAUGAAGAGCUGCGAGAGGCUUUUGAGGAGGUGGAGCAGGAAAAAGAAUUGGAAGAGCUGGAAGAAACGCCUCAGGAAAAAACGGCAGUGGCGGAAGGAGAGGUAAGUUUUAUUUCUGUGAUUCGCAUCAGUUCCCUUCUCGCCCUGUUUCUUCCGUUCUGACCCUUAUUUUGUAGGAGAAGAUCCCUGCUGAGGUGAUUGCAGAGAGCAUUGCCUUGGCGCAGAAGCAACAAGGGGGUCCAAGGGCUGAGCGGACUAGCUCAGAACUAGCCCUAUUUGAGGAUGCUGAGGCAGAGCAUUCUACUGCCGUUCCAGCGGCUGAGGAUCAGGCGGAACGGUCUGCAUCAGAGCCUGUGGAUCAGGCAGAGCUGUCUGUUGUGGUUCCGGAGGCUGAAGUGGAAACAACCGCCGCUGCCCCUGUGGUUGUGGUAACUUUCUUUCUUUAUCUGUCCACACUCUCCUGCAUUUCUGCCUUGUUCUUUAUUUUUAACUGUUGUAGCCUUUUCAGGUAGAAGUGCCUAAAGCUGUUGGCGUCCUGGCAGCGGUUACCAGUCCCCAGAAGCCUCCCAUUGUUGCUGUAAGUUUUCAUAACUUUUGGGCCUUUAUUUUCCACUUUCUGCCUGGUCUUACCUUAUGCUUUCUUCUUGCAGAUGCCAAUUCAUUCCCUUCCAGGAUCAUCUGCCACGGCUUCUUUUGCUGAUCCAGAACUCGAAGAGUUUGAAGCCAUGGAUCUGGAUGCCCAAUUGGACAGAUUGGAGAAACUCAGCUCUCCUCCAGGCAAGGCAAAAUCUAGGGCAGUGGAGGAGGCCAUGGAGAGGUUGAAAAUCUGGCAGUCUAAUGAGCUGGAGUUUGAUCAAGACAAUGAAGCCUUAAAUCAGCUGAUGAAGGACCUGGACCUGCUUCACAGACAGAACAUGGCUCCAAAACCUAUCCUUGAGAUGGGCCUAAGCUUGGCCAGAGAUGUGCUCAAUCUGCAUGAUCGCUAUGAGGAUCUCAGGCCUACUUUCAAGACUUCUGAAUUCUGCAAGGCCACUCAUGAAGCCAACCUGGCUGAUUUUGCAAAGCAGAAAGCAGAACUGGAUCAGAUGGUGGCCGGAUAUAAGGAAGCCAGGGCCACUGCGGACAAGCUGGAGAAGCCGAUGGAAGAGCUCCAAAAACAACUGGCAGAAUGCAGGGAGGUGCAGAGCAGGCUUGGGGCUGGACUGAGUUCUAAAACUAAGGCCACUUUCCUUGUGCAAAGUAUGGUUGCAGCUUCCAGGACAGCCUUGGAGAUUGCAGAGGCUUCAAUUCACCAGGGGGUGCUGCUCCAGAAAGAGCUUUCUGUCAAGAAAGCGAACCUGCAGGAGACUCUUAGAAAACUAGGAUUUUAGCUUCUUCUUUCCUUUUAUUGUUCGAAUAAUUUGCCGCAAAGGUGGCUAUUUUUAUAUAAGCUUUCAAAGCAUUUUACUGCUUUUCAUUUAUUCUUGAUGCAAUAACUGGAUACGGCUUUGAAAGUAAAAAACAGAACAACUUUAAAGCAAAAAUAAAUCUAAACAAAAUUCUUUUCAAGAAACAAAAAGGUCAAACUUGUUCCUCUUCUAUCCCGGGAUCUGUUUAUACAGCCUGCGAAUCCCACGUGGUUGGAUAGAACUUCUUUAACCAUUUACCAUUGAUUGGGGCAAAAUGAACAACUCCAUCUCGGUCCUGCAACCUGUAUGCCCCCAUUCCGAGGAUUUGGUUAAUUAUAAAAGGGCCUUCCCAUGUAGGUGACCAUUUCCCAUAUCCAGCUAUGUGUGCUCCAAGGGGCAGAAUUGCCUUCCAGACUAUCUCUCCCUCUUCAAAACUCUUGUUUUUGACUCUUUUGUUGUAGGCCCUUGAUACAGCCUGUUUUCCUGCUAAGAGUUUGUUGAGGGUGUCAAUUCUGCUUGCAUCCAAUUCUUCCAAUUCCAGCAACAUGGCUUGAGAGUAAUCCUCCCCAGUGAGACCAUGCUGGUGAGCAAUUCUAAGAGACUGGACCGCUAUCUCCAUGGGAAGAAUUGCAUCGUGGCCGUAGGUUAGAGCAUAGGGGGUCAUGCCAGUUGCUUCUCUCUUUGAAGUUCUGUAUGCCCACAAAGUUUCUGAUAACUUCUCAUGCCAUUACUUUGGAUUCUUCUCUAGCAUCUUUUUGAUGAUAUUGAUAAUCACCUUGUUACUUGAUUCCACCUGUCCAUUAGCUUGAGCAUAGUAAGGAGUAGAUUGAAGCAGUUUGAACUUGAACGUUUCUGCCAUAUCUAGCAUGUCCCUAGAUAUGAAAGAAGAACCCCUAUCGGUUGUGAUUGAUUCUGGAAUGCCAAACCUUUGUAUGAUCUGUUCUUCUAUAAAGGUGAUGAUCUCUUGAGAUGUUGUGGUUUUUACUGGCUUGGCCUCUACCCACUUGGUGAAGUAAUCUGUGGCAACGAUAAUGAAACAGUGCUGCUGGUUGCUGGCUGGAUAGAUUUUGCCAAUGAGAUCCAUUGCCCAUCCCCUGAAAGGCCAUGGUUUUACUACUGGAUUCAUGGGAACCGAAGGAGCCUGCUGGAUUGGGCCGUGCCUUUGACAGGCUUCACAUCCUUUGGAGUAGUUGAUGCAAUCCUUCAUCAUGGUUGGCCAGAAGUAGCCAUACCUUCUGAUUAACCAGCACAUCUUUCUUCCCCCUUGGUGAGCUCCACAGAUCCCCUCAUGGGUUUCUCCCAUGGCUUUCAUAUAUUCUGUCUUCCCGAGGCACCUUAAUAGUACCUCAUCCUUACUUUUUCGGACCAAAUCUUCAUUCCACAUGAGGUAGUUUGUAGCCAUGAUUCUGACUCUUUUCUUAGAGGGCAGAGUGGGAUAUCGUAAGUAAGUCAUGAUAGGCUCCCUCCAAUCAUCUUCAGUGAUCAAGGCAGAAUUGACUUCUAUCUCCAUUCCUCUCGUCAAAACAGAUGGUAGACUUUUCCUUCCUAUCUUGAUGAUCCUUUGGACGCAGUCUUCGGGCAUUUGUAUGCCUGAUGCCACCUGAGCCAGUUCAUUGGCUGCAAAGUUUUCCUCCCUUGGGAUGUUCUCCCAAGUAGCUUCUCUAAAUUCUGUUAGCAGAUUUCUAGCUGCUACUAGAUAUACAGCCAGAGAAGGAUUCAGACACUUAUAUUCUCCAGCAAUCUGUUUUAGGACAAGCAUGGAAUCUCCCAAGAUCUCCACGGACUGGACUCAUAAUUCUACCAACAUCUCGAGCCCUAUAAUCAAAGCCUCAUACUCGGCCAUGUUGUUGGUGCAUUGGAAAUCUAGCUGGAAGGAAUAGCAAUGUCUGACCCCUAAUGGUUCUUCCAGAACAAUCCCUGCUCCUGAAGCCUUGUCUGUCUUUGAUCCAUCAAAAUAUAACUUCCAAGGUGUGAGAUGAAUCGAGUAGAUUGGAUUGUUAAGGCAAACAUGAGCUCUAGUUAGCAGAUCUGCAUUUGCUAUGUCCAAAGAAUCCAUGUUUUCAAUUUCCUCUCCCGAGUGAUCUACCAAGAAGUCUGCCACAGCUUGCCCUUUGACAGCUUUCUGGGGGACAUACCUGAAGGUGAAUUCUGUCAAAGCCAAAGUCCAUUUCCCAAUUCUGCCCCUCAGCAUUGGUCUUGUUAGCAUGUAUUUGAUUAAGUCUGUUUUGGCAAUGAUGUAGAUAGUAUGUGGCAGCAUGUAGUGCCUGAGCUUUACAGCAGUGAAAUAUAAGGCCAGGCAAAGCCUUUCUAUUGCGGAAUACCUUCUUUCCACUUCUGUCAAUGUUCUGCUUAGAUAGUAGGCUGCCUGUUCUUUUCCUUCUUUGUUAUCUUGAACUAUUAGACUUCCAAUGGAUACUUCUGAUGCAGAUACAUAAAGCUUGAGGGGUCUGCCCCUUUUUGGUGGGGACAGAACUGGUGGAUUUGAGAGGUAAUGCUUUAUUUCCUGGAAAGCCUGUUGGUGCUGUUCUUCCCAUUUGAAUGUCUGUUCCUGCUUCAGUCUUAACAGGGAAGAAAAAGGUUGGAUUUUUCCUGCAGAAUUGGAUAUGAAUCUCCUUAGAAAAUUGAUUUUUCCUAAGAGACUUUGAAGUUCCUUCUUGUUCUGAGGUGGUAGAGCUUCUAUGAUGGAUGUUGCUUUAUUUCUGUCAACCUCUAUACCUCUCUGGUGGACCAAGAAUCCUAAGAAAUUCCCUGCUUGGACUCCAAAAACACAUUUUUUGGGGUUCAUUUUCAGUUUGUGCUGCCUCAUUCUUAGGAAUGCCCUUCUCAGGCUUGCUACGUGAUUUCCUUCCUCAGGGGAUUUAAUCACCACGUCAUCUAUGUAUACUUCCAAGGAAUGUCCUAUCAUAUCAUGAAAAAUAGAAUUCAUUGCCUUUGGUAGGUGGCUCCCGCAUUUCUCAAACCGAAAGGCAUUACAGUAUACUCGAAAGCACCUAUAUGUCCUGGACACAUAAAGGCUGUCUUGUGGAUGUCCUGUUCUGCCAUCAUGAUCUGGUUAUAACCUGCAUUGCCGUCCAUGAAAGAUAGCAUCUGGUUAUGAGUGGCUCCAUCCACUAGCAUGUCUGCCAUUGGCAUAGGAUAUUCGUCUUUAGGAGAUGCCUCAUUCAGAUUUCUGUACAAUAUUUGCUAACCAAUCGGAAUAGACGGCUGGCCUGAUGAAUCCUGCCUUGAGCAGCCUUUCUAUCUCUUCUUUGACCUUUAGUUCUGUGUCCAUAGACAUUCUUCUUCUGGCCUGUUUGACUGGAAGGUAGCCAUCUUUAAUUGGCAGCUUGUGCUCCACUCACUGCCUGUCCAAUCCUGGCAUUUCGUGGUAAUGCCAGGCAAAACAAUCUCUGAACUCCUGUAAAAGUGCCAUGAGUUCAGUCUUGAGUGGUUCCUUCAAAAGUGUGCUGAUGAAAGUAGGCCUUGGAUCUUCUUCUGUUCCUAAGUUUAUCUCCUGUAGAGGAUCCUCUACUUCUGGCAGGGAGUCAUCCAGUGCUGCUGGUGCAAAAUCUAAUACUUCCUCCUGUAAAAUUUCCUCCUCUUGCUCUUUUGUGCUUUCAUGGGUGAAUUCUGCCAUAUUGAUGGCUGGAUUCUGUAUGAAAAGCCUCCUUUCUCCCCAGUAUAUCAACAAUCUUUUUGUGAUGGAUCGGAUUGUUGCAGCUCGAUCCUUGUCUAGUUGAUUCGGACUAAACAUCAGAGUUCUGGAAGUUCAGCACAAAAAGGUCUAUUCCAGUCCUCUAGAGAACUGGCUAAACCUUCUUCAAUGAGUCUUUGGGCCGUGACACCAUGUGGACGGCCGUUCUGAUUGACUCCAAGGAAAGUGAAAGGACCGAGGUCAUCAUGAUAAUACCUUGUUUCAAAGCACAUGGCAGAGGGCAGGAAUGGCCGUGGAUCAGCCUCUAUAAUCUCCAUGCAGCCUUCUUCAUUCCAUAGUGCUAACUGCGGGUGGAGGGUGGAAGGAAUACAAAGGCUCUGGUGAAUCCAAUCCCUGCCAAGUAGUGCAUUGUAGGUGGUGGAAGUAGUGUCUAUAACAAAGAAUGCUAUUUUCAACUCUUUGCUUCCGAUUAUGACAUCCACAUCUAAGAUGCCAUGUAUUUUGGUGAUGCAACCAGAAGUUGGUGACGGUCAAUCGUGUUGGAAUCAGAUCUUUCUCUGUCCUGCCCAGCUUGGUCAGCAUUCUGUGGGGUAAUAGAUUAAUGGCUGCACCUCCAUUUACCAUGAUCUUGGAAAUAGGAAUACCCCCAAGAUUUGCCGUUAUAAACAAAGGUCUGAGGUGAAACAAGGUUGCUCUGUAGCUGGUUUAUUGGCUGUUCUGCCUGUCUUGGGGUUUUCUGCUUGUGGUUCUGGUGGCUCCUCUGCUUCUGCCAAUCUACAUUCAAAGCUUUCCUGAGAGAAAACAUCCCCUUCCAGAGUGCUUUCUUGUCCUUCGGCUGCCCUGAAUUUACUUGGUAGGAUGAAUACCAUGUUAAUUCCCAGAUCACCCUGUAGGAGGUCUUCUAAUUCUGCGCCAAAAGCUUCUGUUUCUGGGUCCAAUUCUACACCAAAUUCCAUUAAUUCUUCCCCGUAUUCUUCCGUCCAGUCAUCCUGUUCUGCUACUUCGAGGGGCUCUUUCUGAUCAUCUGCGGAAGGUUCAUAGUCCAAUUGCUCUUCUUCAUAUUCCUCAGUGUAGUCGUCUUCUCCUUGUAACGGGGUAGACCCAGAUUUCUCUGGUGUCUGCGUGGUGUCAGGACGGCUGCUGGACGACGAGGCCACAUGGAUAGGAGACCUGGCUGGGGGUUCUGUUUUCAGCAAUUCCCUUGACUGGCAAGCUUUCUGUUCUGUCUGGGGAAGUGUUUCAGGAUUUUUUCCUUUCCUAGCAGAACUGGGUUGUGAACGUACCUGCGUAUUAUCUUGGCUCUUAAGAUAUGUGCAGUAUUGCCUCUGGAUUCUCCUUUUCUGGGUUCUGGUUAGCUCCAGAGUCGGUCUACCGCUUCUUCCUACGGAAUACCAUCUCCCUUCUAUGAUCGUUGCCAAGGAUCUUUCGUUUCUGGGCAUCUUGACUGGUAUUUCCUUUCUGGGUUGCUCCAUCCUCCUCUCGCUGUAUUGUGUAGGCCUAAGACAGCUCUUCUGCCUUGUUUUGUCUCGGGAUGAGGUUCCAAUUCUGUCAAAGACACUAGGUGUGGGCUGAUUUUGUCUGUCUAGAACCACCUCUAGCUCUGUUUCACAUUUGCACCUACUGCAGAGCACUACCCCAGCCGAGAUGGUCGCUCUUGGUAUUUGACUGGUCUCCCUUAUGAUUCUUCUGCCUCUGCUGCAACCAGCAUCUGUGAUUGGCUCGGUUUUCCUCUGUUCUGGCCAAUUUAAGUUGACCAUAUUGACUUGUGGUUGAGGAAAAGGAUCCGUUGUGACGGAUGGUGGUUUUUCUGCCAGUUUCAACCUUCCUGCCGUUAUCCCUUCUUGUAUUACGUCCCUGAAAACAACACAACUAUUGGUAGAAUGGUUCCAAGAGUUGUGCCACCUGCAGUACUGUCUGCCCUUGAGUUCUUCCGGCUUCGGUAUUCUGUGAGGCGUCUCUAUUGCCUUCUACAGUAGCAUUUCGUGGAACAAGGCAUCAACCUUGGUUAAGUCAAAAGAGUAAACCUUGUUUUACGUUGGUUUGUUUGGAACGAAUCCUCCUGUGAAUGGUGGUGGCUUUUGGUCUUUAGGUGGCUUUGUGAGGGCUUUGCAACUAAUGGGAUGUUUUAGUUUUGCCAUUUCUGCCACUGAAACCUCUUUCUCUUCUGAUUCUUCUGCAUCUUCUUGUGAUUCCACCUCGAUCAGGUGGACUGAAGAAGAAGGGGUUUUAUAGUAUGUACCUUUGGAGGAGUUCCUCCUUUGCUGUUCCUCCCUGAGUAACUCCUCAUAUUUGGAUGCCUUAUCAGCCAGUUCUGCCAGAUCUCCGAACAAUAUCCCGUCGAACCUUUUCCUGAGAGAGAUUUUAAGGGCAACUUGGGCCAUCUGGAUGAAGUGUCUUUCUUCCAUCGGGAUUCGGCACUUCAUUUUGAGCUUUCUGAACCUGGUUAUGAAAUCUUGGGCCGGUUCAUCUUCACUUUGCUUGAGGGCAGCUAGAUCACUGAUGGUGACUUCUGGCUGAAUCCUGUAAUAGUAGUCAUGGAAGACAUUUUCCAUCUGUUCCCAGGUUUGAACAGAGUUAGCUGGCAGGCUGGUGUACCAGGUAAAAGCUUGCCCAAAAAGAGAGUUGCCGAAAAGCCUUAAUUUCAGCAGAGGGUUGCUUUCUAUAGCUAUGCAUUGGACGGAGAACCUGCCUAUAUGUUCAACUGAGGAAGAAUGGGGGUCUUCCCCAUUGAACAAAGUGAAGUUUGGCACUUUGAAACCUGGAGACAACAGUAUUUGAUCGAUAUAGGCUGGGUAUGGCUUUCUGUAAGUAGGCCUUUCCCCUAUUCUAGCCUCGGGUUCCAUGAUUUCUCUGAUCAUUCUUUGCAACGCUCCUAUGUCAUUCAAAGCAUUGACUGGGGGAAGAUUUUGUCCCUGUUCUGGCUGAACGUAAUCAAACCUGGGCUCUGCUCUGUGUGGUCUGGGUGGAACUUCCUCCCUGUGUUCUUCCUGCUCUUCGACUUCUGGAUGAUUCCUCCAGUUUGCCCCCGGUCUAUUCCUGUCAUGAUUAGCAAAAAGGUUGUUCCCUCCUCGGCCUCUCCUCCUUCUUGCAAGUGGAGGGAAUGGAUUAGGGUCCAUCCUUCUGGGUCUAUAUGGCAAUACUGCCGGUGGUUCAGGCAGAAGCGCCAAAGGUUGAUCAUGUGGGAGCACAUGAAGUGGAAUGGGCUGAGGUUCUGGCUGGUUCUGAGCCAGUGCCAGGUUAUCUGGUUGAGCUGGGGCUUCAUGUUUUUGAUUAGGAAGGGCUCCUUCCCUCGGACCAGCCUGAAUUUCUCCGUGGUCUGGCACUCCAGCCAUCUGUGCAACUAGGAAAUUUUCCUGGUAUGGCCAUAUUAGUCCUGGCGGAGGGCCAUAAGGGAGAUCCAACUGCUGGAUUACAGGAUCUGGGUUUGGGUUUCUGGCCAUGGCGGAUUCUCGGUCCUUCCGGAACUGUCUGUUUACCUGCCAUUACAUCAUGGCUGUCAUGUUAUUGAGAGUGUCCUGGCUCCUUCGUACUGUGAUCUCUUGUCGGAGUACUGACUCCUGUAUUUGAUUCAUCCUUUUGGAGCCAGUCCUGGAACGUCUACUUCCUGUACUGCCGUGGGCAGAUUGCCUAGCAUCGCUUUUUUCUGAUUCGAGGCCUUCCCUGAGAACCAUCUUGUUUUUCUCCAUAUCUGGUGUGGGUUCUGACUAGAUCUUCCGGUAUUUGUGAAUCUGUGAAUGAUUCUGUCAGAGUAUAUAUACUGAGAAGUCCCACUGGGUGUGCCAAAUUAUUCACCCGUUUUCGUGUUUUACUCCUGAGGUGGAAGGGCGAAGUUCCCCACUAGCUUGGAGACCACUUGUUGGUCGACAAGUCAGCUUUCUUUGGUGUGUGUGAGCGUGCCACUGCUAGCAAUGUAAAUUCUAGCAGACUUAUUUUUUAGAGUGGAUAACUUGCGCCUCAAGUUACUGACUUCUAAAACAAAUGAUUGUGAAUUUGGGUGAGGAAUAUCUCCCAAGUAAGUUCUUUUCUUGCCUCAGACUGGUGAGGACUUUCACAAUUUAUCUCAGUAUCAAAUGGUUGUUCUGGCCAGAAUAGAUAAUAAUAAAGUAGACUGUUUCAGGCAGAACUGCCUUUUACAAAAUUAAGAAGGGAGAAAUCAACUCUAGAAAGGCAAAAAGAUGGCUGGAAUCCCAUUUCUGCCUGGGUAGAAACUUCUGAUCCGGGCUGGACUGGGUAUGUCUAUGCUGGACGGUGCUGUCAACAACUUUAGCUUGCUCGGCUUUAGUUGUAAAUCGAUACCAAAGUUCAAUUUUGGCAGAGCUUCAAUCUACUUCAAGCCUUGGGAGACUUUUGAGUGGGCAGAACUGCAGCUUCUUCAGUUUGAAGGGACAGAAGUGGCUAUUCUCGAGGAUUUAGCAAGCUGGAACUAUGCUAUAAAAUUUGUUGAGGUUUUCAUAUUUGUGAAAACUCAAACUAUGUUUGUCUUGGCUUUUGCUGAACCAAAUUUGUAACGAGAGGGAUCUUGUUUUCAGAAGACUUAUUUUCUAAGUCUGAACUUUGGAAUUCUGAUCUAAAGCUGUUUUCUUGUUUGUUUUUUUUUUAUUGACUGAUGAAUUGAGUGUCCUUUGUUUCUUUGCCUUCUUUCGCUUUUAUAAGAGAUCCUCCUAAGGAGGUCAUUUUUAAUCCUAAACAAUGGGCGGCAAAAAGAUCUCUUAUAAUGUAAAGUAAGAAGGGUUUCUUAUCAAUCAAGGCAGAUAGGUUCUGAGCAGUCACCUCCUAAAAACAGUCCCUUCCCUGGUUUCCUGGGUGGCAGCUUUCUAAUUCAACCAACGCCACCGUCUGUGUGGGCUUUUUAUGGCGGUUUUGGCUCUUUUCUUUUGUAUUUUCUGAGUGGUUCCCUGUUUCCCGUUCUAAUUUAGAAAGCGUGAUCCGUGAAUUCCUUGGGAGAUGGUGUAUUGAUUUGGAGCAAAAUCUUGAACACAGAUGGGUUUUUGAUCUUCAAUUGGCAGUGUUUCAGAGACGUCCCUCUCACAUUUUUAAACUUUAGUUGGAAUUGCUGACUUUUCCAAAGUUGAGGCAAUCACGUGGGUGUGUCUUUGAUCCCUUGGUUUUGAAUCUUUCAAAAAUUACGGGCUGAUCUUUGAAGCCCAUUUCGAAAGUUUCCACAUCUGGGCUUUCUUUGGGCUGAGGCUUUAUUUCCAACAUUCUUGGUGUGAACUGGACUAAACAGUUAGUCGGACCAGACCGUCUACACAUAUGAACUGGACUCACAAGCCUAUGUUUUUUGAGCUCCCAUAUUGGUCGAAACUCAAAUUGAGGCACAAUCUAGAUGUGAUGCAUGUUGAGAAAAAUGUAUUUAACACAUUGGUGGGCACGAUUCUAGAUAUCGAGGGCAAGACAAAGGACACAAUCAAAGCCCGUCUUGAUUUGGAAAGAAUGGGCAUACAAAGGGGUUUAUGGAUGAACAGGGACAGUGAUAAAGCUAGAAGGGAUCUUGCAUUCUUUUCUAUGAAACCGAAUGAUAAAAAAGAGUUUCUAAAGUUUGUAUCGUCUGUAAAGUUUCCUGAUGGGUAUGCUUCUAAUAUCGCACAUUGCGUGAAUGUUGACGAGGGUAAAUUUACUGGACUGAAGAGCCAUGACUGCCAUGUGUUUAUGCAACGCCUACUUCCUGUGGGUAUUCGACAUCUAUUGCCGGAAGAUGUUGUGAAGCCAAUCAUGUUGUUGUCCAGAUUUUUUUCCCAACUGACGGCAAAAACAUUGCGAAAGACAGACAUAUUUCAGUUGCGCCAUGACAUUGUCCAAGUCCUAUGCAAGUUUGAGAUGAUAUUUCCUCCAGCUUUCUUCACAAGUAUGAUGCACGUGAUGGUUCACUUGCCAGAAGAGGCAUUGCUUGCUAGUCCUGUCAACUAUCGCUGGAUGUAUCCAAUAGAAAGGUAUAUAAUCUUUAUCGUUUGUGUAUGCAUCAUUAUCACAGACUUGCUAAUUUGUAUCAUAUCGUUUUAUUUUGACAGGCUUCUCGGAGAGCUGAAAAAAAGUGUACGCAACAGGGCGAAGCCCGAAGGAUCAAUUAUAGAGGCUUGGGUUCAAUAUGAGUCGCUUACUUUCUGUGGAAUGUAUUUAAAAGAUGUGGAGACGGCUUUCAAUCGUCCUCAACGCAAUAACGACGAAGGUAUGAGAAAGGAAAAACUUUCUGUUUUUGCCCAAAGUGCACGACCCUUUGGAGAUCCUGGACGAGGAGAGUCGUUUUCUAGAAAUGACAUGGAGGUAGCGCAUUGGUUCGUACUGAACAAUUGUGAUGAGAUAAUGGCAUACUUAGAUAAGCAUGAAGAGAUGAUGAAGCGAGAACAUCCAUCACAUUUAGUUGCCCAGAAACACCGUGAAUUGUUUCCACAAUGGUUUUUGGAUUCUGUAAGUUAUAAGUGUUUUGUAUUUGACAAAUAUAAAUUGUAGUAUUUAAUUUUGUCAGACUAACAUGUGAAUGGUUUUGUAUUAUAUUAGGUGAAUAAGUUGAAAUCAUCGAAUUCCCCCACUUACAGUGAUGAGUUAUAUAACUUGGCGUUCGGCCCAAUUCGCGCUGAAUUGUUUCGGGUUGUUAUAUUAAUGGCGUCAAAUUUUUGGGAGCCGCACGAGAUGACAAGUUGUGUAUGCAAAACAGCGGUGUCCAUGUCCCAGGUGGAGGCGAAAGUACGAACAUUGAUUUCUAUGGCAAACUCACAACUGUCAUUCAAUUGCUUUACAAAGAUCGAUACUAAGUGAUCAUGUUUAAGUGUCGAUGGUUUGAUAGCAACCCAAAUAGGCCGGGAAGUGUUAAAAUCAACCAUGGCUUACUAUCUGUGAACAUUAACAGAACUUGGUAUGAUGACGACCCUUACAUUUUGGCAAACAUGGCAACACAAAUUGUGUAUCUAGAUGACCCUAAAGCCGGGAGCAGUUGGAAAGUUGUUCAGAAGAUGGAUCAUAGGAACUUGUAUGCUAUACCAGAACUAGACCCAACUGACAAUGACGUCAACAAUGUGGCUGACCAACGUUUAGAAUCUUCAAUGGAAAAUGAUGCGGAAACACUUCGAGAUACACAUGUUAUACAAGAACCGUUUCAAAUACAAGGAGUGUCUUCAAUCGAAAUACCGAUUCAGUCAAUUACAAUUGACCUCGGGGAUCUUCCAAGAUUCGAUGUUGCAGUGAGCCCGAGCAACGAAGAUGAUGUAGUUAUAGAGGAGGAGGAGGAGGAUUGGGAGACUGAAAGUGAUGAUAGCGAAGAUAACGAAAGUUAUUAUAGUUCAGAUGAUGAAUAAUUAAAUUUUUUAUAUUUUUAUUAUGCUAGUGUACAGACUUUGUGUAAAACAAAAGUUUGAAUAUAUGUAGUUGUGAUAUCCAAACCUUAUAUAUGUGGACAACUGAAACAUUAUUAAAAUAAAUUUAGUUAUAAAACAUCGGUAAAUCAAUAUAUCCAAACCCUUUUAAUAUUCAUUUAAAAUUUUUUUUUUUGACAAAAACGUUUACAAAAUGAAAAUGAUAAAAUAUUUGUUAUAAAACAUUGAUAAAUAAAUAUAUCCAAACCAUUUUCAUACAAAGUUUGAAAAUUAUUGACAACAAACAUUUUUCAAAAAUGAAAAUCCUUGCGCGACGAAGUACACCUCGUCACGCAAAGUUUGCGCGACCCAGUAAACAGUCGUUGUGUAAAGUUAAAACAUUGCGAGACAAAUUAUCAUCCGUCACGCGAUAGAAUUUUGCGCGACGAAUAUUUACUCUCGUCGCGCAAAUGUAUAUUCUUUUAUAAUAUAUUUUAUAUACACAUAUAUAUUCGAAAUUGACGAUCGAGUUAGUUCAUUGUAUUCAUAUAGGGUCAUGGAGUGUAGCUGUAAAAAAUCAUCAAAAUCGGAGUUAAAAUAACUGUUAAAUCAUGACUUUUCAUUUAUAACCGUUCAAAAAUUUUGUCCCGAUACUUGAUCUCUGAAUGUUUUUUUUUUCCGAUUUUUGGGGCCUAAGAUCUCGAAGUAUAAACAAACACGUUUGACGGCUGGAUUAUUGAAACUACUUUCGUAGAAUGCGUAUGCCAUCAAAACUAUAUAUUCACCAACAAUGAAUAGUUUACUUAUACUUUCAUUAAAUAUAACAUAAGAUUAUGUGGUAUCACCCUAGUGUAAACAUCUUAAAUUGAAGAUCAAAUUCAGUAAUUGUAUUCAUAUAGGGUCAAGAAAAGUAGCUAUAAAAAAUCAUCAAAAUCGGAGUUAAAAUAACCGUUAAAUCAUGACUUUUCAUUUAGAUUCGUCGAAAAGUUUUGUACUGUUACUUGAUCUCUUAACGUUUUUUUUGUCAGAUUUUCGGCGUAUACGAUCUCGAAAUAUAAAAAAACAAGUUUGCCGGUUAGAUCAUUAAAACUAGUUUCGGGUUUAGGAUUUCUGCAGUUUAGGGUUUAGGGUUUGCGCGACGAAGCCAUUUCGUUGGUCGCACAAAGCCUGCAAAGAACAGUCUUGCGCUACGAAACUAGGAUUCUUUGUCACGCAAUCUCAACCAGCCCUUUCACCCUCUUCCUCCUUGGACACUUAGCCAAAAAAAGUUGCGAGUUUACAGAAAGCGGCUUUGCGCGACGCUGCCGGUAUUCGUCGCGCAAUAUGUAUGCCAAUAAAACCUAAAUCCCAAAUUUUGGCGAAUUACAACUUUGCGCGACGAAUAUGGGAAGCUUCGCGCAAAGUUUUCAAUCUUUCCCGCUAAACCCUAAGUCCCAAAAUUUUGGCGGAUUGACAACAUUGCGCCACGAAAGAAGGUACUGUGCGUCGCACAAAGUUUUCAAUCUCUCCCGCUAAACCCUAAGUCCCAAAAUUUUGGCGGAUUGACAAUAUUGCGCGACGAAAGAAGGUACUGUGCAUCGCGCAAAGUUUUCAAUCUCUCCCACUAAACCCUAAGUCCCAAAAUUUUGGCGGAUUGACAACAUUGCUCGACGAAAUAUGGUACUGUGCGUCGCGCAAAGUUUUCAAUCUCUACCCAAUAUUUUGCCGGAUUGACAACAUUGUGCGACGAAAGACGAUACUGUGUGUCGCGCAAAAACUACCCUGAUACCAAAUUUUGGGAUUAACAAUAUUGCACGACAGAAGUUAUACUUAUGUCGUCGCGCAAGUGUCAAUUAAAAUAUUUUGCGUGACGCUUUUGUUUGUUCGUUGCGCAAAAUCGAAUAAAAUUGCAGAAACGACGCGAUAGCCUCCUUCUUCCCCAGAUUUGUUUUUCUACCCUAACUCUCUCUCUCUCUCUCCGCCUUCAGCUCAGCCCCCUACCCCAGUGGAUUUUGGACGACGGCGCCACAACAGUGGUACCCCGGAGGUUUCCCGCCGUCACCGUCGAGCCAGCCGCCCUAAUUCCUCGAUUUUCACCGAAUCUGCGCCGCCGUCGUUCUCUCUCCUUCGGCGACCAAAUCCGACACCUGAGGUAUGGUUUCUGUCCUAUUUUUGAUGCUUUAACUGAUGGUUGGGUAGGAUUUGUGUAAUUGUUGCAAUAGGGCAGUGGAUUUGAAACCCUAAAUUUCGACCGAUUUUUGAAUUCCAAUUCCGGCCACUUCUGGCCAUUUUUCAGGGUAGGUCCGAGAACAAAAGUGGCUCCAAUUGAUGUUUUGAACCUAGGGUAGGAACCUUGGCCCUUAGUUUUAAGAAAUUUUCGACGAUUGGUAUCGCUUUGGACACCCACGCUCUGCCAGCGCUUGUGGUGGCGCGUGGGGUACUGUAGCAGUCUUGCAUUGGGUCCCAGUGCAAUCCCAUAUUUGUCACGAGCGCGUAGGUGUUUUCGGAUUGGAAUUUGGUUACCGUUUGAGUCUCGAACGGAUUUUGCCUAUUGUGCGAUUUCCGGGUUUGUUAUGUUCGGACCGUUGGAUCGAACUCAAACUCACGUAUGGUGUACCUUGUAUUUCUUGGAUCGUCUAGGAUUCGACGGAUCGUGGAUCGGAGUCCCGAAUACUCCGAACUCGCAAACCCUAGGUCAAGAAUCUUAAUAAAAUUGUAUGUGCUUUCAAAUAUUCGUAUGUUUUAUUAAUUUGUAUGUGUAUUAAUGAAAUUGUGUAGAUGUCAGACCUGAUUAGACGUCGUAGGGCGGUGACGACUACGCAGAGUUCUGAGCCCCCGGCUCAACUGACAUCUGCUGCCACUGCGCCAGCACUGAUGGACCACUUGGCAGUUGGUCCCGCGGGGUCCCAGGCUCCUGCUUCAUCAGCUUCAUUAGUGGCACAACCUGUUAGCGCCAGGAAGCGUCAUCGGCCUGCCAGCACCACCGACACCACAUCCACUGAUGCGUCGGGGUCACAGCCAGGUAUAGAUUUCCUUAAACUCCAGUUAUUUAUAUUUUUGUUUUUGUUUUUAUUUUUGUUUUUGUUUUUGUUUUUGUUUUUAUUUGUGUGUGUAUUUUAUAGUUAAAUUUGUUAUUUAUUUAACAUUAAUGUCAUCUUUCUUUGCAGCCAAGAAGAACACCCGAGGGCCGUGUCGGUAGUUGAAGACGGCGAAGGUCACUCGGGUGACCAACAGUCGUAUCAACAUCGGAUACGACAAGCGACAUCGGGCUGCACCGACGGCGGAGUUGCAUAGCUCCUUGGCCCACGACAUUGGUGAUGUCAUUCCGAGCCAUUGCCCGAUGAAAUGGAAGUCUUGGAAGGUGAUGCCUGACGAGACCAAGAUGGAGGUUCGCGGCCAGUUGUCAGUAUGUAGGCCUUUUAAUUCUUUUUCUUUCAAAUUUUAUAUUUCUAUUAUUUAAAUGUAUUUAAUUAAUUUAUUGCAGACGAACUACAACUUGGAGGACCUGGACGACGAGUCGUUGGCGUACAUCAACAGACUCUUCUCUGAGAGGUACAAAUAGUGGAAGAGCGACUUGCACCACUAUUUUGAGGCGUUUGAUGAUCCAGAAGUCUCUCUUCAGGAGGGUUGCCCGAAGGAGCUUGAGGGGCGGGAGGAUAGUUGGGCGUGGCUCUGCUCUCAUUUUCAGGCGCCCGCUUUUGUGGUAAUUUGUAAUAUGAAUUUCAAAUUUAUUAUAUUUUUCUUACUAAUGUUUUUUUAAUGUUUUAUAUUUAAUUUCAAUUUCAACUAAUACGUUUUAUUUUUUGUAUAACAGAAUAAAGCCAAAGUCAAUAAGGGCAAUAGGAAGAAGAAGACUCUUCUCCAUCAUUCGGGUUCCAGGCCCUUCUCCUAUAGGAUGGAUGCAUGGCGGCAGGUAAUCAUAAAAAAAAUUUUAUUUAAUUUUUAAUAUUUAAUUAUUCUUAAUUUAUUUUUUUGUACUAAUAUUUUUCUUCUCUUGUUCAAUUUAGGGGGGUCCAAAUUCCCAGAGAUCGACGUCUUUGGCGACGUUUAUGUUCGACCUGGGAAUGAGUUGGGCGAGUCCCUUCAUGUAAGUAUUAUUUAAUUUUAAUUAUUAUGUUACGCAUUCAAGUUUAAAGGUUAUUAUAUGAAUGUUUUAAUUUAUAUUUUAUGUUAUGCUAAACAGAUGACGAUGGUGGAGAGGAGCCAGUUGGUUCUUCAAGAGUCCGCCUCCCAACUUCCUUCCGAUACUCCGAUCGAGUCUGUGGAUCCUCCACAGGAUGCUGGGUUUCAGAUCUUGACGGAGACAUUGGAUCAGACUCUAGGGAGGAGACCGGGGAUAUAUUGUCGAGGGAUGGAGAAUGCCAGGCGGAGGGAAGCCAGACCCCGUUCAUUAGCGCAGUCAAGCAGUCAGGUCACUGCUUUGACAGCACAGGUGGCCACUCUUCAGAGUCAGAUGUCGGACAUUCUGCAGUCCCUCGCACAGUUCGGCAUUCCAGUCCCGCAUUUUGAUGCGCCGACCUCUGAGCCCGUCCAUCCUGAGCAUCCCCACCAGACGACGGCCCUUGUAGACCCCCAGACCUCUGAACCGCAUGUGCCAGACGACAAUGUAGAUUUUGGAACAUUAUGAUUAGUUUUUUUAUUUUCAUAAUUAUUUUUUAAAUAUUUCUCUUGCAGCAUACAUUUAUUUUAUAUAAUAAAUAUGUUCUUUACAAUUCUUUUUUUUAUUGGAAUUUCAUUUUAUUACCCAAAAAAAAAAAACCAAAUUUAUUUUUUUAUAAAAUAAAAUAAAAAGUAAUAUUAAAAUUAAAUAAUAAUUAUAUAUAUUAAUUUUGCGCGACGAAAUCUUUCUCGUCGCGCAAAUUUAUAUAUUACGAAAUAAAAAUGUUUCAUUUUUUUAAAUACAUAUAAUUUAUUCUUGCGCGACGAAUAUUUUCGUCUCUCAAAAAGGAUUUGCGCGACAACAGUUUUUCGUCGCGCAAAAUGUGUUGACACGAAUUGCACGACGAAGAUAUCUUUGUGCCGCAAAUAUCUACGACACGUAUUGCGCGAUGAAAAUGUUCGUCGCGCAAAAAACGUAUGCGCGACAACAAUGUUUCGUCGCGCAAUACGUGUAGACAUGAAUUGCGCGACGAAGAACUCUUGGUGCCGCAAAUGUGUACGAGACGUAUUGUGCGACGAAUAUUAUUCGCCGCGCAUCGUUGUGGCGACGAACCCGCUUUCGUCGCGCAUAAGUUUGUGCGACGAACUAUUGCAUCGUCUCUGAACCUUUUGUGCAACGAAGGGUAACCGUCGCACAAAUUUGCGCGACGAGUGAUACAAUCAGUCGCGCAAAGUCUUUCUUCACCAUCUUUGCACCACAGAUUACGCGCGACGAAUUUUCUGUCGUGCUUGAGUUUGUGCGACCAAAUUUAACUCUGCGCGACGAAAUUGGCUUCGUCGCGCAAAUCGUAAAAUGUAGUAGUGGAAGUUAUCAACAUCUAUAGGAACCCCAAUGAAAAGGCUGUUAACUAAUAAUGAAGUAAACCCCUCAAUGUUUCCGCGUAUCAGAUAUCUCUCAGAAUAUGCGAUUCCAUACUCAAUAAGCAACUCCACAUCCCCUGAGGUUUUCACCAAACCACCCAUUAAGGAAACAUACUGACUCAUGUGUAAUUAUCAUUACUCAUCGGGUAAUGCAAUUGUUCAAAGGCAAGGACAUUUCUCAUUAUUUCUGUAGUGAACCCCAAUGGAAAUGGUGGGAUCUUCAGAACCCCAUUGGUGCUACUGAAUUGUAUGUCAAAUAUGUUUUCACCUUGUCGCGCCUCAAACUUGACUCCAGCGUGCUGUAAUUCUGUCAAGCUGGGUAUGGAUGAUGGGAGUUCCCCUCCAGCUUUUGAUUCCAACGGUUGAUAGAGUUUAAAUAUUUUCCUGUAAAGAUCAACAAUAUGUGCCACUGAUCUAAAAGUCUCCAAAUUGUCUUCCAUUUUGUCAACAGGCAAUAGAUGUUCGAAGAAACUGAAAGAAAGACUAAUUAUUGAAAGCCCCUCAGUAAUGCAGUUAUUGUCAGCAUCAGCAGGGAGUGUAAUUUUCUGUGGGUCGAAAAGAUCCUCGAGAAUGAAGAAUGGCAACUGAUUUUCAAGCAACCACAUAUCUGUCCAUACAUCUUGCAACAUACCUGGUUUGUCAAAUAUGCGGUCAUUUUCAUCCCAAAAUUUGAAGUAGUCCUUCAAUAAGAGCUCAAUAACGAAGGCGGCAUCCACUAGAAUGAUUGUUACAAAUUCAUCACUGCUAAACUUGAUGGGUUCUCCAUAACAACGUCUCAAUCUUGCUUCGUGGUCCUUUAUUUUCUUAAUAUAAUCCUCCAAACUCACAUUGGUCCGACCUAUAAAAUCUUGCAGGUAUCUCUGUUUGUGCUCUUCCUAUACGACAUUCAAGCCUUCCUUUCCAUGGUGAAGUGGGCCUAUAGAGACCACCUGAGGUGUGCAGAGCUUUUCAUUCACACUUCGUAGUCGUUGAGGAACUCUGUAGAUACAGCACUUGGAGGAUGGGGGAGACAAGCUAUUGAACCCUUUUCUCAUCGAAUUUGCUAAUGAAAUGUAUGGGUUUUCUAUGUCAUUUUGAGCAGAUUGAUGGCUUCCUGCCAUUUUCCAGCUCCUGACUAUAUGUGGUGUUCCGAUUGUAACAGAUUACAAUAAUGAUGAGUAUGGAUAACUGAAUUACUGAUAAAACAAUCAAGAAACAUUUCGUUAUUUUCCAUUCCCAAUAACGAAAUCAAAAUGUUCAAGGAAAUAUAAUCAGGAUAUUGCAAUUAUAUAGCCAUUCAUAAGCUGCCUGGCAUGGAAUAAGAGGUGGAAACCAAAUCUACUUAUUGGCCAAAGUUCGAAUUCACUAUAUAUAGAUAUAUAUUUUGCCAAAAUCUAAAACUGACCAACCUUAGAUACAAAAACACGGUACAGCCCGGUUAAAGUAAUUCCAAGUGCGAAGAAAGAAAGGAAUUGAGCGUUUGUACCUCUACAGCUAGCCAAAUUUUCUAUUGAUUCUUUAAAUUUUAGAGAGCAAUUACUCUUAAUUUGGUAGGUGUAGGACUGUGCAACUUCAAGCUUUAAUGAAAGAAGCCAAGUUUAUUCUAAGGGGACAAGUCAGAGACAACGAAAUUUUGCUCAGCUUCAUUUUCAAAUUUGCUGCUUAAGAAGGAAAUUUAAUAUGUUUGUUUCACAAAUUGUAUUGUCAUCAAUGAAACUCGUGCACACCCAACGAAAUUUGCAUGGCUUAUUUUCAAAGGAGUACUGCUAUUUCCAUCCUCUGUCCUAUUUUUCCACUCACCUUAUCUUCAAAAUUUUAAAGACAAAAAUAAACCCCUUUGUAAAAUGCUUAAAAAGAAAUUUAAUAUGUUUGUUUCAAAAAUUGAUAUUGUCAUCAAUGGUUAAAGAAUUGCUGGUGACAACAUAUACUUCUUUUCUACUGUAUUAAUUUCUUUCUUUAUUUUUUCUUCAGUAUAGUUCUGCCUUUCUUUUACAUGUUUAUGCGCAUAUUUGACACGUUCAAGUAUACUUAUAUAACAAAUGCAAUGAGUUUGUAGUCACAAAAAUCAAGGAUUGAAAACAAAAAGUAAUAUUAUGUGCAAGAGAAACUUACCUGCAGAAACUGAAGAACUCCUCUAGUUUCUUCUCUGUCGCUAUGUACUCCCGCGUUCAAGUUAUUAUUCUUACAAUGUACAUACACUAUUAUAUAAUGGCGAGAAGGCUCUGAUUAACCUCCUUUUUGCUUCAUUGGAUGGGGCAAGAAUGGAAUUGUCACCGUGGGUGUGGAGGUGAUCUACCAUUUGAGCAAGAAAUUCCCACAUAUUCUUUAACUAUUUUUCAAGCAUGCAUAUUCCUCCCUAUCAAUCUUUGGUCUCUUCUUUUACUAUUUUUCAAGCAUGCAUACUUUGAUUUUAAAUCAUCUUUUCCGCACUAAUUUGCUUCAAUCAAGAAACAGUUAAUAUAUUUUGUAUCAUCAUUAGAGAACACUUGAAACUGCAUAAGUUAAUUUUGAAGAUGAUGGCAGAACCAAAAUGUGUAUAGCUUAUAACUAUAAUUUCUUGAUUACAACAAGAGGUUUCAAGUUUUCAACAACACAAAUAUGAAUCUCCCAAGCAAAGAUAAACAAUAAAGCAAGCAUACGGAUUGUCAAAUUGCCUUCAAUCACUCUAAAAUACUUCAUACCGUCCGACACUGGCUUCAAUUACUCUACAAUACUUCAAUUCAUAUAUUGUCCUAUUUUCACAUGUACAUCCUGCUUUUACUUAAGGGUUAAUUGUUGAUUUACCCCUUGAACUUGUACUCUACUUUCAAUUUGCACCCUCAACUUUUUUUUUUGAAAAUUAGGUGCAUGAACUAAUUUUUAUUGCCAAUUCCCCCUACCAACAUGUCAUCUAAUAGUCUGUCAAAUCAUUAAAAAAUAUAAUAUUUUUGGAAAAAAUUAAAGAAAAAAAAAUUCCUAAGGACCCACAGACCCAGAACCCACCCUCCGUUGCCCCCGCUUGCUGUUUUCUUCUCCUCCCAGUCCCCCAUGACCACCACCCUCCACUGCCACACCAAUCCCCUACCCAACAGACCCCUCACCCCUUCUUUUUUUUCACCCCCGAACCCAGCAUGAGUUAUUGGUUAAUACCAUUUUCUUAAUUGCCAAAUAAAAAAAAAAAACAGAGUUAACCCUCUGUUAAGCUAGCUGACUAGUGGGGCGAAAUGGAGGAAAAUCAAUAUGGAGACAGCGGAUCCGGUCCCGUGUAAGUGUAUCUGAUGGAAUAAAAGAAUGAUAUUAUUGGUGGUGGGUACGGUUAUGUGGAAGUAAUAAUGGGUAAGAGAAGAAACUUGUUCUCUUGUGAUAAUCAAAAGACAGAAAGUAGUGGGAAAAGACAGAAAGUAGUGGGACACUAUUUUAGAUAUGAUAAUGUUCCUUCCUUGAUUGAUGCAAAUGAAGAGAAAAGGGUGGCUUUAUAUAAUAGCCACUACCGACCUAACACAUUAAAAACACAACUAACACCAAACAUAGUUAAUUCAACUAACUUCUACCACACCAUUAAUUUAACACACAACUACUAACAAACUGCCAACUAUUUCAAAGUUACCAGCCGACUAUUAAUGAAGUCUAGAUUACUUUAACAUCCUCCCUUAAGCUAGACUUCAUUUACGCCAAUUAAUUUUCUCAUCUUGAUGAGCGGCUCUUUCUUCAACGGUUUGGUGAACAAAUCUGCCAGCUGAUCUUGGGACUUGCAAUACAGAACCUCAACUUCUUUAUCUUUGAUUAGCUCUCUGAUGAAAUGGAACUUGAUCUUGAUGUAACACCCCGACCCCAAAUUUUCCCAAAUUUUACCCUUAUUUAAUUAUUUAAUUAUUUAAGGGUAUUUUAGUCAUAUUUUUAACCGGAGAGAGUUUGGGACCGUGACUAGUAUUUUUGGAUAGGUCGAGCUGAGACGAGUUCAUAGACACGUAGUGGGCUCGAAUCGGAGUUGUAACGAGAGAGAUAUGGUCAAAAGAAGCCCAGUGGCACAAUCGUAAAUAUUUCGAAAUGGGAUUUUUUAUAAAAACUCAAAUUUUUCUCUCUCUCUCUCUCUCUCUCUCUCUCUCUCUCUCUCUCUCUCGCGACUCCUCUCUCUCUCUCCCGUCGGCCUCUCCUCUCUCUCUCUUCGUAACUCCGGCCACCGGCCGCGGCUGCGGACGGGGCCGGUGUCAAAAGAACCGGCUCGACCUCGGCAUCACGACCCAGCCCAUCCCCGCCAUCGGCCGCCGCUCCAGCCGCCGGAAAAUGGCGAUUUUCGCCCAGAUGUCGCCGGAACUUCAACGCCGUCGAUCUCCCUCCUCCGGCCACCAAUUCCGUCGACCCAGGUAUGGAUUUUGAACCUCUCGAGCUGCUCUAGCUGAUGGUUGGGUAGGAUUAGAUCGAUUCUUAGCGUAGAUCACUCGAUUUUCGAAUUGAAAAUCGGCCGAAACUUCGGCCGCCGUGAUCGGCCAUUUCCGGCCACUUUUUGGGGUAGGUCCAAGAACAAAAGUGGCUCCAAAUAGGGUGUUAUACCUAGGGUAGGAGUUUGGAGCCGUGGUUUUGAGAUUUUCCGGCGGAGCGUUAUCGCUUUGGGCACCCACGCGCUGCUGGCGCGUGCGGCGGAGCGUGGGCACUGUAUAAAAAGUAGCGAUGUAUUCCGAUGAGAUCCUUAGGUUGUCACGAGUGCGUAGGAUUUUGCGGAUCUCAAUUCGGACGUCGUUUGACUAUCGAACGAAUAAUCGCAUAGUGUGCGUUAUCCGGGUUCGAUAGGUUGGGACCGUUGGAUGGUCCCAAAUUUAAUAUAUGUUAAUCUAGGUAUUUCUAGGAUCGUGUAGGAAUUCACGGAUCGUGAAUCGGAACUCCGGAUGUUCCGAAUAAUAAUUUUAAGUUUAUAUUUUAUAUUAACCAUCAGAUCGUGCGAUCGUGAGCAAUCCGACCGUCCGAUCUGAACCAAACUUGCAGGACAAGUGUCCUACACCUGGUAGAACCCAUAGGGACUUCCGGAUCGGAAAUUGGAGGUCGUGGGUUCUGCAGGUCCGUUUGACCAGGGUUAGAGUAGUUUGACUCUUGGUUGACCGUGAGUCUCCCGGAGUAAUCUCACCCUUCCAGGGGGAAUUAUCGGGAGCUAGACUAUUGUGGAGGGUUACACAAUAUUAGAAUUAUUUAUAUAAAUUAUGUGGUUGUACAAGGGUACAACAGAGUCUAGAAUGUCAGUUUGGAGUGCUAUACGCACUACUCUAGGUACCUCCUCGGACUUUGGAAUUUCUACAAGUACCACCAAGUGAAAGUUAGGUCCCACGUGGCGUAGGUUAUCCGGCGUGUCGACAGACCCCAUACGUGGCGUUGGUUGUACCGGCGUAUGGGGAGAUUUGUGAUAUGAUAUUGAGGUCCCGCGUGGCGUAGGUUAUCCGGCGUUGGGACAGGCCCCAUACGUGGCGUUGGUUGUACCGGCGUAUGGGGAGAUAUUAUGAUAGUAUGGCAUGGUCGCACGUGGCGUAGGUUAUCCGGCGUGUCGACAGACCCCAUACGUGGCGUUGGUUGUACCGGCGUAUGGGGAGAUUUGUGAUAUGAUAUUGAGGUCCUGCGUGGCGUAGGUUAUCCUGCGUUGGGAUAGGCCCCAUACGUGGCGUUAGUUGUACCGGCGUAUGGGGAGAUAUUAUGAUAGUAUGGCAUGGUCGCACGUGGCGUAGGUUAUCCGGCGUGUUGACAGGCCCCAUACGUGGCGUUGGUUGUACCAGCGUAUGGGGAGAAUAUGUGAAAUACAGAGAAAUGAAAUAAGGUAUUGCCCAAGUGUGGAAUUGGGUUUUAGGGAAGAACUACUUAUGGCUUGAUCCCUCAAGGAGGGUACGUAGGCAGCCUAAGGUUAUUAGGUGCAGCCGCAGACUAAAUAUUAGUCAUAAAUUGUAAUUGAACUGUUUGGUAGUCGUUUGAGGAAGUAUUGAAAGGCCGAAGGCCAUUUGUGUGAAUUGCAUGAAAUUAUAUUGUGCAUGCUGCCAGUUGGGAAUAUUAAAUGCGUUUUUAUGCAGGUAUAAAUUUUGGGAAUGUCCAAUUUACAGGGGAGACUCUGCCAAAAUUUCGGCAGGAAGUCUCGGUUUUUAGUAAGUGGGCCUGGCAUCGGGGUGAUGUCAGGAAUUCCAAAGGGUUCGUCUCGGGUUUUGAGAAAAUUCGGGGCGGGUCCUUUCACUUGAUAUGCUUACUCUUGCUGUGAAACAUUGGAUUUUUGGAAAGACAAAUAGCUGAUUUGUUGUUGCAGAACAGCUUUGUAGGUCCUUCUUGAACUUGACCCAUCUCUUCUAAAAUACUUUUCAGCCACCUAGCUUGACAACCUGCUGAUGCAAGAGCAACAUACUCAGAUUCUGUAGUUGAAAGUGCCACUAUAGAUUGCUUUUUGGAGGACCAUGAAAUCGCACUUGAGCCAAUGCUAAAGACAUAACCAGAUGUGCUUUUGCAAGUAUCAACAUCUCCACCCAAGUCACUGUCACUGUAGCCAGUCAAAUUUAGAUUCUGAAUAGGAUAAUAAUGCAAACCAUAAUUGAUAGUUCCAACCACAUAUCUUAGGAUUCUCUUUCCAAGCUCCCAAUGAACAUCUUUUGGUGACUCCACUAAACGGCUGAGGAAGCUUACUGCAUAUGUAAGAUCUGGCCUUGUUGUAGUUAAAUACAAGAGGCCACCCACUAGACUUCGAAACAAAGUUUGAUUUACCAUUGUGCUUCCAUCAUUCUUACCUAUCUUAACACCAACCUCCAUUGGAGUAGCAAUUGACUUUGCAUUUUCCAACCUGAACCUUUUCAACAAUUCCUUUGCGUAUUUCUUUUGAGAAAUAUAGAUACCAUUCUCAUUUUGUUUGACUUCAAUUCCAAGAAAGAAAUGAAGCAAACCAAGGUCUGUCAUUUCAAAUCUUUGUGACAUAAUCAUCUUGAAAUUAUCACACAUUUGAGCAUUACUUCCAGUAAAUAUUAAGUCAUCCACAUAUAAGCAGACAAUCAAAAUCUCACCUUGAGAGUUCUUCUUGGUGUAAAGAGUAUGCUCAUAUGGGCAUUUGUGAAACCCAUACUCUUGGAAGAAUGCAUCAAUCCGACUGUACCAAGCUCUUGGAGCUUGUUUCAAACCAUAUAAAGCCUUCUUCAAUCUACACACUUUUGUUUCUUCAUUUCCCUGCACAUAACCUGGAGGUUGAGCAACAUACACUUCUUCUUCCAAAAAACCUUGCAAGAAUGCUGGUUUAACUUCCAUUUGAAAGACUUUCCAACAAUUUUGGGCAGCAAGAGCUAACACCAUUCGGAUGGUGUCAAAGCGUGCAACUGGAGCAAAAACUUCAUUGUAAUCAAUUCCAUAAUUUUGCUUGUAGCCUUUAGCUACCAAGCGAGCUUUGUAUUUCUCAACUUCUCCUUGAGCAUUCAGCUUGGUCUUAUACACCCAUUUUACUCCUAUAGGCUUCUUUCCUUGAGGAAGAUCAACCAGCUCCCAUGUGUCAUUUUUCUUAAUGGAAUCAAUUUCUUGAUCCAUAGCCUUCACCCAAUUUUCAUCCUUUGAAGCCUCUUCAAACAUAAUUGGGUCUGCAUCUACAAAUAGAGCAAAAUUUGUGCCACCAUUAGUGAUCAAAACAUAAUCACUAGAUGGGUACCUUGUGGAUGGUUGAUGAGCUCUUGUUGAUCUCCUUUGUCCUCUGCAAAUUUCUUCUUCCUCACUGCUAUCACUAGAAGAAGUUGAUGAUGACCCUUGUGAUGAAGAUUCCUAUGAUGAUAGAGUUGUUGGUGGAGUUAAAUCUGGAUUUUCAAGGCCAAUGUCCAACAGUAUUGGACUUUGAUUUUCAGCUUCACUCCAAUUCCAUGCUUCUUCUUCAUUGAACUUGACAUCACGACUAACAAUAAUCUUGUUAGUCAAUGGAUUAAACAACUUAUAUGCCUUGGCCUUUUCACUAUACCCAACAAGAAUGCACUUUUCUGAUUUGUCAUCCAAUUUUCUCCUUGUUUUAUCAGGAAUAUGAGAAUAAGCAAUGCUGCCAAAUAUCCUUAAGUGACUAAUACAUGGCUUGAGGCCACUCUAAGCUUCUUGAGGAGUCUUGCCUUCCACACUAUUGGACGAUGCACGGUUCAAGAGAUAUACAGCACAUGCCACUGCUUCUGCCCAAAAACGAUUAGGCAUUGCUUUUGCCUUCAACAUGCUUCUUGCCAAUUCCAUAACGGUCCUAUUUUUUCUCUCGGCCACACCAUUUUGCUGUGGGGUGUACCGAGCUGUGAACUGAUGCUUAAUCCCAUUUUCUUUUAGAAAAUUUUCGAACACAUUGGAUGAGAAUUCUCCACCUUGAUCAGACCGCAAGGUUUUCAAUGCAAAUCCACUUUGCUUCUCAGCCAAAGCUUUGAAAACUUUAAAGUAAUCAAACACCUCUGAUUUAUAUUUGAGAAAAUAGACCCAUGUCUUUCUGCUAUAAUCAUCAAUGAAUGUAAGAAAGUAGCGGUUACCUCCUGUUGAUGUUGUGUUCAUGGGCCCGCAUACAUCUGAGUGCACCAGCUCAAGAGGAUGGGAUGCUCUCCAAGAAUUUCCUGUAAGAAACGAAUUUCUCUGAUGUUUUCCCAGCACACAUGCUUCACAAACUUGUGUUUGAUGCUGUAUCGUUGGUAGGCCUCGUACCAUAUGUUGUUUCCCCAUCAAUGAUAGUGUAUUGAAACUCAAAUGCCCAUAGCGUAGAAGCCACAACCAUGAGGAAUCCUUGAUAAGUGCACUUAAGCAAGCAAAAGAUUCAUACUUUAUGUUCAGAGAAAACAUAUUGUCUCCUGACAUCUGCACCUUUGUAAUUAGAGAGUUGUACUUGUCUCUAAUUACACACUGGUCUUCCCUGAACUGAAUAUUAUGGCCUUUAUGAAGAAGUUGCCCCACACUAAGGAGAUUGUAAUUUAAAUCUGGAACAUAUAACACAUCAGAGAUUCUUUUUUGUUCUCCAGACUUGGAUAGAAAAAGAAUAUCUCCACAUCCUUUGGCCACUAGCUUUCCACCAUCACCAAUCCUUACUUCUGAGUUGUUGGUAUGCUUGAAAUUGACAAAGGCACUUUUGUUGCCUGUCAUGUGAUUACUACAUCCGCUAUCAAGAUACCAUUUUUCUGCACACACGUUUCCUUCCCUGGCAGCUGCAUAUGCAAGUAGAACCACAUUAUCAUUUUCCCUUUCAGAAGCUUUUUCAUGCACAAAGCUUGAUUCGGCUCCUCCAUUUGUUUUGUUUUUGCAUGUUGACUUGAUGUGCCCAUAUUGCUUGCAAUUGUAGCACUGAAUAUUAGAAAGAGAGGAACCUUGUUCUCUUCCUCUUCCUCUUGAAUAACCACCAUAAUCUCCUCUUCCUCUUGGAUAACCAUAAUCUCCUCUUCUUCUUGAAUAACCAUAAUCUCGUGCAGAGCCUUCAUCAUUAGUUUUUUUUAGGUCAUUUGCAUAGCCACGUCCUUGAUUAUUUCUUCCUCGUCCACGAGUAAAGCCGCCUCUUCCUCUUCUAGAACUUCCUCUGAAUGAGACUUGAGAUUGAAAAGCUUGCUCAACAGGGCCAGAGUCAAACUGCUUCAGUCGUAACUCAUGGGAUUGAAGAGAACCCAUUAAACUGUCAAGAGACAAAGUAGACAGAUCUUUGGAUUCUUCAAUUGCCACCACAAUAUAUUCAAACUUUCGGGGACAUACUUCGAAGAAUUUUUUCAGCAACUCUCUGAUCUUCAAUUUUUUCUCCAUUAAUUCUCAGUUGGUUGACUAGAGAAAUGACACGAUUGAAAUAGUCUUCAACAGAUUCUGACUCCUUCAUACGUAACAUAUCAAACUCACCUCUUAGAGUUUGCAGUCUUGCCAUCUUCACUUUAUCUUCUCCUUUAUAUGAUGCAAAGAGAGUGUCCCACGCCUGUUUUGAUGUAAUGCAUGAUGAGAUUCUUUCAAAGAUAGCUUCAUCCACUGCUUGAAAGAUAAAGAAUAAAGCUUUUUUGUCCUUCUUACGUGUCUCCUUCAGCUCUGUGAGUUGUUGUUGAGUGAGGACUGCUUGAUCAUUUGGCUCCACAAAGCCAUUUUCAACCACCUCCCACAAAUCUUGAGCAGCAUACAACACCUUCAUUUGGAUGCUCCAUUGACUAUAAUUCUUCCCUGUAAACUUUGGAAGCUGGGGCUGUAACAAGUUGUUGUUUGAAGCCAUAUGAUUCUGAGUUUCCAGCUCUGAUACCACUUUGAUGGAAUAAAAGAAUGAUAUUAUUGGUGGUGGGUACGGUUAUGUGGAAGUAAUAAUGGGUAAGAGAAGAAACUUGUUCUCUUGUGAUAAUCAAAAGACAGAAAGUAGUGGGACACUAUUUUAGAUAUGAUAAUGUUCCUUCCUUGAUUGAUGCAAAUGAAGAGAAAAGGGUGGCUUUAUAUAAUAGCCACUACCGACCUAACACAUUAAAAACACAACUAACACCAAACAUAGUUAAUUCAACUAACUUCUACCACACCAUUAAUUUAACACACAACUACUAACAAACUGCCAACUAUUUCAAAGUUACCAGCUGACUAUUAAUGAAGUCUAGAUUACUUUAACAGUAUCGAAUCUAGCUUUAAUAUGUAUUGGGUCCUCUGGACAAGAAUUCUAUCCUUUUCGUCCUAACUAAUAUGUAGGGGAAAAACAAUACAUCAAUUAUCCUUUUCGUCCUAACUAAUAUGUAGGGGAAAAACAAUACAUCAAUUAUGAAUUUUUUUUAUCUGGGUUCGAAAUUAAAUAUGAAUGGAGUUUUGGAGGCUUAAAAGUUAUAAGCUCAAGAAAGGAAGGAAACUAUAUGUACAUUUGGGUCGGAGGCAAAGGUCCAGUCAUCUACCGUCCAGGAUAUACAGUAUCAAAAAAGGCUUAAGAAUUGUAAUAAGGUGACAUACGCCCACAUACGGCCAACGCUAGCAUAUUUCGUAAGUGUAUUAUAUGUCUUCUAAGUAUAUCAUAGUUAUGUGUCAAUUUUAGAUCCAAUUGCACACCCAAAAUACAGAAACAAAAUCAUUGAGAAUACACUUUUUUUCACUUAUAUUUUGAAUAUGCAUUGCCUGUAUUUCAUGUGUAUGAUAUAGGGGCUUCACUUAUAGUUUUUGCACAAAACCUCCCUUGAUGAAGGAUGUCUUAGAUUAAUGACAUCAAUGAUUUGUUACAUUUGGAGUACCCAACAUAACAGCUCUCUGAUUAACAAUAAAGUUAUAAAAUUUCAACAGUUUCAUACCUAACAAGCAUAGAGAAACAAAUAAAACAACCACAUUGCUUCGAUCACUGUACAUGCACACAGCUCACUUUCACUAACUACAGAGGCUAUAUUUUCUACAUAUACACUAACUUUUUCUUUCUCCAGCUCUCUUACACCACCAGGCUGGUGACAAACCCAGCUCGCGUCAUGUGGAGGACCAAAAGGAAAUGACAAGGAGAAAACGGCUAAGGAGAGACUUACUCUCAACACUUAGAAGGCAGAGCAGAGAUAACAGAGCACACUGCUUGUAUAAAAGUGAGUAUGAGGAGAAAAAUAGCGGUAGCAAUUGAAAUAGUUGCCCAAGGUGUGUUGCAAUAGUUUUGUCUCAAGUUUGCCUGCCAUUUGUGCCAAGACGUUCUGCAGUACUUGUUGAGGUCUGCACAAAGAAUAGCAAAAUAGAAGUCAUUAGAGUCCACAAUGACCCCAUCUGCAAGGUUGUUGAUCAGAGUAGACCCUCCACUACUGUCACCGAGCAUAUUUUCGACGAUUCCUUGCUUAACAACCAACUCCACAUCCGUUGCGGUGUUCACAAAGCGAUCCACGAUGACAACAUAAUUGUUUAUGUAAUUCUCCAUGCAAUGGCAUUGUUCAAAGGCAAGGAGGUUUCUGAUUGUAAGCUCUGUCUCAUCACUUAUUGCUAAUUUUGGAAUUUCUAGAAUCCCAUUAGCGAAUUGUAUGUCGAAUAAGUUUUUGGGUGAUCCCACCUUAAACUUGACUCCUGCUCUGUGUAACUCUGUGAUGCUGGAUGUGUUUAAGAGUUUCAAGUCGCCCCUUAGCAGGUGGUUUCAAUGGUAGAGGUAGAUACAAAUUUCUACAAAAAUCUACAAAGUGUUCUACUUUAGAAGUACAUAAUUUCUCCAUAUUGCCAUCCGUUCCCUCUAUGUGCAUUAGAGUUUUGAAGAAAUUGUGGCAAAGGUUAAGCAUCGAAAGCCUCUCAAUAUUGUUAUUGUUAGAAGAGACUUUGAUUUUUUCGGGGUCAAAAAGUUCCUCAAGAAUGAAGAAUGGCAGCUGAUUUUCAAACAACCGCAUGUCAGGCCAUACGUCUGGCAACAGCCAUGGUUUGUUAAAUAUGCGGUCAAUUUCAUCCUGCAAUUCAUCGAAACGAUACCUCAACAAGACCUCAAUGAUGAAGGCGGCAUCCACUAGAAUGAUUCUCACAAAUUCAUCACUGCUAACCUGAAUGGUUUCUGCAUAACAACUGCGCAGUUUUGCUUCUUGGUCUUUUACUUUCUGUACAUAAUCGGCUAGGCUUACCCUGGUCCGACGUAUAUAAUCUUGUAAGUACCUCUUUUUGUGAUCUUCCAUGGCUUUUAGGCCUUCCUCGCCAUGAUGAAGUGGGCCUAUAGAGACUACCUGAGGUGUGUAGGCCUUUUCACUCACACGCCGUAGUCGUUCAGGAACUCUAUAAAUGCAACACAAGGAGGAGAGGGAAGACAAGCCAUCCAACUCCUCACUCAUUGAAGUUACUAAUGGAAUGCAAGGGUUUUCAAUAUCAUGUGGAGCUUGAUCGCUUCCUUCCAUUUUCCGCUGAUGUGUUUGUUGUUGUCAAUCAUAAUGGAUGAUAAUGAAAUGAUAGUCACUGACACAACAAUAAACAAAUUUUUCAAGAUGGCUGAGAAAAUUAAUACAAACAUUGCAAUUAUAAGACCAAACACACAAAGACUUUUGAUCCUUGUAACUCUUACAUACCACACUAGUGCCUUAAGAAUUCGAUUUGAAUGCACCAAAUUCAUUCAAAACUCUUCUGGUCAACUCUGUUUCUUGUAAUUAUUCUUGGAAGAUUCUAAUACAUUUUUGAUUGAAAAAUUCCUACUAAUCAUGUGAAUCAGUACCAAAGUUUAUUUCAAAUUAACAUACAAACCCCACUUUUUUUUUCCUACAUAUAUACUUCUUUAUUUCCCCUCAACUUAUUGGAGCUUCUAAUAAAGCAAAUUCUUUCUGUGAUGAUAUCAGAUAGUAGAUUAUGCUUCCAGUCAAAACAUAGACAAACCAAAAUCCCAUUAGAAGAGAAGAAAAUAAUAUACGACAUUCACAUAACCUUCUGCUCAAUUCCAAUUUCCAACUACAAUGAAACAUAAGACACUUAAAAGCUUCAAGAAAUUGGAUGUGCAAGCAAACAUAGCGAAAUUAUGAAAGACAGAGAAAGGUGUUGGGCAUUGAAAACAUACCUGAUACGUAUUGAAACACAAUUUUUUUUUGCCUUUGGUAGAUGGAGUAGCUAGAAAAGCUCAAUGCACUUGCUCUUCUGCUACAUUUCAAUAUAAGAACAUUGUUUGGAAGUCCGGUCAAUUCCUCAAAGCUUCCUUGCCUUUGUUUUGACAUGCCGAUGCCCGUCUUGGGGAAGUUUGAAUAAUCCAUUGCAGGCCCCAUGAUAGGAUUUUUAGUACUUGUGCAAACAGUGUUAAAAAUCACAUAAAAUACUUGCAAGAAUACAAGGCUAUUGUAGUAUAGAUGCUCAUGCAAGGUCGUUUUCCUCAAGGACUAAUUAGCAAUUUAUGUAAAAACAAAUUCCAAUUACUACUUAAAAUAAAAAGUCAAGAAAGAUGAUUAUAAAUUUGGUGGAUUCUAAAAAACAAAUAUUAAACAAAAACAAAUACGAUUGAAAGAAAGAGUUUUGAAUAUCAAUUUAUAAAAACACUAGGGUUUCACCAUCACCUAGCAAUCCUAUGAACUUUUACCAAUUACUUAUGAUUUGCACAUGCCACUUUGAAGGUUAGGUUUUCCUAAUGUAUAUUCUACUUGGAACCUCCAACACAGAACGUAUAUCCAACAUGCAACCCGUCCGGACGUUCGGAUCAAAUCUGAACAUGAAAGACUCAUUAAGUUUUGUGAAAACCCUUUGAAAAACCAUGCAACCCUUAAGACGUGGUGUUCAUCUUAAGUGAAAUUACAAUUAUUAAUCACAAGAAGCUAGCAUAAAUUUCAGGGAACCUUCCGACCAAAAUUGCAUCCAAUUACUUUUCUAAAGAUCCUAAUGGUGAUCAGGCAUUAAGACAAUUAGAUAGUUUAAAAUAGUGAUUAACAAUUCAAAAUACGCAUGCACUCAUCAUAAGCAAUUAAAUAAAAAUCACAUAUUCAUGCUAAGGUUCAAGGCUUCACCCUAGCAAAAGAAAUUUAGUUACGCAUACUCAUAAUUGAAAUCCAAGAAAAUAUCAUUAAGAAGAAAAGAACGAAAACACCUGAAAGUUGUGAAAACCCAAAACCCUAGCAAUUGCUCUCUACAAUGCAAAGUUCAAAAAUAAUUAAGAAGUCCUAAAUUCCUUGUGAGAAAGAGCUUAAAUAUCCCUUAAAACCUAGCUGCCAAUGUACAGCUUUUCUAUCCCUACAAGGAAACUAAUUAAAGUAAAAUAAUACUAGGAAAUAAAGUCCAAAUUGGAAUAGGAGAAUUUGCCCAAAAUCAGCCCAGCCACGUUUUGGCCCCAAAUCUCCUCCAAAUCUGGCCCAAGAUAGCUUUUUUUAAAGACACUACUACAAAAAGUGAAAAAGACGACCAGAAAACAACGACGGUCUAAGUGAAAACCGUCGUGGUUUUUAAAAAGACGACGGUUCUAAAAACACCGUCGUGUAAUACCACCUUAGACAACUAAAAAAUGGAGAUUCAAAUGGCUGUUCAAAAACAACGACGUACCUAAUUAAACAACCGACGUCUAUUUGAAACAGAUUUCCGCAGUGUAAAAUCAAAGCAAACAAAGAACGGCAGAAGUUAUGAAUAGACCGACGUAGAAAGUAAAGACGACGAUUUCAAUAAAAGCCGCCGUUUUUACUCAUAAAAUAACACGACGAGGUUUUCGUAUAAGACGCCGUAUAAUUACAAACAAAUCCACGGCUUUAAAAUACAAAAUAAUCUUAACAGAUGACACAGAUUUGCAAUCAGAGAGACAAUUUUUUGGAAGUUGAUCAACGUCGUUGAAAAUUUGCAAUCAGAGAGACAAUUUUCAACGACGGUUAUAUUAUACCUAACGACGUUUAAAAACAAAUCAACGUCGCUCAACAAAUAUAUUACGUCGUCUUAGUCUUACUUAAGACGACGAAAAACGACGACAGUAGUAAAAAAACAGUCGUUGUUUUUAUAUUCUUAUUUUAUUUAAAUCUGUCGUGUUAGUUAAAAACGACGGCAUAACAAAAAACCGUCGUUUUGUUUCAAACUGAAUUAAUUUAAAAUUUCUUCAGGAAAGCAAAAUCUAUUUAUAAUUUCCUCGGGUUAGUAAUAUUGUGUCGUGUUAGUUUACAAAUUCUAGAACAUUAAUUUCCCUCAUUUUAAAUUUUCUCGGGAAAGAAAAAUCUAUUUAUCACGCUUUGUAAUUGAAAACUAAAACUGAAAGAAUUCUGGAAAAAAAACUCUAUUUAUAAUUUAAAAAUAAAAUGCACGUCGGUUGUAGUACACUUAACGACGUUUAACAAAAUAAUCUACGUCGGUAAUUAUAAAUCUACCGCCAUCUUACCCUAAUAUAGACGACGAGAAAAGACGACGGUAGAACAGAAAACCGCCGUUGUUUCAGUUUCUUUAACAGUUUGGUCCUUUAUCUUUCUGCAGGACUUGUAUAGUUCAAAGCAUUGACAAUGUCUUCAUCAUAUCUCCCAGCAACUACUGAUUCGAUUGCUCAUGCUUUAGAGGCCAUCUGAAGCCAUUUCUAUUCUUUAUCGCAUUCUUGAAACCCAUCUUCUUCUUCUGAAGCUCUACGGAUAAAGGAANNNNNNNNNNNNNNNNNNNNNNNNNNNNNNNNNNNNNNNNNNNNNNNNNNNNNNNNNNNNNNNNNNNNNNNNNNNNNNNNNNNNNNNNNNNNNNNNNNNNNNNNNNNNNNNNNNNNNNNNNNNNNNNNNNNNNNNNNNNNNNNNNNNNNNNNNNNNNNNUUUUUUUUGGGGUUGGUUUUUUAUAGUAACCAGUUAUAACAGUAGUGGUUGUGCAAUGUUUGGUUCCCUUAAGCUUCGAUCCAACCGUGUAGCCAGCUUUAGGUCAAUGUCUCCCAAACCACUCGGGUUUUAGGGCACUAGGUGUAGAACACCCCUAAGGACUUAUUAACUCAAGCUGAAAAGGCUACGAAACCAACUAACCACCCUGCCUCAUGCCAAAACUCUACCUUUUGUCUCGAAAAUCACUGCUGAUUAGGCAGGACUGGCCCGGUUACUAGCAAAGCUUCGGGUGAGGCAAUUAUUACUUUAUAACACAUACUAACUUUAUUUAAAUUGAACAGAAAUUAAAACACACUUGGACAAAAAGUAAGUAUUCCAAUCUCACUCCCCAAAAACCAUAUUGGUGUGAUGUGCAAAUUUCAAAGUAUAAUUCAUGAAUUAGUGUCUAAGCAACAAUAAAUAGAAAAGACUCUACUGUGGGAUUGAUUUUCACUAUGUCCAUUUAUUCUAACGUUUAAAAUAAUCUAUGGAUAUUGACUGAAAAACGAAAAUUUUAAACAAGACUUAAAAAAAACUAAAAAUCUAAAAUUUACUUUCCCACCCCCUAACUUAAAUCACACAUUGUCCUCAAGGUGUGGUAAAUAAUCAAAAGAAACAAGAGCAGAAACAAAACGACUAAAUCCUAGAAAAUGAAAAUCAAAAAUAAAGAAAAUACUCUAAGAAAAGAAACUAGGAAGGAAAAAUAGAAGAAUAAUAAAAUAAAAUAAAAUAAGAAAGAAAAGGAGAAAAACAACAAUAGAAAAGAAAUAGGAAAGAAAAUACCCAAAAAUGAGACACCUUGGGGAUUCAAAGGCAGGACCAGGCGGAGUGUUGCGAAAAAGCGCUGACCAACUCAACCACGUCCACACUGGCAUCAAAUAGGAGCGACAGCUACAAUAUAACCUGCUGUAGCUGCUGCAUCUGUCAUUUGAAAAAUAUUGGAUUCCCUUCUCCUACCCCGAGCUCAGAGCCGAAAGGCUCUCUUCUGUCCAUUCCCAUUUUGCAGAAGAAAAAAGAAUAUUGCUGGAUAAACCAAAGCCUCCGCUGUGUCCAGAGAAUCAGAAAAGGUCUCUGAUUUCUCUCUUCUCAAGGCCAUCCAUCUCCGCCUUCACUCUUCUUCAUUCUCUCCAACACUCACGAUCCUUUCCUCUCUUUCAACCCAAUUACACCAGCGUUUUCAUCUGCGUGAGGAGGCCACAUUUGCAGCAAACACAACCAGUGAGGUUGAAUUAUCUGAUGCACCUGAAUUUUUGGAUGGUUUUGGAGUCCCUAGAUUCCUCAAAUUCAGAUCUGUCUCCAUCCAUGUCACCAGAUGCUAACUUGUUCCAAGAUGAAAACAAGCUGAAGCCGAACAAGAGUCUAUUCUCCACCAGUAAGGACCCCAGAUCUGUGCAUCCCGUAGGUAAACUUUCGAACCCCAGAACUGGUUUUUUUUUUUUUUUUUUUCCGUUUUUUUUUUGUUUUGAAAAUAAAAGAAGUAAAGAGUUUAGAAAAAUUGGGUUGCCUCCCAAUAAGCGCGCUAUUUUAAGUCUGUAGCUAGACUUUGCAGAAGCCUGGUGGUCAAAUCACUGGUUCCUUCAGAGUCAAAGACUCGGCUGCAAUGUCAAAGGGUGUCUCCACGUAGGGUUUUAGCCUAUGACCAUUCACCUUGAACGUGUUGCCUUUAUCUUCAUUAGUGAUUUGAACUGCUCCAUGAGGAAAAACUUGAGUCACUAGGUAGGGUCCAGUCCAGCGAGAUUUUAAUUUCCCUGGAAACAACUUGAGCCUUGAACUAAAUAACAGAACCUUUUGCCCUGGCUGAAAUUCCUUCCGUAAAAUUUGACUGUCAUGAAAUGCCUUAGUUCUUUCCUUGUAGAUGCGAGAACUAUCAUAAGCACCUUGACGAAUUUCCUCUAGCUCAUUUAACUGCAAUUUCCGCUUUUCCCCAGCUGAGUCAUAUGCAAAAUUUAACUCUUUAAUGGCCCAGUAAGCUUUAUGCUCCAGCUCCAUAGGUAGAUGACAGGCUUUCCCAUAAACAAGUCGGAAUGGUGACAUCCCAAUAGGAGUUUUAUAAGCUGUCCUGUAUGCCCACAAAGCAUCAUUUAGUUUGAAACUCCAAUCCUUGCGUGUAGAGCUCACUGUUUUCUCCAAAAUACGCUUUAUUUCUCUGUUUGAAACUUCAACUUGACCAGAUGUCUGUGGGUGGUAUGGUGUAGCCACGCGAUGAUUAAUCCCGUAUUUUGCCAGUAGGUUAGCAAAUGGUUUAUUAAUAAAAUGCUUCCCCCCAUCACUAAGAAUAACACGCGGUAUUCCAAAACGUGGAAAUAUAACCCCCUGGAGGAACUUCAGGACCACUGAUCCUUGAUUAGUUGGUGCUGCAAUGGCCUCGACCCAUUUUGAAACAUAUUCCACAGCCACUAAAAUAUAUUGGUGCCCAUUAGAAGAUGGGAAUGGCCCCAUGAAAUCAAUACCCCAAACAUCAAAUAGUUCAACAAUUAGGAUACUUUGUUGGGGCAUUUCAUUCCUUCUGGAUUGAUUGCCGACCCUUUGACACCGAUCACAUGCCUUGCACCAAUUCUGUGAAUCUCUAAAAAGUGUUGGCCAAAAUAACCCACUCUGUAGGAUUUUCUCUGCUGUCCUUUUCUGCGCAAAAUGUCCUCCUCAAGCAUAGUGAUGAGCAAACUUUAAAACACUUUCUUGUUCAGCCUCCGGAAUACACCUGCGAAUAAUCUGGUCUGCACAAUACUUGUAUAAGUACGGUUCAUCCCAGAAAUAGUGCUUUACAUCAGAUAAAAACUUCUUUUUCUGCUGGUAGGAAAAAUCUGGAUGCACCACACCCUUAGCCAAAUAAUUGACAAUAUCUGCAAACCAAGGUGUGUCAAUUUUGACAGCAAAUAGCUGUUCAUCUGGGAAACUUUCACUCAAUGGUAGAGAAUCUGCCUCUGUAGCUGCUGGAAUAAUUAAUCUAGAUAAAUGAUCAGCCACAACAUUCUCACUGCCCUUCUUGUCUUUAAUCUCUAAGUCAAAUUCUUGAAGUAAGAGAACCCAACGAAUCAAUCUAGGCUUUGCAUCCUUCUUAGACAACAAGUAUUUUAGUGCAGCAUGAUCUGUAUAGACAAUUAUUUUAGCCCCAACCAAAUAAGACCGAAAUUUCUCUAGUGCGAACACAACUGCCAACAAUUCCUUCUCUGUAGUUGCAUAGUUAAGCUGUGCAUCAUUUAGAGUACGACUUGCAUAAUAGAUGACAUGGGGAAGCUUAUCUUUUCGCUGCCCUAAAACUGCCCCGACAGCAUAAUCUGACGCAUCACACAUUAGUUCAAAUGGUAAAUCCCAAUUUGGUGCAGCAAUGAUGGGUGCCGAAGUUAGGAGUGCUUUCAACUUGUUGAAUGCUUCUAAACAGGCCUUAUCAAAAUUAAAUGGUGCAUCCUUAGCCAAUAAAGUGCACAAAGGUCGACUAAUCUUGGAGAAAUCCUUGAUGAACCGACGAUAAAAACCUGCGUGUCCUAAGAAGGACCUCACACCUUUUACUGAUGUAGGAGGUGGCAGCUUUGCAAUAACUUCAAUCUUUGCCUUGUCAACCUCGAUGCCUUUGCUAGAAAUUGAAUGACCCAAGACAAUUCCCUGUUCAACCAUGAAAUGCCACUUUUCCCAGUUUAGCACUAAAUUUGUCGCUUGACAUCUCUGAAGAACUAAUGAUAAAUUCUGUAAGCAUUGAUCAUAUGAAUCCCCAAAAACAGAAAAAUCAUCCAUAAAAACUUCCACAAUAUUUUCGACCAAGCCAGAAAAAAUACUCAUCAUACAACGUUGAAACGUAGCAGGUGCAUCGCAUAAUCCGAAUGGCAUCCUCCGAUAAGCGUAAGUACCAAAUGGACAAGUGAAAGUAGUCUUCUCUUGAUCCUCUGGUGCUAUUGGAAUCUGAUUAUACCCAGAAUACCCAUCAAGAAAACAGUAAAAAGCCCGCCCAACCAACCUUUCUAACAUCUGGUCAAUAAAAGGCAAUGGAAAAUGGUCUUUUCUCGUCCCUGUGUUAAGCUUCCGAUAAUCUACACACAUUCUCCAACCCGUAGUCAAUCGUGUAGGAACUAACUCAUUAUUAUCAUUUUUCACCACUGUAAUACCGGUCCGUUUAGGCACAACUUGAGUCGGGCUAACCCAUUUACUGUCAGAAAUAGGAUAAAUCAUACCUGCAUCAAGUAAUUUCAUAACCUCUGUUCUAACCACCUCUUUCAUAAUUGGGUUAAGGCGGCGUUGAGCAUCAACUGUUAGCUUUACGUCGUCUUCCAUUAAUAUUCUGUGCAUACAUAGUGCUGGGCUGAUUCCCUUGAUAUCCGCAAUUGUCCAUCCCAAUGCAUCUUGAUAUUUUCUCAAUACACGAAGCAAUUUAUCCUCCUCUGUCGGUGUUAAAUCUGCUGCAAUUAUAACUGGCAACGUCUCUGCAGCUCCUAAAUAUGCAUAUUUAAGAUGUUGUGGUAAAGGCUUCAGCUCCAAUUUUGGCGGCUGCUGUCUGGAUGGUUUAAGGGGCUGUUUGGGCUCCCCUAAACUCUCAUACACAUUCCUAAAUUUUGGCAACACUGUGGGCAGACUGUUCAAUGCGUGUAUGUACUCAUGAACACCUUCAUCUUCAAAAUCUGUCUCAAAUGCCCCCUGUAAAACAUGCAACAACUGAUCUGUUUUUGAAUUAGCAUAAAAUCUGUCCUGCACCAUACUGUCUACCAUGUCAAUACGCAUACAAUCUAGCUGUUCAGCAGGACGUUUUGUUGCCGCAAACAAAUUAAACACCACAGAUUGGUCCUGAACCCGUAAAGUCAAUGUUCCAGCUUCCACAUCAAUUAAGGUCCUAGCUGUUGCCAUAAACGGCCUCCCCAAAAUAAUAGGUGUUUGAAGGUCUUCAUCCAUGUCUAAAACCACAAAAUCUGCCGGUAGAUAAAGAUUAUCAACCUUAAUAAUUAGAUCUUCAAUAACACCUCUUGGAUAAGUGAUUGAACGGUCAGCUAGUUGAAGUAUAAUUGAUAUAGGCUUUAAAUCUCCUUGCCCCAAUCGCUGAAAAACAGAAAAAGGCAUCAAAUUAAUACUUGCACCCAAAUCAAUUAAAGCACUCUUAAAAUUAGAAUUUCCAAUAGUGCAAGAAAUAUUAAAACUCCCUGGAUCUUUUUUCUUAGGUGGUAGUUUGUGUAGCAAAACUGCAUUGCACUGUUCUGUCAAAAUAACUUUUUCCAAAUCUGAAAGCUUCUUUUUGCUGCUGCAAACUUCCUUCAAAAAUUUGGCAUAUGAUGGAAUUUUCUUGAUUGCAUCCAGUAAGGGAAUGUUGAUUUGAACCUUGGAUAAUGUCUGCAUAAAGUCCUUGAGUUGCUGAUCUUUUACUUUUGGCUUCAAACGUUCUGGAUAUGGAAUUGGGGCCUCAUAAACACGCUCAGGUACUUGUUUUGGAACAGUUUCUAGAUCUGCCAUAUUAUGUUUUUCUACAGGUUUGGCAGGUUCUGCUGCUGCAAAAUUUUCUGUAUGAUCCUCCACUGCAUGCUGCUCCUUUUCAAUGUUAUUUUCACGAUUGUCAUAGCUUUUUCCACAUCGUAAAGUCCGAACAACUUUGCAAUCUUCACGUCCAUUUGGAUUAGGAAUUGUUUGACUAGGAAAUUUGCCCUUUUAUCUGUCUGAAAUCUGUGUAGCUAGUUGUCCAAAUUGUUGCUCCAAACUUUUAAUAGAUGCUUCAACAUUUUGAAAUCUUUGAUUGUUGCCCUCGAUGAAUGAUUGAGUUGUUGCUGCCAGUUUAGCAAGUUGAUCUUCCAUAGAUGGUUUGGAGGGAACAAAAGGUUUUUGUGCAUGCUGGAAUGGUUUGGCAUUAGUCUGAUUGUCACCCCAUUUGAAAUUAGGGUGAUCCCUCCAUCCAGGAUUGUAAUGAGUUGCAUAUGCAUCAUUCCUAGGCCUUUGAUAGCUGUUCAUCAUAUUGACAUGUUGUUCAACAAGCUCUGGGUAAGAGUCUCUAUGUGGGCAGCCCAUUAUGUCAUGUGUAGCCAUACUGCAUAUAGUGCAAACUGUUGAUGUAGGUGGCUGCUGUGUAGAACUUGCUAUAUGUUGUAGAAGCAUAUCAAACUUUGCAUCAAUUUUCUUAUCCAUUUUUUCCAUUUGUGCAGACAUGUUGGGAGAACCUACUGAUAACUCAAAAAUGCCCCUUUUCUGUGAAUGUUCUGCUGCCCAUUGCUGAGAUUCUGUAGCCAUCAUAUCAAACAGUUCAAAUGCCUCUCUUGCAGAUUUAUUUGAUAAUGAUCCUCCAGCUGAUGCAUUCACAUGGCUCUUAGAUGUAGGAUUAAGCCCAUCAAAGAAAAUAUUCAUUUGUGUAUCUGAAUCAAUUUUAACAUGUGGACACUUUAUGUACAUCUUUGUAUAUCUCUCCCACGCUUCAUGAAACUCUUCAUUAGGCUUCUGUGUGAAUGUCAAAAUCUCCCUCUUGUAAUUCAAUGUCUUGGAUGCUGGAUAAUAUUUGUUCAGGAAUUUUGUGUGUAACUGCUGCCAAGUAGUAAUGCUAUUAGCUGGUAGAGUGAAUAACCAAGUUUCUGCCUUGUCCUUCAAAGUGAAAGGGAAAAGACGUAACUUAAUAGCCUCAGCAGAAAAACCCCUAAUCAAAAUAUUCUUGCAACCCACAAUAAAUUUUGCAAUAUGUAUGUUUGCAUCUUCAUUAGGCAAUCCCCGAAAAGUAGGUAGAAUUUCAAGCAUAUGGUGCCUGAUCUCGAACGAAUCACCCUCUUCUUGUUCAGGAUACACAAUGCAAUUGGGAACAUCAGUGGCACGGGCUUCCAAUGACUCCCUGAGUGGUCUACCUGCCGCAGGUAAUUCUAACGCCAUGUUACUCUCGUUUGCAAACAGAUCCUGCAGAAAAGUGCCCUGCAGUGAACAGUCCCAAGCCCAAGUAACUUCUCUCCGCUGUCUAUGCAGUGUGCGCUCUGGUUCUGGAUCAAAUUGUACAAUCUGUGUAGUUCCUGAUCUGGUCUGGACCAUGCAGUCUGCAAAAUCUGCAACAGAAACAAAAUUGUUCAAUUUCAAUUUUUUUUUUUGGACGAAAAUUAAAAAUAAAAUAAAAUGAAAUAAAUCAGAAAAAGGUUAAACAAAAAUUGUCUAAAAUAGUCCCCAGCAACGGCGCCAAUUUCUUGAUAGGAUUUUUAGUACUUGUGCAAACAGUGUUAAAAAUCACAUAAAAUACUUGCAAGAAUACAAGGCUAUUGUAGUAUAGAUGCUCAUGCAAGGUCGUUUUCCUCAAGGACUAAUUAGCAAUUUAUGUAAAAACAAAUUUCAAUUACUACUUAAAAUAAAAAGUCAAGAAAGAUGAUUAUAAAUUUGGUGGAUUCUAAAAAACAAAUAUUAAACAAAAACAAAUACGAUUGAAAGAAAGAGUUUUGAAUAUCAAUUUAUAAAACCACUAGGGUUUCACCAUCACCUAGCAAUCCUAUGAACUUUUACCAAUUACUUAUGAUUUGCACAUGCCACUUUGAAGGUUAGGUUUUCCUAUUGUAUAUUCUACUUGGAACCUCCAACACAGAACGUAUAUCCAACAUGCAACCCGUCCGGACGUUCGGAUCAAAUCUGAACAUGAAAGACUCAUUAAGUUUUGUGAAAACCCUUUGAAAAACCAUGCAACCCUUAAGACGUGGUGUUCAUCUUAAGUGAAAUUACAAUUAUUAAUCACAAGAAGCUAGCAUAAAUUUCAGGGAACCUUCCGACCAAAAUUGCAUCCAAUUACUUUUCUAAAGAUCCUAAUGGUGAUCAGGCAUUAAGACAAUUAGAUAGUUUAAAAUAGUGAUUAACAAUUCAAAAUACGCAUGCACUCAUCAUAAGCAAUUAAAUAAAAAUCACAUAUUCAUGCUAAGGUUCAAGGCUUCACCCUAGCAAAAGAAAUUUAGUUACGCAUACUCAUAAUUGAAAUCCAAGAAAAUAUCAUUAAGAAGAAAAGAACGAAAACACCUGAAAGUUGUGAAAACCCAAAACCCUAGCAAUUGCUCUCUACAAUGCAAAGUUCAAAAAUAAUUAAGAAGUCCUAAAUUCCUUGUGAGAAAGAGCUUAAAUAUCCCUUAAAACCUAGCUGCCAAUGUACAGCUUUUCUAUCCCUACAAGGAAACUAAUUAAAGUAAAAUAAUACUAGGAAAUAAAGUCCAAAUUGGAAUAGGAGAAUUUGCCCAAAAUCAGCCCAGCCACGUUUUGGCCCCAAAUCUCCUCCAAAUCUGGCCCAAGAUAGCUUUUUUUAAAGACACUACUACAAAAAGUGAAAAAGACGACCAGAAAACAACGACGGUCUAAGUGAAAACCGUCGUGGUUUUUAAAAAGACGACGGUUCUAAAAACACCGUCGUGUAAUACCACCUUAGACAACUAAAAAAUGGAGAUUCAAAUGGCUGUUCAAAAACAACGACGUACCUAAUUAAACAACCGACGUCUAUUUGAAACAGAUUUCCGCAGUGUAAAAUCAAAGCAAACAAAGAACGGCAGAAGUUAUGAAUAGACCGACGUAGAAAGUAAAGACGACGAUUUCAAUAAAAGCCGCCGUUUUUACUCAUAAAAUAACACGACGAGGUUUUCGUAUAAGACGCCGUAUAAUUACAAACAAAUCCACGGCUUUAAAAUACAAAAAUAAUCUUAACAGAUGACACAGAUUUGCAAUCAGAAGAGACAAUUUUUGAAGUUGAUCAACGUCGUUGAAAAUUGCAAUCAGAAGAGACAUUUUCAACGACGGNNNNNNNNNNNNNNNNNNNNNNNNNNNNNNNNNNNNNNNNNNNNNNNNNNNNNNNNNNNNNNNNNNNNNNNNNNNNNNNNNNNNNNNNNNNNNNNNNNNNGGAAGUUGAUCAACGUCGUUGAAAAUUUGCAAUCAGAGAGACAAUUUUCAACGACGGUUAUAUUAUACCUAACGACGUUUAAAAACAAAUCAACGUCGCUCAACAAAUAUAUUACGUCGUCUUAGUCUUACUUAAGACGACGAAAAACGACGACAGUAGUAAAAAAACAGUCGUUGUUUUUAUAUUCUUAUUUUAUUUAAAUCUGUCGUGUUAGUUAAAAACGACGGCAUAACAAAAAACCGUCGUUUUGUUUCAAACUGAAUUAAUUUAAAAUUUCUUCAGGAAAGCAAAAUCUAUUUAUAAUUUCCUCGGGUUAGUAAUAUUGUGUCGUGUUAGUUUACAAAUUCUAGAACAUUAAUUUCCCUCAUUUUAAAUUUUCUCGGGAAAGAAAAAUCUAUUUAUCACGCUUUGUAAUUGAAAACUAAAACUGAAAGAAUUCUGGAAAAAAAACUCUAUUUAUAAUUUAAAAAUAAAAUGCACGUCGGUUGUAGUACACUUAACGACGUUUAACAAAAUAAUCUACGUCGGUAAUUAUAAAUCUACCGCCAUCUUACCCUAAUAUAGACGACGAGAAAAGACGACGGUAGAACAGAAAACCGCCGUUGUUUCAGUUUCUUUAACAGUUUGGUCCUUUAUCUUUCUGCAGGACUUGUAUAGUUCAAAGCAUUGACAAUGUCUUCAUCAUAUCUCCCAGCAACUACUGAUUCGAUUGCUCAUGCUUUAGAGGCCAUCUGAAGCCAUUUCUAUUCUUUAUCGCAUUCUUGAAACCCAUCUUCUUCUUCUGAAGCUCUACGGAUAAAGGAAGAGGCUAUCACAAAUCUGACGGAUCUUCUUAGUCAAAAAAAUCAAGCAGAGGAUCAGGCACAUCUGAUCUUCAGAUUUCCCUGAGAAGCGAACUUUCCUUCGACAGCGAGUGGAGGCCAGGCUUGCAUCUCUUUUGAUGGAAAGCAAGGAGUAUUCAGAAGCACUAAGUGUCCUAUCAGGCUUGAUCAAGGAAGUGAGAAGGCUAGUUGACAAGCUUCUUCUUGUCAACUAGCCUAAAUGUAAGCUCAAUUUCUCUUUGAGAAAGACCUCCAAAUUAUUGUCUUUGAGAUGUGAGAGACAGUGUCUCUGAGAGAGGAAGAACUUGGAACCCUAAAUGUAAACCGCGAAAAUGAAUGAAAGCGACAAAUUUAUAGAAUAAAUUUUUAAAACCAACGGCGGUACUUACCAAGAAACCGCCGUUUCAAUUGUAAAAUCAACGUCGGUAUUACUGACGUAUAUUACAGAACUCCACGUCGGUACAUUAAUAAUCACGACGUCUUAAAUAAUCUACCAUGACGCGAGUUAUUACUUAUGUACUUUAAUUUUUGAGUUUACUACGACGGUACCUACAACACUACUGUCGUAUUUAUUUACCACGUCCGAAGUUAAAUUUACCGACGUAUUUUGUACUUUAUACGUCGUAGUUAUAUGUAACCGCCGUAUUAUUUUUUUGAAAUGGUUUUAUAUGUAAGCAACUUUUCGUCUACUUGACUUACACAUUAGUUGUUUUUAUAUUCUUAUUUUAUUUAAAUCUGUCAUCCAAAAAAGAAACUUUACAUAUUGCAGAAUAUUAAUUUCCUUCGUUUUAAAUUUCCUCCGGAAAAAAAACUCUAUUUAUAACGCACUGUAAUUGAAAAAUAAACUGAAAGGUCACGGGAAAAAAAAUUCUAUUCAUAAUUUAAAAAUUAAAAUCCACGUCGGUUAUAUUAAACCUAACGACGUUAAAUGAAAUGAUUCCACGUCGAACGAAAAAUAUUUCGUCGUGUUAGUUAAAAACGACGUAGUUAAAUGUAACCGCCGUAUUAUUUUUUUGAAAUGGUUUUAUAUGUAAGCAACUUUUGGACUUACACAUGCACUGUUUCCAAACCCGAUUAAAAAUUUCAAUCUCCAGAGAAACCUUUUCGUCUUUUUUCCUUGUCAGAGCAUUAUCAGAGUUUCUCAUCGUCUUCCUCUCGUCUUCUUCGUCGUCCUUGAACUUAAACAUCGAUCAUCUUCCUCUUGCUUUCAUUGCACGCAAAAGGUAAGCUUUCAUUUUCACUAUUUUGGUUACUGUUUUGCAUGCUCAUACGUUUUUUGUUUGAAAAAUCUUUUUACCUUUUUUCUGGCCAAAAUCAUUUUACUUCUUUCCAAGUUUGAUAAAAUAUACAGACAAAAAGGGAAAGUUUCCAACUUUGAAGACAACUACCUCAACUAAAUGAGACGACGGUAGACCACGACGGUUCGUCAGUUGUUCUAGCGUCGUCUGAAAAUUGACAAAGUUGUUUUUAAAAUAAUAGUCUUUUUUUAUAUGCUUGUUUAAUUGCAGGUUUGAUUUCUCUGAACAAUGGUUUUUGUUUUUCCCUUAUUUGAUAAAAUAUAAAGAAAAAGAAACUAGGGUUGGUAUCUAAUAUAGACGACAAAAUAUCUUAUUGUUUUACGUCGUGUGAAUGUUAAUACCACGACGGUGUAUUACUAUUAACGUCGUAUGAACAUAAAUACCACGACGUUAUAUAAAUAAUAGUUUACCACGACGGUGUAUUACUAUUGACGUCGUGUGAACAUAUAUACCACGACGUUAUAUAAAUAAUGGUUUUAAACAUUUAUUACGUCUGAGAUUAUUUCAUUGCGUCGUCUAAAAUCAUAUCAUACGUCGUAUUUUUUUAAUACCGUCGUUUGUGUUCUUAAUGUUUUCCUGAAAUAUUUUCACUUGCAGUUUUGUCUGUUAAAAUGGUUUCUCAACAACAAACUAAGGAUUCUGGCUCCAAGAAGCUUGGAAUGGUAGCUCCUCAAGACAAGUCUUCGAAGGAGAUGAAGUCUUCGAAGAAGAUGAAGUUUGCUUCAUCAUCUGCUGAGACAGAACCAACCAGCCAGACAACAAUCUCUGAUGAUUCAAAGACUGGUCGAGGCAUGAGCACAAUGCCUCGUGUUGUGAAGAGAAAGCUUCAGAAACUGAGGCCAAUUGUUGAGUACAAUAAAAGGGGGAAAGGUGUUGGCCAAGCACAUAUUGAGAUGCAGUCGUAUAUUGGUGUGUUGGCACGCUCCAGGAUCCCACUUGUGGACAAGAAAUGGUCCCAAAUCCCCAAGGAUAUAAAGGAGCAGAUUUGGGAAGCAGUUGACAUGGCUUUUGUCGUAGGCCAAGGGGGCAAGACCUCUGUUUUAGCUUCUGCUUCCAAGAAAUGGAAGGAUUUCAAGUCUACACUAACGAGGCAUUAUAUCCUUCCAUACACCAAUGACAGGGAGAAAUUAAGCCAACCCCCUGAAACAUAUAAAUUCAUAGAGAAAGCACAAUGGGAUGCCUUUGUAGCUUCAAGGCUAUCCAAAGAUUUUGAGUCUGUGCAUUCUCAACAUGCACAGAUUAGGGAGAAACUCGAGUACAAUCAUCGAUUGUCUCGAAAAGGAUAUGCUGGAUUGGAGGAUCAAUUGGAGGAAACCAUGCCUGGGGUAGAAAUUGAUCGAUCUACCUUAUGGAAGAGAGCUAGACAGGACAAACAUGGUAACAUCCCUGAUCCAAAGGUGGCAGAGAAAGCAAAAUUAAUUGUAAGCCUACUAUCACUCUGUUUUAAAUUUUUAUUAAACUGUGAAUUAUUCUUAUUACGUCGUAUGUUAUAUUUUUCGUCGUGUGAAUGAUAUUACCACGUCGAAAAGUUUUUAAAAACGUCGUUAAAGGUCUAAAUAGGAAUCACUACUAAUUUUCUGUAAUUAUAGCAUAAGACGUCGGUGGUUCAUUUUCGCGUCGUUUGAAUGAUAUUACCACGUCGAAACUUUUUUAAAAACGUCAUUAACGGUCUAAAUAGGAAUCACUACUCUGUUUUCUUUAAUUAUAGCAUAAGACGUCGGUUGUUUAUUCAUUUCGUCGUUUUAAAUAAAUAACCACGUCGGUAUAACUACCGUCGUGAUAAGUUAUAAUAACGUCGGUUUAUACGUUAUUGCGUCGUGUGAAAUUAUAUAAUACGUCGUUUGUACAUAAAUAACCGUCGUGUGUUUUUUUGUUUAUCUUUGUUUUAGGAUGAAUUGCAGAAACAAGUCUCGGAAGGCAAAGUCAGAGUAGAUGGCAGCAAUGAUGUGCUGACCAUGGCUUUGGGCCCCGAGCAUCCAGGCAGAGUGAGGGGAGUUGGUGCUGGUGUUUCCCCAAGGCAAUAUUUCAAUUUGCCCAAACCACAGAGGGUGAGCUUUGACGACCAUUUGAAGGACAGUUUAAGAGUUCUCCUUCAAGAAGAGACUAAAAAGAUGGAGGCUAAGGCAAGGGAAGAGGCCUUAAGAAUGGAGGCUAGGACAAAACAAUUGGUAGAGGCUGAGAGGGAGCAUUUCCUGAGUCAGCUUUCCCAAUUAAUUCCCAAUUUUGAUCCAAGCAUGCUUAAACCAAGAAUUAGCCAAAGCCCCAAAAAUCCAAUGUCUGACAAAGCUAGCUGCUCUGGAGGUGAUGUGAGAUCCCUACAUUUGGAGGAUGAUACUGCCAAAAUGGGGAAACAUCAGCCAGAUGAAGAGAAGGAAGAAGAAAAAAGAGAUGAAGAGAAGGAAGAAGAAAAGGAGAAAGAAGAUGAAGAAAAGCAUGACGACAAGGUAUGUUCACAUAACUUUGCCUUUUUUAUUUGUUUUUCAAAAUUUCAGACGUCGAUAUUUUUAUUUAAUCCGUCGUUUGUUUAAAACUUAGACGGCGGACUUUUUUUAAGACGUAAUAAAAUAUUUAAACGACGGUUUUUGCACCGUCGUUUAAAUGGUUUCAGACGACGCUUUAUUCAUAAAAUCGUCGUCUUUAUUGAAUUACCACGACAGUUUUUUCACCGUCGUUUAAAUACUUUUAAGACGACGUUUUAUUCCUUAAACCGUCGUCUUUGUUGAAUUACCACGUCAUUUUUUUUAUUUCUUUAAACAGGUUAUUGAAGUUGGUGCUUAUUCAAAUAUGGAGGCGCCAUCUUCUUUAAAAACCCUUUGUCGUUUUGUGGAAACGACACUCCUGCCUGAGGAUAAGACACUCCAAUUUACAAUUGAUAAGGAGGUGUUUGGUGGUGAGCGCGAUACCUUCCUCCUGCCUGAAGAUAUUACACAAUUUGCAGGCAUGGAAGAAAUUGGAGCUACUGUAUUGGCUGUAUAUAUGAGGUUUGUACUUCUAAAAUAAUACCUCGUUGGUUUAUAUAUUGCGUCGUCUUAACUAACUAACCACGUCGUCUUAACUAACUACCGUCGUGAUAAAUAUAUUAUAACGUCCUCAUCUAUUUCAGUACGUCGUGUGAAAUAUUAUAAUACGUCGUUUUUUUAUACAUAACCGUCGUGUUUGUUUGUGCUGACUUGUUUAUAUUAUUUUAUGUAUUUAGGUACUUACACGAUGUUUUGAAACAAGCCAAUAUGUGCAGCAUGGUUGGCUUUAUCGACCCUGCUACAGUUAGUGCCAACUCUGGCACAAUAACUGAAAGAUCACGACUGGUAGCAGCUCGACUUCAGAAGACAGACGGUGAACAGAUUUUCAUGAUGCCUUACAAUCCAGGGUUAGUCUCCUUAGGAUUUUGUUUUUAUGAUUUUCAAUAAAUGACAGCUUAUAAACUAACCACGUCGGUGUUUUAUUUUAUUUAGUCGUUUGAAACUACUAACCACGUCGGUAUUUAUUUAUCGUCGUGAUAAAUAUAUAAUGUCGUCGUUAUCUACUUUAUUUCGUCGUGUGAAAUACUAUAAUACGUCGUUUUUGUAAAUAACCGUCGUUUUUAUAUUCAUUUUGUGCAGCCGUCAUUGGAUCUUGCUGAUUGUAAGAGCAAAGAAGGAGACCGUCUAUUUUCUGGAUCCUCUGCCAGGUCAUCGUGUGGUCGACGAAGAGGCGAAAAACAUCGUGAACAGUGCUUUAAAAAUAUAUAAUACCCACAUAGCCCGAGCACGACGUAAAAAUGUAAUUUGGAAAACUCUCUCAGGCACACCAAAGCAACCCAGCAAUGUCGAAUGCGGGUACUAUGUGAUGCGCUUCAUGAGGGACAUCAUCAUGGAUCCUUCCUUGGGGUUUGAGAAUAAGGUAAGAAGAAAUUACCUUCAUACAUUUCACGUCGUUUUUUGUAUUAUCAACGACGGUCAUGUAAAAUUAACGUCGUUGAAUGGAUAUACUACGUCGGUUAUGAAAAAUAUCGUCGUCUGUGAUUGAAUUUCUUUUUAUUUAUAAACCCUAAUAGUCAUUGUUUAUGCAGUAUGCCAAGGGAAACCAGGAAGCUUCAUACCCCCAAGAAGCCAUUGAUGAAGUCCGGAAUGAAUGGGCAGAGUUUGUUUUCCAAAUUAUUAAACAGGGCAAUUAUUGAACACUUGAUAUUUAUGUAUAAUGUACAAAUUUUCUCUAUAAUAUGUAAUGUAAAAAUUUGUUGAGGUUUUCUUAAAUUAAAAAAAAAACAAACAUACAAAUUGCUUAACCGACGUGUAAUACUUUUCCAACGACCUAAUAAAGUCAAAAACCGUCGUAUUUUGUUGUUUCGUGUUUUAAACAAAUACGACGUAAAAAUAUAGUUAGACGACGUUCUUUGAACAAUUGAGUCGUUUAUGGUUUACAACAUCUUCAAUUUCUUAAGGGUUCAGGGUAUCAUCGACGACGUUUAUGUAACGACAGCGGUUAAGUCGUGGAAUAUAUAUUUUACGUCGUAUAGUUAAAUAGCCGCCAUGGUUUCUCAUUUUAACGACGUCAUUUUAACGACUUAGUAGUCUAUUACAAUUUACAACGUCUACAAUUUAUUAACACCGACGUGGUUUGUUGUUGUGGUAAGAAUAUUUUAUUAUUUUUAUAUCAAAAUAUUCAAAAUAAAUUUAAAAUAAAUCAGAAAAUUGAAAAGUCAUCUCCUAUGAAGUCAUUGAUAUAUUUUCUUCCACAUAAACCUUGAAAAAAUUCAUUUUGAAUAACAAAAAUUUAAAAUGACCAUCCAAAACAAAAUUGUUUUGAUGAGUCAUAAAAUCACUUCUAGUUUUAUGGUUUAGGGUUUAGAGUCUAGGGUUUAGAGAUUAGGGUUGUUAUUUGUUGGGGUUUAUUUUUAAAGUAUAAUUUUUGGGUAGUCUAGGGUAUAUGUUAGGCUUUAAAACCAUAAAACCUUUUAUAAACUUAAUUUUUUAAAUUGUAUAAUUUAGUUUUAUGGGUUUAGGGUAUUAAUUUUUAACGACGGUGGUUGCGUCGUGGAAUACAUAUUUUACGUCGUACAGAAAAACAUACGACAUGGUUUACGCUUUAAACGACGUCAUUUUAAUAUGUAAGUCGGUUUAUAUAAUUUACAACGUCUUUAAUUUCUUAACACCGACGUGGUUUUUCAGUCGUCGUUAUAUAAAAAAUUCAAAAUAAAUUUAAAAUUAAUCCGAAAAAUGAAGCUUCAAAAUGAACGGCCUUACGUUCUUAAUCCGAAAAAUGAAGUUUCCGUCGUGGAAUAUUAAAUUUACGUCGGUACUUGUAGAACUUUCGCCUUGGUUUUUCUUUCGACGUUUUAAAACGCGCGAGCUCUAAAAAUUUUCGCGUGACCUAAAUUUUUUUAGAUUUGGCUCUUAUUCUUAUACUUCGAACCCUGAAACCUAAAAUUUUCAGAUUUCGCUCUCUCACUUCUGCUCUAAUUAAAAGUUGCACUCUCCAGGCUUCGUCGAAUCUGUGAGCUCGUCCAACCUGUAAGUACAAACCCUAUCUUCCCCUUGUAAAUUCAUUGAAUGAUAUUAGGUUGUUUUGUUAAAGGGUUUUAUGUGUAUGCUUUGCGAUCUGUUAAUAAUGUGCUUAUAGGUAUGGGUUCAUAGAUUUUCUGUUUAAUGGGUUCAUGGAUUACAUUAUCUGUUAUGUUGAAUUGGGAAUGGAUUUAAUUUUGUCGUAUCUUUUAAUCACCCUAUGUUAUGUUGAAUUGGGAAUGGAUUUAUUGUUUUCAUGCUUGGUUUCAUGUAUAUGUUGGUUUCUUGCUUGGUUUCAUAUAUAUGUUGUGUUCUUAAUGGGUUUUGUGUUCUUGAAAAUAAACUGAGACACGACAAAUUUUAAGGCAUACGACGACGAUUACACGACGGUUUUUUUAAACUACCGUCGUUGUAUUACUUAUACAAGACGGUUUUUUCAUAAACCGUCGUUUGUAUUACUUAUAAUAGACGACGUCUGUUGAAAAUCCGUCGUCUAUAUAUGCCAAAUACGUCUGUUUUUGUUUAAAACCCGUCAUCUCUGUUGUGUAUUACUUGCGAUUAGAUCAUUGUAUAAUCUGCUAUAGUGAUGGUCAUUGCCUGUAUUUUCACUUUAUUAUAGAUAAUAGGUUAUAGUGUCGGAGAUGGAUAAGUCAUGGAUGCACUCGGAUAGAAGAUCGAAGGCAUAUGAAUUUGGGGUGGAAGCAUUUUUGAACUUUGCUUGAGAAGUACUUUCCCCCUUCAUUCUUUGAUAUCAUGGUUCAUCUAGUAGUACAUCUUGUCAGAGAAGUUCGUCUAUGUGGGCCAGUAUAUUUUAGGUGGAUGUAUCCGUUUGAAAGAUAUAUGAAAGUGCUGAAGGGGUAUGUUCAGAAUCGUACUCGUCCCGAAGGUUGCAUUGCUGAGCGGUAUAUAGCUUAAGAAGCGGUAGAGUUUUGUACUCAGCAUUUAUCUGAUGUUAGUACAGUUGGAGUGCCUUCAAGCCAAAAGAUGGGACUUUCAAAGCCAUUAUCAGGUUGCACAGUGAGCGUAGUUGAUCAGGACCUGUUGAAUCAAGCACAUCUAUAUGUCUUGGAGAAUACGGAGGAAGUCCUACCUUAUAUCGAGUACGUAUGAGCUUUAUUCUUUAAGUUUCCAUUUUAAAUUAUUUCUUAUGUUUAUCUUCUAUAUUUGGGACCGUAAUGCUUGAAUUUUUCGUGUCAUGUAGGCAACAUAUGAUCCACAUCAAGAUUGCUUAUCCAAAAUUUAGAAAGAGAACAAAGUGGCUGCAGGAUAAGCACAAUAGCACUUUCAUUCAAUGGCUACGCUUCAAGGUAUAUGUUGUUGAAUAACAUAUUUCUCUUUUAAUUUUCUUCUUAUUUAUAUGUUAGAUUGAAUUAAGAUAUGAUUAAUUUGCAGGUUCAAAGUGAACUUGAGGAAGACAAUCAUGGCGUAUCAGAAAAUUUAAGGUGGCUAGCAGCUGGUCCAAACAUGUCAGUGCCAUUAUAUAGGAGCUAUCUUAUUAAAGGUAUUAAAUUCAAUAUCAAGGCACAAGAUGAUGUGCGGACAACUCAAAAUAGUGGAGUUUAUUUACUUGCACAUACCAUGCAAGUUGCUAGUGCCAAGGAUAAAAACCCAAUUCUCUCAAACAUGGGUUUCUAUGGUGUCAUUCAAGAAAUUUGGGACCUUGACUACCAAAAGUUUACAAUCCCAGUCUUUAGGUGUGAUUGGAUAGAUAGUUCUGGUCUUGUAGUCGACGAACUUGGAUUUACCCUUGUAGAUUUGAGUAAAAUUGGACAUAGGAAUGACCAAUUUGUUUUGGCUUCUCAAGUCAAACAAAUAUUUUUUGUUGACGACCCGAUGCAUCGUGGUUGGUCGGUAGUGUUAUCAAUGCCUAAUAGAGAAUAUAAUGAUGUUAUUGGUGAUGAAGUCUUAGGUGAUGUGAUAAUUGAGUGUGAGCCAUUUACUAGAGGGAUGCCAAAUGUUGACACAUUUGAUGAACUGGUGGGUGAGUUAGGCGGUCAAAAUAUUCGAGAUGGGUGUGAAGAUAUAUGGAUUGAAUGAUGCUUAUGUAAUUGGCAGUGUAUGACAUUAAUUUUGUAAUAUAUUGUAAUGUGAUUUCUUCACUUUCUACGUUCAAAUAAAACACGACGUUAUUGUGAACCAGUUAUUCAGCAUAUUUACCGACGUCUUAAAGCAACGUAACAAUGAAGAACCACGACGCUAUUGUGAAGCAAUUAUUCAGGAUAUCACGUCGGGGAAGGAUUAAGAACCGCCAUGUAAUUCAAAAUAACACGACUCCAAUCCCAUAAUACCGACGUCUAAAAAACGAGAUAUAUAAUCUGAACGUUAAAAAAUACGACGUCAUCAUACAUUUUCCACAUCGCAAGUUCUUUUAUAAACGAAGAGGAACGAAAUGAAUUCCGACGGAAAUUCAUUAUAACCGCCGUCUAAUAACAAUUAAACGACGUUAUUUGUAAUACGGCUCUCAUCAUAAUCAACGCCGUCUAUAUGUUCUGUAAUACGGCUCUCAUUUAUUUGGAACCGACGUUGUUUAGAAGUUCAACGUCGUCUAUAUUAUUAAGUGCGUCGUGAGUAAUGAUGAUAGAUAUAAAUACAACGUCGACUAUAUAAAUGCCACUGACGUUGUUUCGCAUUUCAACGUCAACUGUAUAAAUACAUACGUCGUAAAUAAUGACACUGACAACUAUUUCCACGUCAUCUUUUUUAGAAAAAUCGAAGUGGAAAAUUUAUUUCACGACGGUUGUUUGUAAAUAAGAGACGUAGUAUAUUUCAAUAACGUCGUCUUCUCAUGUAUUUAAAGACGUCAUAUUUUUUCUUGUCGUGUAAAUUAUAUUUAACGGCGUAGUAUUUUAGUUGUCGUCGUUGUAUGUAUAUCUUGCGGCCUUGUUCUUUUAACAUGUGUCAUAUUUUUCCUUUUUAACGACGGUGAUUUGUUUGAGUUGGUCGUCUAUUCUCAUCCUCGACUAUUUUCUAGAACUUUAGCAGACUAAACACGUCUGUUUUUAUUGUUUUCCGACGUUGUUUUAUUUAACAACGUCUAAUAUUUAUCGUCGUUGUUUGUUUCUGAAAAUAUGACGUAUAAAUUUUGUAAUACGACUCUCAUAUAUUUGUAACCGACGUUGUUUCGUUUUUCAACGUCUACUCUAUAAAUACAUACGUCGUAAAUAAUGACACUGACAACUAUUUUCACGUCAUCUUUUAUCGAAAAAUCGAAGUGGAAAAUUAAUUUUACGACGGCUGUUUUUAUAUAUGCGACGUAGUAGGUAUCAAUAACGUCGUCUUCUAAUGUAUUUAAAGACGUCAAAUUUUUUAUUGUCGUGAAAAUGAUAUUUAACGGCGUCGUAUUUUUAUUUUCGUCGUUGUAUGUCUAUCUUGCGGCCUUGUUCUCUUAAUAUGUGUCAUAUUUUUCCUUUUUAACGACGGUUUUUUUAGAGAGUUGGUCGUCUAUUCUCAUCCUCGACUGCUUUUUUAGAUCUUUUUGCAGUACAAAGACGUCGUUUUGUAUUUGUUGAUGACGUUGUAUAUUUUAACAACGACGGUGAUUUUGCGUCGUGGUUUAUGAGGGAAAAGAUGACGGUGGAUUCCACGACCAUUGAAAAACCGAAUACACGACGGUGAUUUACCGUCGUCUUUUUGCUUUUUUGUAGUAGUGAGAUAAAAAUGUUCUGAACACUUCUCUAGAAGGCCACGAACCCAUCCGAGGUCAUCUUGGGCUCCAAAAACACAAUAAAAGCCCAACACGUCACUAUUCCAGCACCGCGCACUGCUCAUUUAUUUUAUUGCCAGAAAAUAACCGCUUGGAAGAAAAAUCUGAAAUUUUGAUACGAUCAAGCUAAGUGACUCAAGAACGUCCUCCAACUGGAAUUACUCCAAAAUUCCUCAAUUUGAUUAUGUUUUGCUCCAGAGAGAGUCGAAAGUCCUAUAUUGGAAAUAUAAUUCAAAGUAUCAAAAUUCUUCCAAAAUAUUAACCAAAAUAUACUAAGAAUGAGGUUAAAUAUAUAAUAUAAAAUAUGUCCAUCACCCCACAACAACUAAAGAACCAACAUUUUGUAGAAGGUUUUGUCUAUACCUUUGACUGUAAGUAAAUCUCUUGUAUCUGCUCCUGUGGUUCGGUGAAGUUUCUUUGUGUCCUUUCUGCGGAGUCUCCCAUGCUUGUUCCAUGAAAAUGUUCUAGGAGAAAAUACGGUUGUUUCUUACUAGAUUCAAAUGAUUAAGAAAAAUAAAAACGCAAGAAAAAAGGUAUUUUCUUGAUGGACUUGGUGAUGAAAAAUAUCACUCUCUUUAUAUGUCGUCUUCCUUGGACUUUGAGACCUUGGGUUUCGAUUCUUCUUGAGGAUUGCAUAGGGUUUCUAGGCCCAAGAAUACUUUGAGUUAGUUUUUGCGUUUUGGGCUUUGAGACUUUGAGACUAUAAUGAGUGGAAAGUUAUAAGGGGUAAGUUAUAAGGGGGUCACUUUAUAGCCAUCAGAUUAAUCCAAGGGCUGGGGAGAAUUGAGAUAAAGUUUCACAAUUGGGUAGGUGAGGAACCCAAACCCGAAUUGAAUAUCCAGCACGUCCAAAAAGAAGAAGAAGAGGGAAACACGUCCGAAAAAGAAGAAGAAGAGGCAAGUUCGAAGUUUGAACAGAAAGAACUCAUCUCUCUAAAACACAGAGGUCUGAGAUACCCAAUGAAGGCAACGGCUAACGACAGUUGAAGGCAACAAUUCGCCACUCCGUUCUCCAGACCCCGAAAAAGUAUUUAUUUGGAGUAGAAGGGGCAAAGGUGUGGAUUCCAAAUCAGUGAAGGGGCGAAGCAGUGGAAGGGGAAGGGGAGAAGCUGUAUUCGUUGGAAGUGUAGGUUCCAUUUGUGGAGCAAAGAAAUAGAAAGACCCCACACAGACACCUUGCAAUAACCAGCAUUUGGUGAGUAAUUUAUGGAAUUUGAGUUUAGGGUUAGAGUAAUGGUUUUCCCCAAUUUGUACCAUAAAUUUUGUUGGAUUUGGCAUCUCUUCGUUGUGCUUCAGUUGCAUGUUAAUUUUUGCUUAGGUAUAUGUUAAAAAAGGAAUGAAAAUUAAGUCAAUAACAAGUGAAUAACAUGUCAAUAAUGAUAUGAAUAAGAUAAUGGUGUUGAAUUGGAGGAGGCCCUCAAAACCUUCCACAUUUGAAGCAGUGCAUAGUGCAGAUUAAGAAGAGGCGCUAGAAUAUAUAUAUAUAUUUUAUGAAGUAAAUAUGAUUUCCUUUGUUACUAAAUUUGCCUGAGAAACAUUUGAACAGAUAAUAAUAAACUCAUGAAUAGAACUGCAAAGCAUUUGAUGAGCAAUGUAAGGAAUUUAAGUUUAGGGUUAGAGUAAUGGCAUCUCUUAUUUGUGCUUCAAUUGCAUGUUAAUUUUUGCUUGGGUAUAUGUUAAAAAAUGAAUGAAAAUAAAGUCAAUCACAUGUCAAUAACAUCUCAAUAACAUGUCAAUAACAUGUCAGUAAUGAUAUGAAUAAGAUAAUUGUGUUAAAUUGGAGGAGGCGCUCAAAACCUUCACAUUUGAAGCAGUGCAGAGUGAAGAGUACCUCUCUGGCACUAGAAUUUAUAUAUUUUGUGAAAUAAAUAUUAUUUCAUUUGUUACUAAAUUUGCCUAUGAGAAAUGAGAACAGAUAAUAAUAAACUCAUGAAUAAAAGUGCAAAGCAUUUGAAAUGAAGGUUGAUCUAUGACGAUUGUGGGUGACUGAAGAAAAAGGUAGAAAGAAAGAAGGAUGUGGCAAUUGCUUAGCAAGCAGAUAGCAGAGUACAUGCUUUGCUUUGCUUCCUUCCACUAUAUUUCUUAUUUAUUUAUUUUGGGUUGUGUAUGAGAUGACAAUAAUUGUCAUGUGUGUGAAGUGCAGAACUUGCCUACAUUGCACUCACACGAGUAUGGAUGCAUAAAUAAAACACGUGAAAUUGUUUGUAAUUCACAUAAUCAUUGCAUUAACAGGUAUUUGCACAAAAAUUGUCAUAUUGCUUUGAUGAUGUUAAAGGCUGUGAUGAGUAAUCCCUAUGCUCAUGUACUUUGUAAAAGUUGUAAUGUGCCUGGUUGACUAGUUGUGAUUGUGCAAAUACGUGGUAGUAUAUAUGUUCACGUUAUUUCACAUUGUAUUUGAGGAAAUGGGAUCCAACGUGGAGCUGGUAUGGCCAGAGGCAGAGGUAUAUUCGUCACGGGUGAACAACUGCUCACAUGCAAAUUCAUCUCUAGCUGCAAUUCGAGCGAAGUUGAGUGCGGAACAAUUAGAACAAUUCAAGACAUCAUGCUUUGGCCAUCUUCUGAAUAUAGAUAAGAUUCAGUUUAGCGGGCAGAUUGUGCAUGGGGUUGUGUUGCGUAGAGUAGCGGGGCAGGGUGUGAAAGACUUGGAUGGACUGAGUUUCUUAUUAGGGUGUGACGUUGCUCAGUUCACUCGUCAGGAUUUCUGUUUGAUCACAGGGCUUCGUUUUGGGGAAGUGCCUGAAGUUUCCAGUGGAGAGAGUGAUGAAAUCAGACUUCAGAAAAGAUAUUUUAUAGACGAAGGAAUUACAUGCAAUGCUUUAGAAGAAGCAUUUGUGAGGUGCACAGAGGAAGAUGACAUCUACAAGCAAGCUCUUGUUUACUUUGCUGAGUUAGUGGUUUUGGGAAGGGACAAACAUUUGAACAUCAAUCUAAAUUACCUGACCCUUGUAGAGGACUUGGAUGCGUUCAACAGGUAUCCGUGGGGUUCGGUGUCCUUUGACAAAACCCAAGACAGUCUAUUUUCUGCACCAACAAAGUAUGUGAAAAGCUUGGAAAAUGAAGAGGGAAGAGGGAAGGGGAAAAGUAAGGUAACGGGAACAAGCCGGAGAAAUGAGAAGGGCAAGAAGGAUAAGCAUGGUGAAGCGCAAAUGAGUGGCUGGAGUUUUAAAGGUUUCACGUAUGCUUUCCAGGUACAUGGUAAUAAUGUUCAUGUCAGUUAUGUUUUGUUUUUCUUUAAAACAUAAAUAAUGACUUUUGUCCUGUGAAUUGUGUAGAUUUGGGUAUAUGAAUUAAUUCCUAGAAUGGCGGACCUGAAUUACUGCAAGGUUGUUGAUCCGACCGUUGUCCCGCGUAUUUUGCGAUGGAGAACUACUACGUCUGUUCCAGAGAUGAGAAAGUUGAACAAUUAUUUUUUCCAGAGCAAAGAGGUUUGGUUUGCAGCCCUUGGAACUAUUGAUAAGAUUGAAUGAAAUUAUGAAGUAGAAUGAUUUGAUAUGACUCUUGUCUGUAUUCUGAAACAGUCAGUUCAGUUGCGGGCGCUAUGUCCGAGUGAAGAGGAAAUGAGACAGCCAUAUUGGAGUUGGCCACAGGAUCGCCCUGCUGUUGUCUCAGCAGAGUCAAUUCCUUCUUCAUGUGGUGAUCUUGAUGAGUUGAACAAGGUGGUAAGUUGGUUGAGGUCCGAGUUGUUUCAAGUAAAGCGGGAAAAAGACGUCCUUCACUUAAAGGUCAUACGGAUGGAAAAACUGUUGGACCAAUGUUUAGGUCCUCAGUUUGAGCAGGAAGUAAGGAGGGACCUAGCUUUACUGAAACAGAGGACGAAUCGUUGUGUCAUCUCACAUCUAUUUAAGGGAUAUGGGGAAAUGGAUGACAUUCAAUGGGAUGAAGGGCCAAGUAACAGAAAUGAGGGAGAGGAAAAGGAAGAUGAAGGGAUUGAAGGGGGUGAAGGGCCAAAUAAUAGAAAUGAGGGAGCACAUAAGGAAAAGGAGGGGAUUGACGGAGAGGAAAAGGAAGAGGAGGGGAUUGAAGGGGGUGAAGUGCAAGGAAAACCAAGUGAGGUAGAGGAAGGGCAAAGGAAAAGAAGUGAAGGAGAGCAAGUGCAAGUAAAAAGUAGCAAAGGAGAGGAAGCCCAGAGACAGAGCAGUGAGGGAGAGGAAGUGAAAAGAAAAAGCAGUAAGGGAGAGAAACUGCAAAGGAAAAAAAGGGAGGGCAAGGAAGUGAAAACACAAACAAGUGAGGAAAAGGAAGUGCAAAGAAACCAAUGUGAGAAAGAAGAUAAUGAAGUUAUGUUGCUUGGGGGUGACAUUGGCGAGAGCACGGAGGGGACACUGCUUGAGUUUACUGUCGGGGACAUUGAUUUGGAUGAACCUACAGCUGUGCUAUCUCAGUUGAACGUGUGGUUGAAUGAUAAAGGUAAAGCUCUGGCACAAGGGGUCCAAUUACGGAAAAGGAAGAGGAUCAUUCCUUUGUGGAAGAUCAUUGAAGGCAGUGAAUUGGUUCCAAAAAUUGGGGCACAGACAACCGGACUGAAGAUGUUAGACCCAAUGAAGGCGAUUUCGCAUGAUGAUCUGGUGAAAUUGCUGAAACUUUGUUGGGAAUGGCGCCAGGACCCAAAGUAAGUCCCUUGCAAUUAUAAGAUACAAGCAUGACUGUAUAUAAUUUUUUAUAUACAGUGUUCUAAAACUGUUUUAUAUUCAUAGUUUGGUGAUGCAAUUUGGCAACGUGGAAGCUGAGAUUGAAUUCUUCGCUUCCCUCGUGAAAGCUGAUGGUUGGCUGAAAGGAGAUGUAAGUGUAAUUGAUUAUGCAUUUGUUUUAAUGUACAUACAUUAUGAGAUUGACAAGAAAAACAUGUUGCAGCACAUUGAUUUGGGGUUGUAUCUCAUCCGGAAGCGACAACAACAGUUGGAGACAGAUUCGGUAGAAGUAGCGGACUGGACAACGACCGAUGUUUUUUUUAUGGUAUGUCAUCGGCCUUGACCAAGUGCCGUUAAUAAUUACACAUUUUCCAUACACACACUAGUGGAGGUGUUUAACCAUUGAUUGUUUUGUAUUUCACAGAAUCACAUUCGUACUUGCUUUGCGGAUAAUAAAAGAAAAAAACAGCAGCUUGGGUGGAAAAUCAGGAAAAGUUUACUAACCGUUGUAAAUGGGAAGGUUCCUCCGUGUGGGUUGGAUUGGCAGACCGUCUAUAAGGUGUAUACCCCAUUUAUGUUGACGAAGUACAAGCAUUGGGUGGCUGUAAUGAUUGAUCUGGUAUUGUGUGAAAUCAAAGUGUACGAUUCAAAGGUUUCACUAAUUCCAGAUGACAUCGUAAAGGAAGAACUCGGCCCGCUAUCAAUUACGCUUCCAAAUCUUCUCAACACCAUCGACUUUUAUGAAAAAGGUGUUUAUGCAAACAAUUGCAGCCAAGAUUAGUGGUGUCCGUGGCCAAUAGAGCGUGUGGAUGUUCCACAACAGUCUAAUGAGUAAGCACAACUUGCAAUUUAAUUUUAUUACUUUCAAUUGUCAAUUACGUUAGAAUGUCAUUAGUUGAAUUGAUCGAGUUCUUGUUUUGCUUCAGAGGCGAUUGUGGCAUGUUUGUGUUAAAGUACAUUGAGCUUUUCAGCGCUGAGCUUCCGUUAGCUACUUGCACCUCGCACAACAUGCCUUUUUUUCGGUUGAAAUUGGCUGCGGAGAUAACAAGGGGAGAUGCUUACUUCCCAUGAUAUUGGUUGAAGAUGACAAAUGGUACAUGAGAAGGUUUUGGGAAUGUCCAUUCUCAAACUAAUGUAAAUACACAAUAGAGAAGUACGGGUCCUUAUCGAAUUCUACCGCUAACUCCUUCAUGACAUUUACAUGUUUGUUAACCAAACUGCAUUGAAUUGGAAUUUUAAGACUGCAUAUGUGAAUUGGGAUUUGAAGAUGGCUUUUUAAGUGUAUUACAUCAUUGCAAAGUGAUAUGUCAUUGUUGAUGCAAGCCACCAUUAAUCGCAAUGUGUUGCAUCAUAAUAGGUGUCUAAACAUGCGAAAGGUUUUCCGCAGCUCAGUAGCAUAAAAGUAGAAACAAAGACAAUAUACACAAAAUGAACAACAAUUCACAAAUGCACCGACAAGCAAUACACACACAACAGACAAACAAUAUACACAAACUUGGCCUGCCAUAUACAGAGAAUAGACAUGCAAUAUACACACAGUAGACAUGCAAUAUACACACAAUAGACAUGCAAUAUACACACAAUACUCCCUUAACACACACAAUAGACAUGCCCUUGCCCACAAUAAUGAUGCAAUAUACUUCAGUCCCCAAGUACACCAACCAUAGGGAAGUCGUAUUGAAUAGGAUAUUAAACUUAACAGUUGUUCUUCCUACUAAAAGAAAGAAUAAGGUUCGUUUCCCCCCUUCAUUCUUACUUGAGUGAUACUUGUGGCCCCAAUAAACAUCCAAUUUUGGGGCAAUGAUAUUCCAUAUACAUGCAGCAAACUAUCAAUAAACCUUCAAUAAACCUUCAAUAAACAUUCAAUAUCGUUUCUAUAACAUGCGAAAUACAUGCAGUUACCAAAUAUUACAAAAUGGGUUUAGGGUCUCAUUGGUGGUGCGUGCAACAUGUCUUGUGCGGGAGAACUUUCACAAUCUUUUAAACCGUGCAGUUAAAUGAUCAUUAAAAGAACAAAUAAAAUGACAAUUGAUACAACUAAUAAAACUAAUACCAAGUCCUUAAUGGACUUCAGCAUGUUCAGCACUCUAGCAUCAUACGUGUCAUCUUGAUGUUCUGCUUCAGCGGAGGUUACAUCAACCCAUUCGAAUCCAUUGCAACUGGUGGCUCCCUAAUUGCAGGCAUCAUAUAUGGAAUAUAAUUCUGUCAGAGUUAGACAUAGGUUUUUUUUCACCCACAUACAUAUUCUUUAAAUUAAAACUUACAUAGGAGGUUAGACACUUCCAGAAUGGCUUCCCUCGAUUUUUGUCAGAUUUUGAAACCCGAAGCACCAUUGUAGCUCCACAAUACUGACACCUCUUUGUUUGAGCGGGAGAUGAAGAUGAAGACAUGUUUAAUCUUCUCAGUUGUACCUCUUCUCACUCAGAUCUUCUCACUGAAACCUCUUCGGACUCAUACCUUCUCACUCAUAGUUGUCAUUCAUACCACUUCACUCAUAACCCUAAACUUGUCACUCAGCUCUCUCUCAUCUCUGCCCAAAUCGAGUUAUAUUUCUUUUUUUUGGGAUCAUUUGGUGGGUUGGUCACGAUGUCGACACCUGUACCGUCAGCAUUGUGACAUCUUUUAGCCCGAAAAGCAAUAUAAACUACUUCACUACCAAAUAUAUUUUCUGAAUAAUGACGGGACACUGCUUCAAUUUUAUUAAUUUAUUUAUAUUUCAUUAAGGCAACUAGUUGGAUAAGAAUCCGUCAUUAUUGGUUCCAUUUUAAUAACAUUACUAGGGGUAAUUGGGUGUGGGAAAAUGAAAAAGUAUAUGAUGGGACCUUCUGUCACUAGUCAGUAAUCCAUCACAUUUGUAUCAAUGAAUUUGAUAGUGGGAUAAACCCAAAAAUGGCUAUGCAAAUAGCCAUUUAAUUAACUUUUUGACUGUCUGACUCUGUAUGCACCGUUAUGACGUUUUCCCUUCUUUUGUCUUAAGUUUUAAUUCACUGGGGUUCAGUUUCUUUCAAAAGGGUCAACUUGGAAAAACCCCAACUGGAAACACCUUUUCAAAACACUAUAAACAGAGGCUAAAACAAAACGUGUACCCCAAAUAUUAUCAUUUAUCCCCUCUGCCACUCCUCAAAUCGUUCCAUUCCAAAAACUUUUCAAUGAAUUCGAAACACUUCACUACAGUCGGAGGAAAGAGAAGGAAGCAUGUCCAUUUCGAUAUGCCCGAAGCCUUCAUCCCGGAGUCCGCUUGGUUUCAAGUCAUGUUAUACGUGGCAACCGAAUCAUCGGAAGAUCUCUUCCGUAUGGCAUCUGUGUGACGAUUGUUCCGAACUUUGGCAAACAGUUCACAAGUGUGGAACACCAUUUCAAUGGCAAAGUACCCAGACCAUCCUAUAUGGUACCGUGCCAGACCUGCGGUCCAGCAUUUCUUGCAACAAUGCAGGGCUUGCGAUAACCCUGAGUCCAUAUUUAGAGAAGCAUUCGAAGGUUUUUUCAGGCACGGUAAGGUGGAAGCGUUGUAUGGGAUGCGCAUUGCAGCCACGGCAGGCCAUAUGGAAGCGGCAUAUGUAGUUGGACUACUUGGUAUGUCCGGAAUUGGUCAGUCAAAAGAGGAUGCAUUACAAUUCUUGUGUUCUUUGAAUCAACGUAACAACAUUGAUAUGAAAGGAACCAGGGAUGCUUUGACAGGAAGAUUUCACGGAGCAUUUGUUGCAAGACAUAUCGUAGAUAUGUUUGACUAUGGGAAGAUUAAGUUCAAUCGGUGCAGCGCUUGUAACAACAAUGAAUGGUAUUUUGUUAUUCCAGGCUGGCCUAGUGAAGACAAGAUAAAUCCUGCGUUGUGGACUUGUUGCAAUCGAUGCAAAUGGCACCGUGAGAGUAUUUUUUGGUGCAAACUGAUGCGUGAGUAUGUUGUGCGAGGGAAUCACGUAUUUUUGCAUUAGUUUUAGUACGAAUUUACGGUUUUGAUGCAUUGUGGACUUGCUUCUCUUCACUUCUAGGUUGGCUGGCUACGUUAUACCUAUCUCAGUUUAAAUGUUGUUCAAAUGUUGGUAUUUUGUCAUAAACCGUUUUAUAUAUAAAUGUAUAAUAUUUAUUAUAUAGCGGAAUUAUUACUUACAUCAUAGACGGCUAGGAAUGACAUUUUACUGACACAGAUAUUUUGCUCACCGACCCCAAUCUUCAUAUUUGAUAAACGAAAAGUUAUGCAUGGAGUAAAUAGGUGUCUUUUCACCAGUGCUUGGGAAUGACAUUUUCCCACUUAGCAUAUCCGAAAGGAUUUGGUUACACGUUUCUUAACCUAGGGGGUUGAACAGUGAAUGACGUAGACUAUUUUUUGUGUGUGGAAGGAGUACAAUGGAUGACUUGUAUAUUUCCAUAUUAUGUUUCAAAACAUCCCUUCAACCUAAAAAAUAAAAAAAUUAACAAAUUGAAGAACAGAGAAACCGAUGAGCACUACAAAUGGCCUAUUCGCACGGAAAAUAAAAUUGUUUUCAACAAGUUGGACUAAAUAUAAUUAACAAAUGGACAGCCUAAAAAGUAAUAUCAUAAUAAUUAUAAUAAUUGUGGAUAAAUAAUAAUAAAAUACUAAUGUAACAUAACCAUUAAACAGGGAAUGCAGUAGGAAGAUGAAAUCGCAAUAAGUUCGUAGAAAUUUUGGGAUCGUUUUUCUAAUUUUUGUGUAUUUAGUUAUGAAUUUUCCAAGAAAAAAGGUAAUAAAAUAAUAAUUUAGGGUAAAAUGGGAGGAUGUGGCCAUGUUCGGUAACGUACACUUGUGCAAGUAGUCAAAAGUGACGGGCUGAGAUCGCGCCAGGUGUCAUAUUCUUGUUAAUUUUGGAUUCUUUUGUUAAAAAAUCUUUGAAACUAGGUAAUAAAUAGUAGGAAAAUCGUAAAAAUGGCCCAAAAAUUACUCCGGCCUCCUUUUGACGUCCUAAAACUAGGAGAACCUAUAAAUCAUUCGUCUCGCAAUGAAAUAAUCCAAAUUGUGUUACAUAACUCACUUUCCUCUUAACCCUAAGUAUUGAUGUUUGUUAACUUCAACUUGAAUAACCUACUUCAACAAGCAUCUCCCGUUAAUAUUGGGAAUUAAUUUUACAAAUGCGUAACAAUGAAUCGGAGAAUUCAGCAACGGAGAUGGAGUGUCAAUGAGUUCGUAGCAAUUUUCGGAUAAUUUUUUUAUUUUGUGUGUAAUUAGUUCUGAUUUUUGUAAGGAAAAGUAAUAAAAUAAUAAUUUAGGGUAAAAUGGGAGGGUGUGGCCAUGUUGACUGACGUACACUUGUGCAAGUAGUCAUCAGUGACGGGCUGAGAUCGCGCCAGGUGUCCUUUUGCUAUUAUUUUGGCUUUUUUAGUGCAACAAUCUGUGGACAUAGGUAAUAAAUUCUACGAAAAUCCAAAAAAUGCCCGGAAAAUGAGAAAAUGAAAAUUAUUUGUACAUAACUCACUUUCCUCUUAACCCAAAUUCACGUUAACACGUAUAUUUCGGAUAAUAUUCGAAAUAUAAUUUCUAAUAAUACAAUAUUUAGUUUCACUAUAUACAAUAAUAUGUUUUUUUUAUAAUAAUGUACAUAAAUAAUAAUUGCACAUGCUUUGAAGCCAUCAUUGCAACUACGCCUAGAGCUUUGAAGACGUCAGUUCGUAUUCAAUAAGUUGUCCACAUGCAACUGCACCUAGAGUUUUCAACACGUCAGAGGUAUUCAAUAAGUUGUCCACAUGCAACUGCACCUAGAGUUAUUAACACGUCACAGGUAUUCAAUAAGUUGUCCAUAUGACGCCGCAUUGGGAAUCAGUAAUAUAUUUUCAAUCAUGUCAAAUCACAUAAAUAAUGCCAUACUUUUUCUCAAUAACCUCACACAAGUGAAGCAAUUUUAAAACCCUUAGUGAAUAUUUAUCCUAGUCUAUAUGAGUGAUUAUAUAAUCAGUUGCAUAAUAUUUUUUUCACAGUAUAUGUUAACUUUGAGAGGGAUUCCACAAACAUAAAAUAUAAAGAAAGCAAGAAAUAGUAGGAAAUGAACCAGUACAAAAAACAAUAUAUAAAGUGUACAUAAUAAUUCCAUAACCUUGUCACAAACGCACUCACAAAAGCUUUUCCAUAAACCUUGUCCUAACAUAUAAUAAAUAAAGGCAACAUUGCAUAUGAUGCAACCAUGUCCAAAUCUGAUAAGUGAUCAAAAACAAAUGGACAUGGCAGCAACAUAUGAUUGAAGUAGAUGGGCUCUUUGCAUCUUCUGUUUUCGUAAUUAAAGACAUCAAAAUAUUAAGGUUUAAAUCUUCCAUAGUAGUUAGCAUCAAAAUAGCUUUGAAGCAGAGUGUAACGAAAAUUCCAAUUCCACUUAUUUGCCUCUGCUCAAACACGAGAACCAAAAUGGUUACUUCCCUUGCUGAGUAUAUUUGGUGACGUCGGAAACGGUAAUAGAUGACCAAUCAAACCCGGGUACGACGAGUUUUGCAUAGGAUCGGAAGUAGUCGAAUCCAGCUUGCAUCACACGCUUCUUUGACUCCACUACAUUAGAUGAGUUCUUGUAUUUUUGAACAGCUACACUCUGAAGUCGUUUGUGUCUACGCUUCAUGCGCUGCAACUUCGCCCUAUCCAGAUUGGCCUGCCUUUUGUCAUCUUCAAUUUGGCCUUCCACAAAUUCCAAACGUGCCCUUGCCCUUUGGAUUUCAUCACCAAGUUGAAGAUGCCUCUCCUUCCAAAAAGCAACAACUCUUUCAGACUCAAAACUUCCAACAAAAUGGUCAUUCUGUCUAGCAAUGUGACAUUGCUUGUCUGGUGACUCACUUGCGUGUCGAAGCCGGUCUUUGUUUGGAGGGGUGUUUAUUAUACUCACAUCAAACUUGGUUGUGCUUAUGCUCAUUCUUUGGGGGGAAUGAGUUUGUUUGCUUGAGAGAGUAUCGGUAGAUGGAGACAGAUUCGGUGGAGGAGUGAGUUUUGUGUGGAAGGAGAUUUUAUAUGAAAGGGGUGAUAGUAAUACCAAGAAAAGGGUUCCCGCCAAAAAAUAUUUGGUUGACAAAGUAGAAAUUAUUUUUUUAGUCUGAUACAAUCUAAGUUUAAUCCUAACUAGUUUGGUUGAGUUAACUAAGUAGAUGUCACUUCCAUUGACUUUCUUUCAACAACUAUCAGUGGUGUAAGGAGAGUGUGAGGUUGACAUGCUUGAAAAGCAAAAGCUGACACCUAUUUUUAAAAAAUUCCCGCCAAAAAGUACAUAUGUUGACUACACACAAGCUUUGGUAUGUUGGUCUAUAAACCUAUGUUCCCUUUCUCAAACGAAAUUGCAUAUGCAAUCCUCAUCCUCCCAAAACAAAGAGGAUUAUUCAAGCAUGUCAACCUCUUCAGGCGCCAACAACACAAUCGAACAUGACAAAUUGGAGUCACAGGUUCUAUUUCCACAUUGUACUCGCCGACCCCUUCCUUUUUCAACAUCAUUUGGGAGUGAGGGGGACUCCGAUGAUCCAUUAGAGGCAAUACAUGCAGUCAGUGGCAAGCUGGAUUAUAAUUCCAGACUGAUCAAUUCAUGGCACGAGAAAUGUGUUGAAGACGAGGCAAUUUUGGCUGAUCUUAACAUUAGGGUGAGCAAAGCGUUAUCCCAAAAGAACAAGUACUUGAAGCUGAGUCAUAGCAGGAAGCUGAAAGCUGAGGAGUUGGAUACAGUAAUGAAUGAUGAAAUGAAAGGUUGUUUGAUGAACCAUAUGCGAUGCGAACAGCACCAUACUGAACUGGAGUUGGCAUUCAACGAAGGAUUCGACAAAUUCCGAGCAUUUGCGGCAACUACUCAUACAAGUUAUGAUUGGAACUAUGUGUCCCCUGAUGCUGUGAGAGAGAUACUAGACGAUGGGGGUGACAUGAAUGAGCAUAAGCACGUCAAAGCUGCUCGGAAGAAGCCGACCGAUACGACUAAGUGAUUGCGGCUACCGCUGUUCAGUUAGUUGAGGGUGACCGUGGUAUUGCACAUAUACUCCCUUAAUGUCAUUAUCUAACUUAAAAUAACACAAAUAUCAGUUUCAUUUGCUUGAUAUAUAAUUAUUGGGACUAUGUAUUGCAAGUCAUCAUGUGUUAUAAUGUCUAACAUUAUAUUUUGCAAAUAUGGAAAUAUUAUUCAAGAAGCAGUCAAUAUCACAGAAAGCCGGGAAUCAGUAAAUGCUCCUUAUCAUGUCCAUUUACAUUAAAGAGCUGGAGUACUAAUGUGUUCAAAAAAAACUGACACGUGAGUCAUAAGUAACAUAACAUGUGCUAUACAUUGUUUACUGAAUGGUUUAUGGUUUAUUUGUAUAUAAUAAAAUUUCAAAUAUUGCUGAAGAUUUAUUUCGUGUAUAUCACUAGGGAUAUGAGUGGCCAUAAGCAUGUGAGACCUGCUAAGAAGAAGCUGACGAGUACGACCCAGUGAUUGGCUACCGUUGUUCAGUUGGUUGGGGAGAUCGUGGUAUUGCUAUGAGGAAGCACACAAUAUGUUUUGCAAUCAAAUGUUCUUUUGUGUGUGGAAUUAUGAGUAUUUAUGUAAGUUAGUGUACCCUUUAAUAUUUUUCACCUAAGUAUCGAAAUGCAGUUUUUGAAUGUUAUGUUUUUUUUUACCCGCUGCUUUCUAUUUGCUCUGUUCCAACAAAGUGCUUCAAGUAUCCUUCACUUACAAAAGUGUACAAAAUCGUGCCCCUAAUAACCAGUCGGAAAAAGUGGCUACUGCUGGAAAUGAUUACUGGUAAUGGAAACAACAGCUGGCUGCUGUAAUUGCUGCAUUACCGUGAGGAUUUGAAAAAUGAAUCUCUGUUAAAACAAAUUUCACCCUAAACUGCCCAUUUUACAUGGUAAAAGUCAUUGCUUCUUCAAAUCUUUUGCAGCUACACGAUGCGUGGUCAGAAUCUUUGACAUAUACGACUUCUGCCACUCUUGUUUCCCAAUUUUUUCUUUCGCUCACGUUGAACACAACUUUACAAGCAUCCUCUGUUUUGAGCUCUAGGAAACAUGCUGUACUUUGUAUUAGUUCUUGCUCAAACUUUUGAAACAUUGUCCUUGUGUACAAGGUAGCCAUUUGUUUGUUCAUUGGCAUCGGUAGAAGACAUUGAGCCACUUCAAAUGCAUCUGCGUGAUCAGCAACUAACUCUUUUUCACGUUGAUGAGAAAGUGCCCUCUCAAAUCGUAUUAUGAAAUCCAUCAACGAAUUUCUCCUUGAUAUGUAUUGCUUGAAAAAACCAUGAGAACCUUCCGCUCUUUGGCUGCUUGACAUUCCAGCGGCAAAAAAUUGUCGUGCGUAGGCUGGAACCCAAGAUUCCCUUAAAUCAAACAUUGAACUUAGCCAUGGAUGGUCAGUCAAACCAGCCUUUGUAACCACAAUAUUCCAUUUUGCAUCAAACUCAUCCUUAUUGUCAGUAUCCCAUAUGGCUUUCUGAAAUUCAGGCCAAUACUCCUUAUAAGCGUCACGUGGUAACUUAACAGAGAACUUUGAUGUGAUGUGCUAUAUGCAAAGUCGAUGAAAUGUACUCGGGAAGGCUAUUGAAAUCGCUAUGGCCAUUGCCGCAUCUUGAUCUGUAAUGAUCGUUUUAGGUUCCCCACCUGGCAUGGCUUUCUUAAACUCCUCAAACAUCCAAACAAACGACUCAGUCGUUUCCUUGCUCAAAAAUGUGCAUGCUAACACAAUUGUCUGACCAUGGUUAUUAACUCCCAACAUUGGUGCAAAUGUCAAGUCGUAUCGAUUCGUGUUGAAUGUGGUAUCAAAUACAACAACAUCUCCAUAAAACCCAUACGCCCGUCUAGAAGUUGCAUCUGCCCAAAAACAUCGACUAAACCUAUCAUGCCCAUCUCCCUCAAUCUUGAAAUAAAAAGCCUCAUUUUUUUUCUGUUCAGCCAUAAAAUACUCGGUCACUAGUUCAACAUCGUGGUUCCUCAGCUUCCCAAUCACACUACAUUCAAGAUUGUAGAUAUCUUUUUUGAUAAAACCGAUUUUAUCCAUUCCUCCGGAUUGCACCUCGAAAAUACUUACCUUCUGAUGAAUGGGAAUAUUAACUGAACCCAACUGUUUUGUGAGUACUUUUGUAGAAUCUGAAAUAUGACGGUGUGAUCUCAAUAAAUGCAUUCUUUCUAAGGGUGUCAUCUUAUGAUUGUGUCCCUCUGCAAAAAGAGAAAUGUUAUACUUGUUGCUCCCAUUUGUCUUCACAACCACAAUCUUUGCUUUGCAAUUGCAUCUACUUAUUCCCCGUUGUCUUUUUCUCUCCCGAGUUUCAUCCUUCCUGUAUGCACCUUGUUUGCAACAUACAAAUUCUUUCCUCAAAAUCUCUUUCUUAUUUUUCCCCCAAAAGCUAGAAUGAAGUCGAAUACCAAAGCCAGCCAAGAAUGCAUAUCUAUUAUAGAAAUUGUAAACGAGGUCAAGCGAGUCAAACUUCAUCCCAACUGCUGGUGUUUCCUCAUUUCUUACUUCAGGAAUAUAAACCCUCCCAUUAGCUGUUGCACAUUCAUCACUCUCUGAGCCCCCAGACAUUUUAUCUACGUAUAUUAUUGAUCCACUUCUAUAUUACUGCAUAGCAAUUAUUCAUUCAUUAAUCAGUCAUUACUGCAUCACAACAUAUCAAUGCAUUCCACUUACACAAAACAUUGCCCAAAUUGACACAAAAUACGCAUAGCCUAACUUCCGAUUACACAAAACACAAGCAAAAUUUCAUAAAAGUUACGUCAUCUCUUGUGAAAUAAUCUGGUCAAAAUAACAUUAGAACCAACAUGUUCAACUAAGAACACAAAUGUAAUUCAAACCACCAAUUACAGAACUUCACCCAAUAUCCUCUCCAACUGCUUACUCCUAAUGUCAUUAAGCCUAAGUUUAGGUUCUUUUACCUACAUUUCAUAAUUUUUCACCCCGACCAACAACAAUGAACUAAGUAUAUUGAAUAUUCACAAGGAAAUGACACAUUAUUGAUGCCACAAAUGACGAAUUUCCCACCCUCACAAAAAAUAAACCUAACCCAAUAAAAUCAAUCCAGCAAGUGAACUUACCUCUCAAAAUCAAUCGAGAGCUCUGAAGUCAGUCAGCUUGAAAGAAUGUGGUGGACAUUAGAGAAGACUCUUUGGUAUUUGAGACUCCAUCUCUAUCAAAAUCGAGGAACAACUGCUGCUGCGGCUUCUAGCUACAAAAACAGAUAUGCUACUUUGCUUUCAUCUAGAAUCUUGUCAGCUGAAUGAAAAAGAGAAGGGGUUUUCACUUGAGCCAUAGAAUCAAAACAGGGCAACAGCUAGGUAAGAGCCAUUCUUCGUAAUACCCAGGAUACCAUAGAUCGCAGGCCUCCCAACGAGCUAAUGACAGUGGAGUGACUAUAAGGUUUGGGAGAUUUGGAUCCUUCUAAUUGUGGGUUUGCUUUACAUUCAAAAAGAAAGGAUUGUGUUCUUCAGUUUUUCACAGAGAGGGAAAGAGGGGAACAACUGAAGUUGGGUUUCUAACGGGUUAGAUUUCAACCCGAUUCUACAUGCACCCUCUUUUAAAAACUCACCGUUGGAUGAAAUCCAACGGCUCUUACAUACCCCUCAAAAACACCCCUUAUAACUUCCCACUCACUAUAGAAGCUCCCCCAACUAAAUCCCAAAAGGGAAACAGAUUUGAACAACAUACAAAUUUGAAGGACACACAAAUAUGAAUCUCAGCACCGGUGAGAAAUUAAUUUUAGUUGAGGUUGGUAGGUAGGCAUUGGAAGUUUUUAUUGUUUUUGCUCCAAGUCCCUCCUCCACUCACUAAUACAGAUUACUCGCAAAUGAACUAAAGUCUGCAGGGAUAUAUGGACUCCCCUGUCCAUACGAAUGUUGGAAGAAAUGUGUGUUAAAUUUUAGAGAGACGGGUCUGUGACCCACCACUAGCAACGUUGAUAUUGUCUCCAACUUAACUACAUGUUUAGUAGAUGUGGGGUUUUAUACAAAAAGUAUUGAUGUUAUUGGGAAUGGAACCACUUAUUAUAAGUUAAAAUUUAUUUAGUCAAGUUUCCUAUGUGGGACUUUCUAUUCUUCAACAAGCCCCUUCAUGUGGGACCACCACAUAGUGGGCCACACGUAGAGCCAAGUCCACAUCGGAGUCAAUCAUUCAAGCCCAAUACCUAAACACCACGUAUUGUGUGAGGGGUAGGGGUAAACAUUCAAGCCCAACAUAUGAACACUGUAACAUCCCAACUCCAAAUUUAAUCCCUUAUUUAAAUUAUUUAAGUGAAAUUACAAAUUUACCCUUGGGGUAGGGAUAUUUUGGUCAUUUUCUUACCCGAAAAGAGUUUGGGGCAGUGACUAGUAUUUUUUGGUAGAUCGUACUGAGAUGAGUCUGUAGACAUGUAGUGGGCUCGAUUCGGAGUUGAAACGAAGAAGUUACGAGCAAAACAUCACCAAUGGCAAAACCGUAAAUAUUUCAAAAUGAAUUUUUAAUAAAAAAAACCUGAAAAACCCUCUCUCUCUCUCUCUCUCUCUCUCUCUCUCUCUCUCUCUCCUGCGCACAGCCCCUUUCCCCCCUUCGUUUUUUCUUUCCGUGGCUUCCAAGAGCCACCAUCGCCACCACGAAUCACCACCGGCCAUGAGGCCGGACUCGUUCGAACUGCCGCCGCAUCCUCUUCCUGUUCCGGUCGCUCCCAGUCGCUGCCAUCCGCUGUGCUGGCCGGAAAUCGAAGAAAACCAGCCGAUUUUUGUCAAACUUUCGGCCGCUCGUUCUCCCACUUCCGGCCACCAUUUUGGCCAUCCAGGUAUAGAUUUUGAACCUCUCGAGCUGUUCUUGCUGCCUGUUGUGUUAGAUUUGGGAGAUUUCCGCGUUUUGAAGGUCGAUUAAACGAUGGAAGUUUGGCUGGUUUUUGGCCUCCGAUUCCGGCCACUUUCGGUCACUUUUUGGGGUAGGUCCAAGAACAAAAGUGGUUCCAAAUAGGGUGUUAUACCUAGGGUAGGAGUCUUGAGCCGUGGUUUUGAGAUUUCUCGGUGAUGCGUAAUCGCUUUGGACACCCAUACGCUACCGGCGCGUGUGGUGGCGCGUGGGCACUGUAGAAAUGGGGUAUUGUGUCCCGAUGCGAUCCCCUUGUUGUCACGAGUGUGUAGUGUGCUCGGAUUCCAAUUUGGUUGACAUUCGAACCCCGAACGAAUUUCUCCUAUUGCACGUUAUCCGCGUUUGAUAGGUUUGAACCGUUGGAUAGUCUUGAAUUUAAUAUAUUUAAUCUAAGCAUUUCUAGGAUCGUGUAGGAAUUCACGGAUCAUGAAUCGGAACCCCGGAUGUUCCGAUUUAAUAAUUUAAAGUUUAUGUUUAUAUUAACUGUCAGAUCGUGCAAUCGUGAGCGAUCCGACCUUCCGAUCCGGACCAAACGUGCAGGACGUAUAUCCUAAACCUUGUGGAACCUAUAGGAACUUUCGAAUCAGAAUUUAGAGGUCGUGGGCCUAGUGGCCCCGUUUGACCAAGUGUGGAUAGUUUGACCCUUGGUUGACCUUGAGUCUUCCAAGGUAGUUUUCCUUCCUAGAAGGAUUAUAAUGACCCUAAUGACAGGUCUUGAGCGUUGUUGAGCCAUGUUGACUAGGUUAAGAUUUUUAGAGUGUUUAUUAUUGUCGUAGGAAACUCUUGGACAUUAUUUUAAUAAUUGGAAUUAUAAAAGUGAGUUUUGGGUUCGGCUAUGACUUUAGUGAAUGGACUUUAUUUUUAAAUGAAUAGCAUGGCUUUGUGAUGGAAUUUUUAGGCAUGUGAAUUUAAUGGUUUAUUGAAAUUCAUUUUUAUAAUUAAUAGUUAAUUUAGCAGUUUUGGUAAAGUAUUAGUGAUGUGUGGGGUACUUGGGAUUUUGUUGAGGUUUAUACAAUAUUAGAGAUUAACUUAUAUAUUUAAAUAUAGGUAUGAAUGUAUGAAAAGAGUUUAGAAUGUCAGUUUGAAGUACUAUACGCACUACCCUAGGUACCUCAUCGGAUUUUGAUUACACUAUAAGUACCACCCUGUGAUUGUCAGGUCACCCAUGGCGUAGGAUUUUCCGGCGGAAUGACAGACCCCAUACGUGACGUUGGAAUUUCCGGCGUAUGGGGAGAUGAUAUUAUGAUUGUUAAGUCACACGUGGCAUAGGUUAUCCGGAGUGCUGACAGACCCCAUAUGUGGCGUUGGAAUUUCCGGCAUAUGAGGAGAUUAUGUGAUUGUUAAGUCCCACGUGGCGUAGGUUAUCCGGCGGGAUGAUAGACCCCAUACGUGGGGUUGGAAUUUUCGGUGUAUGGGGAGAUGAUAUAAUGGUUAGGUCACAUGUGGCGUAGGAUUUUCCGGCUUGAUGACAGACCCCAUACGUGGCAUUGGAAUUUCUGGCAUAUGGGAGAUUAUGUGGUUAUUAGAGAGAUGAAUUAAGAUUAUUAUACUGAGUUGGGAACGAAUGAUGUUUGAAAAAGAUUUUGUUUGGGAUUUCUGCAAUUGAUUGCAUGUUGAUGGACUUGGAAAUUUUGUAUGAAAGAACUACGUGUGGCUUGAUCCCUUAGUAAGGGUACAUAUGCAGCUUAGGGUAGUGCCUAGGUGCAGCCGUGUGCUAAACUUUACUCAUGUUGUGUGAUGGAGAUUCGUUCGGACCUUGUUGUUAGUCCUGAAUUUUAGGUGAAAAUGAGAUGCAGUCUUGUUAGGAGGUUUAAAUUUUCUACGUUUAAUAUUUGGGAAUUUAGAUGAUGGAAAUCGCAUUUGGCGUUCAUAAAUGUGUUUGAGUUUAUAUUUGCAUUGUUUAGAGUUAGUUGGUGGUUUCGUUUCGAAUUAUUUGAAGGCCGAAGGCUGAUUAUGUGAUUUAUAUGAAAUUAUCUUGUGCAUACUGCCAGUUGUGAAUAUCAAAUGUGUUUUAUGCACGUUGAAAUUUUUAGGAUUGUUCAACUUACAGGGGAGACUGCCGAAAUUUCGGCAUAAAAUCUCGUGCCCUUAUUCCUUAUUGGGAAAAAUGAUUUAGUUUUAGAAGUGGGUUCGACAUCGGGGUGAUGUCGGGAAUUUUCACAGGAUUCAUCUCGGGUUUCGGGAAAUUCGGGUCGGGUCCUGUCAAACACCACGUAUUAGGUAAGGGUAAAGGCUCAAUUCAGGCCCAGUCAAUCAACCCAUUAUGAUAUCAUGUUAAAUUUCAGAUAGACGGGCCUGUGGCCCACCACUAGUAACAUUGAUAUUGUCCCCAACUUAACUACAUGUUUAGUAGGUGUGGAGUUCUAUACAAAAGAUCUCGAUGUUUUUAGGAGUGAAACCACUUAUUAUAAGUUGUAAUUUAUUUAGUCAAGUUUCCAGUCAACCUGACUUUGAUACCAUGUUAAGAUUUUAAAGGGACGAACUCUUGGCCCACCAUUAGCAAUAUCGACAUUGUCCCCAACUUAACCACCUGUUUAACAAGUGUGGGGUUUUAUCCUAAAGAACUCGAUCUUAUUAAGAGUGGAGCCAUUUAUUAUAUGAAACUUUCUAUUUUGUUAACUCUGUGUAUUCUUCAUCAAUGUGAACACCCCUAAACCAAUCAUACCUGAUACGGAUUGAAACACAAGUUUGUUUUUUGCCUUUGGUAGAUGAGUAGCUAGAAAAGCUCAAUGCACUUGCUCUUCUUCUGCUACAUUUCAAUAUAAGAACAAGGUUUGGAAGCCAGGUCAACUCCUCAUAGUUUCCUUGCCUUUGCUUUGACAUGUCUAUGCACUUCUUGGGGAAGUUUGAAUAAUCAAUUGCAGGCCCCACGACAACUAAGGAACCAACAUUUUGUAGAAGGUUUUGUCUACACCUUUUGACUAUAAGUAAAAUCUUUUGUAUCUGCUCUUAUGUUUCGGUGAAGUUUCUAUGUGUCCUUUGUUGAACGAAAAAAUGAGGUUGUUUCUUACUAGAUUCAAAUACUUAAAAGAAAAAAAGAAAUUAUUGUUUCUUAAUUGAUUUUAUGGUGAACAAUAUCAAACUCUCCUCUUAUACGUCUUCUUCGUUGGACUUGGGGUUGUUUUCCUUAUAUGUCCCUUAUAUAUAUAGGGCCUUUGGUUGAGCCCACAAAUACCUUCAGUUAGUUUUUGGGUUUAGGGGCCUACAGAACCUGCACUAAACAAUAAAAGAAAAUACCUAAUUAGUUUAGUACGAAUUCUAUAAUGAAGGCUUUAUUAGGUAAGAUUUUAUUUCUUAAUCGUUAGAUCAAAUUUGACAGGACCCGUUCCUGAAUUUCUCGGAAAUCAGAGCGAACCCCGUCCUUGUUUCGACAUCACCCCGAUGCAGGGUCCACUUACUAAAAACCGAGACUUUCUACCAAAAUUUUGAUAGAAUCUCCCUUGUAAAUUGAGCAAACCCAACAAAAAUUUCAGCCUGCAACAUACAUAAAAAUAAUCCCAACCAGCAGCAUGCUUACAACAUACAACAAAACGUACUAAAUGGCCUCCGGCCUCACAAGUAAAAUUUAACAUGGGUAAUCUACUGAUGUAAACGAUUCGGCCUUCGAACACUGCUUGCAACCUUCCUGAAGCGACUACUGGCUAAGGGGCGCAAAACAGAAAACAUGUGAGUGGACAAAAACAAGAUUCAAUUAAAACAACAUAGUAACCCCACCGUGUAAAAAUAAUGCUCAAGACAUGUAGGUUUACAAUUCAUAAUUAAAUAUUCAAAAACAAAUUUCAUUUAAAAUUCUUUAAAACCACAAAUCACUCCAUCCAUAAAACCUCAUGCCCACAAUUUUACUGCUCCUACCAACCCACUGUAUAGACUCUAAUUUCUUCACAAUCACAACUAUAUAUAAAUAUAUAAAUUGUAUCAUACAACAUACUCCUCACACUACUUAGGUACAGGGGAAACAAUCCAACCGGAGGAUCGUUUAACUAGCCCGCAGGAUUUUCAGGUGCUAUCCUGAGUCUAGGAAUGAGUGGUCCAACCAGGGGACGAAACUCUAUAGCUCACACACCGGAACAUCCAACGCCACGUGUAGCUCCAAUACUAAGUCCUACAGGCACAGACUGGAUCACCACACACCGGAACAUCCAAUGCCAUAUGUGAUAAUCCCAAGCAAUAUACAGAGUCUUCCCAUACGUCGGAACAUCCAACGCCGCGUAUGGAAAGUGUUCACACGCCGGAACAUCCAACGCCACGUGUGGGAAGCCUAUUAACUGGGGAAAGUACUUACAUAGUGUAAUCAUACAAUUUCUCUCAACAACUCCUCAUACUCAAGUUCUUCCACAAACUCACCUCAACAAUCCCAAGUACCCCACCUAUAGACAAUAUAUAUAUAACUUCCCCAAAAUCUAUACAAAACAUACUCUCGAUAUCCAAAUAUGCCAAACUCACAAUAUAUUGCCAAAGUGCAAUACAAACAUCAAAAUCAACACAUGAAUAUAAUAUAUAUUCAAUAUACCAUUUAAAACAUUAUGCGUAAAUCUUUCAUCAAUAAAACCAUGCGUAUGAUUGAAAACAAAGUCCACUCACAAGUAUUCCUACGCUGCUUGACCACGAGAGAGUCCUGCCUGCUGAGUACGUGCAGUAGGAGCACCUAUUUUGAGAUACAAACCUUUAAUUAAUAUAAAAUUACUUCAAAACGGAAAACACAAAUUAAAUACUUAAAUCCCCAAGUUCCCAGUACAUGUACGUUGAACGAGGUAUCCUAAGGUCUAGUUACAAGUUUGGGAAUCGCUCACGAUUGGACGGUUAUCGCUAACCCACAAAUUUUGAAUUAUUGAAUCGGAACAUUCGGGGCUCCGAUUCACGAUCCGUGAAGUCCUACGUGAUCCUAGGAAUACCUAAAACAACAUAUUUUAAUUGGAAAACGCACAAUAUGCGAAAAUCCGUUCGAUAGUCAAACGAUGUCCGAAUUGAGAUUCGCAAAAUGCUACGCACUCGUGACAACCUGAGGAUCUCAUCAGGACAAAGUGCAACUUCACCACCCUCACCCACGCGCCGGCAGCGCGUGGGUGUGUAGAGUAAAUUCCGGCGAUGGAAAAACUCCACACCUACUUGAGGUCAGGAUCUCAUCACUCAACUACAGGGAGGUUCAAUUAGGACGGCAACUGGCCGGAAUUUCACUUUGAAAUCCAGCCAAAACUUAGGUUUUCUAAUCGGUUCCUAGACAACAAAUCGAUCUAAACCUAUGCAACAGUCAGCUAGACUAAGGAAAAAGAGGAAGAAACCUCACAUUUUUCACUGGAAUCGGAAGGGAGAGGCGACGGGGCGACGUCGGGAAGACUCGGGUUUGAACCAGUCGAUGCCGUUGACGAUUCUCGCAUUUUUCGGGGGGACUUUGGGUGGUUCGGGUUAGUGGCUUCACGACGAGUCGAACGGGACCGGUCUCGGGGGCUGGGGUGGUCGGGUGUGGUGGCGGUGUGGUGGUUUUCGUCUCGGUGAACAGUAACAGGGGAGGGUUUCGCACGCGCAGAGAGGGACUCGGGAGAGAGAGAGAGAGAGAGAGAGAGAGAGAGAGAGAGAGGAGAGAAAAGAAAAAUUAGAUUUUUACUCUCCUCUUUUCAAAAUAUUUACAAGUUUGCCACUAAUGAUGUUUUGAUCGCCAUUUUCUUGUUACAACUCCGAUUCAAGCCUACCGCAUGUCUAGGAAUUCAUCUCAGUACCACCUACCCAAAAUUACCAGUCAUGGUCCCAAACUCUUCCCGUAACAGAAAAUGACUAAAAUACCCCUACCCCAAGGGUAAAUUCAUAAUUUCACUUAAAUAAAUUAAAAAUAGGAAUCAAAUUUGGAGUCGGGGUGUUACAAAAUUGGUUAGUACGAUCCAACGGUUAAUAGAUAAAACUUUACAUAAAAGUCAUAUAUAAGGCCCUCACUAUAGAAUGACUCGUUAGUUUAGUCUCUUGUUACAUAUCAACUGUUAGAGAUAUUUUUUUAAUAAGGAUCUACCAUACCACAUAGUUGGAUAAGACAUUAUACACAACUUUUGUAAGAGCAUCUCCAGCGAGCCAGGCCAGCCCAAGCAGCAAGGGGCCUUAAGCCCGGUAAGCAGCUCCAGCGCUCAAGAUUCAGCCCAGGCAAGGUGUGGAACCCACAAGGAGAUCUGGCCCGUCACCUUGCCUUUGGGUUUCAGUCAGGCUGAUGUCAACGAAAGAAUUUCAAAAAAAUUUUGCCGUUGCAAUGCACGCGCCAACGAUAAAUUUUCUUUGGAUUUCUUGCGUUGAUCCACAGCUACCAAAAACCAACGGCUACAAGCCACGUGGCUUCUCCAAGAGCCUCUGAUCCAAAAAUCUUGUCAAAUCUAACGGCUGUCCAUUUUUUGGCUAAAAAAAUAUCAAAAAAUUAUGGAAACAUUUUCUAUAAAUACCUACAAAUAUUAUUCACUUCCCACACCAAACCUUCAUACAAAUUCAUAUCCUUUCAAUAUUUUUCACUUUCCACACAAGAUUUUCUACUACUAAAUUUCAUUUGUGUAAAAAUACAAGUGGCCUCUUCUAUCAAAGCCGGAGGCGCGUGGACAACCGUGGAAGAUAUUUUGUUGUGUGAGUGUUGGGUCAAAGUUGGUCAUUGCCCGAUCACCGGCAAUGAGAUGAAGUCCUCUCGUAGGAGUUUCUGACAUCGCAGCGAAAGUAAGAUGUGAUAUGAGAAUGUAAGGAAUUUGAUGAGAGGAAUGGGAUUUGAGGAGUUUGAUGUAGGAAUUGAUGUUGAAUUGGAUUUGGGAGGUAUGUAUAUAUGAUUUGAGAGUAUGUGUUUAGGGAUUUUGAUAGGAGGAUUUGAGGAAUUUAGAUUUGAGGGAUUUGGAUUUGGGGAAUUUAAAUAUGAGGAAUUGAUUUAGGGUUUGGGUUUGAAUAUGAGAAAUUUGAUAUGAGAGUUUAGAGACAACUGAUGAUUGAUUGCUCUAAUACCAUGCUAAAAUAUAAAUAUGGUUUGAAUACUUUAGGUUGAGUUUUAUUCUUUUCCAUAAGGAGGUAUAUAUAGCAGUUUACAUGAGUGUUUUACAAGGAAAUAGAUACAGUAAUCAAUUAGGAUAAUAUCUCCUAAUUAUACAAUAAUUUGUCAACUAUAUAGAAUAGGAAAGUAAAUUCCUUAAUUAAUCAAGAAAAUAAAUCUCAUUGAUUAAUUAAGAGACUAACGUCAACAUUUAUAAGCCAUGGAAGAGCAGAAAAAGAGGUACUUAGGAGAUUUUAUACGUCGGACUAAGGUAAGCUUAAAGGACUAUAUCAAAAAAAUAAGGGACCAAGAAGCAAGACUGAGAAGUUGUUAUGCAAACCCAUUAAGUUUAGCAGUGAUGAAUUUGUAAAAAUCAUUCUAGUGGAUGCUGCCUUCACUAUUGAGUUCUUAUUGAGGUUCUAUCUGAAAGGAUGUAGACAUGAAGGAGACCGCUUAUUAAACAAAUCAGCUCCCAUUCUUUAUUCUUGAGGAUCUUUAUCACACAUACAUAAUAACCGACUCUUUUAGGAAUUAUUACAGUACUCAUGAUCAUGAGAGGCUUUCAAUAAUUAAUAUUUCUAAGAAUUUCGUCACAGCUGGAAUAUUGAAUUUGGAGGGGAAGGGAGACAAAUGGAACAGAAUAUCAUCUUCUUCUAGUGUUGGAAAUUUUAUAUUAUUUAAUAAUAUUUAAUUUCUAUUGUGAAUGAAAAAUAAGUUUCUUUAAGAAACGUGUGUCUUAGGCCAGUUUUUCUAACUGGUCGGCUUCCUUAGAUUUGUGCCUAUUGCUUUUCAAAGUAUAAUGAUGCAAUGGUUGUAUCUCGUUCAGGCAAAUGGAAGGUAUAUAGCAAUUUAUAGAACAAUACAGUAAUCCAGAAGAAAUAUUAUGAAAUGAAAAGAAUAAAAAGUAAAAAAAGAGAAGGAAAGGAAUUCCCACCUGCAAUGUAUAUGUAUGAAAGGAAGGACCAAGUUUGUUUUAAAAUGGUAAGAACAAGUUGAUUUAUAAUUGGGUUCAGAUCAACUCAUGGAUUUCUUGCCUUUUCUAUUCUCCUUCCUUGGACAUGAACUGUUUAAUCUUGGCUCUUCCCCAUCAUGUUGGGCCUAUCUUCUUCUUGAGGAUUGUAUAGGCCCAGGAAAUGCUUCAAGAUAGUUUUUGUGUUUUGGGCAUUGGGACCUAACUUCACAAAAAGAAAACAGAUUUGGCCAAAAAACAAAUUUGAAGGACAUUGAAAUUGUACCUGUAGGAUAGGUUAAAACACUGUAAGGGAGGUAAAUAGUACGUUUACAUAGUUUAAGUGUAAUAAAGGAAUAAAAACAUGCCCAGAGGAUUGAUAAGUGAUAUCAAUUCUUGAAUAUAGAGAACGUAAAAUAAAGGAACACGUAUAAAAUUAUUUUAUGUGGUAAAACCCCAUCUCUAGGGAAAAUCCACGGGACUUCUUAGUCCAAAACAAAUCUAUUAUAGAACGAUGAUUACAAGAAGUACUCACACACUUAUCCUAGACACAUUCUAGAUAAUGUUUACUGACCUCUUCGUAACUCAACUUCUGUCACAGGAUGAUCUUUCGACACUUCUUAUGUUGAACGCAAUACUAGUCACGAUUUCUUUCAAGCUCAUUGGAGAAAAACCGCCACAACAGUCUCGGUGCCCUCAAUCUUAUGAGUCACUGAACAUGCAAAUGAAUACAAUAUGAAUGAUAAAAGUGUUUGAUAAAUCACCAAGUUAUGGAACACUUGAUGAUUUAUUUCAAGUAAAAAUUCAGCUUUCCAAAGUUUAUGAAUUGAAAAUAUGAUCGUUAAAGCUCUCUAAACAAAAAAAACGAAGGUCUUAUUUUAUAGACUUUUUCUUUACAAGAAAGAAAACACGUUGAAAACCAAAUCUCCAAUUUCAAGGCUUGACAGAAAAUCACAAAAGUAUCUUUCCUAUUCUAGAGAUUGGUCACAUGAAGUCCAACCAAUAGGAAAUGAGAUAUUUAAGAAAGGAAGAUUUUGAUCAAUAUCAAUAUCAAAUGAAUUCUUAUAUGCCUAGUCAACUAUUAAGGGUAUCUUAACUACUUGAUAUUAUGAUAUGAUUGAAACAUGAUUUCCACGUUAGAAAAUUAAGGGGAUUUUAAAACAUGAAAGUAAUAGGAGAAUCAAAUUGAUUUGGACCAAAAUUGCCUAAAAAGAAAACACUCCUAAAUAAACUUCAAUUCACUUUUAAAAACAGUAAAACUUGAUUGAAUCGUUCUUUAAAACAAUUCCCUAAUAUACAUGCAUGAUAGUGACAUCACUUACCUCUGAAUCAGAUGCCUUUUACGAGUCAAGCCACAAGUUUGUGUUUUGGGGAUUGCUGAGCUGCAUCAAUCCUGCCAAUGUCAAUUCUGCCCCUAGGCUCUCUCAAAGCACGUUUACAAUCUAUGCUAAUAUAUACUAGAGUUUAUGCUAGUAUCUAGAAAAUGCCAACACUAAUUUCGUAACACGUAGAAAUUGUUAGAGAUUGGAAGUUUUUUUCAUUUUUUUCUUCCAGACUCUCCACCACUCACUAAUACAGUUUACUCAUGUGAUGAAUUUACAAAACCUAUUUCUCUACUCUCACAAAGACUAUACUUAGGGGGGGUGUAUUCAAUUAGGAGUCUAGAGCGUUUAAAAAGAUUUUGUUUAAGUGCCAGCUUUCAUAGAACUUGAUGGAACUUUAUAAUUCGUAUAGAACUUGAUAGACUUUCAGAAGACUUCUGUAUAAUUUGUUAAUAAAACUUUCUUAAGCUUUCAUAGAACUUGAUAGGCUUUUAUUCCAGAAUUAUGUAGACAGUAUAUUUCAUUUUAUCCCCAUCCUUGUCAUUUAAAGAAAGAAACUUGAAUGUUUUCAAUCAAAUUUGUUUUUGUUACCAAAGCAAAAACAAAAAGUACUUGUUUGCGAAGGAAGAACAUAUGCACAGUUCAAAAUGAAAAGAAUAAGAAGCAAAGUACCUAUUGGACCAAUGAAUGCUGUGUCAACUAGAGAAGCAAUUGGAUCGGCUGUCAAAGCCAAUGCUACAGGCAAUGCAUCGAUGGUCCAAAUUGCAAUAAAAAAUAUUUUGUAUAAUGGUUCUUGCAGACAAAGACCACAUAAAUUCUGGACUGGUCCAGCUUGAAUAAUAAGGUUAGAUUAGCCGAUGGAUGAGAGUAAAAGCAAAGAAAGUUGAUGAAUUCAUCACCAAUUAUUUAAUAACUGUAACAUCCCACAUUGACCAACGGAGAGGGGGUGAUGUGCCUUAUAUGUACAUGCCCACUUCCAUCUAGCAUGAGUCCUUUUGAGAGCUCACUGGCUUCGGAGUCAUGGGAACUCUGAAGUUAAGCGAGUUGGGGCUAAAGCAAUCCCAGGAUGGGUGACCCACUGGGAAGUUGCUCAUGAGCUUUAGAAACAAAAAUCAUGAGGGCAUAAAGGGAGGCCCAAAUUGGAUAAUAUCGUGCUACGGCGGAGCCGAUCCCAGGAUGUGACAAUAACCAAUAGAGUAUUUAAACAUAAACAACAAUGUUUGAUAAACAAAACAAAUAGUCCAAAUAUUAUCCAAAAAACAAUUCUAAAACCAAUCAUUCCAAACAAACUAGUCAUUCCCAAAAACUCUCAAAAAACCCACUCAUUCCAAAUUAUAGGAUAUCCAAUUUGAGCGCUCCUCAGGAGACAUUUUCAAAAAUGCAUCCUUUUUUGUGUUACUAUGCAACAAAGAGAGCGCUUUAUAAUGAGCACGUUCAUCCAAAUUUGAGGUCUCCUUAAUGGCAUCCCACAUAUAACUCUGCUGCUCUCGCUCUUUUCCCCUUUUUGCCAAUAGGUUAUGGACCUCCCGGAAGUCGGUGACAAUUGAAUCAAUGCUAAGGCUAAUUCUUCCCAUAGCUUGUUGGGUGGUCACAUUUGAGAUGGCAUUCCCUUCCAAAUCUAUUCUAGUUCGUUUCCUCUAGUAACAAGCAUAAAUCCUAGUAACAAGCAUAAACCCUAAUCCCAACCUAUAACCUAAUAACAAGAAAAACACGAUGAAAAAAAAAUCAUGGAAAAAGAAAACCCAACGAGGUAUUGAUCAAAAAAAAAAAUAGGGAGCAUACCUUCACAGAUGGAGGAAGGAAGCUGUUUGUCUUCACAGAGAGAAAAGCUAGGGAAAGAGAAAAACGUCUGAUGAAAUACUUUGGGGGGAGGUUGGAUUUCUUUUGGUCUUUGAUAUUUAUAACUCUCCCCUUAAAACCUACAAAAAUUUAUCACUUAAUGAAAUCCUUCCAAAUAUAUGACCUUUCGAAUACACCUAGAUUUGAUUCAACUUUUUUAUAAUCCUAAUUGAAUACACCCAUAUUUGAGUGGACUUUUUAAAAGUUCAUAUAAGUCCGAAUUGAAUACACCCAGACUUGUAAAACCUCUUUUAAAGUUUGUAUAAAUCCAAAUUGAAUACACCCGGAUUUUUAAAAUAUUUUUUAAACGCUUUAUAAUCCUAAUUGGUACAUCCCCCUUAUUCUCAAAAGACUAUAUCACUUUACCUCUAUCUCUGUGAAAUGUAAAAAGUUGAAACUUUAAUGUCAAACCUCGACAAAAGAUGAACUUCCAUCAGUUGCGUUGAAUUUGGAUUUGUUGAACUAAAGUGGUUUUACUUUCUCUGUCAGUGUUUGAUGACUUAAUUUGGUAUUUACUUCUUUUUUUCCUUGGAAAUGUGUUCCACCAACGUGAGGAAGAAAAAUGUGCACAAAUUAAUAUAUUUAAUAAAAGCCCAAGAUUUCGGAAGCACAUAAUUUCUACAAAAAUCUAGAAAGUGUUCUACUUUACAAACUUCUUAUGUCUAUCAAUUUCUACUAAAAUUAAUUUCUCUGUGGUGCUCAGAUUCAUCAUAUGUGUGUCCUUAAUUUUAUUGGAAAUUAGAAGUUUCCAUAAUUUUUAUUUUUUGGGAAUUUUCUGAACCAAGAAAAAUCAAGUAAAAUUAAUAAAGCUUAAAUUGGAAAGGGAAAAUAUCUAGAGGACGCAUUGUAGGAUUUCUCAUGCCGAUAAUUGUACCCUCUAAAUAUAUAGGGACAUAUUUUUUUUGUUUUCAUGACAUGUGGUCCUAAAAUUAUUGUUCCUAGCGGGCUCUCCACCCCCUCUCAAAUUUACGUGGUCCAUUAUGAUUAACCAUAUAUUUUAUUGACCAUCCAGCUGUGAGGUUUUAUCCCAAAAACCUUAGGUACAUUUCUCAAUUAUGUCUGAUACAUCACAUCAUGCCACAAUUGUAUAUUCACAAUUAUGUCUGAUACAUCACAUCAUGCCACUUGCCUCAAAUGAAUUUAAGUGAGUGUGGCAGUGGGAAGUAAUUACUUCUAGGUGCCCCUCAUCAUUCGUCUAUAAAAUGGUGAAGCCAGUGGCUAUAAGAGCCAGCUCCAACUUUCUUUUAUUCGUCUAUAAAAUGGUGAAGCCAGUUGCCAAGUUAAUUUCAGUCCUAAUGGGGUUUCAUCUCCCACUCAUCUUUGCUAUUCUCAGUGUAAGCUCUGCAAUUUGAUUAACUUUUCCAUUCUCUCUCAUUGUACUCUAUAUAAACGAAAGUUUUGUGUUCCUAUAAUUCUCUUUGAUUUUAUUUAGUACGUACUUAAGUGUCGUCCACUAAUUAAUUACAGUUUGUGAGAUUUGAUUUUAAUUAGAGUUCGAAUUAAUGUUGCAGCUAGCAGUGGUUGCACUGGCAAACCAUGCUGCUCAACCAGCACCUCAACUUUACUGGAACUCCGUCCUGCCAAACACACAAAUGCCAAGAUCUAUCAGUGAACUUCUGCAUCCUGGUUUGUGUUGAGCUCUUUAGAAUCUUAGAUAUCUCUUCUACCUGCCAUUUUACUAAAAUAUGUUCGACCACAUAUUUAUCAGUUAACUACUGUCAUUACAUGAGUGACACUUAUUCACAAAUCGGCUGAUCACUUAUUUUCCAUUUUACAUGAGUGAUAUAUAAUUUGCAGACUCCACAAAUGAAGAAAAUAUCGUGAAUGCUGUUGGGAAUGGAAAGCGCAAACCUGAAAUUUUCCCAUUGAGAAAUAUAAAUUACGUUCAAAGCCAUUAUGGAGUGUUAAAUAGAAAUUACGUUCAAAGCCAUUAUAAAAAACGUCCUCCUCCACCUGAAAAUAUCCCAUUUGCAAAUCGAAAAAAGUACGCACUAGGUUCUCCUCCAUCUGACAAUCAACUACUCCAUUAUAAAGAGUUAGCUAUUUUCUUCUUCGAGAAGGACAUGCGCCCUGGCGCAACAAUGAAGUUCCAAUUCCCUAGAAAUUCAAACACGGCUACUUUCCUGCCACGCGAAAGUGCUCAAUCGAUCCCCUUCUCCUCUAACAAACUACCAGAAAUUUUCAACCAUUUUUCAGUGAAGCCAACAUCUGUGGAAGCCAAAACAAUUAAGCAAACAAUCGAAGAGUGUGAAGCUCCAGGCACUAAGGGAGAGGAAAAAUAUUGCGCCACAUCUUUAGAAUCAAUGGUUGAUUUUAGCACUUCGAAGCUUGGAACAAGAAACGUUGAAGCAGUCUCGACGGAGGUAUUGGAAAAAGGAGCCACCAUGUCCAUGCACAACUAUACAACAAUGCCGGGACUGAAGAAGUUGGCAGGUGACAAAGUCGUUGUGUGUCAUAAGGAGAACUAUCCCUAUGCUGUGUUUUUCUGCCAUGCAAUAAAACAAACAGCAGCUUAUGUUCUCUCCCUGAAAGGCGAUGAUGGGGAGAAGGUUAAAGCAGUAACCAUCUGCCAUCUAGACACAUCAGAAUGGAACCCAGAGCAUUUGUCCUUCCAAAUCCUCAACGUUAAGCCCGGAACCGUUCCCAUCUGCCAUUUCAUUUCCACUGAUGCUAUUGCCUGGGUUCCAAAACACAAAUUUGCAUGAUCAUCACUUAGCACUGUGGUGUAAGAUAUAUGAUGAGAUAAAGUUUUUGGUAUUAGUGGUCGGGUUGCCUGAAAAACACAGAUUACAGAAACUGCUUGAAAUUAACCCGAUCAUGUUUUCUCUUGUAAGACUUCAACUUGUACUCCUAAAGCAAGUUAUAUUUAUGAAGAGAUAUUAAUCUAUAUAUAUUUUAUGUAUAUAUAUAUAUAUAUAUAUAUGCUUUGGCUUUGUGGUUCUACCCAGUGUUUGAGUGUUGAAUUGUUACGUUGGAAUAGGCUGAUAAUGCGUGUAGUUAGAGAAGCCUUCAUUUAUAUCAAAGUCCUCAAACUAUCAAGAACUAAUGUAUCCAGAAACAUAUACCAAGACGCAAAACAACAUAUUUUCCAUGCUCUGUCUGUAACGCCAAAGCAAACUUCCUUUAUCACAUCAUUUAAAGGAUCAAAUUCCAGUACUAAUCUAAUCCAUCAUGUAAAGCAUACAAGUGCCUCCCUAAAUUUGUCCAUUGGAUAUAAAUGUUGAGAAAAUUAGAGUACACAACUCUAAUAUGAUAGUUGUACACAACUCUAAUAUCAUAAAGCAAACAAAAUUUCUAAGUUAGUUUGCUUUAUGAUAGUUGUUUUUUGAAGGGGUCCUUAGAUCCUAUCUCAAAAAGUUUGGCUUUUAUUAGGUUUAACUCUGGUUUUUAUCUCUACCCACUAACUUUUAUCUCUCAUUUUUAUUACCCAUUUUACCCUUUAAAAUAAAUAGGGCAAUAAACUAAAAAUUCUGAUUUAAUGCAUGUUUUACUCAUAAGAGAACUAAAAACUAAAAAUUCUAUACUCUAACACAAAAAAUGAAAACUAAAAACUAAAAUUGAAAUGGUUUCAAGCAAUUGCAUGUCAGGCGCUAUAUAUAAUGUAUUAGCCAUGGUUUGUUUAAUACGCGGUCAUUCGUCAUUUUCCCAUUCAAAAUAUUGAAAUUACGAACUACAUACCAUGAAAGAUAAGAAACUAAAAGCUUCAAGCAAAUAGAAAUGUGCUACAAACAUAGUAAUGAAGAUGUGGAAGCAUUAUCUCAGACGAAUGAUUCUGAAGUGGAAAAAACAAGAACAAAAAAGGAAGUGAGUUAAAUUUGCACCUGCUAUGUUCAAACGACAAAGUUGGUUUCCCUUUGGUCGAUUACAAGAGAAGCUCAAUGCAGCUUACUUGGUUCCUCUGGUAGAUGAAAAUAUAAUUUUUCUCCUAAUAAUAAGGGUAUAGUGCAAUCAAUGAUGGGCUGUAUAGAACAACUUUUUUGUUUUAUGUGUUUAUGUGAGACAUGUUUUGCCAGAUUGAAUUAAUGUCUUCUAGCCAUGUACCUUAUCUUUUUGCCGGGCCAUGAGUUGAAUGUAGAGGCAAAGUAUGGACUUGGGGUCAAGUUUGACUUGUAAAAUAAUUAGGAAUUGAAUGGCUCCUACGUUCAAUUAUUUUAAUUUUUUUUCCCGAGCCAUUCAAUUCCUAAUUAUUUAGAUUUUCGAUUUAGUGAGCAUCCACAAUCAUGCUCUCUAUUUUUAAGUUAAAUUUUAGUUAAAAACAUAUAAAAGUUAUUUAGGAGCUCUCUAUAAAAUUUAAACUUCAAUCGUUUUCUAUAGUUUAGGGAGUCAUAAAUGUCAUAACUCUUUUUUGAUUGGUCCAUCUCUAUUAAAAAAUAAAAUAAAAAAUAGUUAGCAUGAAAUAAAGGUUUGAAAUACUCAUUAAAUAAAGCAGCAUUAAAUUAUAGGGAGCCACUAAGAGUCCUUUCUCUCUCCUCAAGUUUAGGAGCUCCUAGAGGUCUCCCUAUUUUAAGAGGUGGAUAGGGAGUAUGGUUGGAAUUGUAUUUUUACAAUUCCUCCCUAAAAAUUUUCUAUGGAUAGGUGGUUUUAAGGAACCCAUUGUGGAUGCUCUGAUCUCAAAGAAAGAAAACCUCGAGUUUGCAAGCAAGUUUUCUACGUAUGUAUAUAUGAAAAACUGACAUUUAUGAAAAUAAUAAAUCCAUAUUUUUAUGUAAGCCAACUUUCUAAAUCCAUGUACUAUAUUUAUUAGGGAAAUAUUGGAGAAACUGAUUAUUUUGAAAAAUUAAAUGUGAAAAACUGAACAAAAAUUUGACAGGUUACAUAUUUCAACUCAUUCAGCAGCUUAGGUUGUGAAGACCUCAGAAGAGGCUAUGCAAUGAGCCUAGCUAGUGCACUGUUGAUCACUUCAGUGUUUACCGAUCUGUAAUUUUUCCAGAUUGGUUAUAUUUUCCUUUACAUAUUCUUAUAUUUUUCCCAGUUGGGGAGACUUAUAAAUAAACCCAAAAUGGGUACAAUAUCUAUACAGAAGGACAAAAUUAAAGUGUUUGGACAAUAAUCCCCUAUUCAUUUUGGGAUUGCCUAAGGAAUUCUUUUUCUGAUUUUCAAUGAUGCAAAGGACUGUUGUUUGAUGCUUGCCGUAUGGAGCUAAGAAAACUUGCUUUGAUAGUUUUGGACAGAUGCAAGCUACUGUUGUUGGUAGGGGUGGGCACGGUCCGGAUUGGUUCGGUUUUACUCUCAAACCACAGCUGAACCAAUAAGAAAAUAACGGUUCGGUUUGGUUCGGAUUAGCCUAAAAUCAUAAUGGAAACCGAACCAAUCCAAACCACUUGUAAUCGGUUUGGUUCGGAUUGGUUCGGCCGGUUUGUGCCUAACACAAAACCAUGCAUUUUUCAACCUGCUCUUACAUUAUAAUGCUAACAUUUUGCCAUUAUAUCAUUCCAUUCCAUUCCAUCAAAGGCUAAUACAACAUCAUUCCAUUUAUUCAAAGGUUGUCCAAUGUCUAGCAUGCAUCUAAGUUCACAAUUUCCAUCAAAACAAACAUAUACAUAAUUUGCAUUAACCAAGUAGCAUUACAUUUACUCAUUGCAUUCAUCACAAUUCAUAAGAGAUGAGAACGAAUCAAUUUUACUUUAACAUAUUAAACAAAUGCAUUCUUUGUAAUAGUUAAACAUUCUCACAUCAUGAAUAUCGGCAAGCUUAUAAAGCUGCUGCACCAACUUGCUAAUUGAUUCGUCUGUACCAGGAACAACAGUAGUAAUGCGAGAGAACCCCUCAACUUCUGCAUGGCCAACAGCUAAACUCUGGAAACGAGAAACCAGCUCAAUUAUAACAAAUGCCUAAAACUUCUACCUUAACAGAAGACAAAGGAGGAAAUAACAGCAGAAGGAAACCAAAUUUCUCAAUUUAAUAACUGAUAUUUCCAAAGGAUUCUUAAGUCUAAAAUUCGACCAAGACUUGAUUAACUAUUCCAAUGUCUAGCAUGCAUCUAAGUUUAUAACUUUGUUCCUUCUUUAACAAAAAGAACAAGGAGAAAAAGCUAAUAAUAAGGUAUCCUUCUUUAACAGGCAUCAAGCAUAUCACAUAAGCAACAUUUUAUAUACAUUAUUCUAUGAACAAAACUAAAUCAAAGCAAGGUAUGCUACAGUCUUUUUGUACAAUAAAAUAGAUUAACAUAUUUUAUAACCAUAAAAAUGAAAAAUUAGGCCUCAUAGAAAAUACCAUUUUAUUUUUCAACUCUCUAACUUUUUAUAUAACCAGUUAUUGGAGACAAUACAAAAAAUAAAGUAGUAGACAGAACUAGCAUAUUUUACAAACCCAGCUGAUGAUGACGAUCCACCACCAACAAUAUUCCCAUAAUCAAUCCUUGCAUAACCUGAUGGUCGAUGAUGGAACUUGGGUUUUGUAGAGAUGGAUUUCGCUGAGGACAAAUGGGUGGGUUUCGCCGAGUUCGAAUCAUGUUGGCUUGAGUUAGCGUCGAGGGAGAGGGAGAGGGAGAUGUAGCAGAGAGACAAAGAGAGAGGGAGAGGUAGCAGAGAGAGAUGGAGAAAUAAUGAGAGGGAGUUGCGGCUAGGGUUAAGAGACGAAGGAAGGGAGAUAGGAGAGAGGCUCUUCUGAGGGAGAGAGAAUGGUUAGAUAACUUAGAUGUGUCCGUGAGUUGUAGUUUUGGAGUCCAAUCAAGUGUUGCAGGGUACAUGGUACACUCUUAAAUAACCACUCAAACCUUGCCACAUGUAAACUAAAUUAAAUAAAUAAUAAAUUGAUUUAUAAUCGGUCCGGUUCGGUUUAGGACAGUUUUUAAAACUCUCAAACCACAGCUGAACCAAACCAAACCGGUUCGGUUCGAUUUUUCAAAAUGUUGACUUUUUCUUUGGUCAAAACCAAACCAAACCAAUCCAAUAUAAUCGGUUCGGCUGGAUUGACCUGAUCGGCCAGAUUGAUGCCCACCCCUAGUUGUUGGGAUGAUCUUUUCACGUGAAAUGAGGAUGACGAUACUUCUACACUACACAAUCCAACGAAUUCACAUUUCUAUUUCAGAUACAUGUAUAAACAGACAAGGCUUUAAAAUAUGGGAUGCUGCACUGUUGUUGCUGCUGCUGACACUGUUACUGUGUUGCUGCUACUGUUACUGCGCUGCUACUGGAAGAAGGACAAGGACUUCACAUGUUGCUUUCGUCCUUUGUGGAGGAGAGAGACCUAGGACUUGCAUGUCUUAGAUAUUUAAGAUAAGGGGCUUUCGUGCCAUUUUGAAAAUACUUUGGGUGUUUUUGAAAGCUGCUUGUUUCUUUUGGGUUUCUCACUAAAUUUCGCUAUUAGAAGGGAAAAUAAUAAUAAUAAAAAUACAGCUCUUAUUAGCAACAGGGUUACAAAUUCUUCUACAACACACCAACUGUUGUAAAAGUUUGAAGGUGGAGCCCACAGAGGAAGUUUCCUUGCAUCUUCCAGGAACUUUCCCUUCCCUGUAUUUAUCAAUUCAGGAAGUUUCCUUGCAUCUUCCAGGAACUUUCCCUUCCCUGUAUUUAUCAAUUGAGGAAGUUUCCUUGCAUCUUCCAGGAACUUUCCUUCCAUGUAUUUAUCAAUUCAGGAAGUUUCCUUGCAUCUUCCAGGAACCUUCCCUUCCCUGUAUUUUACCAAAACCUUAGCCUAUAAAUAGGCUUGCUCAUUCACUUGUAAUACACACCAAAAUGAAGAGAAGAAUGAGUGAGGAAAGAAAGAAAGGAAGAGAAGGAAGAAAGAGGGUGAGUAAGUAGAGAGAAAAAUAGAGUGGAGAGAAAUUAGUGAGCCACAUAUAUUGUAAACACUAAAGUUGUAGCCCUAUUAUUUUACAUAGUGGAAAAGUUACUACUGCUGCUCUCCGGGGACGUAGGCAUAGCCGAACCUCGUUAAAUACUGUGUCUCAUUUACUUUACGUGCAGCUCAAUAUUCAUACAUAUUCCAGGUUAUUUUUAUAACACGUUAUCAGCACGAGAAGCUCUCAGGUAUAAUUUUUGUGCUGCACUAUUAUCUAUACUACUAACCACUAACAAAAAUGGACCCUUGGUAAUACUAAACAUAUUAUCAGUGGGAGACCGUUACUAAUACUAACUUUUUCUUAUUUUAUUCGGUGGUGGUUUUAACCCCACAUUUAUUUACUGUAUGGUGUAGGUUUAUUACCCAUACAUGCACCUUUACUUUAUCGCAAAUUUAUUUUACCGCAUAUUUAUUUUAUUUACUGUAUGGUGUAGGUUUAUUACCCAUACAACAGUAUUUAUUUAAAAGGGUGGUGCGAGUUUAUCGUCCACGCCUUUGCUUUUAUUUAAAUGUAUGGAGCAGAAUUAGUGCCCAUACAAGCACAAUUUACUUUACCGCACAUUUAAUUUUAUUUAAAGUAUGGUGCGGGAUUAACGUCCAUACAGCAAGCAAUUUAAUUUAUGAAUUUAAUUUACCGCACAUUUACAUUUAUUUAAAAGGGUGGUGCGGGUUUAUCGUCCACGCCUUUACUUUUAUUUAAAUGUAUGGAGCAGAAUUAAUGCCCAUACAAGCACCUUAACUUUAUGAAUUUAAUUUACUGCACAUUUACAUUUAUUUAAAGUGUGGUGCGGGUUUAUCGUCCAUACCAGUAAUUUAUUUAUCAGCAAUUUAUUUUAUGGAUUAAUUGUUUAUUUAUCAGCAAUUUAUUUUAUGGAUUAAUUGUGCUGUAUGAUGAGUUUUUCCAGUAUGCAGAUCAGGACCAGAAGUUCCUUGAUCCUCAUCAUACAAUUACAUCAGGACUUGAAGAUCCUUGAUGAUGAUAUUAAAAUGAGAGCUGGCAGUCUCACCGGUACUGUAUUUGUAAACAUGUGAUUGGACUUAAAGGUCCUUGAUCCCUGACAUGUAAAUAAGGACCUAGAGUUCCUUAAUGAUGUAACAGUACCGUAUUGGUUCAUAGUGCCGUACACAUUGAUGAUAACUGUACUGGCAGAUGAAUAGAUACGUAUUCAUGACUUGAUGAAUAGUACUAUUCACAUGAAUAGUGACGUAUGCAUAAAUAUUAACCAUUUUGGGUAAACCGUCACUAUAUACAAAAGGGAACCUGCAGUUCCUUAAACUCAUGGAUGAGCAAUUAAAUGAGAUGCCAGAAGUUCCUCAAAAUAUGGACAAUUAUGUAAGGGCUUGAAGUCCCGAAAUAUGUACAGAAAAUUGUAAAAAUGUCCAUACCAUGAGAAUAUGUGGCUUUGGCCUGAAGUUCCAAAUUUAACAGUGUUGAGAACCUGAAGUUCCAACAAUUAAAUGGACAACCCUUGAGGUAUUAUUGCAAAUUGUGGUAUGCCACAUAUUUCUUUGGCAUAAGAAGAUGAUGAAUUUAAUAAAGUUCGAUUUUGUUAUAAUCGACACCUCAAGGAAGAAAUAUAUUUUGUGAAUUCCGGUUGUUAAGAAUACACCGCGAAAUGGAUAAUAUUAAUAUAAACCUCAAAUAAUGAAUUGAGACUCCCCACAUAUUUUGUUAUAUCUGGGCCGGAAGCCCAUGGAUCCAAAUAUAUGAGAGAUCCUAAACUUGAAGUUGUGGGUAUAUAGUAGUUAAUGCUCUUCACUACUAUAUUGCGAUAUUAUCAUGGCUUUUACUCAAUUCAUAUUUCAUGUCCAUUUGAAAAGGGCAAAUAAAUUCUGAGUUUGUGCCCAGGCCAUAAGUUCCGGGCUACCAUACGUUGAAAUAUGAAAUUUGGGAGAGUCGAUGUGGUUAUUUGAACCUAUAAGGCACAAGGUUCCAAAUCGUCAUUUUGAAAAGACGUAAAAACCAAAGGUGCAAGUUUAAGAAUGUGCGCAAUUAUUAUUACAGGAACAUACAACAGAUAGAUUUUUUCCACUUGCAAUGAAGGUGCAGGCCCUGUAAAAUCUAUAAAAUUACAUUAUGUUCUGGAAGCCUCUGAAGGAAGAGGACGGCGCCUCUUAAGCUUAGCCAUGAGCUUCUCAUGGUCUCCCAAAAUUCUUUCAUUGGAGACCUGCAGCAUGUCUAGCCUUCUCAGUGUAUCAACAGAGUACGAACUCACCAGUUUCAACAAGGAAUUAUUCUCUCCUUUAAGUUUCUCAACCUCCUGUUGAGACUCAUGAAGCAUUCUUUGGAGAGACGAAUUUUCAGUUGUUAAAUUCUCAACCUCGUUUGCUCUGGCACGCAAACGAUCAGCCAUGUUAGAAACAGAAACAGCACUCUGAAUGCUAAAAGCCAUUGAGUCAUCAAUAGCCUCUUCCUCUGAUCUCCCCGUCAACAACAUUUCAUCCAUUGGAGUAAUGAAAUUCCUAGCUACUAUGACAGCAGUAGCAUCAUUCAUCAUCACAGAAUCAUUAACUGUGAGAUGACGAUUUUUGGAUACAAAGGAUGGACGCCAAACUUGGGCGUCACUGGUAGUUGUGGGAGUAUCAUUUAAAUUGAAAUAAUUUGGGCAGGAAGAAGAGGAAGCCAUUUUUAAGAAGGUUUCGAAGAAAGCCUUAGGAAAACUAAAGUUUCAUAAAAUGAAGGAAGUUAAGUUGAAACGCAAUUGCUCCAAUCAAGUUUUGCAAAGGCAAUAUCUAUAGACGAAAAUAUGGCAAUAUCUUCAGGAUUCCAAUAUCUUCUCGAAUCCCCAUAUUAUCUUUUUCUUUCCCAGAGUCCAAAACUUCACGUGGCCUCUAAUAAUGCCUGUCGGCACUUUCGGCGUUUUUCAAAGUAUUAUUUUCAAAGCCGAUCUUGCUUUACGGAUUUCACGGAACUACUUUUUCAAAAGUAUCCCGAGAAUCUCGCAAUUUUCCUAUGGUUAAUUUGAAAUUCACCGGUUCUACCUAUUUAUUGUAUUUAUGUAUAAAUGUGUUACUAACGAAAUUUUCUUUGCAAAAGACAUCCAGUUUUCUCCAUACCUAGUGAUGCGAUAUCUACUUAUUUUUCUUAUCAGUGAGCACUUAAUAUGCCUGAGAAGCAAGACUAUCUCUGAUCAUACAUUCAGGAAGCAAGACUAUCCCUGAUCAUGUUUCCGCUACAUUAGGGAACUGUGAAGGUGACCUUAUGCUCCAAUCUCCUGAGGUCUUUCUAGACUAGGAGAAAUGAGAGCUUGUUGUUUGCUCCCACCAGCUUCCUUCCUUGAUUGCUUACCUUACCUUGCAAUCAAUAUCACAAUCUUUUUGCAUUUUUUCUCUUUUUAUAACUCUCUGUUCAUAAGAGAUUUUAUUUCUUUAGAAUGAACAUCUGAAGAAUGAAUCCAUGAAGUAAUCCUAACUAUGAGGGUUAUUUGUUUUGACAGAGGCAAAAGAGUUGUGAUUUUUGCUCUUGCAGGAUAUAACUAGAUCAUCAAGCGCUACAUUAUAUUUACUGGGCUGAUAUGAGCUUGAAUGAUACUUGAGAAAAGUUUCUCCCACCUAAGGAUGUAAGCAAUACUUGUGUUAUUUUAUGCUUAUAUACCUAUUUGAUAUUUUAUCUUGAAAGGUAACUAAAUGGGGAGAUAAGUCCGUUCCAAAAGAAUGACUUGUAUGUAUCCAUGAAUUAUUAAUGCAAAUUUUACAGAUUGCAAGUUGGAUACAUUGAUAAUACACUGCACAGAUUAAAGUCCCAUAAGAACAGAAUAUGGGUAUAGCAGUGAUCAAUAUGAUGCACGCCUAUUGCGUAGCAAAUGAUAUGGAUUGAAGUCCCGAAAGGACAAUCCUUUGACAUUUCAAUAUUGAUAUUAUGCACGCCUAAUGCGUAGCAAAUUAUAUGGGUUAAAGUCCCAUAAUAUGGGUUAAAGUCCCAUAAAUUAAUUGACAUGUAUGUAUUAAUCUGUGGCAUGCCUGCAGCAUGACAGAUAUAUGGGUUCUAAAUGUUCCAACUCCCUAAAUGGAGAUUAUCCACGCCCUACUAUAAAAUAACGCUCCAUUGGAGGUUAUAAUCCACAUUCUCACAUAAUAAAAGCCCCCUGCAGUGGCUUGGGUACCCAAAAGCAAAGAAAUGCUUAUAAUUGAUGCAUGCGCAUGCACAUGAGAAUGGUGGGAUCAUGAAUUGAUGAAUGACAAUUUUUGAUCAUGAAUUGAUGAAUGACAAUUUUUGGUUUUAGAGUAGCUACUCAAAUCAUCAAUGGGCUGUGUUGAUUGGAACCACGUUCAAUUAUUAAAUGUCGACAAUAUCAUUGGCCAAAAUGGAACGAGGUAAUUCCAUUAUAAAUGAGAAUGAACGUGAAAGAACAAACCCACAAUACGAACCCCAAAAUUUGUUAAUACUAAAAGUUAUACUUGGGUGUUCGGAAUAAAAGGAAAUAUAUCUACUUUGUAUGACACACUGUUUCUGGCAGAAACAAGGAAUGUUGGGUUUUCUCCAUAUUUACAGAUUCAAUUGUGCCCCCCUUAUUACACAAUUACGGAGACCAACAUAUUAUCUUUAAGGGUUAUUAAUGCACAGAGCAUAUCGCCAGAAGCGAUUUCCUAAAGAUGUAUAAAUAGCUGGGUAAAAGCUAUAUAAUGUGUCAUAAAGUUUAAUCCCUUUUAACCAAAAUCUGUUGAGAGGAUUGAUAUUGCAUAGAGCAAGUCCCUAAAGAACAUGUGCUUGAAGCACAAAAUUUGUACUCAAUAUUAAUAUGCAUAAAUUACCUCAGUGAGUACAUUGAUUAUAAUGUGAUUGCAACACAUUAAAGCUUCUGCAGAAUUCAUGAAAUAUUUGUCUCGAUCGAGCAUUAUGCCAACGAGAUUCUUGCUUAUACUAAGAAAGUAUUAAAGUAUUUUUAUGAGGAUUAUCCGUUGGACACUUUAAUGAUUUUCCGGAAGUAUAUUGGACCGGACAUCAUAUUUUCCAGAUAGGGCUCAACUCCAUCACCAUCAUUUUGGGAUGAUGUGAGGUAUAUUUGAUGCUAUCUAAGCAUAACACCAUAUAGGGGCAUAUUUUUUUAGUGAACUUAUAAAUAGCCCAAGUGUUCUAAGAUAUGCGGACUCAGGAAAUCUCUAUGGUCGCUUACUGGAAAAAGCUAGUCAUGAAGUUUUCAGGGGGAGAUAUUCAUCAGGGAGAGCAUGGUAUUAAUAAAGACCUUCAUACACUAUUGACUCACAGCAGCAGUGUCAACUAUGAUAUUCAGACAGAUGAUCAACAGUAUGGCUUAAAGAUAUUUUGCCAAGCAUCAGGGGGAGCGUGCUGUCAAUACAGACCCUUACCCACUGUACUCUUUUUCCUUCGUCCAGGUUUUUAUCCCACUGGGUUUUUCCUGGCAAGGUUUUAACGAGGCAGUGUCGCACGCGCGUCAAUAUACACAGAAUUUUAUGUUACACGUGAUUAUGUACUCUUUUUCCCUUCGACCAGUUUUUGUCCCACUGGGUUUUUACUGGCAAGGUUUUUAACGAGGCAUAUUCCAUAUCAUUUGUGGUCUCCAAGGGGGAGUGUUGUAAAAGUUUUAAGGUGGAGCCCACAGAGGAAGUUUCCUUGCAUCUUCCAGGAACUUUCCCUUCCCUGUAUUUAUCAAUUGAGGAAGUUUCCUUGCAUCUUCCAGGAACUUUCCUUCCGUGUAUUUAUCAAUUCAGGAAGUUUCCUUGCAUCUUCCAGGAACCUUCCCUUCCCUGUAUUUUACCAAAACCUUAGCCUAUAAAUAGGCUUGCUCAUUCACUUGUAAUACACACCAAAAUGAAGAGAAGAAUGAGUGAGGAAAGAAAGAAAGGAAGAGAAGGAAGAAAGAGGGUGAGUAAGUAGAGAGAAAAAUAGAGUGGAGAGAAAUUUCUCCAAGAGAGAAAAAUUAGUGAGCCACAUAUAUUGUAAACACUAAAGUUGUAGCCCUAUUAUUUUACAUAGUGGAAAAGUUACUACUGCUGCUCUCCGGGGACGUAGGCAUAGCCGAACCUCGUUAAAUACUGUGUCUCAUUUACUUUACGUGCAGCUCAAUAUUCAUACAUAUUCCAGGUUAUUUUUAUAACACCAACAUCAAUCUAGCCCUGAUCCACUCUUUUACAUACUUGAAAACAAAACAAAACACGAAAAACAAAAAACAACAGGGAGAAAAUGGCUCCGGAGAGACUUACUGCUAAUACUUGAUCAAUAACAGAGAUAAUAGAGCACACUGUUUGUAUGGCAGUGAGUAUCAGAAGAAUAAUAGCUGCCCAAGGUGUGUUGAAAUACUUUUGUCUCAAAUUUGCCUUCCAUAUGUUCGUGGUCUUCUCGCAAUACUCGUUUAGUUUGCCAGCAAGAUCACCAAAAUAGUAGUUUCCCUGGUUAAUCAUAAUGGAAACCUUACUGUUGUCACCUAGCGUGUUUACAACAAUUCCAUUGUCAACAAGCAACUCUACAUCCUUUGGGGUGUUUACAAAUUUAUCCAGGAUGAAAACAUAAUCGCUUAAUUAUUUAUUAACGCAAUGGCAUUGUUCAAAGGCAAUGAGAUUUCUAAGUGUAAGCUCUGUGUAAUCAUGUAUUUCAAUUUUUGGAAUUUCCAAGGUGUUUUUCAAGAACUGUAUAUCGAAUAAGUUCUUGCUUGAUUCAACGUUAAACUUAACUCCGGCCUGGUGUAGUUUUGUCAUGCCGGGUGUACUUUGGAGCCCUACAUUUUCUUUUAGGGUUGGAUCUGGCAGAUGUAAAGUUCUAAUAAAAUCAACAAAUUGUACAGGUUUUUUAGGAUCAGGAGGCAUAAAAGACUUACGGAAGGCUGGUGAGUUCUCCAAGUUUUCUAAACGCAGUGCCUGUUGGAAGAACCUGUAAGAGAGUUCAAUUAUUGAAGGCUCCCCAGUCUGGGCACCUGUAAGAUUGUAAAGAUCCUCGAGAAUGAAAAAUGGCAGCUGAUUUUCUAGCAUAAGCAUGUCAGGCAAUAUAUUUUGUAGCACCCAUGGUUUUUUAAAUAUCCAAGCAUUAUCAUCCGGCAAUUUUUCUUCCUGAAAUUUUUCUUCGGAUUUAUUCCUCAACAAUAGCUCAAUGACAAAGGCGGCAUCAACUAGAAUGAUAUUCACAAAAGCGGCAAUGUUAAACUUCUUAGUGUCUUCAUAAUAAUGACGGAGUUCAACUUCUCUCUCCUUUAGGUACCUGAGUUUGUGAUCUUCCAUGGCUUCUAAGUUUUUGCUGCCAUGGUGAAGUGGGCCUAUUGAGACUACUUGUGGUGUGUAGGCCUUUUGUUUUACGUUCCGUAGUCGCUCAGGCACCCUGUAGAUACUGCAGGCAGGGGACAGGGCACGGAAGUUUGUCAACUGAUUUUCCAUGGAAGUUGCUUGGUUUUCUAUGUCAAAAGAAGCUUCAUUGCUGCUUUCUUCCACUUUCUUCCUCCGCAUUAUGUGUUGUUCUGAUUGUAAGUGACGAGGAUGGUGAUGAUUCUAGACACCAUAAUCAACAAAUGUUUCAAUCAUAAUUGACAUUUCAAGAUGCUCCGACAAAAAAUUAGAAAACAUUCAUCACAAAAUGCGAACUCAUACAACAGAUGGGUUGAGAAGAUCCACACAUUGCAAUCAUACAAUCCAAUUGAACAGGGAUUACUCCCUAUUCUCCUCUCUCUCUAAAAAAGAUUUUCAUAUCGAUAACAUCUUAUUGCAAGGGACUUGUACAUCAAGUGGUGAAGAACAGAAAUUCAUAUUCUUUCAAUCAACAAAUUUCGAAGAAGUUUGUUUGUUUUAUUUUUGGGGGAAAAAAAUCUGAGCAUAUAUAGAUGCAUAUUAUACGUAGACCUAAGGUGAAAACAUACCAGAUUUUUACUCCAUUUUUCAUGAGGUUUAAGUUCUUGAUGUAUAUAUUUAUCUCAAGUGUAACAUCCCACAUUGAUCAACGGAGAGGGGGUGAUGUGCCUUAUAUGUACAUGCCAGCCUUCAUCUAGCACGAGGCUUUUUGGGAGCUUAUUGGCUUUGGAGUCAUAGGAACUCUGAAGUUAAGCGAGUUGGAGCUAGAGCAAUCCCAGGAUGGGUGACUCACUGGGAAGUUGCUUGUGAGUUCCCAGAAACAAAACCGUGAGGGCAGAGAGGAGGGCCCAAAGCGACCAAUAUCAUGCUACGGCGGAGCCGAUUCUGGGAUGUGAUAAUUUGGCAUCAGAGCUACUCUGCCGUGUGGUGUGAGUGUGCCGACGAGGACGCCGAACCCUUGAGGGGGGUGGAUUGUAACAUCCCACAUUGACCAACGAAGAAUGGGUGAUGUGCUUUAUAUGUAUAUGCUUGCCUAUAUCUAGCACGAGGCCUUUUGGCAGCUUACUGGCUUCCGAGUCAUAGGAACUCCGAAGUUAAGUGAGUUGGUGCUAGAGCAAUCCUAGAAUGGAUGACCUACUGGGAAGUUGCUCAUGAAUUCCCAGAAAAAAAAAGCUGUGAGGGCAGAUAGGGGGGCCCAAAACGGGCAAUAUCGUGCUACGGCAGAGCCGAUCUUGGGAUGUGACAUCAAGAAUUUAUAUCCUCCCUUUUCAGAUCUCAUGUUCCAGUCAAUACAUAACGAAACAUAAGAAACUAAAGUCUUGUUUAUACCCAUCCUCCCACCCACCCACGGCCAUCCACCCCUACCCCCUAUCUCCAUUAAAUCUACAAGUAGCUCAUCAAUUUCUCCACCAUCCCAAGUUCAAUAUACCACCCAACAACCAUCUUACCCAUCUUCUCAUUGAUCUUCCACCCAACAUCCAACACUAUCUUCAUAAACUCUUUAGCUUAAUCUCUCUGUUGCUUUUGUUUUUUGUUUUUUAGAAAUUAAAUUUUUUAGUUUAUUUUUUUGUUGGUACAAAUUCAAUGAUAAAGAACAUCGAACUCGUCGCAACAUCCUGUUCUAGAUCCAAGCUCUACCACCAUCACAACCCUCUCUUGACCUCCGACCAACCUUAACACCCAACUUCAAAUCUAGGUUGUUUGAAACCCAGCCCCCAACAACCCCCCCAAGUCAUCCCAUUGCAACUGACUUGUAGAUGAAGUAGUAAAGAACAAAAAGUCAUAUUCUUCCAAUCAAAACGUAUCAAGUCAAACAAAAUUUCUAGUUAGUUUGCUUUAUGAUAGUUGUUUUUUGAAGGGGUCCUUAGAUCCAAUCUCAAAAAGUUUGACUUUUAUUAUGUUUAACUCUAGUUUUUUGCAAUUUUUUUUUAUCUCUACCCACUAACUUUUAUCUCUCAUUUUUAUUACCCAUUUUACCCUUUAAAAUAAAUAUAGUAAUAAACUAAAAAUUCUGAUUUAAUGCAUGUUUUGCUCAUAAGAGAACUAAAACCUAAAAAUUCUAUACUCUUACACAAAAAAUAAAAAAUAAAAACUAAAAUUAAAAUGGUUAUCAAACAGACCCUUAUAUUACAAAAAACCUUAACUGACCACCUUAUAUGGCAACUGAUNNNNNNNNNNNNNNNNNNNNNNNNNNNNNNNNNNNNNNNNNNNNNNNNNNNNNNNNNNNNNNNNNNNNNNNNNNNNNNNNNNNNNNNNNNNNNNNNNNNNUAGCAUUCUAAAAAAAGUGGCCUCAUGGCAGCAUUCAUUAAUUGACAUGGCAUGACACAUCAGUUGCCACAUAAGGUGGUCAGUUAAGGUGGUCAAUGUUGUGUGUCCAAAUAGCAUUACUAAAAAAAAAUCAAAUAUUGAACUCAUCAUAAGAGAACACAGAAAAACCUCACUGCUUGCAACUCUUACACCACCACUACACGAACAGAACAACUGCUAAUUAAAAUGAGUCACAUGUCACAUGUCACAUGUGGUACUUAACUCUAAAAACUUAUUUAGAUUAUAUAUCCAUAUUUAUAUAUCCUACUCCUCGAUCAAAACAACCAUGAAACAUAAGUGACUUAAACCUCUAGGCAAAUGGACGGUAUAUAGCAAUUUAUAGAACAAUACAGUAAUCCAGAAGAAAUAUUAUGAAAUAAAAAAAAUAAAAAGUAAAAAAAGAGAAGGAAAGGAAUUCCCACCUGAUAUGUAUAUCUAUGAAAGGAAGGACCAAGUUUGUUUUGCCUUUGGUUAAUGACUAGAAAAGCUCACUUGUAUAUUGCUUUCUCCGGCCGUAGAUGCAAGAGAAAUUUUCUCUUAAUAAUAGCACAAUGAUCGGGUAAUCGUAAGAACAAGUUGAUUUAAAAUUCAGGUCAACUCAUAGAUUUCUUGCCUUUUCUAUUCUCCUUCCUUGGACACGAGCUGUUUAAUCUUGGAAUCUUCCCCCAUCAUGUUGGGCCAGUCUUCUUCUUGAGGAUUGUAUAGGCCCAGGAAAUGCUUGGAGGUAGUUUUUGUGUAUUGGGCCUUGAGACCCAACUUCACAAAAAGAAAACAGAUUUGACCAAAAAAACAAAUUUGAAGGACAUUGAAAUUGUACCUGUAUGAUAGGUUAAAACACUGUAAGGGAGGUAAAUAGUACGUUUACAGAGUUUAAGUGUAAUAAAGGAAUAAAAACAUGCCCAGAGCACUACUACAAUUUUUCCCUGUCCUGGCAACCCUUUGUGAUCGGUAAAAACACCAUUAUUGACGGAACUUCGUCAGUAAUUGCUUCUUGACGACUGCAGCGACGAAAAUGAGUAUAGUCAGUAAAAGUCCCGUCAGUGUUACUAUUACUGACCAACUUUUGCAACUUAUUCGUCAGUAGAGGUGUGUCUCUGACACAAGUCAUGAAGUGACUCUAAAUUAUUACUGACAAAACAAAUAGCCACUAUUAAACAAGCUUUUGUCAGGAUUAUUAUUUUAGGAUGGAGUACUAGUGGCAAAGAUUUGUCAAUAUUGUUUUCAACAAAAAAAAAAAUUCAGUCAAUUUGCUUCUGAGCUGAUGCGCCUUUAGAUAUCCUUUUCUGAAAUGUCUUUUGUUUUCUAAUAUAAUGGAUGUUUUUCUUUAAUAAAAAUUUAAUGGAUUCUGAAAAUGUAAUAACAAUUAUAAAUACUCAUAGAUUGAACCAUUCAACCCCCAUCCUUAUAAAUAUAAACUACCAAUGUCGAUUACAAUAGCCAAAUAUUACAAAGUCUGCCUACAUCAGUAGAGUUCAAAAACUUUAGGUGCCCUUACUAUACAAAAGUAUGCAAUUCCAAAUAUUCAACAAAUACACUACAAAAGCAUGCAUACCCCAAUAGGGUCCAAAAUACAACGUCAGCAACUAUAUAUACCAAAAAUGCAUAACACUAAGUAACUGCAUCUAUUCAAGUCCAUGAGUACCUUGAUCUGAUUCUAAAAAGUCUGUCUCACUUGGGUAUGCAUCCCCCCUCAGCAAUCCAGUUAACCCACCAAUAGGAGUAACUGACCUGGCUUGAUAAGGCAUUUGAUGGAACAUCUGCGGCGAGUAAUAUGACAUAUGGAAUGGGUUUGGCAGCUGCUGGUACAAUGGGUGAUGCGAAGCUGACGAGCACGAUAACAUCUGCCUCAUUUCCUCAAUCUCUUGCUGGUUAUGCUUCAGCAACUCUUGCGUCGCCUUCAAUUCAGAACGCCAAUGAUCCUGGUCAUGUUUGUACCUUUCUUGUAACUCUACAUACUGUGACUCAAGGUGAACAUAGUCGUGCCCUCGCAAUCUCUUGGAUGACCCUGCUUUCGUUUGAAUCCAAGGCACCUGAUGGGGUUUCACCCCAAGUCCUUCACCACGAACACUAUUAUUUGUCUCAGGACCCAUUGCCUCAACAUAAGCCCUUCUUCGUGUCUCUAAAUUAUCAGGACAUUCAUCUUCAACCAAUUCCUUCAACUUUUCCUGCAUUUCAGCCUAACAAAAACAAAAUAUAUAUCCUUCUCCAUCAAAUUGUGGUCAUCAUAGAACUAGCCCAAUAAACUCUACAAUGAUGAAUUGCAUUAUGUAAUAAAAAUUUAGGCCAAUUAGUCUUCUGGACCUCUACUGUUUUGUUUUUCAUAUGCUUAAACAAAUAAAAGAACAUAAAGAAUAGUGAACAAGAAAAAAAAACUACCUCCAAACAACUUUCCAUAUGCUUAAAAAAAAAAAAAAAAAAAAGUCAACCAAAACAAAAUAAGAGAAACAUCCUGGACUAUGGCUAACAAUUCCUCAUGAAAAUGAACUUAUAUAUAAUUAUUCCAAUAUAUAGUCCAUAUGCUUACAUAUUUCUGCUCAGCCACCAAGUUAACCCAUGAUCGAUCUUCGUCACGCCGUGUAUGCUUAUCUUGGAAAAACCAAAUAGGAUCGGGGUCUUCACCAUGUUUCUUAUUCUUAGCAUGCAAUCAAUAAAAUAAAAUAAGAUAAUCAAUUAGCUAACACGACCUCAUAUGCUCAAUAUUUGAAUAUAGUAAAGAGUAAACAUUCAAGUGCAUCAUCAAAACUGACAUAUUGUGCUUUGCUGCGAGCAUAAGACUUUGUUCUAGAUGUGUGAUUCAAUGUUUGUUUACUCCGAUUUUCAACAUUUCUUUUAGCUUGCUCCUUUUAUUAGCAAAAACAAAACAUACUUAAUCAUUGCACAGAUUAUAUAUACUGAGUGUUGUGUAAUAAUACGUACUGCAAUCUCAUCUUUUUCCCAAUGUUCAACCAACACCCUCCAUUGAUCUGGGUCUACACGAGAAUCCCCACAUUGCCACCGUCUUUUACUUCCUGUGAAAGGCUUAUAAUAAGCUUUCUUCAAAUCACUCUUGAAACUUCUCCACAAUUUUUCAAUAUUCUUCAUUGUUACAUCCUUGAAGACAUGAAUCAUAGGUUGUUGUUCAGGACGAAAUUCAAUGGUGCCCUGCAUCCACAAUAAGGUAGUCUUACAUCAAGUUGAAAUAUACCUAUUAAACUCAAUUUCAUGCAAUAAGUAUUCAAUAAUUUUAGGAAAACCAAACCCGUAGAGUGUCCCAGACAUCAAGUUUGCAAGAGUCUGGUACUUUUUCCCAUUUUAAAUACUUGAUCGGAAUUAGAUUGGCAUCCCGCGCCAAAAUACCCAUGUAUCUAGAAAAAUGGGGACUAUUGUCACUAAUAACUCUGCCAAAUGGAGAUAAAUCAACUGACUCUUUUUUGUUAUUUAGAAACCAGUUGCAUUUCCCUUGACCUCGACCUUGCUUCGCCUCCUUGCCUACAUGAAAAGUUAAUUUUAACUGAUCAAUACAACAAGAAAAUAAUAAGAAACUGUAAGGUAAUAAGUUUCUCACACAUUAUUCAAAUGAAAAAUUAGCAUAGCUAUUUGGAGAUGAUGUGAUCGUGAAACAUCCCAUAUUCAAUACAUUUGUAUAUGAUUAAAACAUACCAAUUUAUUAAAAGAAAAAGGAAAAGAAAACCAACAUACCAGUAGCACUUAUAGAACCAUCUCCCUCUAGACUAUCCCUAAAGUCAGCGUUGGGCCCUUCUUGUGAACUAUCUUGAGAACUGCUCAUCUAAAAAAUUUGAUAUGCAUAACAGUGAAGGGGUAACAAAUUAAUCAGACAUCAUUGGUAAAAGAAACUAUUACUUCAACAUUCUAAUACAAAACAAUCUACUAAAGAAAUUCUUGUACAAUAUUCUUAAAAUUACGUAGUCCAUUUAAGCUGACAGCUCAUCAAAAUACAUGAAAAAUUCAAUACUCCAUGUCAUCAUAAAGCUCAUCCUCGUUUUCAGUAGAGAGAUCGUCUGAAGACUGUUCAUCUUCUUCAUCCUCAUUUCCGGGCUCAUGCUCAUCUACCAUCUCAUCCAUAUCAACCCUAAUAUGAAAUUCCUCAUUGUCUAGCAGCUGAUCAUCAAGAUUCGGAAUGGCAUAAUUAUCAGUAGCACUUAAAAGGGUUAUCUAUAGUUGGAGCUAGAUCACUAUCUUCUAGCACAUCAAAAAAAUCUCUUGGUUGAGUUUGGGUUGGCACAUGCCAAUGACUGUCUUCUGGAUCUACAACAUAAAACACUUGUGUAGCUUGAGAAGCCAAUAUGAAAGUGUGUCUUUCGUUUGUCGCAACCGAUUGAAACUAACCAAAGGGAAACCAUACCCAUCAAACCUCAUCCCCCUAUCACUAGCAGUAUCAACCCAAUCACAGUUAAAUAAUGUAAUUUUCCGACCAUUAUCAUUCUGUUCUAUUUGACCCCCGUAAUUAAGUUCAUAAAUCUCUUUAAGAACACCAUAAUAAUCAACAUUGCCAAUUACUGGAUUGCGAUCUCUUGCGCUUGAGUAACUAGAUGUCUCUGCACAUUGAAAUACACCACUAUUCUGAUUCUUCUUUUUAUCGUCUACUGAUUUAAUCCGGAACCUACACCCAUGAAUUAUGUGAUUCUUAUACUUGUUCACAAAUCUACUAGGACCAAUUGAUAGCCAACGCAAGUCCUCAGAUAUUGACAGAUCAUGGGCUGUGUACAAUUUAGUAACCUAUAAUUUAAAACAACAACUAAAGUAAAUAACUUUAAUUAAAAAUAUGGUGCAGCAACAUAAAAUGAAUCAUAUUACAACUAAACAUACUUACAUGAUCCUUGAACCAAGUUGGAAAUAUCUUAUUUCUCAUCCCCUCAAUUUCCUGUAUGGUCUUCCGUCGAUUACUUUGUCUCAAUUCUUGGAAGCAUUUUCUGUUUUACAAUAUAAUAUAAUGACUUGUUAGUUAUUAAUUCAUAAUUGAGGAUUGAAAAAAAAAAAUAUCAACAACUUGCUUGUUUUUAUUCAUAAAUAUCUUACUCUAAAAAAGGGGAAACUUCAUCGCAAUUGAACAAGACCACUCUGCGACAUUGGUCCCAAACAUCUUUGUCAAGAUAUAUUUGUUCAGCUGAACCCUUAGAAUGACAUGAAGAGUCAAAAACUUUUAGCUCCCCAAUGACACCACGACCAAUACCAUCAGCAUUUCGACCCUUUCGAUUCCUUCGAGUCUCAACGUUGCUAAGAUACAUGGUACACAUAGCUAAUCCCUCGUCGACAAGAUAUCCUUGUUCCAUACUUCCUUCAGGAUAACUCUUAUUCUGAACAUAUUUCUUUAAUGUUUGUAGGUAUCUAAAGAUAUGGCAAAAUUGAACAUGUUAAUUUACAAUUAAAAUGGAAAACUAGAAAUAAUAAAUAAGAUUUGAACUAAUUACCUUUCAAUGGGAUACAUCCACCGGUAUGGGGCAGGCCCUGCGAUUGCAGCCUCAUCUGCCAAAUGCAUGAUUAAGUGUACCAUCACAACAAAGAAGGAAGGAGGGAAUAUCUUUUCCAUCUGGCAUAAUGUCACUGCAAUCCGAGGUUUUAAAGCCAUGUAUGACGCUUCAUAUUCCUUCUUACUACAUAACCGUCUAAAAAUUGCACUUAGCUCAAGCAAAACAAUGGUAACAGCUUUUGGUAAUACUCGUCGUAUUGCAAGGGGCAGCAGCUGUUGCAUUAUAAUAUGAUAGUCAUGACUUUUCAAUCCGUGUAUUUUUCUCUCAUUCACAUUAACACAUCUAGACAGAUUUGCAGAAUACCCAUCAGGAACUCUCACAUUUGCCAAGACUUCGCAAAACAUUGUUUUUUCCCUUUUCCUCAUGUCAAAAAGUGCUGGAUCAAAAACUUCCUUACCUUUCCCAUUUAUAUAAGGGUGCUGUUUUCUCCUUAUAUUCAAAAUUUGAAGGUCCUUACGAGCUUUUAUUCCAUCCUUUGUCUUCCCAGGAAUAUUUAACAGUGUACCUAAAAUGUUUUCACAAACAUUCUUUUCAAUAUGCAUUAGAUCAAGGUUAUGCCGUAUCAAAAGAUAUUGCCAAUAUGGUAACUCAAAGAAUAUGCUUUUCUUCUUCCACUGAACUUUGUUACUAUUUAUAUUCGUUGUGGGAUAGGUAUUUGUAUUCCUAAUGGGACAAGAACAUUUUUUGGGUUUUCCUUGCCCAACAAAAACAGCUGACUUCUUUUUGGGUUUUCGAAAUGUGAAUGUCAAACUUGACAAUUUUUCUAAACACUGUGAACCUGUCAAGGGAAUAGGUGGAAGAGCAUGUUCUUCCUUACCGUUAAAGGCUGCUUUAUCUCUUCGAAACCUAUGUUGUAUAGGUAGAAAUCUCCGAUGACCCAUAUAACACAUCUUACUACUAUUUGCCAAAUGCAUUGAGACUGUAUCAUCCAUGCAAUGCGGACACGCUUUCUUCCCCUUCGUGCUCCAUCCUGAAAGAAUUGCAUAUGCGGGAAAGUCAUUAAUCGUCCAUAACAAUGCAGCCUUCAUUGUAAAAGUUUGGUUGGCAAACACAUCAAACGUCUUAAUACCAACCUCCCACAACUCUUUCAACUCAUCGAUUAAAGGCUUCAAAUACACGUCAAUAUUAUUGCCAGGCCCAUCAGGACCAGGAAUUAUUAACGAUAACAAUAAAUUUGGUUGCUUCAUACACAUCCAUGGAGGCAAAUUAUAAACUGACAGUACAACAGGCCAUGUACUAUGGGGUUUGUUCAUAUUUGAAAAGGGAUUAAACCCAUCACUUGCAAGCCCCAAUCGCACGUUGCGUAUCUCCGAAGAAAAUUCAGGGUAUAAGGAAUCUAAAUGCUUCCAUGCACGAGAAUCUGAUGGGUGCCUCAUGAAUCCAUCUUUAGGACAUUCGGUUGCAUGCCAUCUCAUAUCUUCAGCGGUAUGCUUCGACAUAAACAAUCUUUGCAACCUUGGUUUUAAUGGAAAAUACCGAAGAACCUUGGUUGGAACCUUAGCUGAUGUGUUCUUACUCAAAGAACCUCCCACAAUAUUGACUUUGUACCUUGAGGCACCACAAAGUGCACACUCAGUCAAGUCUGAUGUAUCUUUCCAAAACAGCAUACAAUCAUUGGGGCAAACAUCAAUCCUCUUGACUGUAAGUCCCAACUCCCUAAUGAUUUUUUUAGCAUCAUAAUUAUUUUUUGGUAAACAAUUCCCCUCUGGCAACAAUUGUUUAACCAAUUGUAACAGCAUUGUAAAGACAUUAUCGCUUCCCUAAACAUUUAAUCUGGAACAGUCUUACAACAGAAUACAAUUUCUUAUAUUUACACCUAGGGUACAACUCCAUAUCUGCUUCUUCAAGUAACUUAUAAAAUAUUUCAGCCUCAGGUGUUUGGCCAUCAAAGAUAGGUGGCUCUGUCGAAGUCCCAACAGUUUCUCCAAUUAUUGGUUGCACAAAGGCUUCAUUGAGAAAAUCAUGAAUGUCAUCUAUACAAACUUCUUCAUUAUGAACUGAUUCUAUAUCCUCUUGGAAUGGUAAAUUUGUCAUGGGCUCCCCAUGAUGCCUCCAAGGGCCAUUCAUAUAUGUGGGAUCCAUUCCUUUUUCUAUAAGAUGAAGCUGGAUGAUGUUUCUUUCAUAGUGAUAACGGUUACAACAUUUUUUGCAAGGACAUAUGACCCUCUCUCCAAAACCCACUUUGGCAAAGACGUCAUCUAAAAACAUUCUCAUUCCGUCUGCGUAUUCCUUACAAUUUCUCCUUAAAUGUACCCAACUUUUAUCCAUAGUUCACCUAUAUUGAGUGCAAGGCACCAAAUACAAUUAUUCAGCACAGAUCAUCCCUCAUACUUAUUGUCUAUAAAUUCCUAUCAGGUGGGUCAAUUUAUUAUCCAUUAGAUGACCCUCAUGACCAUCUACAUCAAUUCACAAGAAAAACCAAAUUAAAAUAACAAAAACCUGAGUCUAAAGAAUAUAUUAACUAAGAAAUUGCACAUUCAUUCAACUGAAGAAAAGAACUAUAACACCAAACAACUAGACCCACUUAAUAGCUAAAGAAACUCACGUCAUAACAACAAAGUAUACAUAUUAAACAACAUAUCAACUCAUAGAUAAAAGCCCGAUAAUCUCAAUACUAUGAACAAUCUUAUUCAAAAAUAAUAAGAUAACAGCAACAUAAUAGAAAAAAGUAAAGGGAAACACACCUGGAUUCUAAGUUUCCAACAACAAUUCAACACUCCUGCAGUAGAUUAAUACAUACAUACCCACAUAUCAAACUUCACCAACAAAUAAUAAAAAAUUAAAACAAGAGCUUUGAAAAAUCAAAGGAUUCGUGUCACAUCCCGGAAUCGGCUCCGCCGUAGCACGAUAUUGUCCGCUUUGGGCCCCCCUCUCUGCCCGCACGGUUUUGUUUCUAGGAGCUCACGAGCAACUUCCCAGUAGGUCACCCAUCCUGGGAUUGCUCUAGCCCCCAACUCGCUUAACUUCGGAGUUCCUACGACUCCGAAGCCAGUGAGCUCCCAAAAGGCCUCGUGCUAGAUGGAUGCGGGCAUGCACAUAUAAGGCACAUCACCCCCUCUCCGUUGGUUGAUGUGGAAUCUUACAAUCCACCCCCCUUAAGGACCCGACGUCCUCGUCGGCACACUCGCACCACACGGCAGAGUGGCUCUGAUACCAAAUUGUCACAUCCCGGAAUCGGCUCCGCCGUAGCACGAUAUUGUCCGUUUUGGGCCCCCCUCUCUGCCCGCACGGUUUUGUUUCUAGGAGCUCACGAGCAACUUCCCAGUAGGUCACCCAUCCUGGGAUUGCUCUAGCCCCCAACUCGCUUAACUUCGGAGUUCCUACGACUCCGAAGCCAGUGAGCUCACCCCCUCUCCAUUGGUUGAUGUGGGAUCUUACAAUUCGUUUAUAUCUUGGAAUAAAAUCAGUAUUCUAAUUUUUAUAUCUAAUUGGAAGGAUUCAUGGGUCAUUACCUACACUAAAAUACUUGAAAAAAUAAAAUAAACAAACAAAAUAAGAACAAAAAUUUCACCAGAACAGAGGCACAAAAAUCUCACCAAAACAGAGGGCCUCUUUAAUGAAGGACAACCAAGUCAGCCCCAAUUGAAAAGAGCAAAGAACCCCCAGAUUUAAUCUCUCUCUCAAUCUGAAUCAGCAACCCCAAUUGAGAAAAGCAAGGAAAACCCCCCAAAUUUAAUCUCUCUCUCUCAAUCUGAAUUAGCAACCCCAAUUGAGAAGAGCAAGGAAAACCCCCCAAAUUUAAUCUCUAUCUCUCUCAAUCUGAAUGAGCAGACACGAAAAUCACUACCACACAUGACUCCAACUCCAUUAGCUAUGAGGAAGAAUACAAUUCAUUCUUCAAUGAAAAGAAGAGGGAAGAGAUGGCCGGUUUGGAGGAAGUAGAAAAGCUCAAGUAAACAAUUGAAGUUUUUUAUAUAUCAAUAGGAAAAUUUUGAAGUUAAAAAUUAUAUUUAAGAAUAGUAUUGGCAAUCGAACUCGUCAGAAAAAAAGUUGGCUUCCUGGUGUCUGAAAAUUUAGGCGCUUAUGUUUUCACUUCCCGCGUUAAAAGAGACUGGCGCAGUGUCUCGUCAGUAAAGGUAGUAAUGACAAAAGACUUUGUCAGUAUUAUUUACUAGUGAAAAAUCACUUUAUUUUGCUAGUAUUUGGUCUCAGUACUGACUAAGCUGCUCUUUCAUCAGUAUUAGUCCGUCAGUAUAAGCUAAAAUUGUAGUAGUGAGAGGAUUGAUAAGUGAUAUUAAUUCUUGAAUAUACAGAAUGUAAAAUAAAGGAACACGUAAAAAAUUAUUUUAUGUGGUAAAACUCCAUCUCUGGGGAAAAUCCACGGGACUUCUUAGUCCAAAACAAAUCCAUUAUAGAAUGAUGAUUACAAGAAGUACUCACACACUUAUCCUAGACACAUUCUAGAUAAUGUUUACUGACCUCUUCGUAACUCAACUUCUGUCUCGAGAUGAUCUUUCAACACUCCUUAUGUUGAACGCAAUAUUGGUCACGAUUUCUUCAAGCUCGUCAGAGUUCUUCCAACUCUCCUAAUAUUGAAUCCGAUACUAGUCACGAUUGAUUCAAGCUCAUCGUAGAAAAACCGUCACAAUGGUCUUGGUGCCCUCAACCGUAUGAGUCAUUAAACAUGCAAAUGAAUACAUAUAUGAAUGAUAAAAGUGUUUGAUAAAUCACUGAGUUAUGGAACACUUGAUGAUUUAUCUCAAAUAAAAACUCAGCUUUAAUGCUUUCUAAACAAAGAAGACGAAGGUCUUACUUUAUAGACUUUUUCUUUACAAGAAAGAAAAUAAGUUGGAAACCAAAUCUCCAAUUUCCAAGGCAAAAUCACAAAAGUAUCUUUCCUAUUCUAGAGAUUGGUCACAUGUAGUCCAACCAAUAGGAAAUGAGAUAUUUAAGAAAGGAAGAUUUUGAUCAAUAUCAAUAUCAAAUGAAUUCUUAUACGCCUAGUCAACUAUUAAGGGUAUCUUGACUCCUUGAUAUUUUGAUAUGAUUGAAACAUGAUUUCCAAGUUAGAAAAUUAAGGGGUUGUUAAAACAUGAAAGUAAUAGGAGAAACAAAUUUAUUUGAACCAAAAUUGCCCAAAAAGAAAACACUCCUAAAUAAACUUCAAUUCACUUUAGUAAAACAUGAUUGAAUCGUUCGUUAAAACAAUUCCCUAAUAUACAUGCAUGAUAAUGACAUCACUUACCCCUGAAUCAAAUUUGUUAAUGUAUGCAUUUUGAGUUUUUUUUUCUUUUGGCUUCCCUUGACAAUUUUGUAAUAGGAAAAUCAUUGUAGUUUCUCAAGCUCUAAGUUUAGAUUAAGAAUUACUUCUCUAGGUGUUCUUAUCUGCCUACAUUCUGAUGGAAAACAAUGCGUUUGACAAAGGUAAAUUCUGCAUUACACUACAUUGCAUUCACUAAAUUUCUUAAGAUUAUGACUAGUCAUCUUUCUUUCGUAUGACUAGUCAUCUUGCAUUCGUAUGACUAGUCAUCUUUCCUUCGUAUGACUAGUCAUCCUUUGUUUCAAUUAGGAUUUCCAGCUCACUGUUUCCAGCUGGGGCUUAAGCAUUUUUUUGUCCUUUUCUACGAAUUUCUCAGCUUCCAUGUGUCUAUUCUGACCUAGGAAUUUUUGGUAAAAGCCAUAGAAUUCCUCAUUUGGCAGCCGUCACUUUUGGGGACAAGUUGUGGAAAGUUUCAUAGCAAACUUUCGCUUCUUCUUCCUCAAGAGUAACCUUCAUAUUUUUCAUCUUUGAGUUCUCUAAAUUGUUUCUUUUUGAAAACUGCAUUUGAAAUAUGAAAACUUCAUCUUGCUAGAUCAAACACUCUAUCAUAUACAUCUAGGUCAGAUUCAAGAUUGAUUUCUUCAAGAGUAUGGUUUCUUGAAGAAAUUGGUCAUUUUCUCCAUGAAUCCAAAUUUCAUUUCUGUCUGAGUUAGAGCUUGCAAGCUGGUGCCAUGGGAUGAAUGAGCUGAAGAAGGAGCUGCCAUUGCCAUGAAGAACUGAGCUUCAAGCUUUGCUAAGUUGGAGAAGAAGAUUGCACAAAGGAGAUAUAGCAUCUUCCUAAAUAGACCUAGGAAUUUCUUGAGCUUGCUAGUGUUCUUUGUAAGAAUCUUUUUGCUUAGUGGAUUGCCUGGUCGGUUGAUGACCCCCAGUUUUUCCCAAUGGUGGGUUUCUGGGUGAACAAUAUCUGGUUUCCAUCUCUGUAGAUUUUUUGGGUUUGUGUUCUUGAUAGUUGACUAGUCAUCUGAAUUUGUGUGGUUGACUAGUCAUCUUUUUCUGCUGUUUGGUGUUUUCUUGAUUAUGUUGUCUUCACACACUUUUACCAUAGUUGUUGCUAGCACAAGGGAUGCCUAGAUUGAUGGGUCCUUCUGAGUGCCUAGGUUGUCACUAGUAAUUCUCUAGGCCUGCAGGUACAUCUUGGUAUGCUUUGUGUAUGUUAUUGUUUGGUUUAAUUCAUAUCUAACAGUUGACUAGUCAUAAGAGUAUUUGGUCAAGGUCUAGAGUGUGUGAAGUUUGUUGCGUUCUUGAUUGAAUAUCUUUUAAAUUUACCCUUCGUCACCUAAUUACCAAUUUGCAGACUCCACAAAUGAAGAAAAGAGCACAAAUAUCGUGAAUGCUAUUGGGAAUGGAAAGGGCAAACCUGUUCAAAAAGGGUAUGGAGGGGGCGUUAGACUUUACGUUCAAAAAGGGUAUGGAAAACGUCCUCCUCCAUCUGACAGUCAACUACUCCAUUAUAAAGACAUAGCUAUUUUCUUCUUCGAGAAAGACAUGCGCCCUGGCUCAACAAUGAAGUUCCAAUUCCCUAGAAAUUCAAACACGGCUACUUUCCUGCCACGCGAAAGUGCUCAAUCGAUCCCCUUCUCCUUUAACAAACUACCAGAAAUUUUCAACCAUUUUUCAGUGAAGCCAACAUCUGUGGAAGCCAAAACAAUUAAGCAAACAAUCGAAGAGUGUGAAGCUCCAGGCAUUAAGGGAGAUGAAAAAUAUUGCGCCACAUCUUUAGAAUCAAUGGUUGAUUUUAGCACUUCGAAGCUUGGAACAAGAAACGUUGAAGCAGUCUCGACGGAGGUAUUGGAAAAAGGAGCCACCAUGUCCAUGCACAACUAUACAACAAUGCCGGGACUGAAGAAGUUGGCAGGUGACAAAGUCGUUGUGUGUCAUAAGGAGAACUAUCCCUAUGCUAUGCUAUGUUUUUCUGCCAUGCAAUAAAACAAACAGCAGCUUAUGUUCUCUCCCUGAAAGCCGAUGAUGGGGAGAAGGUUAAAGCUGUAACCAUCUGCCAUCUAGACACAUCAGAAUGGAACCCAGAGCAUUUGUCCUUCCAAAUCCUCAACGUUAAGCCCGGAACCGUUCCUAUCUGCCAUUUCAUUUCCACUGAUGCUAUUGCCUGGGUUCCAAAACACAAAUCUGCAUGAUCAUCACUUAGCACUGUACGUAUAAUAAGCUUGGUUGGGUUGCACCCCUGUAUAAUUAUCUCCCUACUUAUUUCUGCCUCUUCAUCAUGUGGUGUAAGAUAUAUGAUGAAAUGAAGUUUUUGGGAUUAGUGGUCGGGUUGCCUGAAAAACACAGAUUAUAGAAACUGCUUGAAAUUAACCCGAUCAUGUUUUCUCUUGUAACGAUAUAGACUUCAACUUGUACUCAUAAUAAAGCAUGCUAUAUUUAUGAAGAGAUAUUAAUCUAUAUAUGCUUUGGCUUUGUGGUUUUACCCAGUGUUUGAAUGUUGAAUUGUUACGUUGGAAUAGGCUGCUAAUGCAUGUAGUUAGAGAAGCCUUCAUUUAUAUCAAAGUCCUCAAACUAUCAAGAACUAAUGUAUCCAGAAACACAUACCAAGACGCAAAACAACAUAUUUUCCAUGCUGUCUGUAACACCAAAGCAAACUUCCUUUAUCACAUCAUUUAAAGGAUCAAAUUCCAGUACUAAUCUAAUCCAUUAUGUAAAGCAUCAGGGACAGACUCAAGAUUUCAAAAUGGAGUGGGCUAGAUUUUAGGUCCGGCUAAACUUUAUAGGGAGACUUAUGAAAUUAAUCAUAAUAUUAUAUAAAUUUAAUUUAAAAACAUAUCAUUUUUAUUUUAUUUAUUUAAAGAGUCCAAUUUUACACCAACAAUGUCAUCAACAAUUGAUUAUAUAUGCUUAAAAUUAACAUUAGUUGACAACUCACAACUCAUAUUGCAACUUAUUUAGUAUAUGUGUUUUAUACUAACAAUAACAAAAGAAAAACACUUGACUGGGCUAUAGCCCAGUUUGUACACAUUGCAGGCCCGUCCUUAUAAAGCAUACAAGUGCCUCCCUAAAUUUGUCCGUUGGAUAUAUAUAUGUCACUUUUUAUUUUUUGAUAGAGAUAUAAAUGUUGAGAAAAUUAGAGUACACAACUCUAAUAUCAUAAAGCAAACAAAAUUUCUAAGUUAGUUUGCUUUAUGAUAGUUGUUUUUUGAAGGGGUCCUUAGAUCUAAUCUCAAAAAGUUUGGCUUUUAUUAGGUUUAACUCUGGUUUUUGCAAUUCUUUAUCUCGUAGUGGCAAUGUUCAAAUGCGAUGAGAUUUCUAAUUAAUACCUCUGUAUGAUCGCUUAUUUUCAAUCUUGGAAUUUCAAGAGUCCGGUCAGCAAAUCUAAUAAGGUAUUCGUUGAUCCCUCAUUCAACUUGAUCCCUGCCCUGUGUAGCUCUGUGAUGCUGGGUGUGUUUAUAGUUAUGAGUUUCCUGUCAUCAAUUUUUAGGGCUAUUCGUUAUAUGAGUCCCUGAACUUAGACUCGAUUUGCAUUUUAGUCCCUCAAUUUCCAAAAUCGUUUCAGUGGUCCUUCAACUUCAGUUUCGUUAGGACAAAUGGUCCUGCCAUCAAACGAUUAUAAAGUGGAAAAAACAAGAACAAAAAGGGAAGUGAGUUAAAUUUGCACCUACUAUGUUCAAACGACAAAGUUGGUUUCCCUUUGGUUGAUUACAAGAGAAGUGAAAGGACCCGCCCGAAUUUUCUCAAAAUCCGAGACAAACCCUUUGGAAUUCCUGACAUCACCCUGAUGCCAGGCCCACUUACUAAAAACCGAGACCUCCUGCCGAAAUUUCGGCAGAGUCUCCCCUAUAAAUUGGACGUUUCCCAAAAUUUAUACCUGCAUAAAAACGCAUUUAAUAUUCCCAACUGGCAGCAUGCACAAUAUAAUUUCAUGCAAUUCACACAAAUGGCCUUCGGCCUUUCAAUAAUUCAUAUCCAACUACCAAACCAUUCAAAUACCAAAUAUGACUAACAUUUAGUCUGCGGCUGCACCUAAUAACCCUAGGCUGCCUACGUACCCUCCUUGAGGGAUCAAGCCACACGUAGUUCUUCCCUAAAACCCAAUUCCACACUUGGGCGAUACCUUAUUUCAUUUCUCUGGAUUUCAUAUAAUCUCCCCAUACGCCGGUACAACCAACGCCACGUAUGGGGCCUGUCAACACGCCGGAUAACCUACGCCACGUGCGACCAUGCCAUACUAUCAUAAUAUCUCCCCAUACGCCGGUACAACCAACGCCACGUAUGGGGCUUGUCCCAACGCCGGAUAACCUACGCCACGCGGGACCUCAAUAUUCAUAUCACAAAUCUCCCCAUACACCGGUACAACCAACGCCACGUAUGGGGUCUGUCGACACGCCGGAUAACCUACGCCACGUGCGACCUCACACAAUAUCACAAUAUCUCCCCAUACGCCGUACAACCAACGCCACGUAUGGGGUUUGUCUCAACGCCGGAUAACUACGCCACGUGAGACCUGAAACAUCAUAUUACAAAUCUCCCCAUACGCCGGUACCACCAACGCCACGUAUGGGGCCUGUCCCAACGCCGGAUAACCUACGCCACGUGGGACCUAACUUUCACUUGGUGGUGCUUGUAGUGAAUCCAAAAUCCGGGGAGGUAUCUAAAGUAGUGCGUUUAGCACUCCAAACUGACACUCUAGACUCUGUUGUACCCUUGUACAACCAUAUAUAAUUAUAGUUAUAUAAAUUAAUUCUAAUAUUGUGUAACCCUCCACAAUAGUCUAGCUCCCGAUAAUCCCCCCCUUAGAAAGGUGAGAUUACUCCGGGAGACUCACGGUCAACCAAGGGUCAAACUACUCUAACCCUGGUCAACCGGACCUGCAGAACCCACUACCUCCAAUUUCCGAUCCGAAAGUCUCUAUGGGUUCUACCAGGUAUAGGACACUUGUCCUGCAAGUUUGGUUCAAAUCGGACGGUCGGAUUUCUCACGAUCGCACGAUCUGACGGUUAAUAUAAGAUAUAAAAUUAAAAUUAUUAUUCGGAACAUCCGGGGUUCCGAUUCAUGAUCCGUAAAUUCCUACACGAUCCUAGAAAUACCUAGAUUAACAUAUAUUAAAUUUGGGACCAUCCAACGGUCCCAACCUAUCGAACUCGGAUAACGCACACUAUGCGAUUAUCCGUUCGAUAGUCAAACGACGUCCGAAUUGAGAUCCGCGAAAUCCUACGCACUCGUGACAACCUAAGGAUCUCAUCGGAACACAUCGCUACAUUUUCUACAGUGCCCACGCACCGGCAGUGCGUGGGUGCCCAAAGCGAUAACGCUUCGCCGGAAAAUCUCAAAACCACGGCUCCAAACUCCUACCCUAGGUAUAACACCCUAUUUGGAGCCACUUUUGUUUUGGACCUACCCCAAAAAGUGGCCGGAAAUGGCCAAUCACGGCGGCCGAAGUUUCGGCCGAUUUUCAAUUCGAAAAUUGAGUUGCCUACGCUAAGAAUCGAUCUAAUCCUACCCAACCAUCAGCUAGAGCAGCUCGAGAGGUUCAAAAUCCAUACCUGGGUCGACGGAUUUGGUGGCCGGAGGAGGAGGAUCGACGGCGUUGAAGUUCCGGCGACAUCUGGGCGAAAAUCGCCAUUUUCCGGCGGCUGGAGCGGCGGCCGAUGGCGGGGAUGGGCUGGGUCGUGACGCCGAGGUCGAGCCGGUUCUUUUGACACCGGCCCCGUCCGCAGCCGCGGCCGGUGGCCGGAGUUACGAAGAGAGAGAGAGGAGAGAGAGAGAGGAGAGGCCGACGGGAGAGAGAGAGAGAGGAGUCUCGCAGGAGAGAGAGAGAGAGAGAGAGAGAGAGAGAGAGAGAGAGAGAGAGAGAGAGAGAGAGAGAGAGAGAGAGAGAAACCAGAUUUUAUAAAAAAAAUCCCAUUUCGAAAUAUUUACGAUUAUGCCACUGGACUUCUUUUGACCAUAUCUCUCUCGUUACAACUCCGAUUCGAGCCCACUACGUGUCUGUGAACUCGUCUCAGUACGACCUAUCCAAAAAUAUAAGUCACGGUCCCAAACUCUCUCCGGUUAAAAAUAUGACUAAAAUACCCUCAAAGCAGCUUACUUGGUUCCUCUAGUAGAUGGAAAUAUAAUUUUUCUAGCUAAAUUUCUCAAAUGGUCCUCAAACUUGUACGCGAUUUACAUUUUGGUCCAUCAAUUAAAUUAUUAGUCCAAAUGGUACAUAAACUCUAUUUUAAUCGCCCAUUUGAUCGAACCGUCUAAUUUUCUGUUAGAUUUAACCAAAUUUUAGGGUAAAUAUGACUUUUCAUAAUUAACAAAUAAAAUAGGAUUAAAAUAAUUAAAUACAAAAUUAGAAAAAAAAAAUGAAGAAAAGGAGGAAGAACAGAAGAGGAAGAAACCCAGAAGAAGAGGAAGCGGACAAGGUUAUUGCAAUGGCUUUCUUAAGUAAAAUUGGGAAUAUACUCAGAUGGACUGCAAAGAAGCAUAUCUGAUCUGAAUUAUCUCCUUUCAAACUAUCUAUCCAUCAAGCAGUAAGAUGCAUGUCAAACAUGGUGAGUUCAAAACUCUUAUUGGAGGUAUUUCGUACCAAACAGAUGAGCAGAGUCUGAAGGAAGCUUUUGCAAAAUAUGGUGAAGUUAUUAAUGCAAGAAUCAUCAGUGACCGUGAAACUGGUAGAUCUAGAGGAUUUGGGUUCAUCACUAGCGAGGAGGCAUCCAGUGCAAUCCAGGCCUUGGAUGGGCAUGAACUUCAUGGCCGUCGAGUAAGGGUGAAUUAUGCUACUGAUAGACCUCGCCCUAACUUCGGUGAUGGAGGUGGUUUUGAAACUGCUAGCACUGGAGGUGGUUUUGGCAAUAACAUCAAUUUGGGUGUUGCUGUUGCUGUUGGUGGUGCUCAUAACUUUGUUGGCGGUGCUGACAACAGCUUUGGCAGUGGUGGAGCUCAAUUGGGAGAGAACAAAGGUGGUUUCAGCUUGCAUGAUCCCUUGAAAGGAAAUGAUAAGGAUGAUGAUGAUGAUGCCGGCAACUUUCUCAAGAGGGCUUGAUAAUAUUUAGAUAAGAGGAGCGAUUUAGUUUGCUUCUAUGCAGAGCUACUAGUAGAUUGUCUUUUUGUUACAGCUGCAUGUCCCCCCUCCCCGUCUUUCUAAACUAUUAAUUUCAUUUGGCGGAAUUUUCUGUGAAUUUCAUGCACCUUUUAGUGUGCUUUGUCAACUAAGGACCUGGAUUGUGGGAAAAAAAGAAGCAAAAAAAGAAGAAACCAGGAAGAAGAAGAAGAAACCCAGAAGCAAAAGAAGAAGAAACCCAGAAGAAGAAGAGAGAGAGAGUUGGUGGAUGCAAUGACCAAGUUGCCCUCAUAUUUAACGGAAAUAUUGAUAGAAUGUAACGGUAGGAUCAAUGAAGCGAAUAAUAUAGAGUUGAUGUACCAUUUGGACUAAUAAUUUAAUUGAGGAACCAAAAUGUAAAUCGAGUAUAAGUUUGAGGACCAUUUGAGUAAUUUACCCUAAUUUUUCUCCUAAUAAUAAGGGUUUAGUGCAAUCAAUGAUGGGCUGUAUAGAACAACUUUUUUGUUUUAUAUGUUUAUGUGAGACAAGUUUUGCCAGAUUGAAUUAAUGUCUUCUAGCUAUGUACCUUAUCUUUUUGCCGGGCCAUGAGUUGAAUGUAGAGGCAGAGCAUGGACUUGGGGUCAAGUUUGACUUGUAAAAAAUUAGGAAUUGAAUGGCUAAUACGUUCAAUUAUUUAUUUAUUUAUUUAUUUUUGUCCGAGCCAUUCAAUUCCUAAUUAUUUAGAUUUUCAAUCCAGUGAGCAUCCACAAUCAUGCUCUCUAUUUUUAAGUUAAAUUUUAGCUAAAAACAUAUAAAAGUUAUUUUAGGAGCUCUCUAUAAAAUUUAAACUUCAAUCGUUUUCUCUAGUUUAGGGAGUCAUAAAUGCCAUAACUCUUUUUUGAUUGGUCUAUCUCUAUUAAAAAAUAAAAUAAAAAAUAAUUAGCAUUAAAUAAAGAUUUGAAAUACUCAUUAAAUAAAGCAACAUUAAAUUAUAGGGAGCCACUAGGAGUCCUUUCUCUCUCCUCAAGUUUAGGAGCUCCUAGAGGUCUCCCUAUUUUAAGAGGUGGAUAGGGAGUAUGGUUGGAAUUGUAUUUUUACAAUUCCUCCCUAAAAUUUGUCUAAGGAGGUGGUUUAGGGAACCCAUUGUGGAUGCUCUCAUCUCAAAGAAAGAAAACCUCAAGUUUGCAAGCAAGUUUUCUACGUAUGUAUAUAUGAAAAAAUGAUAUGAAAAUAAUAAAUCCAUAUUUUUAUGUAAGCCAACUUUCUAAAUCCAUGUACUAUAUUUAUUAGGGAAAUAUUGGAGAAACUGAUUAUUUUGAAAAAUUAAAUGUGAAAAACUGAACAAAAAUUUGACAGGUUACAUAUUUCAACUCAUUCAGCAGCUUAGGUUGUGAAGACCUAAGCAACAAAUCUGCUACUGGGGUGUUGGGGUUUUCUACGUCAUGUGGAGCUUCAUUGCUGCAUCCUUCCACUUCCAUUAUGUGUUGUUCUGAUUCUAAGUGAUGAGGGUAUUAUUGGCACCAUAAUAAACAAAUCAUUUCAAGAUGGUUCCUUCAAAAAUUUAGAAAACAUGCAUCACGAAAUUUUUUAGAAAACAUGCAUCAUGAAAAAAUUACGUGAACAAUAUACUUACACCAUGGGAUCACUCCCACAUAUUGUAACACCCCGACUCCAAAUUAAAUGAUUAUUUUAAUCGAUUUUUAUAAAAUUACGAAUUUACCCUUGGGAUAGGGGUAACUUGGUCACUUUCUUCUUCGGAAGGAUUUUUGGACCAUGAGUGGUAUUUCUGGGUAGUUGGUACCGAGACGAAUUCGUAGACAUGCGGUAGGCUUGAAUCGGGGUUGUAACGAAAAAGUUACGGGCAAAAUAGUGUCAGUGGCAAACUUGUAAAUAUUUCGAAAAGGGUUAGGGUAAAAAUCAGAUUUUUCCAGUUUUACCUCACUUUCUCUCUCUUCCUCCCGAUUCUCUCUCUCUCUCCCGCGUCUCUCUUCCUUCUCCGAUCUGCAGAUCGCAGAGCCGCCGCCACAGGCCACGGCUAGCCCCGAGACCGGACCCAAAACGAUCGGCCAAACCUCGCCGACGUCCCCCGACCCAUCUCCAGCCGCCAGCCGCCGCCUCGUCGCCGGAAACCACGGAUUUCAGGCCGAUUCUUGUCUGAGCUUCCAGUCGAUCGUUCUCUCUCCUCCGAGCACUAUUUCAGACGGGUGAGGUAUGGUUUCUCAUCCAAUUUUUGAGUUCUAGCUGAUGAUGGUAUAGGUUUUCAUUGAUUUUGAGUCUAGAAAACCGAUUAGGAAUCUAGGUUUUGGGCCGAAUUUCAAAAUGAAAUUCUGGCCAGUUGCCGGCCGAAUUGGAGCUUCUCGUAGUUGAAUGAAGUGAUCCUGACCUCGAGUAGAAGCUAGAGUAGGAAGGGUGAGCUCGGGUGUGGAGUUUUUCCGUCACCGGAAUUACUCUGCACACCCACGCGCUGCCGGCGCGUGUGGCGGUGCGUGGGCGAGUCUGGUGAGGAUGUAAAUUGACCCGAUGAGAUCCUUAGGUUGUCACGAGCGCAUAGGAAUUCGCGGAUCUCGAUUCGGAUGUCGUUUGGCUAUUGAAACGGAUUUUCGCAUAUUGUGCGUUAUCCGGGUUCGAUAGGUUCCGACCGUUAGAUCUUUCCCAAAUUAAAAUAUGUUGUUCUAGGUAUUCCUAGGACCGUAUGGGACUUCACGAAUUCUGAAUCGGAGCCCCGGAUGUUCCGAUUCAAAAAUGCAAAGUUUGCGGGUUAGCGAUAACCGUAAAAUCGUGAACGCUUCCUAAACCUGUAAUCGGACCUUAGGGUACCAUCUUCGACGUGCACGUAUGGGAAUUUGGGGAGUUAAGCAUUUAAUUUGUAAUUUCCGCUUAGACGUGGUUUUUAUAUUAAUUAACGGUUCGUAUUUCGAAAUAGGUAUUUCGACUGCACGCACGCAGCAAGCAGGACCUUCACGUGGUCAGGCAGCGAGGGAAUACUUGUGAGUGGACUUUGUUUUAAUCAUAUGCCUGGUUUUAAUUAAUGAAAGAUUUUGCAUAAUGUUUUAAUGGCUUCUGGAUUUUAUGUAUUAUAUGCAUGAAUUAAUUUCAAUGGGUGUAUAGCAAUUGGCAAUAUAUUAUGAGUUUGGCCUUUUGGGUUUUGAGAGUGUAUUUCAUGUAUAGAUUGGGGAAGUAUAUUUUGAUAUAUAUAUAUUCUUUUAGAGGAGAUAUUUGGGUUGUUGGAGAGUGAUAUGGAAGAAUGUGAUUAGAGAGGAGUUGUGGGAUUACACUACGUAAGUACCUUCCCCGGUUACUAGUCUCACUCGCGGCGUUGGAUGUUCCGGCGGGUGAGACACUUUCCGUAUGCGGCGCUGGAUGUUCCGGCGUACGGAAAGACUGUGUAUAGAGUUUAGGGUCAUCACCAUGGCGUUGGAUGUUCCGGUGUGUGAUGAUCCAGUCUGCGCGCGUAGGACAUAGUUUGAGAGCUACACAUGGCGUUGGAUGUUCCGGUGUGGGAGCUUUGGAGUUUCGUCCCCCGGUUGGACCGCUCAUCCCUAAACGCAGGAUAGCACCUGGAAAUCCUGCGGACUAGUCAAACGAUCCCCCAGUUGGAUUGUUUUCCCCGGUACCUAAGUGGUGUGAUGAGUAUAUCAUAUAGCUAUUUAUAGUUAUUUAUAUAUAUAUAUUUAUGUGUAUAUUUAUUGAAUAUGUAUAGUUGAGUGUGAAAGGAAUUGGAGUUUGUUUAAUAGUUGAUAGGAGUGGUGAGUUUGAGAGAAUGGGGUUCUUUUUGAAAGAGAUAACUGAUGUUUUUAGAUGAGUUUUACUGAAGCAUAUUUUGAGUAAUUUCUUAUUGAAUUGUGAACCUGCAUGACUUGAGCAUUAUUUUACAUGGUGGGGUUACUAUGUUGUUUUUAACUGCAAACCUGGUUUUUGUCCACUCACAUGUUUUCUGUUUUGCGCCCCCCCAGCCAGUAGUUGCUCUUGGAAGUGCAAGUGGUGUACGAAGCGGAAUCGGUGCAUCUUUCUAAUUAGGAAUUGUGUAAAUUCUUCUACUCAACUGUUCUUGUAAUCUAAAUUCAGUAGAUGCUCUGUAUUUGCCAUGGUAGAUUUUACUUGUGAGGCCGGAGGCCACUCUAGUAUGACUUAUGUAUGUAUGAAAGCAUGCUGCUGGUUGGGAUUAGUAUUACUGUGUGUGCAGGUUGAAUAAAUUUUGUUGGGUUUGUUUAAAUUGCAGGGGAGACUCUGCCAAAAUUUUGGUAGAAAGUCUCGAUUAUUUAGUAGUGGGCCCGGCAUCAGGAUGAUGUCGGGAUCAAGACGGGGUCCGCCUCGGUCAACGGGAAAUUCCGGGGCGGGUCUUGUCACAUAUUUGAACACAUAACACGUGUUCAAGGUUAUAUAUUUCAUUACCUUCACAAUAGGUACCAAACCGUACCAUGGGAACAUUCAUAUACGCACAACAUACUUAUAACAUACUUACACUCGUGUAUAUUUGAACACAAGAAGACGUGUGCACCACCGUGCACGGUUCACAUGAAGUAAGAAGAUGAAGAGGAAAUAAAGAAGAAUACAAAAGAAAAUGGAGAUGAGAAGAAAAAAAAAACACGAAUAAUGAAAAAUGAGUUGACAAUUAUAUAUGGUUGACAUUAGAUGUAAUAUUAUAUGUAAUAACUAAUGAUCUAAAAUAAACAUUUAAUCUAUUCACUCGUUUCGUGUUUACUCCUGUGAUGGAAGGGCAAAGUUCCCCAUUGCCUUGAAAACCAUUGACUGGUCAACAAGACAACUUUCUUUGGUGUGCGAGCGUGCCACUACUAGCAAUAAAAAACAUAGCAGACUUCUUUGAAAUAUAUAACUUGCGUCCUAAGUUACUAAUUUCUAAACAAGCGAUCGUGAAUUUGGGUGAGGAAUAUCUCCCAAGUAAGUUCUUUUCUUGCCUCAGACUGGUGAGGACUUCACAAUUUAUCUUAGUACAAGAUUGGUAGUUUUGGCCAGAAUAAAUGAUAAUAAAGUGGACUUUUUUAGGCAGAACUGCCUUUUACAAAACUAGAAAGGAAAAGAUCAACUCUAGAAAGACAAAAAAAUGGCUGAAAUUCCAUUUCUGCCUGGAUAGAAGCUUCUGAUCCGGGCUGGACUGGGUAUGUUUGUUCUGGACUGAAUUGUCAACAACUUCAACUACUAAGCUUCAGCUGUAAAUCGAUACCAAAGUUUGAGUUUGGCAGAGUUUUAAUAUAUUUCAAGCCCUGGAAGGCUUUUCGAACGGGCAGAACUGCAACUUCUUUGGUCUGAACGGGGCAGAAGUGGCUGGACUUAAGGAUUACUAAGCCGGAACUGCACUAUGGUACCUGUUCUGCUUGAUCCGGGCUCUCUAUAAAUUUGUUGAGGUUUCCAUAUUUGUGAAAACUCAAACUCGGCUUGUCUUGGCUUUUGCUGAACCAAAUUUGUAACGCGAGAAGUCUCGUUUUGAAUGACUUAUUUAUCUGAGUAUGAACUUGGAAGUUCGAUCUAUAGCUGGCUUCUUUUGUGGCUCGAAUGAGUUUUUGGUUGCUCUAGUUUGUUUUGAAGGUUCUCAAUGAUCAAGUGAUCAUUUUGAGUUUUUGCCUUUGGUUGAUUUUUGAUUGUUUGAUUGAUUGUUGAAAAAUGAGUGUGUUUUGCUCUGUUCACCCUCUCCUAUAUUUAUAAGAAAUGCUUUGGAGUAGGGUUUCUAAUUUUUUAGAAAUCGGCGGCAGAUUUUCUCAAAAGAUCUUUCAUUUUUUAAAAUGUAAAGAAAUAGGGGUUUUAUCAAUUCUGGUAGAUAAGCUCUCAAUGGUCAGUUUCUUUAAGUCAAUCACUUCUCUGUUUUUUGAAAGAAAACUUAAUCCCUCUUUAAUUCCAACUGCCCCUUGUGAGAGCUCAAACUGUGAUGGUUAGUUUGAUUUUCCAGUUUAAACAACUUCCUGUUUCAUGCUUUAUCUUUUUUUAGAAAACACAGUCUGCGUAUCCUGAAAGAUGGUGCCUUCUUUGGAGUAUAAACAAUAUCUCUGAAUAUAUAAAAGGGUUUUGAUCUUCUGGUGGCAGAGAUUUCAGAGACAUCCCUUCUUUUCGCCUGCCUCUGUCAACUCUUUAUUAACCUAGUUGAAAUUGUUGACUUUCCUAAAUCAGAGAAAAAGAUUCACUUUGGUAUGUUUCCUUUUGGGCUCCUUCUUCUCUUUUAAUAUGCCCAAACCCUUUUGUUUUUCCUGGAGCCAUGAGCUGAUUGCUCUUUUUUUCUUUUUUCGAGGCCCAAGUUUAUUUGCAGAGUCCAGACUGCUUGGGCCCUGUGGUUUGUCUUUGUUGUUUUUGGGCUGGGUGUGUCAAAUUAGGCCCAAACAAAGUCAAACAAUAAUUAAAAGAUUUGACAAUAUAAAAAUAUAUUGAGAACAAAAAAAGGCAAAAACUUUUGAAAAAUGGAAACAAUAAAUAUGAAUUGAGUCAUCAACUCACCAAGGUAAGUUUGCUGAUGUGUAAAAAUAGUCAAUGGACUACAUCGAAAAAUAAUUGGCUUACAUCAAAAAUUAAAAUCACGUGGUUUAUUCUUAAGAAACCUUAAUAUUUUUGGGUUCAUAUAUUUUUUGUAUUUUAAAAAAAAAGAAAAAAAAAAUCUGACCAUGUAUGUAUGAUGAUGAUAUGCAUGUUAUUUUUAGACCUAAGGUAAAACAAACAAACUUUUUACUCCAUUUUUCGUGAGGUUUAUCAAAAGAAUUAAACUGUUAUAUCCUCCAUUUUAGAUUUCAUGCUUCCAUUUAAAGAAAAGAAUAUCAACAACAAAAAAAGAAUAAAGUUACAACAUUGAUCAAUUCAAAUGUCCAACUAUCGGAUCAUGAGCCUCUGCACUUAGAGACUACGCAUUUACCCGUAUUUCGUUAAAUUUAGACCAUUAUAAUAAUCUAACCCCUUAGAAUGGGACACAUCAUCAAGUUUUUUUUCCUUUCACUAAACAGAAGAGUUAAGUUUUAUUUGUGGGUAACUAAACUCUUGUUUAGAGCAUGUUUUUUAUUUAUUUUUCUUUGUUCUGUGUAAAUUAUAAUAGGUUAGAUUAUUAUUUGUGGGUGACUAAAAUCUUGUUUAACAAUAAUAGUUAACGUUUGUUUAGAGAAGAAAAAAAAUUUGAUGAUGUGUCAUGUUCUAAAGGGUUAGAUUAUUAUAAUGGCCUAGAUUUAGCGAACUGUAGAUAAACGCGCAGUGUCUUAAUGCAGAGGCUCGAGAUCCCCAACUAUCAUUGAAACAUAAGAAACUAAAAUCUUCAAGAAAAUGCUAUCAAUUGAAAAAACAAUAAUUAAAAAACAAAAAAAGGAAGGGAAUUCGCAGCUGCUAUGCAAAAAAGAGCAAGUCGGUUCAAUGAUUUUUUCUUCUUCUUCUUUUUGUUAUGGAAAUGAAAAGCUAAAUGAUGGGCUAUAUAUGGGAAGAAGCUCAAUGAUUGAAUUAAUAUCUUCUAUCUACAUUCUACCCUCUUCCUCGCUACAUACACAAAUGGUGCACGUACAUGGACAUGGGUUGACAUGAAUAAGAACAGCGACGCGUACUUGUUUUUAUUUUUGGUUCUUUAGAUCCAGUUGCACGUACCAAAGAAAGAAAACCACAGGUAUGCAAUGCAAGCUCUUUUCCCAUGUUUUCCUCUGUUUUCUCCUAUUUUUCUCUCUUUUUUAAAAAAAAAAAAAAAGAUAUACGGAAGUGAUUAAAAUACUCCUCUAACUAAGCUUGUUUUGCGUUCGGUGGCCGACUGUAAAAGCUCUGCUCAAACCUAACGUACUAGGUAUUUAUUUUAUUGCUCUGUUCAGACCUAGUGAUUAAAAUGCACUUGCGAUUUUGUGUUUCAAUUCCCUCUCCCCUAAUAUUGCUUGUAUAAAAAUAAAAACUUUUAAAAAGACAUUAAUAUUGUAUUCUAUAUUCUAUAAAGUGUUGGACAUGUUUUAUAUUGUUGACAACCCCCUAAUAUUUUGGUGGUGCCCAGUUAUAUUCAAUUCGUAUGUAUUUAAUUUGCCACUUACAUUCUUGCCUUAAUACAUUUAGGCUUAUUUUUAUACAAAUUUCUCUAACAUAACUUUUGCACAUUCUUUUAGUCUCUAAUAUAUAUAUAUAUAUAUAUAUACAGAGAGCUUCCAUUGAGGGAUCCCUCAAAUAAACUUAUUUGAGGGACACUCCUUGUAGGCCCCACUCCGAAUUGUAUUUCACUAAUACAAACCGUCUAUUUUGUAGAUACUCAUUCAAAGAUCAUCUCUACAAAAAAUCACUUGAAUCCGAUAUCAUUUGACCACUCAAUUAAGUUAUUGAAAUUUUAGCAUUUUCUUGAAGCACCGUGUUCAUUGAUUUUGUAAGACACAAUUGGAUGUCGAAACGGUUUCCGAUUUGUCUAAUUUUUUGUAAGGAUGAUCUAUGAAUGAAAACCUAAAAAAUAGGUAGUUUGGAUCAUUGAGAAAAAAAUUGUAUGGUACCUUAAAGGGCGUCCCUCAAAUAAAAUUAUUUGAGGGAUCCCUCAAUAGAAGGGGACUGUAUAUAUAUAUAUAUAUAUAUUUUCUAAUAAAUAAUCUUACCCAUUUGAGUUAUCAGCUAUUUUCUUUUAGCCCGGAAAAUCGACAUUUUGACAGAGAGUUGAAAAGAACUCCCCAAUUUUAAUGUCAGCCACUUGAAAAAAAAAACAUAAAUUUAAUGACAACAAUUACAUUUAGCAAUGCAACCUAAAAACUCAACCUUUGCGCCCCUUUCACAACGUAGAUAGCAGAGUAAGGAUAUUCGGAUAAGAACCAAGACAUAAGCCAGAGAAACUACGAUAGCCAACCAGGGCCUUCAUUUCUUACCAUCUGAACAAUGCCACCAUUUUGUUUGGUAAGUAUUUAAUAACAUUUCUUGCUCUUCAUAAAGUAAUAUUAAAACGAAAUUUGCCUAAAUUUUUCUUACCAACAAUGCAUACGAAAAAAAAAAAGGAAGAUUCACUAUUAUACUCAAUAUAGGAGCCCAAAUUAUUUAUAAUUAAAAAAAAAACCUUACAUGAAAUGGACUUUAGAAACACACUCAAAACCUAUUUACAACAAAACAAAGACUUUUAACUUCUUUUAAAUUACAAAACUAUCAUUGAUUUCUUAAACAAACCCAACCCCAAUACCUCAUAAAAAAACCCAAAAUACUUGAUAAAGCAUCAAAGUAAUUUAAUAAUCAAAAUUAAAUUCAAUAGGACCAGCAGUUAUUUUUUGGGUUUUUUUUGUUUGUUUAUAGAAAUUAAAUGGUGUAGGAUCUAUCUAUAUUAUUAGUGCUAAGAAUGGAUAUGUGACUAAAUAAUUCCAAAAAAAAAUUAUAAUAAAUCUACAAUUUUUCUUUUUAUAAAAAAAUUCUACAAAAAUUUAUUAGAUUAAUAGGCACUACUAGAAAAUCUCCAUAUAAGCCACUAAUACACCCAUGACAGUUGUCCAAGCGUAGUGUUGUCAUUCAAUAUUCCCCACAGCAACCAGCAUCCAAUAAAGGGUUGCCUCUCUGUAUGUAGCUAUUUGAGAAUAUAAAAGAAAUAUUUUUUAUUCAACAUGGACGCAGAAACUGUUGCUAAACUGCAAACUUCUUAAAAUAUUUAUCUAACUUUCUAGAUCCAUGUACUGAGAUUUAUUAGGGAAAUAUUGUAGAAACUGAUUAUUUUGAAAUAUUAAAUGUGAAAAACUGAACAAAAAUUUGAUGGGUUACAUAUUUCAACUCAUUUCAGCAGCUUAGAUUUUGAAGACCUCAGAAGAGGCUAUGCAAUGAGCCUAGCUAGUGCACUGUUGAUCACUUCAGUGUUUACCGAUCUGUAAUUUUUCCAGAUUGGUUAUAUUUUCCUUUACAUAUUCUUAUAUUUUCCCAGUUGGGGAGACUUAUAAAUAAGGGAAAUAGCCCUAAAUGCCACCAAUUUUAUAAUUUUUUGUCAAAAUACCACCCCUCCCCAAAAUUUUUAAAACUACCACCUAUAAAUACAUCUUUAUUGUAAAUUAAUUGCACCCAUAUCACUUUUUCAGAAAUUGGGUUCUCCCUCAACUCUCUUGGCUCUGUCUCUCUCUUUAGCCUAGCUCUCUCUCUCUCUCCGACAUAGUCAUCUUCCUCCCUCAGCCAUCCAAGCUUAACUCCACAGUUCACAUCCACGAGGUACUGUUCACGUUCCUUUUCUUAGAAAUUUGGGGUUUUUGUGAAUUUGGUUUAUGAUGUAUGGAUUUGUAUGAAAUUGGUUUAGGGGUUUCUUCCAAAUUGGUUUGGUAAGAAGGUGAUGUUGUUGUUGCUGUCACUGACAGACUAUUUUUCCUGGGUUGUGGUUGGUGGGUGUUACUGCGAAUGCUUACAAGGUUGCUGAUUCUCCUUCUAAGGUCUCUCUUUCUCUCUAUUUCUACAAAUUCUAAGGUUUUUUUUUUUUUUUGGGUUACUUUUUUUUUUUUUUUUAUUUCUUUUGCUAAUUGUAAUUGGGCCUUUGUUGCAGAGGUGGAUUUGUUUUGUGCCCAAAAGAUUGUGACUUUGUUGAAAGUUCGUAAAUAGAAAAGGCAGCUGCCCCCUGCGGCUUGGAACGCUCAAUUCGGAGGUAUUAUGCCUUGAAUUUUUACAAAAGAAGAAUUGAAACUACCUUAUAGAAGGCAAAACAAAAAUAUAUAAGAGGAAAAAAGGAGAAAAUUUAUCUAAUUUCCCUUUUUUUAGUUGUAUUUUUNNNNNNNNNNNNNNNNNNNNNNNNNNNNNNNNNNNNNNNNNNNNNNNNNNNNNNNNNNNNNNNNNNNNNNNNNNNNNNNNNNNNNNNNNNNNNNNNNNNNNNNNNNNNNNNNNNNNNNNNNNNNNNNNNNNNNNNNNNNNNNNNNNNNNNNNNNNNNNNNNNNNNNNNNNNNNNNNNNNNNNNNNNNNNNNNNNNNNNNNNNNNNNNNNNNNNNNNNNNNNNNNNNNNNNNNNNNNNNNNNNNNNNNNNNNNNNNNNNNNNNNNNNNNNNNNNNNNNNNNNNGGGGGAAGGGACACCCUAUUUCGUUACAGGGUUUAUUGACUGCAUUCUUCCUUGUUCUAGAAGACCUCCUCAGUUCCAUUGAGCCGACAAACCUUAUGAAGUUGAAUGUGAAGUGUUACCUUGCAUCUACAUGUUUCAUCUUUUAACUUUAUUUUCAUGUUUCACACUGAUGCUUGUAGUUAUUUCUAGUUUUGCAUACAGAUUAGCAAAUAGGUUAUGCAUUUACUGUUUAGUCAUCUAAUGAUUUGAUAUCUAAUAUUUAGGCAUAUGGGAAUUUAUAGAUGUACCGAUUAUGCAUACAUAUAGGUUUUGUGCUUGUAUUAGGAAGUUAGAUUCUUGUGGUUCCUCUUCAAUGGCAUGAAUUUAAAUUGUUGUGCUUCAUGAUUAGGGUCUGAAGAACAACCAUGUAGUAAGAAAGUUGGAGAAACGUCAACAGAUUUGCACCCUUGACCAACAUAUUGAAGAGUAAUUUGGUGGUGGUCGUCUAUUGGCUUGUAUCUCAUCACGACCUAGAUAGUGGCUGUGCUGAUGGGUAUGUGACUUUAUUUGCCUAUGUCUGUUUCUAGUCAGCCGAUAUGUCAUUGGCAUAUUAGUGUAGUUACCAUAUUGCAAGGGCUGAAAUCUGGAUGAUAACAGCUUCUUUUUAUUGUUGUUUUAAAGUGAAGUAUGUAUGGAUCUUAUGAAAUUUUUACAGAAAUAUAUUGGAGGGCAAAUAAUUUUAUUUUAGUUUUUUUAUUCCCAAAUGAUACCCAAAACAUGUAAGCUUCACACUAUGUUAAUUUCUGCAGGAUGGGAAAACAUUGGACAAUGAGUUGGAGGUUGUUAAGGGAAUGAAGCUAGACAUGGGCUACAUAUCCCCUUAUUUCAUCACCAACCAGAACAAUUAGAAAUGUGUAAGUUUUGGUUUGAUUCAGGGAUGACUAUGUCUUGAAACUGUUAGAGGGCUGCUUGUUAAAGUUAGUAGCACCUCAAGUCCCUUUUUUAUUGAUGCUGAUUAUCUUCAAACUUGUGUAUGUGCUGAUAGGAAUUGGAAAAUCCUCUAAUCAUAAUCCAUGAGAAGAAAAUCUCAAGUAUUAAUGCUGUGGUUAAAGUAUUGGAGUUGGUCUUGCAGGUUAUCAUUUCUCUGGUUAGGUUCACUAGUUUCUUCUUUUUUAUCAUGAAUUGGUUGACAAACUUUUGCUCUUUUUCAAAAGCAAAGGUCUUUGCAUUUUGUUAUAUCUUUCAGAACCAAAGUUAUAAAAGAAAAUGGUUUUCCUCUUUGUUAAUUGAGAAUCAUCUGCAGUUAUGAUUUCAGAUCUAUAGAUAACUUGUUGUUGCUGAUAUUGCUACACGGGAGGAGAAUAGAACAGCUUGAAAAAUGUGCAAGAAGAGAGAGCUAACUCAUACACCGAAGAACAAAUUGGUGAAGUUAAGAUCAAAUUAGUAGAAUUUGUGAGCUCUCCAUUAUUUAUAAUUAUAGGUAGGAAGUAUGUAUGUAAUAGAGUAAAGAUUGGUUGACUAUGUAAUAACAAUUGAAUUUUCAAGUUUUAUGAAAGAAAUAAUUUUUGAGCAUAUAUAUUUGUUAAUAAAGCAUUAUAAUUGGUUUUCUAGUUAAAAUCGUUGUAUAGAAUCGUAGGAAACAAAAACCUAAAUAUAACAGCUUGGGAACUUAUUAGACGACAGAUUUAAAGAUAAUAAAAUGUAGUCUGAAUUGUUAGGGUUCGGUGGCGAUUUAUUUUGCAUGUCUAAAUUGUAGUCUGUAAUAUAUGUGUGUGUAUUGUAUGUAGAUUGACUUAAUAUUGCUAUCCUAUUGCAUGCGUAUUGUACUAAUAUUGCCUUUGUAUUGCAUACAUAUUGUAUGCAUAUUGCCACCCUAUUGCAUGUAUAUUGUGAUGUUAUUGCUGUUGUAUUGCCGUUAUAUUGCCCUAAUAUUGCCUCUCUAGUGUAUGUAUAUUGGCCUAAUAUUGCCAUUAUAUUGUAUGUAUAUUGACUAUGACUCAUCAAUGGGUUUACGGUUUAGGCCCUACUUCAUUCAAAAAGAAGACGACGACGAGAAAGAAACAAUGUGCCUUUCAAAAACAAGCAGUCAGGUGCAUUAUAAUUGCACCGUAAGACAUUGUAAGAAAUUAUUUUAAAAGAUAAUAACAACUAAAAAAUAAUUUACCAAAAAAGGAAGGUAUGAAUAAAUAUGCAAAUGCUUCGUCAUGGGUUGAAGAAAAGGAUGAUUACAUUUGGUGGUUUGAUUAUGUUUGGUGAUAUGAUAUGUUGUUCGUCUGAAUCUUCAUAUAUGUAAUUGUUAUGUUAAUACUUGACACAAAUUCAUCUCGUAAUCAUCCAAUUAUUAAAGCUAAGUAAAUGAAAUGAAACAAAAGAAGAAGCCCAAAAUAAACAGAAACAGCAAUUUCUAGCACCCAUUUAUCGCUUCUGUAUUACCACUGUAUCACCAACGUAUCACCAGCUUAGCGUUGAUGACCAUUAGUUCAAACAUUAUGUGAUCUAAUAGGGAUAACUAAUUUUUGGAACAACUAAUGAAUCUUCAAAAAGAUAAAGAACAACUAGUAAACUAAUGUAUGCAGUUUAACUUUGCACGGGUCAUAGUGCUCAACAUGAUAUUUGGCAACCAUCUCUACACUUGGUGUAUAUUGCAGGCUUCUAUGCAUUCCAAACCUUCAUUCUUCUGUGAUAAAACUGUUAAAUUACCAAGAUUUCUAACACAUGGAAGUAAACAAACGAAUCUGCACAUUUAUUUGUACAUACACACUGCGUAUUGCACAUCUGCGCAUCUAUUAAUCACCACACCAAUGUUUCAAAGAUUGAUUCAGAGGGCAAAAUGAUUGAUUACAUAUUUCAAAUUAGUCAUCUGCUCAUAAGAACUUGGCCCUAAAACUGUACUAAUGGUAAAUAUACUGACAUAAUAGCUAUUAAUGAAAAAUUCUAAACAAACGAGGGACUUAUUUUUCUAAUAUUGUAGUGGAAGCAUGUUAAGUGAUUUUCCACAUUUGUUCAUGGGGGUAAAGUAUAUCUUACCCCUUUCUAAACAUUAUGAGGUUUCAAAUUUCAAUAACAACAGAAUGCUAAGCAGAAAAGUAGAAUUGCUACAUAAAUUACUUAGAAGGAACAAAGUCAAAACUAAUUUGACAAAUCUUAAGAAAGCUGUAUGCUUCACUAAGUCAACUAACAGAUUCCCAGUGCAGGAAAUGAAAUAUACCUAUAUCACAUAAAUUGCAAAGAAAACCACAGAGACUAAAUGUUAACAAUGGAUACAAAAAUGAGUAGAAUUCAGUGGAAACGAACACAUCGUUUCAAACAAGUAAAUUGUUAUAUGUCCAUAAAGAGCAACUAUGUUUAUAUAUGGAGGUGUACGAAAUAGUUCAACUUCAAAAUGGAAACAGUUUAUGUGCCAUGUAAGGCAAUGAACAUAUAACAAGGUGAGUCUUCAACAAAUUAAAAGUAGACAAUUAUUUUCAAACAAUCUGACAGCUGCCCGAGAAAACUGAGGGAGUUAAGGCAUGAGAUGCAAACAUGAUAAACACUGUUAAGCACUCGGACGAACCCAUGCUAUAAUACAAGCCAACAGACAAUCACCACCACCAAAUUGCUCUUCAAUAUGUUGGUCAAUGGUGCAAAUCUGUUGAUGCUUCUCCAACUUUCUUACUACAUGGUUGUUCUUCAGACCCUAAUCAUGAAGCACAACAAUUUAAAUUCAUGCCAUUGAAGAGGAACCACAAGAAUCUAACUUCCUAAUACAAGCGCAAAACCUAUAUGUAUGCAUAAUCGGUACAUCUAUAAAUUCCCACAUGCCUAAAUAUUAGAUAUCAAAUCAUUAGAUGACUAAACAGUAAAUGCAUAACCUAUUUGCUAAUCUGUAUGCAAAACUAGAAAUAACUACAAGCAUCAGUGUGAAACAUGAAAAUAAAGUUAAAAGAUGAAACAUGUAGAUGCAAGGUAACACUUCACAUUCAACUUCAUAAGGUUUGUCGGCUCAAUGGAAUUGAGGAGGUCUUCCAGAACAAGGAAGAAUGCAGUCAAUAAACCCUGUAACGAAAUAGGGUGUUCNNNNNNNNNNNNNNNNNNNNNNNNNNNNNNNNNNNNNNNNNNNNNNNNNNNNNNNNNNNNNNNNNNNNNNNNNNNNNNNNNNNNNNNNNNNNNNNNNNNNGAUAUGAAGAAACAAAAUGAAUCUCCCACAAGCCUAACAGGCUAAUACCAUUAACAAGGUCUGAAAUUGACUCUAUAUCAUGUACAUAUAUAUAUAUAUAAACUCCAUCUUUACAUAUUGGAACUACAUCAAUGUAAACCAACUAGAUCGACCCUGCAUCCUGAACACCACCCCCCCUCCCAAAAAAAAGACCGAGAAAAAAAAAAUACAACUAAAAAAAGGGAAAUUAGAUAAAUUUUCUCCUUUUUUCCUCUUAUAUAUUUUUGUUUUGCCUUCUAUAGGGUAGUUCCAAUUCUUCUUUUGUAAAAAUUCAAGGCAUAAUACCUCCGAAUUGAGCGUUCCAAGCCGCAGGGGGCAGCUGCCUUUUCCAUUUACGAACUUUCAACAAAGUCACAAUCUUUUGGGCACAAAACAAAUCCACCUCUGCAACAAAGGCCCAAUUACAAUUAGCAAAAGAAAUCAAAAAAAAGUAACCCAAAAAAAAAAAAAAAAAACCUUAGAAUUUGAAGAAAUAGAGAGAAAGAGAGACCUUAGAAGGAGAAUCAGCAACCUUGUAAGCAUUCGCAGUAACACCCACCAACCACAACCCAGGAAAAAUAGUCUGUCAGCGACAGCAAAAACAACAUCACCUUCCUAUCAAACCAAUUUGGAAGAAACCCCUAAACCAAUUUCAUACAAAUCCAUACACCAUAAACCAAAUUCACAAAAACCCCAAAUUUCUAAGAAAAGGAACGUGAACAGUACCUCGUGGAUGUGAACUGUGGAGUUAAGCUUGGAUGGCUGAGGGAGGAAGAUGACUAUGUCGGAGAGAGAGAGAGAGAGCUAGGCUAAAGAGAGAGACAGAGCCAAGAGAGUUGAGGGAGAACCCAAUUUCUGAAAAAGUGAUAUGGGUGCAAUUAAUUUACAAUAAAGAUGUAUUUAUAGGUGGUAGUUUUAAAAUUUUUGGGGAAGGGUGGUAUUUUGACAAAAAAUUAUAAAAUUGGUGGCUUUUAGGGCUAUUUCCCUAUAAAUAAACCCAAAAUGGGUACAGUAUCUAUACAGAAGGACAAAAUUAAAGUGUUUGGACAAUAAUGCCCCUAUUCAUUUUGGGAUUGCCUAAGGAAUCCUUUUCCUGAUUUUCAAUGAUGCCAAAGGACUGUUGUUUGAUGCUUGCCGUAUGGAGCUAAGAAAACUUGCUUUGUGUUAUAAAAAUAACCUGGAAUAUGUACGAAUAUUGAGCUGCACGAAAAGUAGAUGAAACACAGCAUUUAACGAGGUUCGGCUAUGCCUACGUCCUCGGAGAGCAACAGCAGUAACUUUUUCACUAUAUGAAAUAAUAGGGCUACAACUUUAGAGUUUACAAUAUGUGAGGCUCACUGAAUUUUCUCUCUCUUUCUUCUUCUCUCUUUUCUUUCUUCUUUUUCUCUUCUCCCCUUUCUUUCUUUUCUCCGUUGGUCACACUCCCCUUUACAAUUGGUAUGCCUAUUUAUAGGCUAAUGUUUAGGCAAAAUACAGGGAAGGGAAGGUUCCUGGAAGAUGCAAGGAAACUUCCUGAAUUGAUAAUGUCACACCCCGGACCGACUCCGCCGUAGCACGAUAUUGUCCGCUUUGGGCCCUCCUCUCACUGCCCGCACGGUUUUGUUUCUGGGAGCUCACGAAGCAACUUCCCAGGGUGGUCACCCAUCCUGGGAUUGCUCCAGCCUCCCACUCGCUUAACUUCGGAGUUCUUACAACUCCGAAGCCAAUGAGCUCCCAAAAGGCCUCGUGCUAGAUGGAUGCGGGUGUGCCAUAUAAGGCACAUCACCCCCCUCUCCGUUGGUUUGAUGUGGGAUCUUACAAUCCACCCCCCUUAAGGGUCCGACGUCCUCGUCGGCACACUCGCACCACACGGCAGAGUGGCUCUGAUACCAAAUUGUCACACCCCGGACCGACUCCGCCGUAGCACGAUAUUGUCCGCUUUGGGCCCUCCUCUCACUGCCCGCACGGUUUUGUUUCUGGGAGCUCACGAAGCAACUUCCCAGGGUGGUCACCCAUCCUGGGAUUGCUCCAGCCUCCCACUCGCUUAACUUCGGAGUUCUUACAACUCCGAAGCCAGUGAGCUCCCAAAAGGCCUCGUGCUAGAUGGAUGCGGGUGUGCCAUAUAAGGCACAUCACCCCCCUCUCCGUUGGUUUGAUGUGGGAUCUUACAGAUAAAUACAGGGAAGGAAAGUUCCUGGAAGAUGCAAGGAAACUUCCUGAAUUGAUAAAUACAGGGAAGGGAAAGUUCCUGGAAGAUGCAAGGAAACUUCCUCUGUGGGCUCCACCUUCAAACUUUUACAACACUCCCCCUUGGAGACCACAAAUGAUAUGAAAUAUGCCUCGUUAAAAACCUUGCCAGUAAAAACCCAGUGGGACAAAAACUGGUCGAAGGGAAAAAGAGUACAUAAUCACGUGUAACAUAAAAUUCUGUGUAUAUUGACGCGCGUGCGACACUGCCUCGUUAAAACCUUGCCAGGAAAAAUCUAGUGGGAUAAAAACCUGGACGAAGGAAAAAGAGUACAGUGUGUAAGGGUCUGUAUUGACAGCACGCUCCUCCUGAUGCUUGGCAAAAUAUCUUUAAGCCAUACUGUUGAUCAUCUGUCUGAAUAUCAUAGUUGACACUGCUGCUGUGAGUCAAUAGUGUAUGAAGGUCUUUAUUAAUACCAUGCUCCCCCUGAUGAAUAUCUCCCCCUGAAAACUUCAUGACUAGCUUUUUCCAGUAAGCGACCAUAGAGAUUUCCUGAGUCCGCAUAUCUUAGAACACUUGGGCUAUUUAUAAGUUCACUAAAAAAAUAUGCCCGUAUAUGGUGUUAUGCUUAGAUAGCAUCAAAUAUACCUCACAUCAUCCCAAAAUGAUGGUGAUGGAGUUGAGCCCUAUCUGGAAAAUAUGAUGUCCGGUCCAAUAUACUUCCGGAAAAUCAUUAAAGUGUCCAACGGAUAAUCCUCAUAAAAAUACUUUAAUACUUUCUUAGUAUAAGCAAGAAUCUCGUUGGCAUAAUGCUCGAUCGAGACAAAUAUUUCAUGAAUUCUGCAGAAACUUUAAUGUGUUGCAAUCACAUUAUAAUCAAUGUACUCACUGAGGUAAUUUAUGCAUAUUAAUAUUGAGUACAAAUUUUGUGCUUCAAGCACAUGUCCUUUAAGGACUUGCUUUAUGCAAUAUCAAUCCUCUCAACGGAUUUUGUCUAAAAGGGAUUAAGCUUUAUGACACAUUAUAUAGCUUUUACCCAGCUAUUUAUACAUCUUUAGGAAAUCGCUUCUGGCGAUAUGCUCCGUGCAUUCAAUAACCCUUAAAGAUAAUAUGUUGGUCUCCGUAAUUGUGUAAUAAGGGGGGGCACAAUUGAAUCUGUAAAUAUGGAGAAAACCCAACAUUCCUUGUUUCUGCCAGAAACAGUGUGUCAUACAAAGUAGGUAUAUUCCCUUUUAUUCCGAACACCCAAGUAUAACUUUCAGUAUUAACAAAUUUUGGGGUUCGUAUUGUGGGUUUGUUCUUUCACGUUCAUUCUCAUUUAUAAUGGAAUUACCUCGUUCCAUUUUGGCCAGUGAUAUUGUCGACAUUUAAUAAUUGAACGUGGUUCCAAUCAACACAGCCCAUUGAUGAUUUGAGUAGCUACUCCAAAACCAAAAAUUGUCAUUCAUCAAUUCAUGAUCCCACCAUUCUCAUGUGCAUGCACAUGCAUCAAUUAUAAGCAUUUCUUUGCUUUUUGGUACCCAAGCCACUUCAGGGGGCUUUUAUUAUGUGAGAAUGUGGAUUAUAACCUCCAUCGGAGCGUUAUUUAGUAGUAGGGCGUGGAUAAUCUCCAUUUAGAGAGUUGGAACAUUGAGAACCCAUAUAUCUGUCAUGCUGCAGGCAUGCCACAGAUUAAUACAUACAUGUCAAUUAAUUUCUGGGACUUUAACCCAUAUUAUGGGACUUUAACCCAUAUAAUUUGCUACGCAUUAGGCGUGCAUAAUAUCAAUAUUGACAUGUCAAAGGAUUGUCCUUUCGGGACUUCAAUUCAUAUCAUUUGCUACGCAACAGGCGUGCACCCAUAUUGAUCACUGCUAUACCCAUAUUCUGUUCUUAUGGGACUUUAAUCUGUGCAGUGUAUUAUCAAUGUAUCCAUCUUACAAUCUGUAAAAUUUGCAUUAAUAAUUCAUGGAUACAUACAAGCCAUUCUUUUGGAACAGACUUAUCUCCCAAUUUGGUUACCUUUCAAGAUAAAAUAUCAAAUAGGUAUAUAAGCAUAAAAUAACACAAGUAUUGCUUACAUCCUUAGGUGGGAGAAACUUUUCUCAAGUAUCAUUCAAGCUCAUAUCAGCCCAGUAAAUAUAAUGUAGCGCUUGAUGAUCUAGUUAUAUCCUGCAAGAGCAAAAAUCACAACUCUUUUGCCUCUGUCAAAACAAAUAACCCUCAUAGUUAGGAUUACUUCAUGGAUUCAUUCUUCAUAUGUUCAUUCUAAAGAAAUAAAAUCUCUUAUGAACAGAGAGUUAUAAAAAGAGAAAAAAUGCAAAAAUAAUGUGAUAUUGAUUGCAAGAGAAGGUAAGCAAUCAGGGAAGGAAGCUGGUGGGAGCAGACAAUAAGCUCUCAUAUCUCCUAGUCUAGAAGGACUCCCGGAGAUUAGACCAUAAGAUCGCCUUCACAGUUUCCUGAUGUAGUGGAAACGUGAUCAGGGAUAGUCUUGCUUCCUGAAUGGAUGAUCAGAGAUAGUCUUGCUUCUCAGGCAUAUUGAGUGCUCACUGAUAAGAAAAAUAAGUAGAUAUCUCAUCACUAAGUAUGGAGUAAACUGGAUGUCUUCUGCAAAGGAAAAUUUCGUUUAGUAACACAUUUAUACACAAAUACAAUGAAUAGGUAGAACCGGUAAAUUUCAAAUUAACCAUAGGAAAAUUGCGAGAUUCUCGGGAUACUUUUGAAAAAGUAGCUCCGUGAAAUCCGUAAAGCAAGAUCGGCUUUGAAAAUAAUACUUUGAAAAACGCCGAAAGUGCCGACAUGCAUUAUUAGAGGCCACGUGAAGUUUUGGACUCUGGGAAAGAAAAAGAUAAUAUGGGGAUUCGAGAAGACAUUGGGGUCCUGAAAAGUUGCCACAUUUUCGUCUAUAGAUAUUGCCUUUGCAAACUGCGUUUCAACUCAACUUCCUUCAUUUUCCGAACCUUUAGUUUUUCUAAGACUUUCUUCGAAACCUUCUUAAAAAAAUGGCUUCCUCUUCUUCCUGCCCAAAUUAUUUCAAUUUAAAUGAUGCUCCCACAACAACCAGUGACGCCCAAGUUUGGCGUCCAUCCUUUGUAUCCAAAAAUCGUCAUCUCACAGUUAAUGAUUCUGUGAUGAUGAAUGAUGCUACUGCUGUCAUAGUAGCUAGGAAUUUCAUUACUCCAAUGGAUGAAAUGUUGUUGACAGGGAGAUCAGAGGAAGAGGCUAUUGAUGAAUCAAUGGCUUUUAGCAUUCAGAGUGCUGUUUCUGUUUCUAACAUGGCUGAUCGUUUGCGUGCCAGAGCAAACGAAGUUGAGAAUUUAACAACUGAAAAUUCGUCUCUCCAAAGAAUGCUUCAUGAGUCUCAACAGGAGGUUGAGAAACUUAAAGGAGAGAAUAAUGCCUUGUUGAAACUGGUGAGUUCGUACUCUGUUGAUACAUUGAGAAGGCUAGACAUGCUGCAGGUCUCGAAUGAAAGAAUUUUGGGAGACUAUGAGAAGCUCAUGGCUAAGCUUAAGAGGCGCCGUCAUCUUCCUUCAGAGGCUUCCAGGACAUAAUGUAAUUUUUAUAGAUUUUACAGGGCCUGCACCUUCAUUGCAGGAAAAAAUCUAUCUGUUGUAUGCCCCUUUUCUGUUAUAAUAAUUGCGCAUAUUCUUAAACUUGCACCUGUGGUUUUUACGUCUUUUCAAAAUGACGAUUUGGAACCUUGUGCCUUAUAGGUUCAAAUAACCACAUUGUCUCUCCCAAAUUUCAUAUUUUAUCGCAUGGUAGCCCGGAACUUUUGGCCUGGGCACAAACUCAGAAUUUAUUUGCCCUUUUCAAAUGGACAUGAAAUAUGAAUUGAGUAAAAGCCAUGAUAAUAUCGCAAUAUAGUAGUGAAGAGCAUUAACUACUAUAUACCCACAACUUCAAGUUCAGGAUCUCUCAUAUAUUUGGAUCCAUGGGCUUCCGGCCCAAAUAUAACAAAAUAUGUGGGGAGCCUCAAUUCAUUAUUUGAGGUUUAUAUUAAUAUUAUGCAUUUCGCGGUGUAUUCUUAACAACCGGAAUUCACAAAAUAUAUUUCUUCCUUGAGGUGUCGAUUAUAACAAAAUCGAACUUUAUUAAAUUCAUCAUCUUCUUAUGCCAAAGAAAUAUGUGGCAUACCACAAUUUGCAAUAAUACCUCAAGGGUUGUCCAUUUAAUUGUUGGAACUUCAGGUUCUCAACACUGUUAAAUUUGGAACUUCAGGCCAAAGCCACAUAUUCUCAUGGUAUGGACAUUUUUACAAUUUUCUGUACAUAUUUCGGGACUUCAAGCCCUUACAUAACUGUCCAUAUUUUGAGGAACUUCUGGCAUCUCAUUUAAUUGCUCAUCCAUGAGUUUAAGGAACUGCAGGUUCCCUUUUGUAUAUAGUGACGGUUUACCCAAAAUGGUUAAUAUUUAUGCAUACAUCACUAUUCAUGUGAAUAGUACUAUUCAUCAAGUCAUGAAUACGUAUCUAUUCAUCUGCCAGUACAGUUAUCAUCAAUGUGUACGGCACUAUGAACCAAUACGGUACUGUUACAUCAUUAAGGAACUCUAGGUCCUUAUUUACAUGUCAGGGAUUAAGAACCUUUAAGUCCAAUCACAUGUUUACAAAUACAGUACCGGUGAGACUGCCAGCUCUCAUUUUAAUAUCAUCAUCAAGGAUCUUCAAGUCCUGAUGUAAUUGUAUGAUGAGGAUCAAGGAACUUCUGGUCCUGAUCUGCAUACUGGAAAAACUAAUCAUACAGCACAAUUAAUCCAUAAAAUAAAUUGCUGAUAAAUAAAUUACUGGUAUGGACGAUAAACCCGCACCACACUUUAAAUAAAUGUAAAUGUGCGGUAAAUUAAAUUCAUAAAGUUAAGGUGCUUGUAUGGGCAUUAAUUCUGCUCCAUACAUUUAAAUAAAAGUAAAGGCGUGGACGAUAAACCCGCACCACCCUUUUAAAUAAAUGUAAAUGUGCGGUAAAUUAAAUUCAUAAAUUAAAUUGCUUGCUGUAUGGACGUUAAUCCCGCACCAUACUUUAAAUAAAAUUAAAUGUGCGGUAAAGUAAAUUGUGCUUGUAUGAGCACUAAUUCUGCUCCAUACAUUUAAAUAAAAGCAAUGGCGUGGACGAUAAACCCGCACCACCCUUUUAAAUAAAUACUGUUGUAUGGGUAAUAAACCUACACCAUACAGUAAAUAAAAUAAAUAUGCGGUAAAAUAAAUUUGCGAUAAAGUAAAGGUGCAUGUAUGGGUAAUAAACCUACACCAUACAGUAAAUAAAUGUGGGGUUAAAACCACCACCGAAUAAAAUAAGAAAAAGUUAGUAUUAGUAACGGUCUCCUACUGAUAAUAUGUUUAGUAUUACCAAGGGUCCAUUUUUGUUAGUGGUUAGUAGUAUAGAUAAUAGUGCAGCAUAAAAAUUAUACCUGAGAGCUUCUCGUGCUGAUAACGUGUUAUAAAAAUAACCUGGAAUAUGUACGAAUAUUGAGCUGCACGAAAAGUAGAUGAGACACAACAUUUAACGAGGUUCGGCUAUGCCUACGUCCUCGGAGAGCAACAGCAGUAACUUUUUCACUAUAUGAAAUAAUAGGGCUACAACUUUAGAGUUUACAAUAUGUGAGGCUCACUGAAUUUUCUCUCUCUUUCUUCUUCUCUCUUUUCUUUCUUCUUUUUCUCUUCUUUUCUUUCUUCUUUUCUCUUCUUCUUCUCUCUUCUUUUUCUCUUCUCCCCUUUCUUUCUUUUCUCCGUUGGUCACACUCCCCUUUACAAUUGGUAUGCCUAUUUAUAGGCUAAUGUUUAGGCAAAAUACAGGGAAGGGAAGGUUCCUGGAAGAUGCAAGGAAACUUCCUGAAUUGAUAAAUACAGGGAAGGGAAAGUUCCUGGAAGAUGCAAUGAAACUUCCUCUGUGGGCUCCACCUUCAAACUUUUACAACACUUUGAUAGUUUUGGACAGAUGCAAGCUACUGUUGUUGGGAUGAUCUUUUCACGUGAAAUGAGGAUGACGAUACUUCUACACUACACAAUCCAACGAAUUCACAUUUCUAUUUCAGAUACAUGUAUAAACAGACAAGGCUUUAAAAUAUGGGAUGCUGCACUGUUGUUGCUGCUGCUGACACUGUUACUGUGUUGCUGCUACUGUUACUGCACUGCUGCUUGAAGAAGGACAAGGACUUCACUUGUUGCUUUCGUCCUUUGUGGAGGAGAGAGACCUAGGACUUGCAUGUCUUAGAUAUUUAAGACAAGGGGCUUUCGUGCCAUUUUGAAAAUACUUUGGGUGUUUUUGAAAGCUGCUUGUUUCUUUUGAGUUUCUCACUAAAUUUCGCUUUAGAAGGGAAAAUAAUAAUAAUAUUAAUAGUACAGCACUUAUUAGCAACAGAGUUACAAACUUCUUCUACAACACACACCAACAUGAAUCUAGCCCUGAUCCACUCUUUACAUACUUGAAAACAAAACAAAACACGAAAAACAAAAAACAAGAUAGGGAGAAAAUGGCUACGGAGAGACUUACUGCUAAUAGUUGAUCAAUAACAGAGAUAAUAGCGCACACUAUUUGUAUGACAGUGAGUAUCAGAAGAAUAAUAGCUGCAAAGAGAGAAAUAGCUGCCCAAGGUGUGUUGAAAUACUUUUGUCUCAAAUUUGCCUUCCAUAUGUUCGUGGUCUUCUCUCAGUAACUCGUUUAGUUUGCCAGCAAGAUCACCAAAAUAGUAGUUUCCGUGGUUCAGAGCAACUUUACUGCAAAGCUUGUUAAUCAUAAUGGAAACCUUAUUGUUGUCACCUUGCAUGUUUACAACAAUUCUAUUCUCAACAAGCAACUCUACAUCCUUUGGAGUGUUUACAAAUUUAUCCAGGAUGAAAACAUAAUAGCUUAUGUAUUUAUCCACGCAAUGGCAUUGUUCAAAGGCAAUGAGAUUUCUAAGUGUAAGCUCUGUGUAAUUAUGUAUUUCAAUUUUUGGAAUUUCCAAGGUGUUUUUCUUGAACUGUAUAUCGAAUAAGUUCUUGCUUGAUCCGGCCUGGUGUAGUUUUGUCAUGCUGGGUGUCCUUUGGAGCCCUACAUUUUCUUUUAGGGUCGGAUCUGGCAGAUGUAAAGUUCUAAUAAAAUCAACAAAAUGUAAAGGUUUUUUAGGAUCAGGAGGCAUAAAAGACUUACGGAAGGCUGGUGAGUUCUCCAAGUUUUCUAAACGCAGUGCCUGUUGGAAGAACCUGUAAGAGAGUUCAAUUAUUGAAGGCUCCCCAGUCUGAGCACCUGUGAGAUUGUAAAGAUCCUCGAGAAUGAAAAAUGGCAGCUGAUUUCCAAGCAUAAGCAUGUCAGGCAAUAUAUUUUGUAGCACCCAUGGUUUUUUAAAUAUCCAAGCAUUAUCAUCCUGCAAUUUUUCUUCCUGAAAUUUUUCUUCGGAUUUAUUCCUCAACAAUAGCUCAAUGACAAAGGCGGCAUCAACUCGAAUGAUAUUCACAAAAGCAGCAAUGUUAAACUUCUUAGUGUCUUCAUAAUAAUGACGGAGUUCAACUUCUCUCUCCUUUAUUUUCUCGAAAUAAUCCUUCAAUUUUACAUUAGUCCAAUCAAGAAAACACUUUAGGUACCUGAGUUUGUGAUCUUCCAUGGCUUCUAGGUUUUUGCUGCCAUGGUGAAGUGGGCCUAUUGAGACUACUUGUGGUGUGUAGGCCUUUUGUUUUACGUUCCGUAGUCGCUCAGGCACCCUUUAGAUACAACAGGCAGGGGACAGGGCACGCAAGUUUGUCAACUGAUUUUCCAUGGAAGUUGCUUGGUUUUCUAUGUCAAAAGAAGCUUCAUUGCUGCUUUCUUCCACUUUCUUCCUCCUCAUUAUGUGUUGUUCUGAUUGUAAGUGACGAGGAUGGUGAUGAUUCUAGACAACAUAAUCAACAAAUGUUUCAAUCAUAAUUGACAUUUCAAGAUGCUCCGACAAAGAAUUAGAAAACAUUCAUCACAAAAUGCGAACUCAUACAAUAGAUGGGUUGAUGAUAUAACCAUUAUUUCGUACAUUUUUAUUAUCUUUCUCUUAGAUUCUUGCUAUGGUUCUUGAGUGAGUUUAGUCCAUUUUUACUUAGUUUUGUGUUUUACUAGGUUUGAAGAGUAAAGAUGGAAAAGCAAGCAAAAGGUGCAAUUUUGGUAUUGAAAUAUAAUGUGAAAUCCUAGGAGCAGAAUGUGUUGUGCGGAUCGGACAACUUUACAGAACAUACUGUACUUCCUCAGAGCGAACCAGAUGUUGAACCUUAUAUCAUUGGAAAGAUACGGAUGUUCGCCUUCUGUAGAAUUUCGCGGUUCAUGAUUCGGACGUGUGUGGAGAGAGUUGUGGCCAUUUUAGUACGGACAGUUCGGGCAGAAUGUGUUCUGCGGGUUUUGCAAAAUAAUCCAUUUGAAGUCCAAUCCUUGGAGUUUAAUUUGUGUCAAUUACAUUUGGGAAGUGUCUACAAGGAUGUGGAGUUAUUUUCUGAAGUCUGACCCUUUAUUUAGUAGGAUUAUGGAUGCCAACUCAUCAAAGACAAUGAAGCCAAACUAGGAAAACAUAGUUACCAAGUCAAAAGAGGAUUUGUUCCUUAUUUAAAGAAGACCAGAAAAUAGGGUUCUCUCAUGCUGGAAUUUGAAGGAGAGUUAAAGAGCCGCUGCCAUCGUCAAGUUCUCAAGCAUCGUCAUAAUCCAUAAGUUCUAUUUUAUGUUUUCUAGUUUUUCAAUUAUGUUUUCUUUGAACAUGAGUAACUAAAUCAUUCUCUAGGGCAAGGAUGACGCCCGAGCAUGGAUAGUUAUGAUUUUUAAUGCUAUUUAAUGAAUUCCAAGUUUCUUUUAGAUGAAUGUUUAAUCACUAUUUUAAUUGUUGCUAUUUGUUUAAGUUCUUUGAUUGAUCACCUUAUGACAUGACCCGCCCCGAAUUUUUCGAAACACGAGACGAAUCUUGUGGAAUUCCCGACCACACCCCAAUGCCGGGCCCACUUACUAAAGACCGGGACUUUCUGCCGAAAUUUCGGCAGAGUCUCUCCUGUAAAUUGAACAUUUCCCACAAUUUCAACCUGCAUAAAACACAUUUUAUAUUACCCAACUGGCAGCAUGCACAAUGUAAUAACAUGCAAUUCACAUAAACGGCCUUUCGACCUUCCGAUAAUCCACAACAAACCACCAAGCACGCUAUCAAAUCAAUUCAUACCUUAAACAAGGCAAACAAUAAAUUCAAUCACACUUAAGAAUGUCAAAGCAAUCCACUACAUUUAAUUUUUCUCAACACCCAACAUACGAGGUUUUAACAUCCUAACACAAUCACAUCUAUGUCUGCGGUUGCACCUAAUAACCUUAGGCUGCCUAUGUACCCUCACUGAGAGAUCAAGCCACACGUAGUUCUUCCUACUAAAUUCCGAUUUCCAAACACAUACAAUACCUUUAAUCAUCUCUAUGAUAAUCACAUACUCUCCCCACACGCCGGAAAUUCCAACGCCACGUAUGGGGUCUGUCAUCACGCCGAAAAAUCCUACGCCUCGUGUGACCUAACCAUCAUAUCAUCUCCCCAUACGCCGAAAAUUAUAACGCCACGUACGGGGUCUGUCAUCCUGCCGGAAAAUCCUACGCCAUGGGUGACCUGACAAUCACAUAAUCUCCCCAUAUGCCAGAAAUUCCAACGCCACGUAUGGAGUCUGUCUCAACGCCGGAAAAUCCUACGCCACGCGAGACCUAACAAUCACAUAAUCUCCCCAUAUGCCAGAAAUUCCAACGCCACAUAUGGGGUCUGUCAGCACGCCGGAUAACCUACACCACGUAGGACCUAACAAUCAUAGCAUUUCCCCGUAUGCCAGAAAUUCCAACGCCACGUAUGGGGUUUGUCCUCAUGCCGGAUAACUUACGCCACGUGGGACCUAACAAUCACAUAAUCUUCCCAUAUGCCGGAAAUUCAACACCUCAUAUGGGGUCUGUCAGCACGCUGGAUAACCUACGCCACGUGUGACCUAACAAUCAUAGCAUAUCUCCAUACGCUGGAAAUUUCAACGCCACGUAUGGGGUCUGUCAUCAUGUUGGAUAACCUACGCCACGUAGGACCUAACAAUCACAAGGUGGUACUUAGGGUAGUGCGUAUAGCACUGACAGAAAAUCACAAAAGUAUCUUUCCUAUUCUAGAGAUUGGUCACAUGUAGUCCAACCAAUAGGAAAUGAGAUAUUUAAGAAAUGAAGAGUUUGAUCAAUAUCAAUAUCAAAUGAAUUCUUAUACGCCUAGUCAACUAUUAAGCGUAUCUUGACUUCUUGAUAUUGUGAUAUGAUUGAAACAUGAUUUCCAUGUUAGAAAAUUAAAGGGAUGUUAAAACAUGAAAGUAAUAGGAGAAUCAAAUUGAUUUGGGCCAAAAUUGCCUAAAAAGAAAACACUUCUAAAUACACUCAAUUCACUUUUAAAAACAGUAAAACAUGAUUGAAUCGUUCUUUAAAACAAUUCCCUAAUAUACAUGCAUGAUAAUGACAUCACUUACCUCUGAACCAAAUGCCUUUCACGGGUCAAGCCACAAGUCUGUGUUUUGGGGAUUGCUAAGCUGCAUCAAUCCUGCCAAUGUCAGUUCUGCCCCUAUGCUCUCUCAAAGCAUGUUUACAACCUAUGCUAACAUAUACUAGAGUUUAUGCUAGUAUCGAGAAAAUGCAAACACUAAUUUUGUAACACGUAGAAUUGUUAGAGAUUGGAAGUUUUUAUCAUUUUUUUCUUCCAGUCUCUCCACCACUCACUAAUACAGAUUACUCAUGUGAUAAAUUUACAAAACCUAUUUCUCUACUCUCACAAAGACUAUACUUCUUCUCAAAAGACUAUAUCACUUUACCUCUAUCUCUGUGAAAUGUAAAAAGUUGAAACUUUAAUGUCAAACCUCGACAAAAGAUGAAUUUCCAUCAGUUACGUUGAAUUUGGAUUUGUUGAACUUAAGCGAUUUUACUUUCUCUGUUAGUAUUUGAUGACUUAAUUUGGUAUUUACUUCUUCUUCUUUUUUUCCUUGGAAAUGUGUUCCACCAACGUGAGGAAGAAAAAUAUGCACAAAAUAAUAUAUUUAAUAGAAGCCCAAGAUUUCGGAAGCACAUAAUUUUUUCAAAAAUCUACAAAGUGUUCUACUUUACAAACUUCUUAUGUCUACCAAUUUCUACUAAAAUUAAUUUCUUUGCGGUGCUCAGAUUCAUCAUGUGUGUGUCCUCAAUUUUAGUGGAAAUUGGAAGUUUCCAUCAUUUUUGUUUUCUGGGAAUUUUCUGAACCAAGGAAAAUCAAGCAAAAUUAAUAAAGCAUAAAAUGAAAAGGGAAAAUAUCUAGAGGAUGCAUUGUAGGAUUGCUCAUGCCAAUAAUUGUACCCUCUAAAUAUAUUGGGACAUAUUUUUUUUUGUUUUCAUGACAUAUGGUCCUAAAAUUAUUGUUCCUAGCGGGCUCUCCACCCCUCUCAAUUGAAAACCUAUUGUGUAAAUCUUCAAUCCUGAACGAUGAACGAUGCACCUAAAACACAUGUUGCAAUACACAUCCACCCAUUCUCAGGCCAAUUAUUGUUCCUAGCGGGCUCUCCACCCCCUCUCAAAUUUAAGUGGUCCAUUAUGAUUAAUCAUGUAUUUUAUGGACCAUCCAGCUGUGAGGUUUUAUCUCAAAAACCUUCGGUACCUUUCUCCCACAUGCCACAAUGGUAUAUUCACAAUUACGUCUGAUACCUCACAUCAUGCCACUUGCCUCAAUUGAAUUUAAGUGGGUGGAGUGUUACUUCUGGGUACCCCUCAUCAUUCGUCUAUAAAAUGGUGAAGCCAGUUGCUACUGUUACCAUAAGAGCCAGCUCCGACUUUCUUUAAUUUCUUGUUUCGUAUCCACUAGCUACAUCUGUUGCCAAGUUAAUUUCAGUCCUAAUGGGGUUUCAUCUCCCACUCAUCUUUGCUAUUCUCAGUGUAAGCUCUGCAAUUUGAUUAAGAUUUCCAUUCUCUCUCAUUGUACUCUAUAUAAACGAAAGUUUUGUGUUCCUACAAUUCUCUCCGAUUUUAUUUAGUAUGUACUUAAGUGUCGUACGUCCACUAAUUAAUUACACUUUGUGAGAUUUGAUUUUAAUUAGAGUUCGAAUUAAUGUUGCAGCUAGCAGCAGUGGGAAACCAUGCUGCUCAACCAGCACCUCAACUUUACUGGAACUCCGUCCUGCCAAACACACAGAUGCCAAGAUCUAUCAGUGUACUUCUGCAUCCUGGUUUGUGUUGAGCACUUUAGAAUCUUAGAUAUCUUUUCUACCUGCCAUUUUACUAAAAUUUGUUCGACCACAUAUUUAUCAGUUAACUACUGUCAUUACAAAUCGGCUGAUCACUUAUUUUGCAUUAUGACGUUGAUAUAUAAUUUGCAGACUCCACAAAUGAAGAAAAGAGCACAUAUAUGAAUGCUGUUGGGAAUGGAAAGGGCAAACCUGAAAUUUUCCCAUUGGGCAUUAGACGUUACGUUCAAAAACGGUAUGGAGGGGGCAUUAGACGUUACAAUCAAGAACGGUAUGGAAAAGGUCCUCCUCCAUCUGACAAUCAACUACUCCAUUAUAAAGACUUGGCUAUUUUCUUCUUCGAGAAGGACAUGCGCCCUGGCGCAACAAUGAAGUUCCAAUUCCCUAGAAAUUCAAACACGGCUACUUUCCUGCCACGCGAAAGUGCUCAAUCGAUCCCCUUCUCCUCUAACAAACUAUCAGAAAUUUUCAACCAUUUUUCAGUGAAGCCAACAUCUGUGGAAGCCAAAACAAUUAAGCAAACAAUCCAAGAGUGUGAAGCUCCAGGCCUUAAGGGAGAGGAAAAAUAUUGCGCCACAUCUUUAGAAUCAAUGGUUGAUUUUAGCACUUCGAAGCUUGGAACAAGAAACGUUGAAGCAAUCUCGACGGAGGUAUUGGAAAGAGGAGCCACCAUGUCCAUGCACAACUAUACAACAAUGCCGGGACUGAAGAAGUUGGCAGGUGACAAAGUCGUUGUGUGUCAUAAGGAGAACUAUCCCUAUGCUGUGUUUUUCUGCCAUGCAAUAAAACAAACAGCAGCAUAUGUUCUCUCCCUGAAAGGCGAUGAUGGGGAGAAGGUUAAAGCAGUAACCAUCUGCCAUCUAGACACAUCAGAAUGGAACCCAGAGCAUUUGUCCUUCCAAAUCCUCAACGUUAAGCCCGGAACAAUUCCCAUCUGCCAUUUCAUUUCCACUGAUGGUAUUGUCUGGGUUCCAAAACACAAAUCUGCAUGAUCAUCACUUAGCACUGUACGUAUAAUAAGCUUGGUUGGGUUGCACCCUAGGCCUGUAUAAUUAACUCCCUACUUAUUUCUGCCUCUUUAGCACUGUACAUAUAUAGACUUCAACUUGUACUCGUAUAGCAUGCUGGAAAAAAAAAGGACCAAUAGGGAGAAAAUGGUGAACUAAGGAGAGACUAAUACUUCUGGUUCUUAGAAGGCAUAACAGAAAUAAUAGAGCACACUGCUUGAAUGCAAGUCAAUAUUGUUAGAAAAUUAGGAGAUUUACUUCCUAAUAUAUUAUGAUUCUAUUUAUUUCCUUUUGUAUUGAUAUUAUGUAAUUAGGACUUUAUCUUAGUUUCCUAGUAUAACCCUACUAGGGUUUGUACUCUUGUAUUAUAAAUACCUCCUUUUGGAGAAUGAAGUAUAAUCUGAAAAUAUUCUAUCCACUUUGUUUGACAUGGUAUCAGAGCAAACUUUUCUAGUGACCUGUGUGUUGUGCCAACCCGUAUUCUAGCCCCAUAUUUUUUCUCUACCUAUGCCGUGUGUGCCCCCCCUCUGGGUUUGUGGGUUGUGUUGUCGUGUUGGUGUCAUUCCUAUCUUCGUGCAUCUGCCGUAUUUGAGCCUUUGCUGUGUUCCGCUGUGUACUCUGUUGUGUUCAUACCUCUAUUGUGUUCGUGCCUGUCUUCGUGCAUCUGCUGUAUUUGUGUCUCUAUUGUGUUCCAUUGUACAAUCUGCCGUGAUCUGUUGAAUUUAUGAUGUAAUCAUAGGUGAUAACUCAUUUGUUGGUGUUGUUGUUGCUGUUUCUGGAAAUUUAUGUGAUUCAGACUCUAUUCCAUUUACUGGCUACAAUACUUAGAUAAUUGAUACUGGUACUUAUGAUCAUAUUGACAGGACUCGCCCCGAAUUUCCUGAAACCCGAGACGAAUUCUGUGGAAAUUCCUGACAUCACCCCGAUGUCGGGCCCACUUCUAAAACUAUAUCCUUUUUCCCCAAAAGGAAUAAAGGCAUAAGACUUUCUACCGAAAUUUCGGUAGAGUCUCCUAUGUAAAUUGAACAUUGCCCAAAAUUUUAACCUGCAUAAAACACAUUUUAUAUUACCCAACUGGCAGCAUGCAUAAAGUAAUAACAUGCAAUUCACAUAAACGGCCUUCGGCCUUCCGAUAAUUGGCAACAAACCACCAAGUACGCUAUCAAAUCAAUUUAUACCUUAAACAAGGCAAACAAUAAAUUCAAUCACACUUAAGAAUGUCAAAGCAAUCCACUACAUUUAAUUUUCUCAACAGCCAACAUACGAGGUUUUAACCUCCUAACACAAACACACUUCGUUCUCACUCAAAUAGCAGGACCAACUUCAAGGUCCGCAUCAUACUCAAUAAUACACAAGUAAAGUUUAAACCGCGGCUGCACCUAGGCACUACCCUAGGCUGCCUACGUACCCUUAUUGAGGGAUCAAGCCACACGUAGUUCUUCCUACUAAAUCCUGAUUUCCAAACACAUACAAUAAUACCUUUAUUCAUCUCUCUGUUAAUCACAUAAUCUUCCCAUACGCCGGAAAUUCCAACUCUACGUAUGGGGUCUGUCAUCACGCCGGAAAAUCCUACGCCACGUGUGACCUAACCAUCAUAUCAUCUCCCUAUACGUCAGAAAUUCCAACACCACGUAUGAGGUCUGUCAUCCAGUCGGAAAAUCCUACGCCACGGGUGACUUGACAAUCACAUAAUCUCUCCAUACACCAGAAAUUCCAACGCCACAUAUAGGGUCUGUCUCAAUGUCGGAAAAUCCUAUGCCACGCGAGACCUAACAAUCACAUAAUCUCCCCAUACGCUGGAAAUUCCAACGCCACGAAUGGAGUCUGUCUCAACGCUGGAAAAUCCUAUGCCACUCGAGACCUAACAAUCACAUAAUCUCCCCAUAUGCCGGAAAUUCCAACGCUACAUAUGGGGUCUGUCAGCAUGCCGGAUAACCUACGCCACGUGUGACUUAACAAUGAUAACAUCUCCCCAUACGCCGGAAAUUCCAACGCCACGUAUGAGGUCUGUCCUCACGCCGGAUAACCUACACCAUAUGGAACCUAACAAUCAUAGGGUGGUACUUAGGGUAGUGCGUAUAGCACUUCAAACCGACAUUCAAAACUCUAUUUAUACCUUUAUAAAUUUAUAUAAAAAUAUAUAUAUUAAGUUCUAAAGUUGUAUAAGCCUCAACCACAAUCUAGCAUCCGAUAAUCCCCCCCAAUUUAAAACAAUAAAUUAAUAUCAUAAACCCACAUAAUCAACAUAACUUAACAACGCUCAAGACCUGUCACUAGUGUCAUUGUAAUCCUCCUAGGAAGGUAAAACUACUUCGGAAGAGUCACGGUCAACUAAGGGUCAAACUACCCAAACUUGGUCAAAUGGGCCCACGGGCCCCACGACCUUCAAAUUCCGAUUCCAACCUACCGAAAUUUCUUAUGGGUUCUACAAGGUUUAGGACACUCGUCUUGCAAGUUUGGUCCAGAUCAGACGGUCGGAUCGCUCACGAUCGCACGAUCGGACGGUUACUAUAAACCUAGCCCUAGGGUUGGUAUUUUCGGAGUAUCCAGGACUCCGUUUUACGAUCCGUCGAAUCCUAUACGAUCUUGAGGAUGUCCAAACUAACAUAUAAUAAAUCUAUGACUAUCCAACGGCUCAAACCUAUUGAACCCAGAUAACGCACAAUAUGCGAAAUCUGUUCAAUAGUCAAACGACGUCCGAAUUGAGAUCCGCGAAAACCUACGCACUCGUGACAACUUGAGGACCUCAUUAGGACAAACUGUAGCUUCACCACCUUUGUCCACGCGCCUGCAGCGCAUGGGUGUGUAGAGUAAAUUCCGAUGAUGGAAAAACUCUACACCACCGCUCACCCUUCCUAUCCUAAAUACUACUCGAGGCAAGGAUCACUUCAUUCAACUACGGGGAGGUCCCAUUUGGACGGCAACUGGCCCAAAUUUCACUUUGAAAUCCGGCCAAAACCUAGGUUUUCAAAUCGGUUUUCUAGACAUCAAAUCGAUCCAAUCCUAUCCCAUAGACAGCUAGAGCUCAGAAAAUAGAUGACAAACCAUACCUCACCCGACGGAAUUGGUGGCUGGAGGAGAAAGAUUGAGCGAUGAGAAGUUCUGUCAAAACCGACUCGUUUUCGACUGAUUCCAGCGAGCACAGUUGACGAUGAUGGCUAAGACUAGUCGGGAAAAGACAAGGGAGAGGUGGUGAUUCGAACGGGACCGGUCUCGAGGCCAGUCGUUGACUGUGGAGGCUGCAAUAGCCUUGAAGGGUGGCGGCUGUAAAAACGAAGGGGAGGGGGGCUGUUCACGAUGGAGGAGAGAGAGAGAUAGAUAGAUAGAUAGAGAAAAAUCUGAAUUUUAUAAAAAUUCCAUUUUGAAAUAAUUACGAUUGUGCCACUGAGUUUCUUUUGACCGUAACUUCCUCGUUACAACUCCAAAUCAAGCCCACUAUGUAUCUAUGAACUCAUCUCGUCGAGCUCUACGCAACGGUAGAGCUGAAAUUCUCAAAUUUCUUCCUGAUCAAAAAGUCAACUUUAAACCCAAUAAAAUAUUCUAUGGGUAUAAUGGUCUUUUAUCUACAUAAAUUAAUAAUUUCCAAUUUAUUUAGGACCGGGUCGUUACACAUAUGACUUAUGAUGCUAUAUUUUUUUAUGAGUUGUCUAGUAAUACUCGUGACCCAUACAUAACUAGUGCUAAUGGCUUGCCCUAUCCAAUUACUGGCGAGGGCAUAAUCUCUCACUCCUACUCUGUCCUUGUCUCGUGUGUUACUCGUUCCCAAUAUCCAUUGUAACUUGUUGUUUGUUGGCCGAUUACUUGAUACACUUAAUGCUUAUGCUACUUUCUAUCCUACACAUUGCUCUUUUCAGGAUCUCAAGACUUGCGAGACGAUUGGGCAUAGUAAACGGAUAGGGGGCUUAUAUUAUUUGACAUUGUCUUCUGCACCAAUUCGUGGUUGUGUCAUUCAUACUGUUCAAAGUUGUAGUGUCAAGGACAAAUAACAAAUUUGGUUAUGGCAUCGUCGCUUGGGACACUCGUCGUUCGGCUAUCUUAAGCGUCUGUUUCCAUCUUUAUUCCGCUCUUGUGACGAGUCCAGUUUUAAGUGUGAGACAUGUAUUUUGGCCAAGAGUCAUCGCACUGUGUUUCUUUUAAGUGACAGUAAAGCUGCAAAACCUUUUGAUUUAGUAUAUUCGGAUGUAUAGGGACCUGCUCGUGUGACUUCUAAUGGUUUCUAUUGGUCUAUUACUUUUAUUGAUGACUGCACUCUCCCCAUAGUCCGGAAUUACCAACGCCACGUAUGGAGCCUGUACGCACGCCGAAAAAUCCUACGCCACGUGGGACCUCAUCAUCAUAUCACAUAGUCUCCCCAUACGCCGGAACUACUAAAGCCACGUAUGGGAUUCGUCUCAACGCCGGAAAAUCCUACGCCACGUGAGACCUUACAAUCACAGGAUGGUACUUACACAAUGUAAUCAAACCAUCUUUAUCUCUUUAAUAUAUAUAUAUAUAUUCCCAAUUUCCCCAAGUUUAAAACAAUAAACUAGUUCCUUAAACCCACUAAUUAACAUAACUCAACUAAUGAUCAAGACCUAUUGAAAGGACUCGCCCCGAAUUUUCUCAAAACCUGAGACGAACCCUUUGGAAGUCCUGACAUCACCUCGAUGCCAGGCCCACUUACUAAAAACCGAGACUUCCUGCCGAAAUUUCGGCAGAGUCUCCCCUAUAAUUUGGACAUUUUCCAAAAUUUAUACCUGCAUGAAAAUGCAUUUAAUAUUCCCAAUUGGCAGCAUGCACAAUAUAAUUUCAUGCAAUUCACAUAAAUGGCCUUCGGCUUUCCAAUAAUUCUUAACCAGUUACCAAACAAUUCAAAUACCAAUUAUGACUAACAUUUAGUCUACGGCUGCGCCUAAUAACCUUAGGCUGCCUACGUACCCUCCUUGAGGGAUCAAGCCACACGUAGUUCUUCCAUAAAACUCAAUUCCACACAUAGGUGAUACCUUAUUUCAUCUCUCUGUAUUUCACAUAAUCUCCCCAUACGCCGGUACAACCAACGCCACGUAUAGGGCCUGUCAACACGCCGGAUAACCUACGCCACGUGCGACCAUGCCAUACUAUCAUCAUAUCUCCCCAUACGCCGGUACAACCAAUACCACGUAUGGGGUCUGUCUCAACGCCGGAUAACCUACGCCACGCGAGACCUGCACAUCAUAUCACAUAACUCCCCAUACGCCGGUACAACCAACGCCACGUAUGGGGCCUGUCCCAACGCCGGAUAACCUACGCCACGCGGGACCUCAACAUCAUAUCACAAAUCUCCCUAUACGCCGGUACAACCAACGCCACGUAUGGGGUCUGUCGACACGCCGGAUAACCUACGCCACGUGCGACCUCAACACAAUAUCACAAUAGCUCCCCAUACGCCGGUACAACCAACGCCACGUAUGGGGCCUGUCUCAACGCCGGAUAACCUACGCCACGUGAGACCUAACUUUCACUUGGUGGUGCUUGUAGUGAAUCCAACAUCCAGGGAGGUACCUAAAGUAGUGCGUAUAGCACUCCAAACUGACAUUCUAGACUCUGUUGUACCCAUGUACAACCAUAUAUAAUUAUAGUUAUAUAAAUUAAUUCUAAUAUUGUGUAACCUUCCACAUUCAUCUAGCACCCGAUAAUCCCCCUUAGAAAGGUGAGAUUACUCCGGGAGACUCACGGUCAACCAAGGGUCAAACUACUCUAACUCUGGUCAACCGGACCUGCAGAACCCACGACCCCCAAUUUCCGAUCCGAAAGUCUCUAUGGGUUCUACCAGGUAUAGGACACUUGUCCUGCAAGUUUGGUUCAGAUCGGACGGUCGAAUUUCUCACGAUCGCACGAUCUGACAAUUAAUAUAAAAUAUAAACUUUAAAAUUAUUAAUCGAAACAUCCGGGGCUCCGAUUCACGAUCCGUGAAUUCCUACACGAUCCUAGAAUUACCUAGAUUAACAUAUAUUAAAUUUGGGACCAUCCGACGGUCCCAACCUGUCGAACCCGGAUAACGUACAAUAUACGAUCGUCCGUUCGAUAGUCAAACGACGUCCGAAUUGAGAUCCGCGAAAUCCUAUGCACUCGUGACAACCUAAGGAUCUCAUCGGAAUACAGUGCUACUUUUUCUACAGUGCCCAAAGCGAUAACGCUUCGCCGGAAAAUCUCAACAUCACGGCUCCAAAAUUCCUACUCUAGGUAUAACACCCUAUUUGGAGCCACUUUUGUUCUUGGACCUACCCCAAAAAGUGGCCGAAAAUGGCCGAUCACGGCAGCCGAAGUUUCGGCCGAUUUUCAAUUCGAAAAUCGAGUUGUCUACGCUAAGAAUCGAUCUAAUCCUACCCAACCAUCAGCUAGAGUAGCUCGAGAGGUUCAAAAUCCAUACCUGGGUCGACGGAAUUGGUGGCCGGAGGAGGGAGAUCGGCGGCUUUGAAGUUUGGACGACGUCGGCCGCUUCAUCUCCAGAUUCCGGCGAAUCCGCGGCGGCUGGCGGCGGGAGGUGGCUGGGGUAGGAAGAGGACGACGGCCCGGUCAUUUUGGUACCGGUCCCGUCGUCAUUGGUGGCCGGAGGAGAGCACGGCCGGCCAAAACGUGGCCGGCGGUCGUCGCGCGCGAGAGAGGAGAGAGAGAGAUCGCGCGGAGGAGAGAGAGAGAGAGAGAGAGAGAGAGAGAGAGAAAACCAGAUUUUUAUAAAAAAAAGUCCCAUUUUGAAAUAUUUACGAUGUGCCACUGGGCUUCUUUUGACCAUAUCUCUCUCGUUACAACUCCGAUUCAAGCCCACUACGUGUCUAUGAACUCGUCUCAGUACGACCUAUCCAAAAAUACAAGUCACGGUCCCAAACUCUCUCCGGUUAAAAAUAUGACUAAAAUACCCUUAAAUAAUGAAAUAAUUAAAUAAGGGUUAAAUUUGGGGUCGGGGUGUUACAUCUAUCACCAGGAUCAUUAUAAUCCUCCGAGGGAGGUGAAACUACCUCGGAAGACUCACGGUCAACCAAGGGUCAAACUACCCAAAUUUAGUCAAACGGGCCCACGAGACCCGCGACCUCCCGAUCUGAAAGUUCCUAUGUGUUCUACAAGGUUUAGGACACUCGUCAUGCAAGUUUGGUCCAGAUCGGACGAUCAGAUAGCUCACGAUCGGACGGUUAUUAUAAACAUAAACUUUAAGUUAUUAAAUCGGAACAUCCGGGGCAAAGAUUCACGAUCCGUGAAUUCCUACACGAUCCUAGAAUUGCCUAGAUUAACAUAUAUUAAUUUUAAGACUAUCCAACGGUCUGAACAUGUCAAACCCGGAUAACGCCUAAUAUGCGAUAUGCGAUAUCCGAUCGAUGAUCAAACAAUAAUCAAAUUCAAAUUCGAGCAUACCGUCACGCUCGAGACGACGAGAGGGUUAUUUUAGAACUCUAAGACAAGCCACCACAUGGCCCACGCGCUGACAGCGCGUGGUUGUCUAGAGAAAUUUCCAGCGGCGGGAAAAACUCCAAACCGCCAGCCAAGACUCCCAGGUUAGGUAAAUCACAUGUAGUGGAACAACUUUUGUUCUUGGACCUACCCCAAAAAGUCGACGGAAGUGGCCGUCGGAGGCCGAAACUGGCCUAAACUUCUAUCGCUUAAUUGACAACCAAAAUGCAGCAAUUGAUCCUAAAUAACCCAACCAGCAGCUAGAUCAGAUUGAGGGGAUGGAAAAGCAUACCUAGAUCGCAUGAUUUGGUUACCGAAAACGUCCGAACGAGCUUCCGAAAAAUCCGCAAAAAACCUUUCGGAUUUCUGCAAUUUCCGGCCAGCACCAGCAGUUCCAGCAGCUGAGGUUGGUCGGAAAAGGAAGAGGAGGUGGCAGCGGUUUGAACAGGUCCGGCCUCGUUGCCGGUGGUGAUCCGUGGUGGCAACUGUGGCUCUUGGAAGCCACGGCUGUGCAGAAAAAUGAAGGGGGAGGGGGCUGCGCGCGUGGGGAGAGAGAGAAAGUGAGAGAGAAUCAGAUUUAUCAAACCUUUUUUUGCCAAAAGUACGAGUAUGCCACUAAGGGUAAUUUGAUCGUAUCUUCUUCGUUACAACUCCGAUUCGAGCCCAUUACGUGUCUACGAACUCAUCUCGCUGUGCUUUACACAACGGUACGGUUGAAAUUCCCAAAUUCCUUCCCAGUCAAAAAGUCAACUUUAAACCUAAUAAAAUAUUCUAUGGGCAAAAUGGUAUUUUCUCUGAAUAAAUUAGUGUUUACUAAUUUAUUUAGGACCGGGUCGUUACAAUACCCAAAAAUUUCCUGUGUCAGAAUCAACACAUGGCAGCAGAGAAAGAAAGGGGAAUAGGACAAAAUAGUUGGUUAUCCAGCUGGAAAUCCUACAGAGCAAGGAUGACUAGUUAUACGAGAAACAGAUGACUAGUCAUCAUUUUAUGAAAUCAAUUUAAUGCAAUGUGAUGGAAUGCACAAUUUACCUUUGUCAAUUUGCUUGAACCUCUAUACGAUAGUUGUUAGUUAAGAACACCUAGAGAAACUAUUCUUAAUCUAAACUUGAGCUUGAUAAAAAUAAUAAAAAUCUUAUUACAAGAUUAUCAAGGAAAGUGUUGUGUCUACCCAAGUGCAAGUAGUCACACGUAGUAAUAAUCUUGGAAGUCCAAGUAUCGUAUCCUCAAGGAGCAGGUAGGCAAAUAUCUGCACACAAAGAAAUAAUUAAACAUACCACAAUAAAAGUGACAAGCAAAAUGGAAAAGUUAUUUAUUUGAUUGUUGUGAAAAUUGAAUUUAAAAAUGAAAUAUCAAUAAUGGAAAUGCUAAGGCAUCAAGGUUCAAUUCUUUAAACAAAAUAUGUUUCAUGCUCUUUACUCCAGAUUAUAACUCGAUUAAAAUCAUCAUCGAGAAACUUUAACCGGAAGAUAAAGAAAUUAAAACCAAUUUAAUUUUUCAAUGUAAUCUUUUAUUAAUGAUUGUUCAGAAAAUGGAAUUGCUUAAUAUCUACUCUUUUAAUUUAAAAGCAUGCCAAGUCAGUUCUUAACAAUGAGAAAAAUAAAAUUGAACUCAUGAAAAGGUAAUAGCACUUAACAUCAAUCAAAAUAAAAGGAUAUGAAAAUAUUGAACAACCAAAAAUAAAAGAAUUUAGCAAUUCAUACCGUAUAUUGGAUUAAAGAACAAUUCACAAACUUACUUAAAGAACAUUCCCUUUAGCCUUAGCUAGAGUUCUAGCAACUCAAUUACAAAGGAAAACAUAAACUAAAUGGAUAAAGAAAUCAGUCAUAGUGGUGCCCUUGCCAAAGAAGUUGAUGGGUAAUUUAUAGUGAAUGAGGUGAGUGGGAAGUUAAUACAUGGGUAAUGAAGGGUUUAAGUAAGGGAUUAAUUGGAUUAAACAUUGGUUGAUGGUGGAGAGUUAGUGGAAAAGAAAUAACGGUGAGGUAAAUAGGCGUUAAAUGGCUAUGAAUGACAUGAAAUAGGCUCUUUAGCUUCAACGGUUGUGUCUUCUCUUCUCCCUCUUUACUUCUCUUUAUAAUCACAAUAAUCCAACAAUCAAUUCUUCAAUAAAAUCCGCCAGCAAUUCUCUUCACACCUAGCUUGAACUUGGACAAAUGUAUGUCUUCAUCUUUUGGCUUUCUAACUUCCUACCGAAGAUAAAUUCACCUAAUAAGUUCACCAAAUUAAUAUAGAAAAUUCAUAAAUCCAGUUGAUGAGAAUAAAAUGUAACAAUAAGUGAAAUUAUAUUUAUUAAGUCAAAAUUAUAUCAUAAAGUCUCCAAAAUAAUAUUAAAAAUAUAUAAUUUAAGACUCUCAUCACAAAGCCAAAAGAAAAACUCAAAAUGCAUACAUUAACAGUUUUGCCAUAUUGAAUUAAUGUCUUCUAGCUAUGUACCUUAUCUUUUUGCCGGGCCAUGAGUUGAAUGUAGAGGCAGAGCAUGGACUUGGGUCAAGUUUGACUUGUAAAAUAAUUAGGAAUUGAAUGGCUCCUACGUUCAAUUAUUUUAUUAUUAUUAUUAUUUUUUGUCCGAGCCAUUCAAUUCCUAAUUAUUUAGAUUUUUGAUCUAGUUAGCAUCCACAAUCAUGCUCUCUAUUUUUUUUUUUUGGUCAUAAAUGCCAUAACUCUUUUUUUAUUGGUCCAUCUCUAUUAAAAAAUAAAAUAAAAAAUAGUUAGCAUUAAAUAAAGGUUUGAAAUUCUCAUUAAAUAAAGCAGCAUUAAAUUAUAGGGAGCAACUAGGAGUCAUUUCUCUCUCCUCAAGUUUAGGAGCUCCUACAGGUCUCCCUAUUUUAGGAGGUAGAUAGGGAGCAUUGUUGGAGUUGUAUUUUUACAAUUUCUCCCUAAAAUUUGUCUAAGGAUGUGGUUUAGGGAGCCCAUUGUGGAUGCUCUCAUCUCAAGGAAAGAAAACCCCAAGUUUGCAAGUAAUUUUUCUACGUAUGUAUAUAUGAAAAACUGACAUUUAUGAAAAUAAUAAACCCAUAUUUUUAUGUAAGCCAACUUUCUAAAUUCAUGUACUGAUAUUUAUUAGGGAAAUAUUGGAGAAACUGAUUAUUUUGAAAAAUUAAAUGUGAAAAACUGAACAAAAUUUUGACGGGUUACAUAUGUCAACUCAUUCAGCAGCUUAGGUUGUGAAGACCUAAGCAACAACCCUAGUGCACUGUCGAUCACUUCAGUGUCUACCGAUUUUCCUUUCCAUAUUGUUAGAUUAUUCCCUGCUGUAACACUUGCAUUUAGAAAAUAAUAGUACAGCUCUUAUUAGCAACAGUUUUACACACUUGCAUGAAUCUCACUAUGUUAAAGCAAUCACAUAGCACACCUUUAUUGAAAACAAAGCUAGCCCUGAUCCACUCCUUUACAUACUUAAAAACAAAACAAAACGAAAAAAAGAUAGGGAGAAAAUGGCUACGGACUUACUGCCGACAAAAAGAGAUAAUAGCGAACACUGUUUGUAUGACAGUGAGUAUGAGAAGAGUAACCGCUGCAAAGAGAGAAAAAGCUGCCCAGGCCCAGGGUGAGUUGAAAUACUUUUGGCUCAAAUAUGCCAACCAUCUGUUCCUGCACUUCUUGCAGUACUUGUUUAGAUUGUCAGCAAGACCACCAAAAUAGAAAUUUUGCUGGUCCGGAGCAACCCCCUUGCAAAGUUGGUUAAUCAUAGUAGAAACCUUAUUGUUGUCACCUAGUGUGUUUACAACAAUUUCACUCUCAACAAGUAAAUCUACAUCCCUUUUGGUUUUUACAAAUUUAUCCAGGAGGAAAACAUAAUCGCUUAAGUAAUUGUCUGUGCAAUGGCAUUGUUCAAAGGCAAUGAGAUUUCUGAGUAUAAGCUCUGUGUCAUCACGUAUUUCUAGUUUUGGAAUUUUCAGAGUUCCAUUAUGGAACUGUAUCGCGAAUAAGUCGUUGCUUGACUCCAGACGACUUGAUUCCGGACGAAACUUAACUCUGGCCUGGUGUAGUUUUGUCACGCUGGGUAUACAUGGGAGUUCUCCAGCUUCUGAGGUACCGGUAUCCAAAUAUUGCACAUGUAAAGUUCUAAUAAAAUCAACAAAAUGUAAAGGUGGUUCAGUCCCCUCCACUUCGUCUUCCGACCUCUGUAAACCCACUACCUUUUUGAAGAAAUGGUAAGAGAGCUUAAUCAUUGAAGGCCUCUCAGUCUCAGAAUUCUUAACUCUGACUUUGCUUGCAUCGAAAAGAUCCUCAAGAAUGAAAAAUGGCAGCUAAUUUUCGGGCAAAAGCAUGUCGGGCACUAUAUUUGUUAACAUUUAUGGUUUUUUAAAUAUCCAGUCAUUAUAUCGUCUCGCAAUUCUUGGAAAUGGUACCUCAACAAUAGCUCAAUGACAAAGGCAGCAUCAACUAGAAUGAUACUUACAAACUUGUCGCUACUCUUGAAGUGCUGAGCGUUUCCAUAACGACCACGGAGUUCAUCUUCUUGGGCCUUUAUUUUCUCUGCAUAAUCCUUCAAGCUAACCUUAUUAUUCCGAUGAAGAAAAUUUUGUAGGUACCUCGGUUUGUACUCUUCCAUGGCUUCUAAUUCUUUGUUGUCAUGGUGAAUUGGGCCUAUUGAGACUACUUCCGGGGUGUAAGCGUUAUUUCUGCCCCGUAGUCACGAAGGAACCCUGUAGAUACAGCACUCAUCAGAGGGCCUAUUGAGACAAACUAUCCAACCGCCGCUUCAAAUCUGCUACUGGGGUUUUGUGGUUUUCUACGCCAUGUGGAGCUCCAUUGCUGCAUCCUUCCACUUCUAUUAUGUGUUGUUCUGAUUGUAAGUGAUGAGGGUUAUUGGCACCAGGGGCGGAUCUAGCCCUUUUUUGGCUAGGCAGCCACCCAGUCGAGAAUUUUCAUAAAAACAAAAUAGGUACGUAUUGUUGUAAAUGUAUGAGUUGGUGGAUGACCACCAUACCUCUUAGCAUUCACCUUUUCUAAUUCUAUGUAACUAUACACUAAAUGCCAUAGUUAUGGACUUGUAACUUAUGAGUUGUUAAUGUUUUCUUACGUGUAAGCCUAUAAAUAAGAGGGCUAUCUUGGCAUAUGUGUUCGUCACUAACUAUAUAAUUUAAGUUGUUUUCAGUGACUAAUUUAAAUAAUUGUCAGAAAAUUUGGUCAUUAAAAAUUAAAAAAUAAGGGUCAAUUAUUUUAGUGACCAUGAAGUAUUAUUAGUCAUUAAAUUCAUUGUAUUUGUGACCAUUAUUUAUGUGGAAUUGGUCACUACUGACCUUUUUUCUUGUAGUGUACAUUCUUGCCUUAAUACAGUUAGGCUUAUUUUUAUACUAAUUUCUCUAACAUAACUUUUGCACAUUCUUUUUAUAUUAUAAUAAAUAAUCUUACCCAGUUGAGUUAUAAACCAUUUUCUUUUAGCACGGAAAAUCGACAUUUUGACAGAGAGUUGAAAAGCACUCCCCAAUUUUAAUGUCAACCACUUGGAAAAAAAAAACAUAAAUUUAAUGACAACAAUUACAUUUAGCAAUGCAACCUAAAAACUCAACCUUUGCGCUCCUUUCACCACGCAGAUAGCAGGGUGAGGAUAUUCGAAUAAGAACGAAGACAGAAGCUAAAGGAAUUGCGAUAGCUAACCAUAGUCUGCAUUUCUUACCAUCUGAACAAUGCCACCAUUUUGUUUGGUAAGUAUUUAAUAACAUUUCUUGCUCUACAUAAAGUAAUAUUAAAGCGAAAUUUCCCUAAAUUUUUCUUACCAACAAUCCAUACCCAAGAAAAGGGGAGAUUCACUAUUAUACUCAAUAUAGGAGCCCAACUUAUUUAUAAUAAUUAUAAAAAAAAACCCUCUAUGAAAUGGACUUUAGAAACACACCUAAAACCUAUUUACAACAAAACAAAAAGACUUUUAACUUUUUUUAAAUUACAAAACUGUCAUUGAUUUCUUAAACAAACCCAACCCCAAAACCUCAUAAAAAAGCCCAAAUACUCAAUAAAGCAGCAAAGUAAUUUAAUAAUAAAAAUUAAAUUCAAUAGAGUCAGCUGUUAUUUUUUGGGUUAUUUUUUAUUUGUUUAUAGAAAUUAAAGAGUGCUGCUAAAAGAACCCUAACAUUAACUAAAUACACCAAAUGAUCUAAGUACACCCUAAUAUUUUAAUUAAAAUACAAAAUUAACUAAGUACACCUUAUUUAACUACCAAAAUUACCCGUGUUACACCCUAAUACACUCUAUCACUGUUCACCCGUUUAGUUUUUGCUCCUGUGAUGGAAGGGUAAAGUUCCCCACUGCCUUGGAAACCAUUGACUGGUCAACAAGUCAGCUUUCUUUGCUAUGUGAGCGUGCCACUGUUAGCAAUGAAAAUCCUAACAGACUUCUUAAAAUGGAUACUUGCGCCCAAGUUACUGAUUUCUAAACAGUGAUUGUGAUUUGGGUGAGGAAUAUCUCCAAGUAAGUUCUUUUCCUGCAUCAGGCUGGUGAAGACUUUAUAAUUUUCACAGUAUAAAUUGGUAGUUCUUGCCAGAAUAGAUGAUAUAAAGUGGACGGUUUUUAGGCAGAACUGCGUUUUACAAAAUUAAGAAGGAAAAAUCAACUCUAAAAAGACAAAAAGAUGGCUGGAAUCCCACUUCUGCCUGGGUAGAAACUUCAGAUCCGGGCUGGACCGAAUACAUUCAUGAUGGACUGAGCUGUUAACAACUUCAAUUGCUUAGCUUUAGCUGUAAAUCGAUACCAAAGUUCAAUUUUGGCAGAGCUUUAAUCUACUUCAAGCCUUGGAAGGCUUUUGAGCGGGCAGAACUGCCGUCUCUUCUGGCUAAAAGAGGCAGAAAUGGCUGAAUUUGAGGUUUACUGAGCUGGAACUGCACUGUUGUACCUGUUCUGCUUGGUCAGGGCUUUCCAUAAAUUUGUUGAGGUUUUCAUAUUUGUGAAAAACUCAAACUCUGCUUGUUUUGGCUUUUGCUGAACCAAAUUUGUAACGAGAGAAGUCUUGUUUUGAAUGACUUUUCUCUAAGUUUGAGCUUUUGAAAUUCUAGGAGAGAGAGAGAGAGAGAGCUUUUGAUUGCUCCAGUUUGUUUGAAGGUUCUCAAUGAUCAAGUGAUCAUUUUGAGUUUUUGCCUUUAGCUUAUUUUUGGUUGUUUGUUUGAUUAUCCUUUGCUCUAUUCACCUUCUCCUAUAUUUAUAAGAAAUGCUUUGAAGUAGGGUUUCUUUCUUUUAAUAAUGGGCGGCCAAAAUUCUCAAAAGGUCUUUCAUUUUUUUAAAUACGAAGAAAAAGGGGUUUUCUCAAUUUUGGCAAAUAAGUUCUCAACAGUCAAUUCCAUUGAAAGAGAACCUGACUUUUCUUUAAUUCCCAACUGCCCUUGUGAGAGCUCAAUCGUGAUGGUCAGUUUGCUUCUCCAUUUUGAACAACUUCCUGUUUCCUGUUUAUCUUUUUAGAAAAUACAAUCUGGGUAUCCCUUGAAAGAUGGUGCCUUUUUUGGAGUAGAAACAAUGUCUCUAAAUAUAAAAGGGUUUUUUUUUUAUCUUUUGGUGGCAAAGAUUUCAAAGACGUCCCUUCUUUUCGCCUGCCUCUGUCAACUUUUUAUCAACCCAGUUGAAAUUGUUGACUUUCCUAAAUCAAAAAAAGAGAUUCACGUGGGUCUGUUCCUUUUGGCUCCUUCCUCUCUUUUAAUCAUGCCUAACCUCUUUUGAUUUUACUGGAGCCAUGGGCUGAUUGCUUCUCUUUUCGAGGCCCAAGUUUAUUUGCAGAGCCCAAACUGCUUGGGCCCUGUGGUUUUGUCUUUGUUGUUUUUGGGCUUUUUAGGCUGGACGUGCCAAAAUUAGGCCCAAACAAUGUCCCCUAAGUUUGAAUCGUUUCUAGAACGGUUCGAGAUUUAAUGAUUUUGGCCAUUAAUUCGUGCGCGCCAACUUCUUUCGUUUAAUGCACGUCUGCCUACCACGAGCUAGACUUCAUGGGAAACUGUUUUGUUACUAGCUAGUUACUUAGCUAGUUAUUAUCAUAUGGCGUCUCGUCUUCCUCUUCCCACGAUUUCAAGCCCCUUUUUUAAGAAAUUCGAAACUCCAACUUCUGUUUAUUUCAAAAACUAGCUUCUUUUUAGACCUCGACAAUUCUUAGUUUUCCCCAGAAUUCUCACUUUUUCUUCGACCAGACUCUGCCUUUCUUAUCAUUUCCUUUCCUAGUUCAACACUUCUGAUCAUGUCUUCUCCCAAGACUCGUGCUCAAGGUUGGUCCUCCUCAGUUCCUCCUAAUUACAUCACUGGGACUGGGAUUGACAAUCACGCGAUAGAGGUUAGAAGCAAACUGAUAGGACCCGCCCCGAAUUUUCCAAAACCCAAGGCGAAUCCUGUGAAAUUUCCGACAUCACCCCGAUGCCGGGCCCACUUACUAAACACCGAGACUUUCUGCCGAAAUUUCGGCAGAGUCUCCCCUAUAAAUUGGACAUUUCCCAAAAUUUCAACCUGCAUAAAAACACAUUUAAUAUUCCCAACGGGCAGCAUGCACAAAAUAAUUUCAUCCAAUUCACAUAACGGCCUUCGGCCUUUCAAUAAUUUUCAACAAACUACCAAGCACACUAACAAAUCAAUUCAUGCCUCAAACAAGGCAACCAAUAAAUUCAAAUAUGCAUUAUGACUACCAAAUUUCGACAUGCAUCAUUUUGCUUUUCCAAUCUCAAUAGAUGAGGUUUUAACCUCCUAACACAAUCACAUCUAUGUUCGCGGCUGCACCUAAUAACCUUAGGCUGCCUACGUACCCUCACUGAGGGAUCAAGACACACGUAGUUCUUCCUUAAACCCAAUUCCACACAUAGGCAAUACCUUUAUUCAUUUCUCUGUAUUUCACAUAAUCUCCUCAUACGCCUGUACUACCAACGCCACGUAUGGGGUCUGUCAACACACUGGGUAACCUACGCCACGUGCGACCUCACCAUAUUAUCACAUAAUCUCCCCAUACGCCUGUACUACCAACGCCACGUAUGGGGCCUAUCGACACGUUGGAUAACCUAUGCCACGUGCGACCUCAACAUAAUAUCACAUAAUCUCCCCAUACGUCAAUACAACCAACGCCACGUAUGGGGUCUGUCUCAACGCCGGAUAACCUACGCCACGCGAGACCUGAACAUCAUAUCACAAUAGCUUGCCAUACGCUGGUACAACCAACGCCACAUAUGGGAUCUGUCGACACGCCGGAUAACCUACCCCACGUACGACCUCAAUAUAAUAUCACAUAAUCUCCCCAUACGCCGGUACAACCAACGCCACGUAUGGGGUCUGUGUUAAAGCCGGAUAACCUACGCCACGCGAGACCUGAACAUCAUAUCACAAUAUCUCUCCAUACUCCAGUACAACCAACGCCACGUAUGGGGUAUGUGGACACGCCGGAUAACCUACGCCACGUGCGACCUCGAUAUAUUGUCAGGUAAUCUCCCCAUAUGCCGGUACUAUCAAUGCCACGUAUGGGACCUGUCCGCAAGCCGGAUAACCUACGCCACGUGGGACCUAACUUUCACAGGGUGGUACUUGUAGUGUAACCAAAAUCCGGAAAGGUGCCUAGGGUAGUGCGUAUAGCACUUCAAACUGACAUUCUAGACUCUUUAUACCUUUACAAACAUAUAUAAACAUAUAUAAUUUAAUUCUAAUUGUGUAAACCUCAACAAUAGUCUAGCACCCAAUAAUCCCCCUAGGAAGGUGAGACUACUCCGAAAGACUCACGGUCGACCAAGGGUCAAACUACCCUAACAUUGGUCAAACAGGCCCACGGGGCCCACGACCUCCAAAUUCUGAUCCGAAAGUUCCUAUGAGUUCUCCGAGUUAUAGGACACUCGUCCUGCAAGUUUAGUCCAGAUCGGACGAUCAGAUCGCUCACGAUCGCACGAUCUGACGGUUAAUAUAAAACAUAAACUUUAAAUUAAUAAAUCAAAACAUCCGGCACUCCGAUUCACGAUCCGUGAAUUCCUACACGAUCCUAGAAAUACCUAGAUUAACAUAUAUUAAAUUCAAGACCAUCCAACGGUCCCAACCUAUCGAACCCAGAUAACGCGCAAUAGGCGGUAUCCGUUCGAUAUUUCCCUUUAAUAAUUUAAAUAAGGGAUUUAAUUUGGAGUCGGGGUGUUACAAUCUACCCUCCUUAUAAAAAUUUCAUCCUCGAAAUUUCAUACCUGCUAGAAGAGGAAUCUGCCAGAACUGACUUUAGGAAGAAGUUCCUGAGUGUCACUCUGCCAAGAGAUCUGCCCCACGGAGGUGGGAAGCCUCCAAACUAUCAUUUGGGAGCAGAAGUCUAUCAUCGCAACUUCUGUGCAAGGCAACUUGGCUGCCCCAGCUUAUUCCACUAAAAUCAUACAGAAGCUGCAAUCGGGCCACUUCCUUGAGAGAUGCGGAUGAUCUGGAAGUGCACAAAGAUGCUAGAUGUGCAGUAAACAAGAUAAAUAACAGCGCAGAUGCCCUCUAUCCAGCCUGGGAACUGAACUCCUGCAGUUCUGCCGAUUUUGACGCUUGGUGGAAAUCCAGGUUUCAUGGUCUGCCAGCCUCCAUUGCUGCACUCAAGGUGAUUUUUGAGGGCUGGGACUCCUGGACUGUCUACGCGGAGGUGGAUGCCAAGAACUUCAUGGUGCAGACCAUCAAAGACAUUAAUGCCCAGGGUAUAGAAGGUAACUUUCAAUUCUGUCUGUCUUGCCUAUUCUGUCUCUUAGUGAUGAUGCCUAACAGUUUUGUUCUGUAUAUAUCAGACCCUUAUUUGACAGAAAACAUAGGUGGACAGUCUGUCCAAGCUGGAGAUGUGAUUGGUAAGUUUUUCACUAUUCUGUUCCUUUCAUUAUUUUCUUGCUUGAUUGACUUCUGACUUUGUCUAUUUCUUGUGUAGUCAUUGCUGUCAUUGCUGCUGGGACUUGGAGCUUCCCUCUGGAGAUGAAGAGGAUCUAGCUGCUGAGGCUAUUCCUUUUGGCAGAACAUCCAGCUGCUGAGGCCAUUCUUUCUAGCAGAAGGAAGAGAAAGGAAAUUUCUUCUGCCCAGCACAGUGCUGCUCAGCCUGCGACUUCAGGUAAGUUCUGACAGUUUGAGCUUUUCGUAAUUCUAUUUUGUCCUAUUCUGCCUUAUGUUCUAAUGGUUUAUUGUCUGCUUAUUGUAGCUGAAAGUUCCUCUCCUCCUCCUACUAAGUCAAAAAGACUUAAAAAGAGGACUGUGGUGGAAUAUAUGGCCAUGGAGGAGUCUGCAGCAGUUCCCACCAACACUUCUGGGACGGAUGAAGAGCUGAGAGAGGCCUUCAAGACAGUGGAAUAGGAGAAAGAGCUAGAAGAAACAGAAGAAGAACCUCAAGAAAAGGCAAAAGAAAUGGAAGAAAAUGUGAGUAUUGUUUUCUGGCUAUGUCAGCUUUUCUUUUGUUUCUUCAUUUCCUCUGUUCUGACUUCUGUCUAUGUAUAGAAGGAAAUCCCCGCUGAAGUGAUUGCAUAGAGCAUUGCUUUGGCGCAGAGGCAGCAGGAGAAUCAAAGGGCAGAGCUGACCAGCUCGGAGUUGGCCCUUUUUGAAGACGCAGAGGCAGAACACUCAACUGUUGUUCCAGCAGCUGAGGAGCAGGUGGAGCAGUCUGCAUCAGAGCCUGUGGAGCGAGCAGAACUACCUGUUGCAGUCCCAGCACCUGGAGUGGAAGUGGCUGCUGUUGUUCCCGAAGUUGUGGUAAUUUUUAUUCUACUUCUGUCCACCUGUUUCCUGCAAUUCUGUUCUGUCUGUGCUUCCUUAUCUAUUAGUCUUUUCAGGUAGAAGUGCCUAGGCCUGCUGGGGUUUUGGCAGUGGUGACCAGCCCCUUGAAGCCUCUCAUCGUUGCUGUAAGUGUUAAUGCAUUCCUGGGCUUUUUCUUUUCUGUCUCUGCCUAGUUCCUACUCUUGUUCUUUUCUGCAUAUGCCUAUCCAUUCCCUUCCAAGUUCAUCUGCCACAGCUUCCUAUGCUGAUUCGGAGCUGGCAGAAUUUGAGGCUCUGGAUCUGAACGCCCAGCUAGACAAGCUGAACCCUAAACCCUUGAGAAACUCAGCUCCACUCCUUGCAAGGCAAAGUCCAAGGCAGUGGAGGAGGCUAUGGAGAGACUGAAGAUCUGGCAAUCAACUGAUCUGGAGCUGGAUAAGGACAGGGAAGCUGUUGACCAAUUGAUGAAGGAUCUGGACCUUCUGCACAGACAGAACAUGGCCCCCAAACCCAUACUUGAGAUGAGCCUUGGCUUGGGAAGAGAUGUGCUCAACCUCCACGACCGUUACGAGGAUCUCAAGCCCACCUUCAAGACCUCUGAGUUCUGCAAAGCCACCCAUAAAGCCAACUUGGCUGACUAUGCAAAGCAGAAGGCAGAACUGGACCAGAUGGUUGCAGGAUACAAGGAAGCCAAAGCCACUAUAGACAAGUUGGAGAAGCAGAUUGAAGAGCUUCAAAAACAAUUGGCAGAGUGCAGAGAGGUGCAGAGCAGGCUCGGGGCUAGACUGAGCUCUAAGACCAAGGCCACCUUCCUUGUGUAGAAUAUGGUUUCAGCUUCUAGGCCAGCUUUGGAAAUUGCAGAGGCUUCAAUCCACCAGGGGUGCUACUUCAGAAGGAACUCUCCAUUAAAAAGGCCAACUUGCAAGAAACCCUUAGGAAAUUAGGGUUUUAGAUUCUAGUUUUUUUUUAAAGAAAUGUAAUAAAUAAUUUAGCCAUAAAAAGUGGCUAUAUUUAAAUAAAAGUUCAUUUAUUUUUGUGGGAAUUCCAAAUUCUUUCGACAAAAAGAAAAGAGAGAAAAAGUAAUUUAAAGCAUACUUAACAAAUUACAACGAAAAUGAAAGUGAUCAGAAAUUCAAACAACAGUUUUAUCUUGCUGUCUCUCUAUUCCGGGAUCUGUCUGUACCGCCUGUGAAUCCCACAUAGUUGGAUAGAACUUUUUUAACCAUUUGUCAUUAAUUGGUGCAGUAUGGACAUCUCCAUCUCGAUCAUGUAAUCUGUAUGCCCCCAUUCCAAGGAUCUGAUUAAUUAUGAAAGGACCUUCCCAUGUAGGUGACCAUUUUCCAUAACCAUCUAUAUGCGUUCCAAGGGGCAGAACUGCUUUCUAGACUAUUUCCCCCUCUUCAAAACUCUUGUUCUUGACUCUUUUGUUGUAAGCCCUUGAUACAGCUUCCUUUCCUGCUAAGAGUUUGUUGAGGGUAUCGAUCCUGCUUGUAUCCAAUCCUUCCAGUUCUAGCAUCAUAGCUUGAGAGUAGUCUUCUCCAACCAAACUGUGUUGAUGAGCAAUUCUGAGGGAUUGGACUGCUAUCUCCAUAGGCAGAAUUGCAUCGUGGCCAUAGGUGGUCAUGCCAGUUGCUUCUCUUCUUGAAGUUCUAUAUGCCCACAGAGUUUCUGACAACUUCUCAUGCUACUAUUUUGGAUUUUUCUCAAGCAUUUUUCUGAUAAUGUUGAUGAUCACCUUGUUACUUGAUUCUGCCUGCCCAUUAGCUUGGGCAUAAUAAGGGGUGGAUUGAAGCAGUUUGAAUUUAAAUGCUCCUGCCAUUUCCAACAUUUCUCCAGAUAUGAAAGAAGAUCCCCUAUCAGUUGUGAUUGAUUCUGGAAUGCCAAACCUUUGUAUAAUCUGCUCUUCUAUGAAAGUGAUGAUUUCUUGAGAUGCUGUGGACUUAACAGGCUUGGCUUCCACCCAUUUGGUAAAAUAAUCUGUAGCUACAAUAAUAAAACAGUGUUGUUUGCUACUGGCUGGAUAAAUCUUACCAAUGAGAUCCAUUGCCCAUCCUCUGAAAGGCCAUAGUUUUACUACUAGAUUCAUGGGAACUGAAAGAGCCUGCUGGAUUAGCCGAGCCAUUUCCUUUUAUGCUACCGAUUUCUUUUAUGCUACUGAGCCGGGCAAAACCAAUAAAAUAAAGAAAGGCAACGAAUUUAUUAACCGAGUAUAAAGGAGAGAGAGGGAUUCGAACCCUCGAUAGUUCUUUGUUUCGAACUAUACCGGUUUUCAAGACCGGAGCUAUCAACAACUCGGCCAUCUCUCCGAAAUAAAAUUUAUAUUUUAUUCCACCUAAUAGAACAUGGACAUAUGAGUUGAUACGAUUACUAUCUAUAGAAAGAUAUCAGGUGUGAGUCUAUAGGUCUAUCUAUCUGUAUAUAUAUAUAUAAUAUAGAUGCAUGAUCCAGCAAGCAUGCCCCUGAAGUUGACUUACGCUCAAAUGUAGAAGAAUCAGCCAUGGCAAAUAGGUAGCUGAAUUGCAGCGGAAUAGAUGAGCAACGGUGUCACUCCCCCUCAUAUCCAACGAUGUAUAAGAGUCGAGAUUUGGAGAAAGCAAUACCGAAAAAUAAAGUUGCAGAACUCAAAUAAAGUUGCAUCUAUCUCCCCAUCAAAUCCGACACUGGUAAAGGGUCGAGAUUUGAAAGAGGAGAAAUUGAAAUAAUAGUAAAGAGACUCAAACAUGCAGUCUCAUGGCAGAAACAAAUGCAAGAGGGGAAGAUGGUAGCAUACGGUUGUCCCAUGAAGAAAAAACUUUAGAAAAGGAGAAUAGUAAGGGAGGAAACCCAGCAAAUCAUGAACAGAGACAAAGACAAAGAUAAGGUACUCAAACUGAGAAGCGGAAAGGCAACUCAAGAGAGCAACCGAAGAAGACAGAGGCCCGCAGAACAGUCAAAGGAAAGGCUCGGCGAGUGGUGACGAUGCUCGCGGAGGAAAGCAACGGCUCGGUGAGCAGUGACGAGGCUCACGGAGUAAAGAGACUUGUUAUGAAGUUUCAAAGAUAGAGAAGCUGAGACAUCAAGAAAGACCAUCUGGCAUACAAAGAUGAAAAAUAAAAUUUUUGGAACAGUAGCAAAGAAGCAUGUGAAGGCUAGGUGCGGUGAAAACACAUAUGAAAGGAUGAACAAAAGAAGAUGACUAUACAAGAUGAAGACCCAUGAUGGGUUAGAAAUGAGGAGUGCCAACGACUCUCAAUUUGGCAGAGGCUAUCACAGGUUAGGAACCUGGCUCUGAUACCAUGUCAAACAAAGUAGGGUAAAUAUUCAGUUAUGCUCAGAUAUGCUCAUAUUAUUAUUCUUCUCCAAUAUGGAGAUAUUUAUACAAGUACAAAGAUGUGUUAACCCUAAAUAAAAUAGAAAAUAUAUCUAAAUUACAAUUGGAAGUAAAUCUCUAUUACAAUAUGAGUAAAUAAUAAUUGAUAAGUAACCAAAAUUCUAAUGAAAUAAGGAACUAAAAUCCUAAGUAAGUAAGGACUCGCCAACGAAUAAUAGUACAACUCUUAUUAGCAACAGGUUACAAACUUCUUCUACAACACACCAACAUGAAUCUAGCCCUGAUCAAUUCUUUUACAUACUUGAAAACAAAACAAAACACGAAAAACAAAAAACAAGAAACAAGAUAGGGAGAAAAUGGCUACGGAGAGACUUACCGCUAAUACUUGAUCAAUAACAGAGAUAAUAGAGCACACUGUUUGUAUGACAAUGAGUAUCAGAAGAAUAAUAGCUGCAAAGAGAGAAAUAGCUGCCCAAGGUGUGUUGAAAUACUUUUGUCUCAAAUUUGCCUUCCGUCUGUUCGUGGUCUUCUUGCAGUACUCGUUUAGUUUGCCAGCAAGAUCACCAAAAUAGUAGUUUCCGUGGUUCGGAGCAACUUUACUGCAAAGCUUGUUAAUCAUAAUGGAAACCUUAUUGUUGUCACCUAGCGUGUUUACAACAAUUCCAUUGUCAACAAGCAACUCUACAUCCUUUGGGGUGUUUACAAAUUUAUCCAGGAUGAAAACAUAAUCGCUUAUGUAUUUAUCCACGCAAUUGCCUUGUUCAAAGGCAAUGAGAUUUCUAUGUGUAAGCUGUGUAAUCAUGUAUUUCAAUUUUUGGAAUUUCCAAGGUGUUUUUCUUGAACUGUAUAUCGAAUAAGUUCUUGCUUGAUCCCACGUUAAACUUAACUCCGGCCUGGUGUAGUUUUGUCAUGCUGGGUGUACUUUGGAGCCCUCCAUUUUUUUUUCUUUUGGCAGAUGUAAAGUUCUAAUAAAAUCAACAAAAUGUAAAGGUUUUUUAGGAUCAGGAGGCAUAAAAGACUUACGGAAGGCUGGUGAGUUCUCCAAGUUUUCUAAACGCAGUGCCUGUUGGAAGAACUUGUAAGAGAGUUCAAUUAUUGAAGGCUCCCCAGUCUGAGCACCUGUGAGAUUGUAAAGAUCCUUGAGAAUGAAAAAUGGCAGCUGAUUUACGAGCAUAAGCAUGUCAGGCAAUAUAUUUUGUAGCACCCAUGGUUUUUUAAAUAUCCAAGCAUUAUCAUCCUGCAAUUUUUCUUCCUGAAAUUUUUCUUCGGAUUUAUUCCUCAACAAUAGCUCAAUGACAAAGGCGGCAUCAACUAGACUGAUAUUCACAAAAGCAGCAAUGUUAAACUUCUUAGGGCUAGUUUGGCGUUGCUGUGUUUUAAAAAAAAAUAUGCUUCUGCUGUGCUGUGAAAAUAAUCAGCUGUGAAAAAAAGCUACUAAGCGUUUGGUAAACUGUUUUUGAAAAACUGUUGUGAGUAGUCAAAGUGUUUGGUAAAUUUUUAUCAGAAGUGUUUUUAGUGUGUAUAAUGACCAAAAAGGACAUGAUGAUGAAAUUGUUUGUUAUUUUCUUCAUUCUUUUUCUACUUUUUUUUUUAAAAAAAAAACCCAAUUUCACUACAUAAAUUUUUAUUCUUUUUUAAUUCACACCUUUUUAUCAAAAAAUUUAAUCUACAAUUAACAUACAUAUUUUACCAUAAAUUAUAAAUUACUAUUAUAACAAAAGUAAUUCUAAAUAUUGUUAUAUUAAUAUGGGCUUCGGACAUGACAAAAAUACAAAAAUUGUUCAAUUUUAAAAUGCCCCAAUAGAUCACUACAAUAUAAAAGAAGCUAAUUAGAUGCAUUCAUUAAACUUGUAGCGAUGCUAUUUCUUAAUGCAUUCAUUAGCUUCUUUUUUUGGUUUCCAAUGGUUCUCUAACAAUUUUAACUAAAAAAACAACCAUAAUGCUUUGUGAACAAUAAAUUCAAGUCCAAAUCUACUAAUGCCCACACCAUACAUAUAUACAUAAUUGUUUCUUUCAUAAAACUUGAAGAUUCAAUAGUAAUUACACAGUUUACCAAUCUUGAUUCCAACUAUAUCCAUAAAAUUAAACUAUAAUUAGAAACAGAGGAGCUACAUGUGAUUACUUAUAAAUGUUGCCCACUCUCAUCAUCAUCUUCUUCCUCCUCUGUACUUUGCCUUUCACAAAUGGACAAGACCAGAUGGUAACGUACACGACAUGGUCCACAUAUAGAUAAAUUUUGGGUUCACUGGAGAACAUAAAAGAGUUUUUACACGAAUACAAAGUUAGUUAAGUAGUGAAUAAGGUAAAACUAUUCUGUACAAUUCUAGCUGAUGCAGUCCAAAAAGAAUAUAUGUCUAAUAACUUAAAUAACAAUAAAGAGAAACAAAAACCUCAUGAAAAAUGCUAGAGUAAAAGUUACAUAACUGAAUCGAUGGACAGAGAACUCCACAGGCAGAGAAACAGCAACAAAAAUUGUCAAAACAGUAGCAAGACCAUGUUGGAGUCAAGGCCAAAGAUCAUAUUUCCUGUGUAUCUUCUUCCAUUCUGAAUUAUUCUCGUAUUCAAAUACUGUAACUCUAUUUCAAGUGCACCCCAAAAUACUUAUCUAAGGCCAGUACAUAGGACUUCAUAAAGGGUGCCAUAAAAAAUAUUGCCCCUUAAUUGAUAAACAGAACCAAGAUCCCAAUGGCACACCAAAACUAUACCAACCACACCUACAUAAUAUGGACAGAAAAUCCUGUUGUUCUGACCUCUAACCACACCAAUGACAUUCAUUAGGAAAAUACAAAAGAUGGGUACCCUGCAUUUCUAACAUUUAAGAUAAAAUUCACUGCCAGCUAAUCACAAAUUUGAAAAGAUGGCAAGAAAAUUGGCUAUGCUUUAACAAAAACCAGAGCAGUCCUUGCAUAGACCUGACUUUUUGCUCCAAGCUUUAGCAGAUCACUUACUGGUAGAGAGCAGAGAACAUGUAUGUGAAUAUCUGAAGUUGGAAGGGUAAGCCAUCACAAACACCAAGAGAUCUGAUUCUCAUCUCUUGUUACAACAACAAAUCACAAACACCAAUACAUCUGAUUCAGAAUCUCAUAAACAAUGGAGGAACAAACACAUAUUCACACACAUAUAAAUCCCUAAACCGAAAAAAAAAAAAAAAAAAAAAAAAAAAAAAAAAAAAAAAAACAUGAAAGUAAUAGGAGAAUCAAAUUGAUUUGGGCCAAAAUUGCCUAAAAAGAAAACACUCCUAAAUAAACUUCAAUUCACUUUUAAAAACAGUAAAACGUGAUUGAAUCGUUCUUUAAAACAAUUCCCUAAUAUACAUGCAUGAUAAUGACAUCAUUUACCCCUAAAUCAAAUGCCUUUCACUGGUUAAGCCACAAGUCUGUGUUUUGGGGAUUGCUGAGCUGCAUCAAUCCUGCCAAUGUCAAUUCUGCCCCUAGGCUCUCUCAAAGUGCAUUUACAACCUAUGCUAACAUAUACUAGAGUUUGUGCUAGUAUCUAGAAAAUGCCAACACUAAUUUCGUAACACGUAGAAAUUGUUACAUAUUGGAAGUUUUUAUCAUUUUUUCUUCCAGUCUCUCCACCACUCACUAAUACAGAUUACUCAUGUGAUGAGUUUACAAAACCUAUUUCUCUACUCCCACAAAGACCAUACUUUUUCUCAAAAGACUAUAUCACUUUAUCUCUAUCUUUGUGAAAUGUAAAAAGUUGAAACUUUAAUGUCAAAUCUCGACAAAAGAUGAACUUCCAUCAAUUACAUUGAAUUUGAAUUUGUUGAACUUAAGUGGUUUUACUUUCUCUGUCAGCGUUUGAUGACUUGAUUUGUUAUUUACUUCUUCUUUUUUCCUUGGAAAUGUGUUCCAUCAACGUGAGGAAGAAAAAUAUGCACAAAUUAAUAUAUUUAAUAGAAGCACAAAUUAAUAUUUACAAAAAUAUGCACAAAUCAAGUAAAAUUAAUAAAGCAUAAAUUGGAAAGGGAAAAUAUGUAGAGGAUGCAUUGUAGGAUUGCUCAUGCCAAUAAUUGUACCCUCUAAAUAUAUAGGGACAUAAUUUUUUUUGUUUUCAUGACAUGUGGUCCUCAAAUUAUUGUUCUUAGCGGACUCUCCACCCCUCUCGAUUGAAAGCCUAUUGUGUAAAUCUUCAAUCCUGAAUGAUCCACCUAAAACUCAUGUUGCAAUACACAUCCACCCAUUCUCAGGCCAAUUAUUACUCCUAGUGGGCUCUCCACCCCCUCUCAAAUUUAAGUGGUCCAUUAUUAUUAACCAUAUAUUUUAUGGACCAGCUAGCUGUGAGGUUUUAUCUCAAAAACCUUUCUCUCACAUGCCACAAUUUAUGUCUGAUACAUCACAUCAUGCCAGUUGUCUCAAAUGAAUUUAAGUGAGUGAGGCAGUGUUACUUCUGGGUACCCCUCAUCGUUCGUGUAUAAAAUGGUGAAGCCAGUUGCUACUGUUACCAUAAGAGCCAGCUCCGACUUUCAAAAUAAAAAUUCCAACAAUGAUCUUAGUGCCUUCAAACGCAUGAGUUACUGAACAUGCAAAUAAAUACACUAUGAAUAAUAAAAGUGUUUGAUAAAUCACCAAAUUAUGGAACACUUGAUGAUUUAUCUCAAAUAAAAAUUCCAAGGCUUAUUUUAUAGAAUUUUUCUUUAUUACAAGAAAGAAAACAUGUUGAAAACCAAAUCUCCAAUUUCCAAGGCUUGACAGAAAAUCAAAAAAAUAUCUUUCCUAUUCUAGAGAUUGGUCACAUGUAGUUCAGAAAAUCAAAAAAAUAUCUUUCCUAUUCUAGAGAUUGGUCACAUGUAGUUCAACCAAUAGGAAAUGAGAUAUUUAAGAAAGCAAGAUUUUGAUCAAUAUCAAUAUCAAAUGAAUUCUUAUACGCCUAGUCAACUAUUAAGGGUAUCUUGACUCUUUGAUAUUGUGAUAUGAUUGAAACAUGAUUUCCAUGUUAGAAAAUUAAGGGGAUGUUAAAACAUGAAAGUAAUAGGAGAAUCAAAUUGAUUUGGACUAAAAUUGCCUAAAAAGAAAACACUCCUAAAUAAACUUCAAUUCACUUUUAAAAAUCGUAAAACAUGAUUGAAUCGUUUUUUUAAAACAAUUCCCUAAUAUACAUGCAUGAUAAUGACAUCACUUACCCCUAAAUCAAAUUGUCACGCCCCGGACCUGGGGGUCAGUGGAAAUCCCGCGCCCGGUGCGUGAGAAAAUAAAAAGUAAAAUAAAAUAAAAAGAAAGCCGAAACAAGGGUUUAAAAUAAACUUCUCUUAUAAAAAUAACUCUAAAAUCUUAUAACUUUACAAGAAAUAAAUAAAGCUCUAUCAUUCUUAUCUAAUUCAGACUCAACUGGUUUAGUCCUUGUCUUGCCCACUAAUUCAUCUGAAAAAUUAAGAGUGUUGCUAAACGAACCCUAAAAUUAAUUGAGUACACCAUACUACCAAACAAUUUAUUGAAUUUGUCAAGGUUUUGUUUCUGGGAACUCACGAGCAACUUUCCAGUGGGUUACCCAUCCUAGGAUUGCUCUAGCCCACAACUCGCUUAACUUCGGAGUUCCUACGACUCCGAAGCCAGUGAGCUCCCAAAAGGCCUCGUGCUAGAUGGAUGCGGGUGUGCACAUAUAAGGCACAUCACCACCUCUCCGUUGAUUGAUGUGGGAUCUUACAAAAUUACUAAUUUAUUCUAAUAUAAAAUGAUCAAAAAAGAUAAAAUAAUAUUGGUAUCUAUUGCUUUGAAUCCAUGCCUUCAAACAAAUUGACUUAAUUUUUAACAAACAACACGGAGUCCAGGAGAAGUGUAUUGAUCCAAGUUGAUUUUUGUAUGCAUAAAACUUAAACAAUCAAUAACACAAAGCAGUUCAUGCUGAAAUAUUGGAAACCCACACCCAAAGAGUUCUCCGCUGCGAGGUUGAAGGCAGGAGAGAUGGGUGACAGAUUUUACUUCCACUGCGAAGUUGGAGGCUAGGAGAGUCUGUGACUGCCAUGGUUGAGGGAGAAGAUGCGUUCAAAAUGCCUAUUGAUAUUUUACAUUAUUUUCUAUACAAGUUAACAGUGUUUGUGUAUUGUUAAAGGUGGAGAGACGUGUCAAAAUUUUAGACAAAGGACAGGAGGAGAUAGGGAAUUUGGGGACAGCAGAUCUCAACUCCCUUGAGACCCUAUUCUCUACGCCACCCCUCCCCCUCAACAACCCUAGUCACCAUUUCUCCUUCAACUCCAACGGCAACUCAUUAAAACCCAAUUCUCAAAUGCAACAAUCUAAUCCCAAUCCCAAUUCAGAUGUUUCUAAAAAACCAAUGGUUGUCGUGGUGGAGAACUGCAAUUCCAGGUGGUGGUGGUACCACAUGGGAGAGAGAAAAAAGAAGAAGAAGAAGCAGCAGAGAGAGAGUUUUUUAUUAUAUUAUUAUUUUACUGUAAUUUUUUAAUUUAAAAAAUUAAAAAAAUUAAAAAUUAAAGAGGAUGUACCAUGGGUAUUUUUGGUAGUUAAAUAGGGUGUACUUAGUUAAUUUUCAAUUUAAUUUAAACAUUAGAGUGUACUCAGUUAAUUUUAGGGUUCAUUUAGCAGCACUCAAAAUUAAACAAGGUAAGGGAUGAGCAAGUAGGGACAUGAGACCUUGCCACAGUAGAUUGAUAUAACUAAAUAUUAUCAUAAACAUCGAAAUAUAUAAAUAUUAUUAUGAUAGGAUUCAUAAUAAUUAAUAUAAAAGUAUAACAACAAGAUUUACAUUUAUGUACCAAGAUAAUUACACAUAUAAAUAUAACCAAUAUAUAUUUUUAUAUAUUUUAAAAUACAAGUCUUUACGUAAAUGCCCUUCACGGGUCAAGCCACAAGUCUGUGUUUUGGGGAUUGCUUAGCUGCAUCAAUCCUGCCAAUGUCAAUUUUGCCCCUGGGCUCUCUCAAAGUACGUUUAAAACCUAUGCUAACAUAUACUAGAGUUUAUGCUGUAUCUAGAAAAUGCCAACACUAAUUUCGUAACACGUAGAAAUUGUUAGAGAUUGGAAGUUUUUAUCAUUUUUUCUUCCAGUCUCUCCACCACUUAUUAAUACAGAUUACUCAUGUGAUGAGUUUACAAAACCUAUUUCUCUACUCUAGCAAAGACUAUACUUCUUCUCAAAAGACUAGAUCACUUUACCUCUAUCUCUGUGAAAUGUAAAAAGUUGAAACUUUAAUGUCAAACCUCGACAAAGUGUUCUACUUUACAAACUUCUUGUGUCUACCAAUUUCUACUAAAAUUAAUUUCUCUACGGUGCUCAGAUUCAUCAUAUGUGUGUCCUUAAUUUUAGUGGAAAUUGGAAGUUUCCAUAAUUUUUGCUUUAAGUCACUCUUCUGAAGGAAGUUGAGGUUCCACUCCAUAAUCCAAAAUGUCAGGUUGACUUAUGGCAAACAAUGUAAAUAUGUAGGAGUACUAUGACCUUUUAUAGCAUUUUUAGUUUGAAUUUGGGUUUUAUACAUAGAUUUCGAAAUUAAUAGGUUGAUGCCUAGGAAAUAGAAAUUGUAAGGGCCUAUAUUAGACUAGCCCUCUUAAAAAAUAUAUUAAUUAAUGAAUAUUUGUUCUUCUUGUUGUUUUGAAGUAGUGGUGGGAGGCAUACCAACAAAAAAAAAAAUAUAGUGAAGGCUUAUAAGAGCAUUUACAAUCAUGCUCCCUAUUUUUUAGUUAAAAUUUAGCUAAAAAUAGAAAAAAGUUAUUAUAGGAGCUCUUUAUAAAAUUUGAACUCCAAUCAUACUCCCUAGUUUAGGGAGUCAAAAAUACUAUAGUUAUUUUUUAAUUCAAUUUGAUUUUGGUUAAUCUCUAUAAAUAAAUAAAAAUAUGAAAAAAUAGUUAACAUUAAUUAAAAGUUUAAACUAUGCAUAAAACAAAGAAACAUUAAAUUAUAGGGAGCCACUAUGAGUCGUUACUCUCUCCUCAGAUUUAGGAGCUCCUAGAGGUCUCCCUAUUUUAUGAGGUGGAUAAGGAGCAUGGUUGGAGUUGUAUUUCUUCAAUUUCCUCCCUAAAAUUUGUCUAAGGAUGUGGUUUAGGGAACCCAUUGUGAAUGCUCUAACUCUGGUAAAACACGAGUGACAUGGACAACAUAUGUUACGUCGUACAGAAGAUUUUUGGGUUUCUUUAAUUGGUUAAGUAGCAUCCACAAUGAGCUUCCUAAAUCAUCUCCUUAGACAAAUUUUAGGGAGGAAUUGGAAAAGUACAAUUCCAACUAUGCUCCCUAUCCACCAACUAAAAUAGGGAGACCUCUAAGAGCUCCUAAAUCUGAUGAGAGGGAAAGGACUCUUAAUGACUCCUUAUAAUUUAAUGUUGCUUUACUUUAUGCAUAUUUUGAACUUUUAAUUAAAUCAAAUUAUUAUUUUUAUAUUAUUUUGUAUACAGACGGGUUAAUUAUAUUAAAUUAAAAAAUAAUUAAAAUAUUAAUGACUCUCUAAACUAGGAAGCAUAAUUGUAGAUCAUCUUAUAUACCUUAAUUUGAAGAUUCUUUAUUUGGGUUUCUUUCAAGACUUAUCACCUUAGCCACACCACCUACACGUCUGCAAGCUUCCGUAAUCUAACAAGGAAGGGGAGGCUGCGCAAUACUUAUCACCUUAGCCACACCACCUACACCACAAGACCAAUAUGUGUAGUCCAGCAGGCUUUCCAAUUUUAAUAUAUAUUAUAAAAUAAAAUAAAAAUCAAUCUAUUAUCAUAUAUAUUAUAAAAUAAAGAUUAUUGCUCCAUCCUCCAUGCACUUGCAUGCCCUCUUACAAAGUGUGAAGUAGAUUUUGUGUGCUCCAAGUCAUUGACGAGAGCUGUAACAUGGUUAGCUGGAUUUAUAAGAUCUUUUCUUUUCUGGGAAUUUUCUGAAUUAAGAAAAAUCAAGUAAAAUUAAUAAAGCAUAAAUUAGAAAGGGAAAAUAUCUAGAGGAUGCAUUGUAGGAUUGCACAUGCCAAUAAUUGUAUCCUCUAAAUAUAUAGCGACACAUUUUUUUUGUUUUCAUGACUUGUGGUCCUAAAAUUAUUGUUCCUAGCGGGCUUUUCACCCUCUCUCGAUUGAAAAUCAAUUGUGUAAAUCUUCAAUCUUGAAUGAUGCACCUAAAACUCAAGUGUCCCAGGCCAAUUAUUGCUCUCAUACCACUUGUUGUAAUAAACAUUCACCCAUUCUAAAGGAAAGAUAACCAUCGAUAUUAUCUGAAAUUUAACCACUUAAGUUCAUUAUGAUUAACUAUGUAUCUUAUGGACCAAUCCAAUCGUAAGGUUUUAUACUCAAUUAGAUCGACCAAUACAAAGUUCACACUGGAUUAAAAAGGGCUAUCGGUAGGGGAGUGUUCGGCACCCUUUACUGUGGAGCGCAACACAAGACCCCUUGCAUGCCCUCACUAAGUUGAGCCCAACUAUUUUUGAGCAUUAACAAUAUAUAUAGAUUGAAAAAAUAAAAUAAAAAUCAAUCUAUUAUCAUAUAUAUUAUAAAAUACAUAUUAUUGCUCCAUCCUCCAUACACUUGCAUGCCCUCUUACAAAGUGUGAAGUAGAUUUUUUGUGCUCCAACUCAUUGACUAGGGCUGAAACAUGGUUAGUUGGAUUUAUAAGAUCUUUUGUUUUUUGGGAAUUUUCUGAAGCACGGAAAAUCAAAUAAAAUUAAUAAAGCAGAAACUGUACCCUUUAAUUAUAUAUGGACAUAUGUUUUUUUGUUUUCAAGUCUUAGAUGACAUGGGGACCCCUCUCAAAUUUAAGUGGUCCAUUAUUGUUAACCACAUAUUUUAUGGACCAUCCAGCUUCGGUACAUUUCUCCCACAUGCCACAAUUGUAUAUUCACAAUUACGUCUGAUACAUCACAUCAUGCCACUUGCCUCACAUGCCACAAUUGUAUAUUCACAAUUACUUCUGGGUACCCCUCAUCAGUCGUCUAUAAAAUGGUGAAGCCAGUUGCUACUGUUACCAUAAGAGCCAGCUCCGACUUUCUUUAAUUUCUUGCUACAUCUGUUGCUAAGUUAAUUUCAGUCCUAAUGGGGUUUCAUCUCCCACUCAUCUUUGCUAUUCUCAGUGUAAGCUCUGCAAUUUGAUUAACUUUUCCAUUCUCUCUCAUUGUACUCUAUAUAUAUAAAUGAAAGUUUUGUGUUCCUAUAAUUCUCUCCGAUUUUAUUUAGUACGUACUUAAGUGUCGUCCACUAAUUAAUUACACUUUGUGAGAUUUGAUUUUAAUUAGAGUUCGAAUUAAUGUUGCAGCUAGCAGCGGUUGCACUGGCAAACAAUGCUGCUCAACCAGCACCUCAACUUUACUGGAACUCCGUCCUGCCAAACACACAGAUGCCAAGAUCUAUCAGUGAACUUCUGCAUCCUGGUUUGUGUUCAGCUCUUUAUAAUCUUAGAUAUCUCUUCUACCUGCCAUUUUACUAAACUAUGUUCGACCACAUAUUUAUCAGUUAACUACUGUCAUUACAAGAAUGACACUUAUUUUCCAAUAUAAUUUGCAGACUCCACAAAUGAAGAAAAGAGCAAACCUGAAAUUUUCCCAUUGCAGGGCAAUAGAGUUUACACUCAAAGCCAUUAUAAAAAACGUCCUCCUCCUCCAUCUGACGAGGGCAAACCUGAAAAUUUCCCAUUGCAGGGCAAUAGAGUUUACACUCAAAGCCAUUAUAAAAAACGUCCUCCUCCUCCAUCUGACGAGGGCAAACCUGAAAAUUUCCCAUUGGCCAAUAGCUUUUACACUCAAACCCAUUAUAAAAAACGUCCUCCUCCUCCAUCUGACGAGGGCAAACCUGAAAAUUUCCCAUUGGCCAAUAGCUUUUACACUCAAAGCCAUUAUAAAAAACGUCCUCCUCCUCCAUCUGACGAGGGCAAACCUGAAAAUUUCCCAUUGGGCAAUAGCCAUUACACUCAAAGCCAUUAUAAAAAACGUCCUCCUCCUCCAUCUGACGAGGGCAAACCUGAAAAUAUCCCAUUGGCACGUUCAGGUUACCAACGAAAAAAUUAUGGAGCAAGUCCUCCUCCAUCUGACAGUCAACUAAAGCAUUAUAAAGACUUAGCUAUUUUCUUCUUCGAGAAGGACAUGCGCCCGGGCACAACUAUGAAGUUCCAAUUCCCUAGAAAUUCAAACACGGCUACUUUCCUGC
This 342875-nucleotide long non-coding RNA is filed under the name Prunus persica (peach). Its description in RNAcentral is "long non-coding RNA (PPER_LNC001496)". The stretch from base 201833 to 201939 matches the Rfam family "Plant small nucleolar RNA R71". The record is from RNAcentral. Lineage: Eukaryota; Viridiplantae; Streptophyta; Magnoliopsida; Rosales; Rosaceae.